UCAAAACUCGGCGUUACCUAGUGAAUCAUAUAAUAUUCAAUAAUGCCAUACCAUUUGAAUGGAUCGAAGAUUUCAAAUUGACGACAUUUGUGCCCGUAACCUGUGUAUUACAAGGAUCAUUGAGAAAAUACAUACUUUCACAUUGUGCCGGUAGCUUUCAUUAGCAAUGCUUCACAAUUUACAGGUACGAGGGCUUGACCAGCAUCUCCUCCGGAUCUUUCCACACUGGGGAGUCCUUAACUGUACAAAUAAGAUUCACAUACGCAAAAUAUGUGCUAGACUACGCACUGCAAAUGGAAACAAGUUGUCACCCCUAUUUAUCCAAAAAUAAUAUACUUGUUAUAGAUAUCCGUGUAGAAUAUUAUAUUACGAGGGGCAGAGAGCGUGUGUACGGCAAAGUAGGAACGGGUACAGCAGCAACGUAGCAGCACAAGCAAGAGGAUGAUUGGAACUGCAACUUACCCCCACACAUUCACAGAAGCCUUUUUCUUUCCCCUGCUGGUGUUCAUGAAAGCACUUUGAAGUGAAAAAGCCAUGAAAUUACGAAGGCAAGAAUCAUGCAGGCAAGAAGGAAAUUCAUAAUGCAGCGGCCAUGCCACAUGGUUCAGGUUUCAACCUGGAUCAUGGGUGCUGCUGGUACUGAUGCGGCUGUGGCAGUACUGCUAUUUGCCUCGUUUAUCUGGCCACUGGAAAUGUUGAAUGCAGUUACUCCACAGAUCUCGCAGGUUCUGCAAAUCAAAUCAAUAAAAUUAUGCAUAGGCAGAAAAUAACAUAUCAGUCAGACAUGACAAGCAAUUACAACCAUAACGCAACAUAAUAAAGAAACGUACCAUGAGGAUUUUGAACAAACAUAAUGAAGUGUAACCAACAGCAUACAAAUUUAAAAAAUAUAGAAGAAAAUGCUAUACAAUCACUGUAAGUGAUUUCAAAGGUCAUCAAUCUUCUAUUUAUGUUUCUGGAAAAAAAGUCAUGUCGUCAAGAUGUCGUUCCAUUUGCUUACCAUGAUGAGUAAAUUGAAAUUUGAACUAGCUUGCUGUUCUUGCAUAUCUUCUCCUCAUCCUGGUUACCAAGCAAGUCAGUCUUGACCAAUCCAUCUAUGAUGUAUUGUAUUAUCAUGUGAUGCAGCUUAUCUAGAUUAUAUUUCAUGUAGCCUAAGUUUGGAUAUUUCCUUUGCAGAGGGUAUAGCGUGCAAAUGCUCAUCAUCAUUUACUAAUCCAUAUGCAUAAUGUAAACAUUUACAUCUUUAUUAGAAGCAGACAUAAAAAAUACAUGGCACACAAGAUAUCCACUUUUCGACAUAGGAGCUCAAUUCUUGCAUACAAACACAUUUCCUUUAGCUUGCAUUGGACCUCGCACUUUCCACUAAUGUAAAUGCCACAGAAAGUGUGACUGUAAAAACUAUAAACGUAGAACGAUCAAUAUGUUUGAGUUCAGAUGGACUGCAAUAGUGGUGACUACAAGCUUUGUUCUUUUACUAGAUUUUCUCGUAUUGCAUAUGAGCAUACGCAUUCUACUAUAUACGUGAUCUGCCUCAUUCAGCAUUCCAGUAAGAAGCAAAAUGAUAAGAACAAUUGUGACAGUUACAUCAAAAGAAAGAAGCUAAUUAGCAAGUAAUCAUUUGAAUAAGCUGAACUCACAGAAGUAGGAACCUAAAAACUAUCAAGAUGGUCUUUGUUGUAGCAUGCCCAUAGUAAGAUCAUAGUUUGAAGUAUGUUAGGAUGCCACUUGUCAUCAUCUCAAUAUGACAAAUGUAAGGUUGAGAUGCUAUAGUAGUAGAUAAGAUGGUUGUAAGUUGUUAGAUGAUAGCUUACAAAGGAAGCUAAGUAGUUUACAUAUAAGGAAGUCGGUUGUAAUUGGGAGGGGGUCAUUGGAAUAAUCUCUGUUUAAUACAAGAAAGUACUAUGCAAUUGUCAAGAAGUCGAGCAAGGUUUUAACAUUGGUAUUAGCCAGUGUCGAUUCCUCUCAAUCUUUCAUUGUUGUAUGCCUCGCCGACCCUGGAACACCAUGGAAUCGCGAGUGUCAACUUUGGAAACCAUGCUCGCCAAUCUCAAAGCUAAGCUCAAGAACAACCAAGAGAUGAUCAUGAUGCAGCUGCAAUCUAUGGCAGCCAAAGGCGGUUCUUGCAGCGGCGAAUCGUCCGAGGCAACACCGCUGAAUCCUCAGAUACAAGGCGAAGUACAAUGUGGUAGCCACGAUUUGGGUCUUCAAAAUUGCUGGGCAUUUCUGAAAAUGGACUUUCCAAGGUUCAUGGAAGGUGAUGAUCCUUUGGGUUGGGUCUAUAAAGGCGACCAUUAUUUCGAUUUCUACCACAUCGAAGAUGCUAAGAAGGUGAAAAUGGCUUCAUUCCACAUGGAAGGGGAAGCUCUUCAAUGGUUCCAGUGGGCCAAUUGUCUAACCAAUUAUCCUAAUUGGGAGGAUUUCACCAAGGUUUUUUGUCAAGAAUUUGGACCUUCCGAAUUCGAGGACUCUGCUGAAAGUUUGGUCAAGUUACGGCAAACUGGGACACUCCGAGAUUACUUGUUGGAAUUUUGACAUUUAUCGAAUCGUACCAAAGAUAUCAGCCUUGCUUUGUUGAAAUCUUGUUUCAUCGGGGGUCUUAGGCCGGAAUUGCAACUUGAUGUGAAGCUCUUCAAACCUAAGGAUGUGCUGGAAGUUGCUGCAUUAUCUCAGCAGAUCGAUGCCAAGCUUACAGAUCUCAAGGCGAAAACUUUCUAUAAAUCACCUACAAUUCAACCCAAUUUUAGAUCACCAGUUUUGCAGAAUGUUAGUAACCAAACAUUGGCUGAUAUUCGUACUAAACUCCUAAUGUAUGACGAUUGACCCCAGAAGAAGUGGAUUAUUGUUGAAAUAAUGGAUUGUGUUUUCACUGUAAGGAGAAAAUAUGUGAGGGGCCAUACUUGUGAAAAGAAACAGUUGCAUCUUCUUGAUGUUCAAGACUGUGAGAUGGGUGAUGAGUGUGCUGAGGAAGUAGAGAAUGAGGAACCAGAGAUAACUGUUUGUGCUAUUUUUGGCAUCCCAGCUCCACCUAUAAUUAAUACUAUGAAGGUCAAUGGAUUUGUUAAAAACUGUCCAGUCACUAUACUCAUUGAUUCUAGUAGUUCUCAUAACCUUGUUGAUUUGGGAUUAGUUAAAAGACUCAGGGGGUAUCUUGAUACUGCAUAUCUUUUCAAUGUUAAACUGCAAAUGGUGGACGAGUUGCUACGAAAGGAACAUUAGCUCAAACUACUGUGAAAAUUUAGGAUUUCAGUUGUAUAACUGAUCUCUAUGCCAUUCCUUUAGGGGGUUGUGAAAUUGUAUUGGGGGUACAAUGGCUUCGAACCCUUGGCCCCAUUCUCUGGGAUUUCGAUAAACUUUACAUGAAAUUCUUAAAUGGGUCUCAUACAUAUUGUAUUACAAGUCCAGGAUCUUCCUUACAUCAGCUUGAAGACAUAUCAGCAUUGCAGAUGCAAAAACUUUUGCAGUAGGAAAACACAAUAGGAGCAGUUCUUUAUCAAAUGGGACCUACUACUAUGCAAUGUUAUUCUCCGGAGCAAACAUUGGGGGAUCUAAGUUCUCAACAUCUCACUAAGCUGCAACAACAAGACUUAAAGUCCCUUUUGGGGGAAUAUGAGAUAUUGUUUGCAACCCCUAAUACCUUACCUCCUAAUAGGUUGCAUGAUCAUAGAAUUCCCUUGAUAGCAGGAAGUAAACCUCCAAAUACGCCUUAUAGAUAUGGUCCAGUGCAAAAAUCAGAGUUUGAAAAAUGUGUUCAGGAGUUUUUACAAGCUGGUUUUAUUAGGGAAAGUAAUAGCCCUUAUUCAUCUCUAGUAAUGUUAGUGAGGAAGAAAGAAGGGACAUGGAGGAUGUGUAUGGAUUAUAGGGGUCUGAAUGGCAUCACUAUCAAAGACAAAUUUCCAAUUCCUUUGAUUGAUGAACUUCUGGAUGAAUAGUUUGGUGUUCAAUUAUUUCUAGAUUUAAGAGCUGGUUAUCAUCAAAUUAGGAUGUAUCAUAAUGAUAUAGAGAAUACAGCUUUUAGAACACAUGAUGGCCAUUAUGAAUUUUUGGUCAUGCUAUUUGGUUUAACGAAUGCUCCUGCCACAUUUCAGUGUUUGAUGAAUGAAAUUUUCUGACCAUUUUUGAAAAAGUUCAUCUUGGUGUUUUUUGAUGACAUUUUGGUAUAUAGUGCUACUUGGGAAUUGCACCUGCAACACUUGAGGGUAGUAUUUGAUCUGUUGAAAGCUCACAGUUUGUUUGUUAAGAAAUCGAAAUGUGCCUAUGGGAGGGAUAAAGUUGAAUAUUUGGGACAUAUUGUGUCCAAAGAUAGGGUAGUUGCCGACCCUACCAAGUUGGAUUCAAUUGCUAACUGGCCUAUCCCUACUACAGAAAGUUUUUUCCCCAUUUUGGCAAAAUUAUAGGUCCCUUGAUUGCCUUGACCAAGAAGGACAGUUUUAUUUGGUCUGAGGAAGCUACACAGGCCUUUAACACUCUUAAAGUAGCCAUGCUUUCCCCUCAAGUUUUAGCUCUACCUAAUUUCAGUAAGCCCUUCAUUAUUGAGAGUGGUGCAUCUGGACAUGGCAUUGGAGCAAUAUUACAACAAGAAGGCAGGCCCAUUGCUUUUACAAGCAAAGCCCUUAGCCCCAGAAAUCAAACUAUGUCAGCAUAUGAACGGGAAAUGUUGGCAAUCAUUCAUGCAAUUCACAAAUGGCAGUCUUAUUUGGUGGGGAACCAUUUUAUAAUUCUCACACAUCAUCACAGCUUGAAAUAUUUCUUACAAGGAAGAGCUCACACACCUUUUAAGCAAAAAUGGGUGUCUAAACUCAUGGGCUUCGAUUAUGAAAUUCAAUAUAAGCAAGGUUGUGACAACCAAGCUGCUGAUGCAUUAUCAUGUAGUCCUUUAACUACUGAUCUAACUAUUGAGUUCCGGUGUGAUGAUUCCAUUGUUUGUGCAGCUAUUUCCUACCCUUAUUCAACAUGGAUUGAUGACCUUAUGAGACAUGUUGAAAAAGACACUUGGGUGAUUGAAAAAAACACAGAAAGUUCUUAGUGAUACCUCAGAUGGGGGACCACUUGGCAAUCUCAGGUUUCAAGUGGAUAAUGGGUUUUCUUAAGUACAAUGGUCAAAUUGUACUCAGCCCUUGUAGUUCAUGGAAAUAAAAAAUCUUUGAGGAACAUCAUGCAACCCCACCUGAAGGCCAUGAAGGUUUUCUUAAAACCUAUGAAAGAAUCUCACGAUCAUUCUAUUGGGAAGGAAUGAAGAAAGACAUCAAAAAGUUAGUAGCAUCUUGUAGUGUCUGCCAACAACAUAAGUAUGAAACCUUAUCUCCGGCUGGUUUCCUUCAGCCAUUACCUAUUCCAUCCAAAGUAUGGUCUGAUAUCUCCAUGGAUUUCAUUGUGGGGCUUCCUUCUUGCAAAGGGAAAACAAUGAUCUGGGUUGUAGUAGAUCAGCUAUCCAAGUAUGCUCAUUUCCUAGCUCUAUCUCAUCCUUUCACAGCAUCCAUGAUUGCACAACUUUCCAUUGAUAACAUUUUUAAGUUGCAUGGUAUGCCCAGUUCUAUCAUCAGUGAUAGAGAUCCCAUUUUUAUGAGUAAAUUCUGGAAAACGUUUUUUGCACUAUAAGGGUCAGCUCUUUGCUUUAGCUCAAGGUAUCACCCUCAAACCGAUGGUCAAACAGAAGUGUUGAACAGGUGUUUUGAAACAUAUCUCUGGUGUUUUUGCAGUUUGCAGCCUAAACAAUAGCUACAUUGGUUGUCUUGGGCAUAAUGGAGUUUCAACACUAGUUAUCACAUUGCCACCAAAUUAACACCUUAUGAGAUAGUGUAUGGUCAGGCUCCUCCAGUGGUUCCUUCUUAUGGAAAUGGCACUACAAAGGUAGGCGCAGGGGCUUGGAGUUUGAUGGAUGGAAUCAGGGAAAUGGAACGGAACUGUGAAAGAAAGAAAUGAGAUUUGACCUAAAACAAAUACACGGCACGGAUUAAAUCUAAAACAAUAAACAGUUCAAAUAAUUUUCUUAAAAUAUAUAUAUAUAUUUUUUCGGUUCGGUAUGGGAAUACCGAAAAAAUGAAAUGCAAAACCGAAUCCCAUACCGAAAUUUUCGGUUUGGUUUGGGAUUAUAUCCCGAAAAUUUCGGGAAUUUUGGUUUGGGAUAUUUUUGGUUUGGGAUCGGGAUUUUUUUGGUUUGGUUUGGGAUUUUUGGGAUUUUUUUCCAGCCCUAAAAGGAUCUAAGCCUAAAAAGAAAAAUCAUCCACAGAGCCCAGUCAGUAAGGUUCUAUACGCCAUAAGAUUGAAAUAAAGCAUUUUAUUGUGCACCAUAAGAUUAGGAGAAUCAAUCUUAUACCUAGCCAAUUACCAAUGGCUGAUCAAAGUUCUAGCUCAUAAAUAUUAAGUACAAAUGUGAAAAACAAACUGAAAUCUAUAGGCCAAAUUGAAAAAAUAAAUAAAUAAAAAAUAAUAAAAAACAAACUGAAAUCUAUAGGCCAAAUGGAACCACGUGAUCCCGACGUCCAAUCCUUCCAACGAAGCACUCCGAGCUUCCUUGGGACCUCACUAAGCUCACUAUAAGCUUAGAAUUCCCUGAAACACGACAUUUUACGUGUGCAUGAACAGUAACUCAAAAAUGGAGGUUCGGGUUCCACGUGAUUUCGAGGGUUUCACUUCCUAAACCUAGUACCAAUGAACUCAGAACGUCAAGAGGAUGAAGAUGCAUACCUUGGUUGCCUCGAUCCGUCGAGUUUUUGGAGGAUUUGGGUGUGUGCCGUACGUUUUGGGUGAGAGAGAGAGAGAGGGUCGUGAGGGAGGAGAGAGACACGGGGGAGGAGAGAAGGAGAGGGUUUUUCUGUGUGGUCCAACCAAACCAAUCCUCACCAUCCAAAACCUUUCCUAAAUCCCUAACCACACAUAACAAAAUCAAACUUUCAAUAUAUUCCAACUUACUAAUAUAUAAUUCUCCCAACUUGAUUAAUAUUUGAACCAAAAUAACGUCACAUACCUACGUACCUUAGUACCCGUCAAGGGUAAAAUAGUCAUUUCACGCCCCCAAUAUAUAAUUCUCGGAACGGGCUGUGACAUGUUAAGGGCUUAUAGACGAGAAAAUGAUGUUAUUACACUCUAAAGUGUGUUAAGUGAUUUAGGUUGGCAAAAAAUUGAAGAAAAUAGCUUUGAAUAUAAUAGUAGGGAUGAAAUUAGCAAUUUCUAAUGAAUUUAGAGACUUAUUUUAUCGAAAAUUAAUUUAGGGACUUAAUUUUCACUGAUGUGAUAGUUCAGGGACUAAAUCGACACUUCACCCUGUUGUUUAUUCAUCUCCCGUAAAAAUAAUAUCGUUUUGUUCAUAAAAAAAAAAAAAAAAAAGUAAUGUGAUGUGUACAAAAUAAUACAUAAAAUAUUAUCAAAACACACAUAAAAGGAUCUAAGCCUAAAAAGAAAAAUCCUCCACAGAGCCCAGUCAGUAAGGUUCUAUACGCCAUAAGAUUGAAAUAAAGCAUUUUAUUGUGCACCAUAAGAUUAGGAGAAUCAAUCUUAUACCUAGCCAAUUACCAAUGGCUGAUCAAAGUUCUAGCUCAUAAAUAUUAAGUACAAAUGUGAAAAACAAACUGAAAUCUAUAGGCCAAAUUGAUAAUAAAAUAAAAAUAAAAAAAAUAAAAAAAGAACAUCUGCACGCCCGCACCGGCAGUAAAGCUAGUUUAGUGGAAUUCUUUUCUCUCUUCUAUCCCAAUUUCUUUCUCUUUUUUUUUUUUGGUCAAAGCCCAAUUCUUUUUCAUUCACGAAGUUUCUAGCAACUUCUGUUUUGCCUUCAUUGCUGUUGGGUUUCAUGCUCUUCCUAGUUUUCCGGCACCUGGAAUUUUCCAGAAACGUCUUUGACUCGUUAUAAAUACGUCACUAACCCACGCCCUUCACCAACCAGUGAAGCCAAGCAAGAACUCUCCCUACCGACUCCAAUUUGAUUCCCUAGGCAGCCAAACAAAACCACAUCAAGUUUUUUUUUUUUUUUUUUUUUUUUUUAGGUUUCCCAUGAGCGGUAGGUCUCGGGUUCGAGACUUGGGAGCAGCCUCUUCAUAAAUGGGGGUAAGGCUAGCCGACAUUCACCUCUCCCAGACCCUGUGUAAAGCGGGAGCCUUGUGCACUGGGUACGACCCUUUUUAGGUUUCUUUGAAUAAAUUAUAAAAAAAUUAUCUCAACCAUGAAUAGGUUUUUGGGAACUUUAACGAAAAAUUUCCGGUACUGUUCACUUUAACGAAAAAACAUAUUUUUACACUAAAAAGUCAAUUAUGGUACUAUUCAUUUUACCUUUUAUUUUGUCCUUAUCGUUAAACUUCAAAGUUUUCAAACUCUUUUCAUUAGUUUUCCUUAGGUUUUUUUUGAAUAAAUUAUAAAAAAAUUAUCUCAAUUAUGAAUCGAACCACAAUCUUAUAUAUCAUGUUUUAAACAUUAUAAUGUCAUACCUCAACUUAUGAAUUCCUUUAAAUAUUCUAUCAAUUUUAAAUGUUAAAUGAUGAGGUGCUAGGAGUGUAGCUCACUCUUUUGACGCUCACUCUUUUGACAAUUGGAAUAAAAAAUUAAUUAAUUAAUAAAAAAUUAUUAAUUUUCAUUUACAAUUAAAAUCAAUUUUAAAAAACCUCUCUCAGCCGCAGCCCUCCUCCCCCCUUCAUCCCCAAUCCUCCCUUAACCCCCCACCCCCCCCACAAUUUUCCGAGCAACCAAACAAACCAAAGCAUAUAAUUUUUUCCAGAAAGAAAAUUCAAAACCCAAUUUUUGAUCCAAAAAACGUGAAUUGAAUGUGGAUCCGGCAAUUACAAGCAGGACGCGAUUCCCAAACCUCACAAAUCAAAAUUUACAAACCCUUAAAAUCCCAAUAGAUUUACGAGUUCCCGGAGUGGGAUUCAAAUCCCACGAAACCUUCAUGGCCACUGGACCAAAACACUAGACUAUUUCUCUACCAGAGAAAAUUAAGAUUUAAUUUUAAUUUAAACCCAUGAUGUUAUGGGUAAAAUGAUUUUUGGGCAUCGGUGGAGACUAUGCGCAAAUGAAGGAGAGAAGGGAAUAGAGAAGACUCGCAGACUACCUCACCGAAAAGAUCUCAUCCCCUGACUCCAUCGAGUUCCUCCUCCUUCCCUAGAACGACGCCUUCCACUACUCCAAAAUUCCUAGGUACUCGAUUCCACCAGCAGCGACAACCACAUCAGCAACGGCGAUAAUGAUCUUCAAAUUCUCAUGAUGCACUCGAGAGCUCCCUUGCUGAUCUUUAGAACCUUGACGACGGAUAAAUGAGGAUUGGAAAAGUCUCGAUCAUCGCCAGGUCUAGGAAUCGCGGGCGGGAAGCUCAUACGGUAGCCUGAUCUCGAGUUCAGGUGGUUUCCAUGACAGAGGACUCGCCGCAGACAACCAUCAAGAAGCAACGAGAGAGACACGAGGAGAAAUGGGGUUUUUAAUAAUUUUAAUUUUUUCAGAUUAAAAAUUCUUGACUUAUUUAAUUUUUAAAUUAUGAGUGGGUCCCAUUAUUGCCAAGUUAUCAUUUAACAAAUUUAAUGGAGGUUGGACAUUGCAACGAAUUCAUAAGUUAAUGUAUGACAUUGUAAUAUUUAAUACAUAAAGUAUGAGAUUGUGGUUCAACCAUAGUUGAUGUAGUUUUUAUAAUUUAUCUUCUUUUUUUUCAAAAUGUUGCUUAUCCCCAACUCUCAACAAGGCAACAGCAUCUUCGACCAAUUCUCUCUCAACUUGUGUGACCCUUUCAAGGAUUUCCCAUUCCCUUCAUCCUCAUCACUCUCUACAUUCCCUGAUUUUUCUCGGGAAAAUCGGCUUUUAUGAACACUACAGUCGACUGGAAGGAGACCCCCGAAACCCACGUGUUCAAAACAGACAUUUUGGGGCUGAAGAUGAUGUGCGGAAGCGUCAAAUAUGAAACCAAUAAACUACAACGGCAAAAUAUGAUAAGACAAAUAAUCCAAAUGACACAAGGAUUUAUACUGGUUCGACGAAAGCCUACGUCCAGUUCCGAGACGGCGAGGAAAUUCCACUAAUAUCAAAAGGAGAUUACAAAUAGAGUUUUAACUCUCAAACCCAAAUCUCACAUACACCCAAUAGCUCUCACUCUCACAAAGAACAAUUUGGAGAAGAUGGACACACAUCAAAUACCAUCACUCCCAAAAGCUACACAACAUGUGGCAGCAACAUCUUUGAUUGAGGGAUUACUAACAAAAGGGGAUUACAAACAAAUGGGAAGGAGCAUCACUGUUUCAAAUGGGAGAGCCGAACGCUCUCCCUGGUAUGGCUCUUAUCUGAUGCCGCUCCCCCCAUCUCUCCCACAUUCGGCUGCAACCUUUAUCCAUACAAAAGCAUCCAAUAAAAAAUCCAAAGUAAAGGAAUAAUCAUUACUUUACAAACAUCAUCAUGACCUUCCUUUUUUUUUUCAACAAGCAUCAUCAUUGUGUCUUUACUCAUGAUGUCCACCAAACUUUUCUUUGUUUAGUUUACUAGCCAAAAGGCAUUUGGCUUAUUGUCCACUUGGCCACUAAUUUGGCCACUAUCCAACAGAAGAAGGAUGAGGUGAAGGUGGAGGUGGAAGACAACAGGGUGCUUUAGAUCAGCGAAGAGAAGAAUGUGGAGAAGGAGGACAAACACGACAAGUGGCAUAGAGUGGUAAGGAGCAGAGGCAAGUUCUUGAAAGAUUUCAGCUUCCGGAGAAUGCAAAGGUCGAUCAGAUUAAGGCUGCCAUGGAGAAUGGAGUUCUGAGUGUGAUCGUACCAAAGACAGAGGUGAAGAAGCCUGACGUCAAAGCCGUUGAAAUCAAUGGUUAAUUAAUAGUGAAAUAAUAAGAUUAUGAAUGUUGUGUUCUUAGGAAAUAAGAUUAUGAAAUAGAGUGCCCAAAAAAGAGUGAUUUGUGUAAUUGUUUGUAAAAUAAUGACUUGUGCGUGGUUAAUUUGAUACAAAUUUGGAUUUACGCGUUUGAAAAUAAUAUUAAGUGAGGAUAAUCGGAAAACAGCUUUUGUAGUAAAAAUUUAGAUUUAAACUUUUUGGUAAAGUUCAUUAGGUUUCAUGUUCGAAUGUGAAAGUUAUAUUAUUUUUCUGUUACUUGUCAUUUCACUCUAUAUUUUUUCACGCGGUAUCAUACCAUUGCCAAGCCCCUUUCUCACUUCUCCCUCUUCGUCUCUCUACACCUACAUCCCGUCUUCUCUCUCCUCUGUCUCACUUUCAAUGCGCAAAACAUUUUUGUGAGUUUUUAGAUUUUAAAGCUCUGAUUGGAUCAGUUUGAAUGAAAAGUUUUAACCAAGCUUCUAAAACUGGAGAAAGGAUUUCUAGGCAGCAAAAGGCAAGACCCAUGGCGUACAAUUGAGAUUUUAAAAAAAAUGGCUUUGAGAUUUGUUGGUUAGGAUGUCCUUCCCUCAAUUGUGAGCAGCUCUUAAUAUGCUUUCUUCGCAGGCAGGCGAAUUGGAGACAAUAGUAUGCUUUUGAAGGAGUUUCUUAAAAAAACACUUUCAAACAAAUUUGUAUAGAAUUUAUAUGCUACGACUAAUAGUAGCCCUACUAUUGUUCGAAAUAGAUUACCAAUUCUAAUUGUGAUGUUUGUACUGUAAAAUAAUGUGAUGCCUCGAACGAAUGAGGAUGGCUCAAGCCAUGUAUUGUGCCUUGAGAAUGUGGGGUUGGGAAGCAAUGCAUCCAAUUUUUCUUUCACUUUAUCCUUCUUCUUUUUUGUUAAAGAAAGUACCAUAUGGUUCGUAAGCAAAGUAUCCAAAUCUUUUUCACUUUUUUCUUGAUAAAGAGAAAUACAAAAUGGGUUCGAAAGCAAUGCAUCCCAUUCUCUUUCCCUUUGUCUUUUUCUUGUUAAAAAAGAAUGAAAAUACCUUACUUCAGAAUCACCUCCUCUUGAGGUAAUGCUCGUUAAAUAUUUUUUUUUUGCUUCUCUAUUUAUAUUGUUAGAGAACUCUUAUUAACCUUUCCCCAUUGAAGUUAUCUGCUCAUUGCAUUGCUGAGGUAACAUAAUAUGUCCUCCUUGUGCAUGAUACCAUUCAACAUUCAUAUUUUCUAGCAAAUUCAUGAAGUAACAAUGUCAGCACCAGACACAUGAGUUGUUGUUGAAUAAGGCAUAGAUUUCAAAAUUUCACUUUUACUCUAGCGAACUGUUGCAUUGGGUUGAUUUACAAUACAGGUACGUAUGUACAUCUUGGAAACUUUAUUUCUUUUCAAUAUUUGUUGUUUUAGGUGUUUAUUUUUACCCAUGUGUGACUAAGAAACAAAAGUGUUUGGUUUUACAAUAUAUUUUCUAGCAAAUUCGUGAAGUACCAGAUCCAGCACUAGACAUAUUGUUAUUGAACAAGGCAUAGAUUUCACAAUUUCAUUUUUUUUCCCUACCGGUUAGUUGCAUUUGGUUGAUUACAAUAUAGGUACGUAUGUUCUUAGAAACUUCAUUUCUUUUCAAUAUUUGUUGUUUUAGGUGUUUGUACUAUAUGUUUAUGCAUUUUGAUGUUCAUCCACGUCAACUGAAAUUGAGCUAAUCCCCCCCUUAUAAUCGAAUUUUUACUUUUCUCACUCAAUACAAAAAGUUUUAAAUCAUGUCUGCUAUAUGGUGGUGAAAUGUAAACUAUUAGAAAUUUGUAUGCUGUAAAAUAAUAAUGAGUAAAUAAAUAUACACAUGCAGUGAAACUGUCAAUUGAAAAUAUAACUUUACCCAUUGAAAUUCAAUUUUCUUUAACUAAAACUCAUCAUAGUAUAUUUUCCUAACAAAAACUCAUUGACUUUACCUCUUGAGAAAAAAAAAGGGCCUUCGGGUUUUUUACAUAUAUAUUUUUUUUCACUUCUCCUAUUUAUAUUGUUAGAAAGCUCUUAUUAACUCUUCCCCAUUGAAGUUAUCUGUUCAUAUAUUUGCAUUGAUGUGCAUCAUCUUUCCUCCUUGUGCAUGCUAACAUUCAACAUUCAAAUUUUCUUGCAAAUUCGUGAAGCACCACUACCAGUACCAGACAUAUGAUUUGUUGCUGAACAAGGCAUAGAUUUCAAAGUUUCAAUUUUACUAUGUUGGACAAUUGCAUUGCGUUGAUUUACAAUACAGGUAUGUAGUACUUCUCGAAAACUCUAUUUCUGUCCAAUAUUUGUUGUUUUAGGCAUUUAUUUUUAUCCUGCUUGACUAAGAAACUAAAAUGUUAGUUUUAUAAUCUAGUGCCCACCAGAUAUUCUAUUUCAGGAUCCAGCUCAACAAUUUUAUUGAUUAGGUUUUGACUUCACACAAUUUUGUAUUUUUAGAUGUUUAAAAUAUCCCUAGUAACUCAUGUCAGAUUAAAAACAAAUUUUAAUAUCAUGAUUUCAUUGCAUAUUAAUAAUAAAAGUAUAUGAUUCUACGGUUUUCAUUUGUUUUAUUUUAUUUUUUUUCCUUUUUAAAUUCCCUAAUUGCUUUUCAAAUUUUCAUAAAUUAGGAUUUUUUUUUUUGGUUUAAUUUUUCCGUUUUCAAAAUAUGGGAGCAUUAGUUACCAACAAAAUAUAAGAAUGUUAUUUUUUUUUCAAAAUUAUUUAAUUAUAUUCUAUAUAGAUAUGGGUAAAUUAUUUUACUACACAUAUAUAAUAACAAUCAAAUGUGCUUAAUGUAUGUAAUAAUACAUGCAAAAUAAUUUACCUACAACAUAAAGGAUGUGAUUUGGUUCAAAUUUAUUUUACCUACAUUUCACAUAUAGAUAUGGGGAAAUUAUUUUAUGUAGAUUAAAGUACCUACUUAAAGAUGAAGAAUGUGAAUUGGUUCAAGAUUUAAUUUACAAUUAUUUCAAAUAUAUAGAUAUAAGUAAGGGGAAUUUUGAUCUAGGUGCAACAUCCCUAGCAUUUAGACUUUUUUAUUAAACUAUUUUCUACAAUUUUGGUGCCAUGUUUUCUAAAAUGUCCUUCUUUUUGAAAUUCAAAAUUACAUGAAGUGCCAUUGAUCCACCAAUUUAUUCAAAAAGUAGCUCCGAAAUCUAGCCUUCUUCAAACCAAAUUUAUUAUUUUUAUUAAUCCAAAACAAAGACACAUAUUAUUAAGUUAUCAACCAAUGAUAUGUGCCAAAAAUUAAAAUUAAAAUAACCAAAACUAAAAUAAAACGUACCAUAAACUAGAAUUAAACGUACCAACACUAAAACUAAACGUACCAAUCAACGAUAUAUACAAAAUAAUUCUCUCACUAAAAUGUAUACAUAAUAAUUUCAAAAUAUAAACAUCCACCAUUUUCAUUAUCUUGAAGGUAAAAUUAUAUUUUAAUUUUAGGAGAAAAAAAUAUUUUUUACGAAGAAAUUAUAACAAAGAGAUAAUUUGAUAAGCAUCAGGUGGGACUUUGUGGCAAGGCUUCAUAUCGUUUCGGGUUUGAACUAAGUGAUGCUUAAGCCUUAAGUAUGAGUCAUAGAGGAAAAAUAACAAAGAUCUACACAAAACUCAAACAAAAGAUAAAGAUAGAGAAAAAAAUAGAUAAGUUUUCUGUCUGGGCUCAAAACUGUCAUAAAUAGUGGGCGAUGGAGGAAGGAGACGCUUGAAUUUUGAAACGAACCAUGAGGGUUGCUGAAAAAAAAAAAAAAAAAAAACUAGAGGAGGUGUGGGGUCUAUGGUAAUGGGAUAAGGAUGAAUGAAAAAAACAAUAAAUCAAAAAUAUAAAGAAAUAAAAUAAUUGAAAAAACCUGAUAUAUCACGUUGCUUGCUGUAUGGUGUAAGCUUUACAAUGGGCUUACAAUAAUGUUGUUUAAAUUCAUCUUUUGCAAGAAUCGAACAUAAAGCCUUUAACUUACAAGUAAAUAGAAAUAUCACUAAAAUCCUUAAUGAAUCCACGGGUAUUCAAUCAGGAUUUUAAGCGAUUCUCUGAAAUUCAAUGUGUAUUCAAUCAGGAUUUUAAGAUAAUUUAUUAAAAUCCUUAGAAAUCUGGGUGUAUUCAAUUAGAAUUUUAAAGAAGUUUAUAACAUUCCAGGUGUAUUCAAUUAGAAUUAGAAUUUAAAGAAUUUAGAAAAGUUGAGGAAUUAGAGGGAAUUGGAGAGAUUUUGUAGUGUAUUUUAAGCAUUCACAAAUCUCACCUCUUCCCCAUGAGAUUUCGAGGGAAUUGAAUCAAAAUUUUACAUGGAAUCUCUACAAAUCAGGUAAACUCCAAAAAAAUUCAUAAAUUUAUAAAUCAAUUAAAAUCUCUCAAAUUCCUAAUUGAAUACACCCCCUUUAUAUUUAAACAGGACAAAAAUAUAUGAUUAUUAAUGUUGUGUUGGGGUGCUUCUUUGGUUUAGGCAUCAGAGCACUGAGCGCGGGACUUAAAAAAGCCACCAACAAAGAGAAGCAUUCCAGCCGUAGUCCUUGAUUUCAAAAGGAAAUGGAAAUUAUAAUUGCAAUUGCCUCAAAAGUUGGAGAGUGCUUGGUCACACCAAUAGGAACAGAGUUUGGCUAUUUGAUUAAUUACCAUUCCAACCUGGAAAAUCUUAAGGGUGAGAUAAAAAAGCUUUUUGACAAGAAAGAUGGAGUGCAAGGAUUGGUAGAUGCUGCCCAAAGGAACAGUGAAAGGAUCAAACCUGAUGUUCAGAGUUGGCUAAAUAAUGUGAACGACGACAUGGUCAAAAAAGUGUUGCAGUUUGAGGAUGAAAUUAACAAGAAAAGGCGAUGUGUGUAUCGAUGGAGCUUGAGUCGGAGAGCCUAUAAGAUUAAACAAGAAGUUCUUCAGCUCCAAAACGAAGGAAGAUUUGAAAAUGUGGCCUAUCCUGCACCUCCACCAGAGAUAUGGUCAACAUUCGAAAAUGUUUUUAAGGAUUUUAAGUCCAGAAGGGCAAAGAUGAAUGAGGUGAUAGAGGGUUUUAAGAGGGAAGAAGUACGAAAGAUCGGGAUUUGUGGAAUGGGGGGUGUGGGUAAAACCACAAUGGUGAAAGAAAUCAUCAUAAGAUUGGCAAAACUGAACCUGUUUGAUAAAAUUGUAAUGGCAACUGUGUCUCAAAGUCCAAGUAUUAGGACGAUCCAGUUGGAAAUUGCAGAGGAAAUAGGUUUGGAAUUGAAGGAGGAAACCCAGUCCGGAAGAGCACGAAGGCUACAUAGGAGACUCAUGGAAAUAAAGAGGAUCCUGAUUGUAUUAGAUGAUGUCUGGGCAGUGCUUGAUUUUGAGGCUAUAGGACUCCCUUCUGGAAAUGCUCAUGAAGGGUGCAAAGUUUUGUUGACAUCACGAGAUUCGGACGUUUGCAACAGGAUGCGAAGUCAACAAAUUAUUGCAGUCCCGAUUUUAACACCAGAAGAAUCACAGGAGCUCUUUCGAGAAAUGGUGGGUGAAUCCUUUAAUGAUCCUGAUUUACGUUCCACUGCAAAAGAUGUAUUGAAGGAAUGUGGAGGUUUACCUAUUGCAAUUGUAACUGUUGGAAAAGCCCUAGAAAAGAAAAACAAGCAUGAAUGGGAUGAUGCCCUUAAUCAGAUGCGAAAUUCUACCCCAGUGAACAUCCCUGGAGUGAAUGACACAGUUUUUUCUAGCAUAAAAUGGAGUUAUGAUAGAUUGGAGAGUGAUGAAGUUAGGUCAUGUCUUUUACUUUGUUGUUUAUUUCCAGAAGACUAUGAUAUUCCAAUUGAGUAUUUGGUUCGAUAUGGGUGGGGUCGAGGAUAUUUUAGCAGCAGCGUUACUUUGGAAGAUGCAAGAAAUAGAGUGCAUUCUUUGGUUGACCAACUAAAAAGAAGGUUUUUGUUGCUAGAUAGUGGCAAGAGUGAGGCUACAAAAAUGCAUGACGUAGUUCGCGAUGUUGCCAUAUGGAUUGCUUCAAGAGAUAAAAAAGGAUUUUUGAUAAGAAGUGAUGCUGAAAAUAAAGGGUGGCCAAAUUUAGCUACAUAUGACCAUUACACUACAAUCUCACUUGUUGGCGAUUUGGAGAUUCCAGUUGGUUUGAAAUGCCCAAAACUUGAGCUUCUACAGACGAUGGAAGGACUUUUUUCAGAAGGUAGCAUGAACAACAUUUGUAAGGCGAUGAAAGAACUGAAGGUUUUAGCUUUGGUGGGAAAGGAAAUGAAAAACCGAGUCUCAUUAAGAUCACUGAAGAAUCUGCGGACCUUGUGCCUAGAUGGGUCUAAUUUUGAUGGCACGUCUACUGAUGUUAUUGGGAGUUUGGAGAAUUUAGAAAUCCUCAGCUUUCGGGAUUGUUAUUCCAUGCGUGAGUUGCCGAGGGAAAUUGGACGACUUAAACAGUUAAGGUUGUUAGAUACGACAAACUGCGAGGAACUUGAGGUGAUUCCACAUGGUAUCUUCUCCAGCUUAUGUAGACUUGAAGAGUUGUAUAUGGUUAAUAGCUUUAACGAAUGGGAAAUUGGAAGAGGAAGAGAAGAAAAGGGGAUGGCAAGCAUUUCUGAGGUGAUGUCUCUGUCCGAUCAUUUGAAGGUUCUAGCCAUAGAGAUACCCAGUGUCAUCCACUUGUUGACAAAAGACAUAGUCUUGAAAAGCCCAACAAUAAGAUUCCUUAUACGCUGUGCAACAUGGGGACGGCUUUUUUCAGAGAUGAGUACUUAUGCAUUCGAAAAUUGUUUGGAGAUUAGUGAAAGUGAUGCAAGGGAGUUGGAGGAGAGUCAAGCAGUCAAACUUUUGUUGAAAAAAUCUAAAAAAUUGUAUUUGUCGGAGGUUAAGAAUUUCUCUGUCCUCACUGAUUUAGACCAAGAAGGAUUUCAAGAUUUGAAAGAUUUGCAGCUUUGGAAUUGUCCACAUAUCGAGUAUCUUGCAAAUGGAACAAGUGGGUUUUUGACCAACCUAAGAUUCCUUGAAUUGGUAUUUUGUGGUGUCUUAAAAUAUGCCUUUUCAUUAUCAGUAGCAAGAAACUUGGUACAACUCAAAGAAUUAAACAUUGAUGGAUGUGGUCAAAUGGAAGAAAUUGUGUCGAAGCAGGGGAGGGAACAUGAGGAGGAAGCCGAUAUGAUAUCUUUCGAUAAAUUAACCAAUUUGACUCUCGAGGGUCUAGGGAGUUUGGUUGGUUUCUUCCAAGCCAAGAAGCUAUACUCCAACCAAGAGGUAUGUCCCACUCUCCAAUCUCUAUGAUAUGAGGAGGCAGCCGAUAUGUGGAAAUUUGAAAUUGUUUAACUGAUAAUGAUUUUUCUUUUUCAGGAAACAACGGCAAGGGUUGAGCAUCAAUCUGCAGGCGUAUUUGAAAAAGCAAUAUUUCCAUCAAAGUGCAUUUCAUGGUUUCCAAGUUUAGAAGAGGUAGUAUUGGGACGUAUGAAGUUUGAAGGUGUGCUAUUUGAUUUGAAAAACAUUCCAUCUGGAUUUCAAGGCUUCCAAAAUUUGAGAUAUUUGGAAAUGAGAGAAUGUUCUGGUCUAGAAUAUGUGUUCUUGCAUUUAAUUGCCCGAAAACUUUUGAAUCUUGAAGAGGUAAAGAUAUUAAAAUGCCCGGACAUGGAAGCUAUAGUCAGAAUCCCAGAGGAAAUUGAAGAAGAGGCGACAAAAUACAUGAUUUUGUUUCCGAAACUGAACACAUUUGAACUAGAAGACCUGCCUCGUCUCACAAGUCUUUGUCCAGAGGGAUUUACAUUUCUACGGUCAUCCACAAAAAAAAUGCACGUGAAAAGAUGUGAAAAUUUGAAGACAUUGGGUGUUGUAAUUCCACAAAGAAAGAAGUUGGAGAAUAACUUGAAGAAGGAUUCAACAAGUCAUGAUUUCAGCACUUCUCCAACACGUUCAUCAAAUUGGUGCCCUGCUGGAUGUGGAUGCGCACCAUAUUCAAGACCAAACGCCCACCGCCCCAUUGAAAUAUUGCCACGUCCAAUUAACCUGGAGGUAAGCUUUUAAAUCAGGUUCAAUUAACCUCUAUAAGUACAACUUUUAAUCAGUAUUGUAUCAUCUUGUUGAUCGUGCUUAAUUUUCUAGGUUACACAAACUAAUCUUGAGGACUCAAAUGAUAAUGAUAAUCUCGAAAAUCUUACUGUAAGUGACUGUAAUUCGAUGGAAGUGAUUUUCCAACUCAAGGGACCGAAGCAUGAAGAAAGUAGUCACUCCAUUGAAGCAUUCAAUAAAUUGAGUUCCUUGCGGUUAGAUAGAUUGCCAGGUUUAACGCGUGUUUGGGAGAUGGGUAGUUCACAACCGAUGUUGACAGGAAGCAGCUUCGGAAACUUGAAAUCGCUGGAGGUUGGUUUUUGCAACCAGUUGAAAUACUUGUUUUCAUCGUCCAUAGUCAAACUUCUCGUGAGUAUAGAGGACAUAGAAGUUCAUAACUGUGAGAAGAUGGAAGAAAUCGUUGCCGCAGAAGAAGAAACUGAUGAAACAAUUACAUUACCUAAAGUGAAGUCCAUCAAGCUUGAAAGUCUGCCAAAACUCAAGUAUUUUUGUGGUGAAGCUUAUACUUUGAAGUUGCCGUCUUUGGAGUUAUUGGAGUUUGAUGACGUGCAAAACUUAAGCUUAUUAGCUCCAAAGCUUAUUGCCACACAUCCCCGAUUGCAAGUACGCACCGCGUUGGGAGUGGCUGAAUGGAAGGGGGACCUCAAUGCCACUCUUAAGGAAUAUUUACGUCACAAGGUAUGCUUUAAUAUAAGGUUUUUAAUUUCCAAUCAUUUAUGGCAAACACCACAAAAAUUCGACAACAAAUUUAGGCAAAGCAUAAUCAACAGUUCAGAUUUAGUUUGACGAAAGUGUAAUCAAAAUUUAGUCAAAAACCAUACACACACACACACACAUAUAUGUAUGUGCGUAUGUGCACACUAGAGUGUAUUUAGAUAUGUUUUUCUUCUUUUGAAAACUCAAUUAGAUCUCAAGAAAAUAUCUGCCUUUUAUUUCUAACACAGGAAGGGUGAAGAUGAUGAAAUCGAGAGGGAGGACGAACACAAUUAAUUGAUCAAGCACAAAGGUUAACAUGUCUCCAUCUUCAACUUCUUCUAGGCUUAGUAAAAACUGCUAUUUUCGGAAACACAUAUACAAUAAGCAUAACCGUUUCAACUUAUUUGAGUUUCAGUGAUUUCUAAUAUUCUCCAAUGCAUGCAGAACAACAAUUCAAAGAAGGUUGUGGCUUCAACAAUUCGUUUACCAUCUCAUAUGUACAAACCAAUAAAAUGUCAUUUGUUGCAUCAGACUUUCAUUCCAAAAAUACUAUUUAUGUUGCUUAUUUUAUGCAUGUAUAAUAAAUUUCGAGUGUGAUUGUUACUGUUUGUAUCUAAGUUCGCAUUAUUAAUGUAUGUUUAUUUGCACCAAGAAAUGAGAAAUGCUUAUGUAAAAAUAAAUGAAUAAGAUUAAACAAGAAAAACUUUACGCUACUCAAACUUGCAAACACUCAAACUACAAGCAUUAUGAAUAAACACGGAAUCAGGCUACGCAAUUGCCUUCAUCAUAACAUGAUUUUGGCCCCCAUUUUAUAAUUUCCUACCACAUUUUCACAUUCUUUCCAUGAAUUUUAUAAUCAUAUGCAAAAGAGUUCAAUCUAGGGGCUCCAAAAAUAUCACAGACAGAACAAUUAACACAAAUCGAAUAAAAAUUUGAAAUCAUGAAUCGAUCCCAAAACUGAAAGUUGAAAUUUUUGAAAAGAACUUACAUUGGAGGACAGCCCACCGGGACAGGAUCAUUUAUACCUCUUGGGUCGAGAAUAUUGGCCGGAAAACCGCGGUGACCGUUUCUUUGAUAUGAAAUUGAGGAAAUUUGGCUACGGAUCUGUAGAAACUAACUUGGGAGUUGGAAAGAGGAUGGAAAGAGGAGUCUGGAUAUGUAAUUUGACGGCCGUUGGUGACCCGUGGGCGAAAAUAAACUUCAUGCGAAAACAAGACCAGAUUGAGGUAAGAAAGAAAAAUACAUACGCAGAAAUAACAUGUCAGUCAGGCAAGACAAGUAAUUGCAACCAUAACACAACACAAUGAAGAAACAUACCAUGAGGAUUUUGAACAAACAUAAUGAAGUGUAACCAACAGCAUACAAAUAUCAAAAAUAUAGAAAAGAAUGCUAUACAAUCACUAUAAGUGAUUUCAAAGGCCAUCUUCUAUUUCUGUUUCUGGAAAAAAGUCAUGUCGUCAAGAUGUCAUUCCAUUUCCUUACCAUGAUGAGUAACAUGAUAUUUGAACUUGCUUGCAUUCAGAGAUCAAACAUGGUGGGGUUAUAGAGCAGGUGGAGAUGUUUUUUCUCUAUCCUCAAUCAAAAUAUCAAUGUCUCCCUCCUCCCUCGAUCACUGUCUUUAUUUGUGUGUCAGUUUCAAGCAAUGGCUUUGCUGAACGAGAGAGGGAGAGGGGAAGGAGUUCCCAAGCAAAUUAUGAGGAGGGUGGUGGGGGCAGACUGCUCCGAUCACAGAUAUAUUUCAAGGAUCACAAUUAAAGACUUGCAAUCUUUUAUGGCUGCCAGUUGUGGGACACUCGCAGUCAGACACACACAGAUGGAGAUUGUAAAAGACUUUGAAUUAGAAUUAGUAAAUUUGUGUGUGUAGGGGUGGCUCUGUAUGGGGUUCCAAACUGAAAAUGGAAUUUCGAAUCCCAAAUCGAAAAUUUUCAAAACGAGAAUUUGAAAACCAAUCUUGAAUCAAAAUUUCGGUAUUCCUAAUUUUCGGGAUUCACAAAAUGUUUUCGAUAUCAGGAUGCGUCGGGAUUGAAUUUUGGGUUUUGGGCUGAAAUUUGAGUUCAUCAUAACAUGAUUUUGGCCCCAUUUUCUAAUUUCCUACCACAUUUUCACAUUCUUUCCAUGAAUUUUAUAAUACCUAUGCAAAAGAGUUCAUUCAUUGCCUAUUUCAAAACAAUACAAGGUUCUACAGAGUUCAAUCCCACAUCAUGUUAUAGACAUGCUUCAACUACAGAGUGCAAUACCAGAAGUCUCAUCUCCGACAUUCAUACAGAAUAUCGAAUAAAAAUUCGAAAUCAAAAAUCAAUCCCAAAACUGAAAGUUGAGAUUUUAGAAAAAUAACUUACAUUGGAGAACAGCCCACGAGAAGAGGAUCAUUUCUACCACUUGGGUCGAGCUCCAAUUCCGGCGAUAUGGCCGGAAGUUGGCCGGAAACCCUGGGUCACCGUUUCUUAAAUUUGAAGUUGAGGAAAUCGCCUACGAAUUUAUAGAAACCAACUUGGGGAUUGGAUAAAGGACGGCAAGAGCAUUCUGGAUGUGUAGUUUGAGAGCCUUUGGUGACACGUGGACGACAGAGCUCUUGCGCCGGCACUCGGCAGUCGUCGGCUUGCUGUUUAAUGGGCUCCUGUUGCGGCUCAAAAGACGAGGAGGAGAGAGGAUACGGGAGGAGGAGAGAAAAUGGGUUUCUCACACUUUUUACAUCUUAAUUCUUUUCCGUAUUUUUUUUUUAUAGAAUAUACGAUAUUAUCUAUCACCAAAAUUGAUUUUGGUAUGUGAGAUGAGGUGGAAUACGUUUUAAUGAUAAUUGUGGUUAGAAAUAAUAUAAUUUAAAUUUAUAUAUGAUAAUAAUUGAAUAUAAAAUUUCUUACUUACGAGUUAUAAAUAAAAAAAAAUACCAUUAAUUUUACUUUUAAUCUAAAUAAAAAGAAACAAAAUGAAAAGGAAAAGAAAUAAAAUAAUUUGAAAUAGAAAUGAAAAAUAAAGGUUAACUGACAGAGCCCACCAUGAUUUGCUGGAUUUUGCAAUAUGGCAUCCAUGAUUUGCAGAGCCCACCAUCGCAAAGAAGGAAAAUUUGGAAAGCUCAAUCCUUGUCUUUUUCUUAUGUAAGUGUCGUUUUAGUGAACCGAAUGUUCCGAUUCCAACAUCCAAAAUACCGCAAUGUGAAUUUUUUUCAUACUACAAUUGGAUUGUAUCUUAAAAUUAUGAAGUUUUGGAGCAUUGGUCACGCCAUCAAGCUCCUUUGUGUUGGAUUUCGUUAGAGAUCGUAAUUAAUCCAUUUCCUUUUUUGUGUCUCCCUCCAAAACCUUAAAUUGAAACAUGAACUCCCUAGCAAAUAAGAGCCCAAUUUGACAACCAAAAUCUUCAUCGUUCGAGCAUCAAUGUUCUCUUAAAUUCGCUGCGAGCAAACCACCAUGAAAUCUCCUUCAUGUGCAUCUCAUAAAAUUAGAACAAUGCAGGGAAGAUUAGUGUGGCUCCUAAGCUAGGAUUACACUUAUGAAUCGCAAAAUAAUUCCUCCUCCACUCUUUGAUUCUCUCUUUCACUGGCUAACAAUAUUUUACUCUACCGUUUCACCCCUAAGUAAGAAAUAGCAUCUUUUUGAAAAUUUCACAUUUGACCUUAAUUUAUCUCUUUUGCACUAUUUGACUGAACGACAAAUUUUGAUUGUCUAAAUAUUUAUAUCAAACUACAAAUAAUAUUGAUAUUAUAUAUUAAUAACGUAACUGGAAUUGUAGUACCCAACAUAUCUAUCUUGAAAUAAAUUUUGUUGUCUAUGAAGCGGCCUACUCGACUCUCUCUUGUACUCUUUAGUCCAGUCCAUUUUGAGUUUGUGUAAAUAGAUCAUUGUUUAACAAUUGACAUUCAAUAUUGUGAUUUAGUGGUAUUCAUCAUCACUUGUAAGUGAGAGAUAUUAGGUUUGAAUCUUGGAGUGACGAGUUUGUGUAAUCAUUGUAUUAAAGAAAAAAAAUAUUUUUGGUCGGACAAAAACACAAAAAUGCCCUUAAAGCCCAAAGUGCCCCCACUACCCUAUCACUGCCUGCAAGUUCUUUCCUCGCCUUUGUUUCCCUCCCUUUCUCCCUCUCAGACAUUUGAGGACUCAAAAACUCUUUUAACUCUCUUCUUCUCACUCUCAAAUGUCACCCUUUCUCAAUCAUACGCACGCCCAGUGAUCUCUGAAGCACCAAUUUCUCUUCCCUUUGGCUCUCUGCAUCUCACCAGAGGUAAAAAGCCCCUGGUUUUUUUAUAUUUUUUAUUUUAUUUUAUUUUUAUACUUUUUCCUCAGUAAAUUUAAUCCAAUGGAUUUUUCGUGUACCCUUGCAGUAAUACAGGAAGAUUUUGUAGUAUUUCUGGUUGUUGGAUGAUACUGGAAUAAUUAUUGGGAUUUUGAAGAAUUUCUGGUUCGUAUGAUAUAUUUGCUAAAAGACCCAAAAUUUUGAAGCAGAGCGGCCAUGGAAAGGUGUUUGAAAAGAAAAUCAUAUGAUGAGUCAAUGGAGUCGUCAUCGUCUCCGAAGGAGAAUGACAAAAGCUCGAAACAAGCUUGCGUCGAAAUCAACUUGGAAGGUCUUCCUGUUGAUGCCUUGCUGCGCACUCGAAUUUGGGAUUAGCAUCCAAAUGUUCGAGUUCGAGAGCAAGUUCGAGGAGUAUAUAUGCAAAAAGGUCAUUUUCAGACUCCAGACCAGGACUUCCCCCACAAGAAUACUAGUGGGGGACCGAGAAGGUUUAUAUCUGCUUGGUUUAUGAGUUUCUGACUGGUUGGAAGAUAGUAUAGCGAAAGAUGCUUCAUGUUGUCUAUGCUGUUAUCUGUUUAAGCUAAAUACAGGAGAGCAAGCCUGCGGUGAUUGCUUUGUUAGUAAAGGGUUUUGAAAUUGGAAGAAGGAAAGGUUGGAGGGUCAUGUUGGAGGACGGAAUAGCGCCCUCAACCAAGCUUGGAGAACCUAUGAUGCUUUAUUAAAGCAACACCAAGCACGAAAGGAAUGUAAAACUAUAUUAGGUGUAUCAAUUGUUUGUAUGAGGUUUCUCUUGCAUCAAGGGCUUAUAUAUUGCGGAGACGAUGAAUAUGAAGGUUCAAAUGAUGAAGGAGUUUUUCCUGGACUCUGGAAUUUCCAAUGUGGUCGCCACGAAGAGUUAAAAGCUGUCACAUUGAGAAAUCAUCCUUUAGGUCUGAAGUUGGCUUCACUUGAUACUCAGAAGGACAUCAUAAUUGUUUUUUCAAUGGAAAUAUCAAUGCAAUCGUUAAAGAUAUUGGUAGUUCGCACUUUUCCAAUCUUAUCGAUGAGCGUCAUGACUUGUUUUCAAUGAAGCAAUUGGCCAUUGUAAUACGUUUUGUGGAUAAAGGUCAAGUGAUUGAGCAUUUUUUUAUGCAUUGUGCAAGCCACUGAUAAUACUGCUGACUCACUUAAGGUGGCUAUUGAUGAUUUCUUUUCUACCCAUGGAUUAAGCAUGUCAAAGCUAGGGGACAAGUAAUAUGCUUGGUGAGUUGAAUAGUAUUAACUAUUAAGACAAUUAUAAUGAAGGAGAAUGAGUGUGCAUUUUACGUUCGUUACUUUGCUCACGGCAGCGAGAGACACGAAUUUCGCUUUAUUUACGAGCUUGCCACCGGGCUGAUUUCAGCCCAAAUUUUGCUUUAUUUACAAGAUUGCCAUUGGGCUUAAGAACGGGUUUCCAGUCUUUCGGUUGGAUCCGGGCUUUGACUUGGGGAGAGAGAGGGAAUGGGGGCAGAAGGGUUGACGCCGGGUUGGAUGGAGAGGUUCGCCAGGAUUUGGGGGAGAGGAUUUUCGGCAUGGAGGUGCGGGUGGGUGUGCCUGUGGCUGAUGCAUCGGUCAGAGGGUUGUUGGGGAGGAGAGGAGGGGCACAGAGUGAUUGACAGAUUGGAGAGAGAUGGGAGCUACGAGUUUCGACUAAAAGAGAGAGAUUUAGUUAGGUCCUCUGCCAGGACCUAUGACAUUUUCUCCAAUUUUAGAGAGAGAGAGAGAGAGGAGAAAGCAUGGCUGUGUCCAUUUUUUGGGGUUAAUGGGUUACCGCACAGGGUCGGUGAGGAGAGAAUGGCAGAGGGAGGUAUGGGAGGGAAUGUUGUAAUCCCCUUUUCUUCCCUCUUUUUCUCUCCCGACUCUAUCUCUGUAACCAUCCCUCCCUUUUCUCACUCUAUAAUUUCCCUCAAAUCCCCCGCCGAUUCUCUCUCUCGCCAUUCUCAGUCUCGACAGCCGCGAAUCCUUACAGCUCCAUGCUCCGCCUCCAGAUUCGUCGAGAUGAGAGCCCCAAGACCGUCGCCUGCACCACCGUCUCAGAAAAGUAAGCCAAAAUCUCGCGAGAAUCAGGCUGCACACGAGCGGAUCCAAAGGCCAAACCCGAUCUUGAAGUCGACACAUCCAGAGGUAAAAAUUUCUCAUCUUCGAUUUCAUAUAUGUUGUUAGAUUAAAAGGGAAAAUAUGAGAACUAACUCAAGCAAAUGUUCUGGAUGUAAGCUAAAAGAUCAAUUUAACUUUUCUUCCCUGUCAAUUUAGUGCUUUUUUCUUUUCUUAUUACUUUUAGGAGUUAAUUUUGGAGAUAUAUUAUUACUAACAAAUUUAAUGUUGCCUCUGUCAUAUUUUUUGCUGAAGAUUUCUUUUUUGAAAACCGUAUGCCAUGACAAAAUAAAUUUACAAAUUGCUAAUUUUUCUGUUUUGUAUAAAAAAAUCUUUGUUCACUCUACCUGAAUAGGUACACUUGACUGAGAAGGAAAGUCUUUUCAUAUUAAAUCCAUGUUAGCCUGACUGCUGCCACCCUGGAACCAUCGCUCUUCGGUAAGUUUUCAACACAAUAUAGUUCAAAUCCUCUUAACCAUGUUCUUGAAUUUUACUAUAUGUAUCAUGUUCUUUGCAUUUCAUUAUCUGAACUCUGUUAUUUGAAUUUGGUUACCUGAAUCGUGCGGCCAGUGGCUUUGUAUGGCUAACUGGUGUGAUUUGGGAGUGUUUUUAGUCAAUGGGAGACAGGGGACAAAUGUGUGGACAGCGAAGUCAAGUGGGAUUAGGAAUUUAGGAUAGUAGAAUUUUUGCUAAUUUAUGGGAUUAGAAGUCUUCCUUUAUUUUUGUCUUGGUGUGAUCAAUUGUAACAAAGAAUUUUCAUUAAAAUUGAGGUAGUGAACCAACGAAUUUUCAACUUUUGUUUAUCUACAGUCGUCUCCAUUGUCUUGGUAUUGGACCAAGCAUGAAAUCCCAAGCACUAUAUCACCACAAAGCAAGCAAGCUGAAAAGCAAUCCAACAAACCCUUUUUCCAGAAACACUUAACAGAACCUUUCUAUGGGUUAAUUGUUGUUUCAAUUAUACCAGAUUGAAAACGAGUAUGGAACCAUUGAUCAAGCAUACGGGGCUGUUGUCCAAACCUAUAUUAAGUGGGGAGCAAGCAUGACUGUUUGUCUUUAAAUACAGGGUGCCCUGGGUCAAGUGGCAACAAAAAGAUGCUCAUGCAUCCGUAAUGAGGCUUUUGUAGUCAGUUUUCAUUUGCAUUGUAUUGACUUUGACCUUUUUUAUCAAAGUCCAAUAGCAAUAGGUGCAGUAAUUCUCAAACCCUAAUUUGUUAGCCAACAUCCCAAGCCCCGUUACAACCUUUGACUUCAAUUUUGAGUGUUAUGUGUCUCAAUUUGUGGAGUUUGAAUUUGGUAUGAGCAUAUGGUGUCACUGGUUCUCGCGUCUAAGUAGUAGCAUUCCAUUCAUGAGAUCAUAUCUAAACAUGCUUAUUAACUCCAGAAAUUGCUUUCUUGGUAAUACAUAUAUGUGAGCAUUCGUUUUCAUAUCUACAUCAAUCUUCUCACAUAUAACUAGCAUAGGGUGUGUGGUUAGAAAAUCUGAGUGAAAAUUGAGUGCAUAUCUUGUAAGGAAUUGAGCGAAUUCUCUAAGGCAUGUUCUUACAUUCAAAACAUUGUUUUAAUUGAUUAAUGUGAACAAGUAAGUAGUGACUAUGAUUAAGUAUGUGCUUAAGUGUAGAGAUGACUCAAAUCUGUGGGGAUGAUGAUCUUUAACAUGUCAUGUGCUUUGGAAAUCCCUGAGGCAAAUGUUGGAAGGUUUAGGUUGUGUUUUAUUUGUUUUGUUUUGUUUUAUUUCUUUGUUUUGCUCGAGGACUAGCAAAAGCUAAGUGUGGGGGAAUUUGAUAGGAGCAUAUUUAUGCGACUUAAUUGGCUUGUUCUCGUGCAUUUACGUUAUGUUUCCUUAGUUAUUUUAGUGUUUAAAGUCACUUUUGUGUGUUUUCAGAUUCCAAAGCCAAAGUGUGCAAAAUGAUGUAAUUUGGAGCCUUUUGGAGCAAAAGGAAUGGAUGAAUGGAAGACUUGAAGACAUUAGGAUUCCUAAUUGACGAAGGAUUCCUAAUUGAAGAAGGAUUCCUAAUUGAAGAUGGAUUCCUAAUCACAUGAGGAUUCCUACUUGAAGUAGGAAAGUUAAGCCAAGGUUUCCUACUUUGGUUUGAUUUUUCCUAAAUGUCCCUAAAAGUUCCAGCCACUUUGAAGACCUCAUACACACUUUAGGACAUAAAACAAAGAUUCCUUGCACCAUUCAAGGUAGUGCCGCACCUCACAUACCCUUUCCACACUUUCCCUAACCCUUAUCUUCCUUGCCGUGCAAAAGAAAGCCCACCUUCCCUAUUUCCUUGCAUUUAAACCACAUUCCCUUUUAGUUUAAGGAGUGCCGCAUAUUUCCUUGCCUUUCCCUUAGUUUUUGACCUUGUUUUCCUUUUCCCUCUAGGUUGUGACUUAAAUAUUUGUUACUUAAAAUAUUUCCUAGCCUAAAACAUUCUAAACUUUCUGAAUAAAUACCCUAGCCGCACCUCUAGUCAAUUUCCCUUAAGUUUCUGAUUUUUGUUUCCUAAUUCUAGAAGCUUUAAACUUAAUUCCUGAUUACCUAAUUAGCCUAGGGUUUUUAAUGUCCUAAUCCCUUUAAAUAAACAUCCUUGUGCAGCCACAAACAGCCCCAUUCAUCCAGAAACUCAUCAUUCACGCCAGAAACUGAACUCCAUCUUCAACAGCCCCAUUCCUUCACCAUUCACCAUAUUUUCUGACCCAAAACCACCCUAGCCGCACCACCCAUCAACCCUAAACACUUCCAUACGUCCCCCAUCCAUUCUACAUCAUUCAAUAACCCAAGAAACCACCAACAUCCAAUCUGCCGCAAGCAAGGAAAGGGGACAGAUUCACUCAAUUGUUUGGCUCUUCAUUCUGAGUUGUUGAACAAUUUUAGGUGUAUUCUAUCUUAUAUUUCAAUGUCUAAUUCAUGUAAUCUUUGUUUUGCUUUAAGUAUGAUUGGCUAAAUUCGUUUUGGCUAAGGGUGUAUUCAAAACCAUGAUUAUAUAUGUGAAAUAAGUUAAUUACUUUCAGUUAUCGUUGCAUAAGUCGUGAAUACAAUUUGCUUAACCGUUUGAUUUAGAACUUAUUCUUGUAUGUUGAUUGAAAGUGCACGCUUAAUUUGCAUGCUUGAAUUUGGUGCUAGGAUAUAAGUUUGUUUCACCUAAUCGUUAUGAAUUUAUAUUCGCAAGUAGUGAAGAUCGCUAGUCACGAUCGUAAGUAGAUUCCUGGCAAGAGUAUCAUGUUUUUCAUAGUUAUGAAUGCCUUGUCGAUGCUUAUGAUUUCCACAUAACGUAAUGAUUCUAACUUGUAUCUUUAUCAUGCUAUUCAUAUAGAGAACUUGUUAGGAAUAAUUUGUUUGCGAUGCAUAUUCAUCCAAUUCAAUGAUUCUAGGGAAAUCUGAAGGUUAAUUUAAGCGGACCUAAUUAACUUGGAGUGUCGAGGUUCACAACUUAUUAAAUUGAUAACUGGAAAUCGAUUUACGUUGCAUAUAUUUCAUGUGUGGAGAAGAACCCCUUAGCUAUUCCAUCAUCCAUUGAUUCAUCACAAUUUUGUCUUACAAUCUGUUUUCUUUUUCAAUCUGCCCAUUUAAUUAUUUUCGUCCAAAAUCAAUCCCACCUUAUUUCUUUGAGUCAUAUUAACUAGAACUUGUCUUAGAAUAUGUUUUUAGGUGUUUUAGGUCAUUAGAAAACCAAAAUUCGUCCAAUUUGUGUUAGAGUCCCAAAACUGCCUAGAAAGUGGUUUUUAGGCAGUUUUGAGUGUUUGUUUGCUGUUUUGAGUCUUUUGAUUUGUUUUAGUGUUUUAGAGUUUAGUUUUGCAUUCUUUGAGUCUAGUUUAGUAUUUUAAACUUUGUUUUACAUAUUUGAGUCAGUUUAGAGUGUUUUAGCAAUCCUUCCUAAUCCCCGGUUAAAAAAGUGAAGGUUGAAGGUGCUGUGGGUUGAGGAGCUGUUGAGGAAAUUGCUGUGGAGCGAGUUGAGAGAAAGCUUGAAGAAGGCUGUGGUGCAGGUGGACAUGAUUGAGGAAAUGGCAAGGAGAACUCAGGUGAUGGAGUGGAGGGGACAGAGGAAGAACACUGUGAAGAGCUACUGUGAUGAAGAAAUGGAAAAUGAUCUUCAUUAAAGAGAACAUGCCUUUGAAAUGUGGAGACUCUGUUAGAAGACACGUCCAAACACCGCCGAUAACCUUGUGUGUUGAAGGCUAUAACCGAGAAAGACACAUGGUUUGCUUUUACCAUCCAAUUUUUGAUGCAUAUGCUGAGCCUGAGCAAGCAGAUAGCAGCAAAAGCAACACCAAAAACCUUUAACUUGGAAUAAUCAUGAGGCUUUUUGAAAAAAGAAUUUCCCAUGGAGACUGAGACUGAUCCAAAAGAAAAUGAAAUUAAGAGGUAUCUGAUUGAUCUGAUUUGAUAAGAAAUACAAUGCAGUAAAAAAGGCUUCUACCCAAAACUUGUGAGGAACUUUGGAAGCAACAAGAAGUGUCCGAGCAGUUUCAGUAAGAUGUCUAUGCUUGCGUUCCACACACCCAUUUUGCUCAGGUGUGUGGGGACAACUGUAUUGAUGAGAAAUACCAUGUUGAAGCAAGAAUGAAGCAAAAGCAGAACCAGUGAACUUACCCCCUGAAUCUGUGCGAAGAAUCUUGAUUUUAUGGCCAAGUAAGUUUUCAACAUAUGCUUUGAAAAUGACAAAAGUAUAGAAGACUUCAGACUUGUGUUGUAAAGGAAACAUCCAACUGUAUUUGCUAUACUCAUCCACAAAGAGUACAUAGUACUUAUAGCCACUAAUUGAUGAAACUGGACAGGGACCCCAGACAUCACAAUGAAUUAAAUCCAAACUAUGGGAUACAGUGGUAGUACUAAAAGAAAAGGGCAGCUUAUGAUUUUUGCCAAUAGCACAGUCUGCACAAAAAAACUGAACAGAAGCUGAAGUAUGAGGAACAAGCUUAUUUGUAUGUAAAAUCCUUCGGAGAAUGGCUAUGGAAGGAUGACCGAGUCGUUUGUGCCAUUGUUGUAAAGAUGCUUGAGUGCUUACAAGUGCAGAAUAUGAAGCUUGGAAUGGCUGACCAUGCAGAGGAUGGAAACCAUCCCUAACUGGGCCUCGAAAAAGCAUCUUCCCAGUGGAACGGUCCUUGAUGACAGAACCAUCAGAAUCAAGAGUUAAAGAGCAAUAAUUGUCUCUUAGAAACUGAUAUGCAGAGAGCAAAUUGAAUUGCAUCAUUGGCACAUGAAGAACAUUAUUUAAUCGAAAGGCAGCAUGUGGUGUUUGGAGAAUAGAAGAACCUGUAUGGUGGAUGGGCAUACCUUGGCCAUCACCAGCAUAAACCUUGUCGUCACCAGAGUACAGAAUGGGGGAAGUGAUAGCGGAGAUAUCAUUGGUAACAUGAGCAGUAGCACCAGAGUCCAGAAGCCAUGUAGGCUGAGAAGAAGAGGCAGUAGAAGCACACAUAGCAGCAAGCUUGGCAGGUGGAAUCUUUCCAGCAAAGGCAUGAUUCAUGCGAGCAUAGCAGUCAAGAGCCUCAUGAUCAAAAGAAUUGCAUAUUUGACAGGGAGACCGAGUUCCAGAAGACCGAUUAAAGCCACCAGAGUGGCGAUUAUAAUGACUAGUAUUAUGAUGAAAGGAACCAUUACCAGGGCCAGAGUUAGUAUAAUGUCCACGAUAGUUGCCUCGACCUCUGUUGUUCUUCUGAAAAUUGCUUCGGCCACGAUUAUUGCGCUGAAAAUUGUUGCGAUUGUUGUAGGUAGAAUAUGGAACAACAUAUGCCUGGGAGGGAGGAGGCGUAGGUAAGAGACCUUGCUGGAGAGGCAAAGCUUGAGCAGCAAAUGCUUGAAAUGGUUCAGUGAGAGACGACGAAUGAGCUUUCUUCUUGCGAUGCAUAAAGAUCUCUUUGUUCAUGAGUAAGCCGUGAAGUUCAUCUAAAGAAGUAGAUGAAAUGCAAAGCAUUAUCGAAUCAAUGAAAGAUUCGUAAUCAUCCGAGAGGUCAUUUAGUGUAACAACAAUGAGAUCUGGUUCCGACACCAGGGCUCCGGCAGCCAUAAGAGCAUCAGAGAUGCAUUUGAUACGCUGCAGAUAAUCAGAAAUUGACAAAUCACCUUUUUGAAUCGCAUGAAGACGCGAUCAGAGCUGGUGAAUGUGCGCCGCCGAGACUCCGCCAAACUGUUGUUCAAGAAUCUGCCAUAAUUCUCGAGAUGAGGUGACGCCAACGGUGAACGGAAUAAGAUCUUCAGAGAGAGUGGAAUUCAACCAGAUCAGGAUAUUUUGAUCCUUUUCAAACCAGAUCUCGUAAUCAGGAUUAGGAACAGCAGUACCAAUACCGUUUUGAUUGAGAAGAAAGGGCGAUGGACAUUUCUCCGAUCCAUCGAUGAUACCUGUAAGUUUGUAGCGCCGGAAAAUUGGAGCGAAAAGAGCUUUCCAGGCAAGAUAAUUGUCCUUCUUAAGCUUUGUAGGAACCAUACAACUGAUGUUUUGGAUUGGAAUUGAGGAAAUCGAAGAAUUAGGGUUUAUCGGAGCUGAAUUUGAGGAAAUGGGAGUAGGAUUCUGAGCGAAAACUUCUGGAUUUGCAGGCGAAGAGGUAGAAGACGCCAUUGUCGAUCAAGGAUUUGCAGAGAGAAAACGAAAUUGGGAAGAAAAAUCAAAGAUUGCAGAGGAAGCUAGGAUCGGUGCGUGAGCAGAGAGGCGAGUGAUACCAUAUUAGAAAUAACUCUGGUAUUUUCAUUUCUUAAUGAAUAAGGAAUUACAACUGGUUUAUAUACAUUUGUGAGAAAUAGUUUAGCGACUAAUUACCCUUGGUUAACUGACUAAUCUAGUGAUUAGUUACAUAGACAGUUGUAACAGACUUGUAACCAAAAUACAACAAACUAUAUAUGUGACUCUUUACUUAGCCCUUGGUUUAUAAAUCCCAACUUUAAAAUUCCAAGUAGAUGUGUCUGUUAAUCGAUUGCAUUUGGGAUGGAAAUGGUUUUGAAUGAUUUGGAUUUUCAUUAAUUUUAAUUCAUCUGCUAAUCAUAGUUUCAUGUAUUAGAUAGUUGCUUUGCUCUCACAAAUUUUGUUGGUAGGGGUUCAGCAAAGCUUUCUAGGGCUAAAUCUUCAGUUUGCUGUUGGGUAUGUUUACUUUAUGCUUUUGUUUUUUGUUUUUUGUUUUUUGUUUUUGUCUGGAGUAAAUAUGCUUAAGAUGUCACAUGAUUAAAGGUGGAGAAACCACCGUCCCUUUUUUCGUAGAAAUUUGUAAAUUUUUUUUAAAAUAUGUGUGGGUUGCUGAAACUAAUUAUUUGAUCAGUGUGAUUUUUUGUAAUUGAGAAUUUAGGACCUUGGUAACUUGAUUAAAUAGGAAUUUUGUGAUUAGGAAUUUGUGGGUUUACCUCCUAAUUUAAUCCCUUUCUUAAGAGGGAUCUGGUCGUAACACACAAUGGGGGGAAGAGAAGCGGCACCAGGUUCGGCGAUCAAUCUGAAGAGGAAGAGGUCAAUUUUGAGCACAAGUCCAAUCCCCGGCCCAAUUUUGUAUGAUCAUCUAAUUUCAUGUUUCCUUUCUAUUCUGAUUCCAAAAGUAUGUUUCGAAAUGAUUAGGGUUUCAGUUUUUGUUUUAAUCUUAGUUGAAGGAAGAUAUAGGGUGUGGUUUUGUUAAUGGCGGUGGAUGAUUUGGAUGAAAGUAUGUAUCCUCGGGAUUUUUUUGCUUGCAGUUGUUUAGGCCCGGACUGAAGAAGUUUUGUGGAAUGAGAUUCCUAUAUCGAAUUGUCUCUCUGUUUAUGGCAGGUAAUAAAGGUGUUCCAACCAGUAGCUGAUAAAAUGUCUUUAUGUAUAUGCUUUUGUUGAUUUCUGCUGCGAUAAUGAGGGAAUCCAGAGGAUUGAGGCCAGUUAAUCUGAGGUUUGUACUACUCUAUCCCUUUCUUUCUUUCUUUCUUUCUGUAAAUUUCUUGAAAUUGACGACGCACGUUCUGAUUCUUGCUGUGUUUGGGAGCGGAGAAAGCUCUGGAUUAGCUUUGAUCACUUGAAUUUUGUCUUAUUUAGUUCAGCACAGUCGGACUACAUAAUCCUACCAUUGGGCUAUUUCUAUAGAGGGUUUAUGUUGACUUUUGUUGGCCUGUUGACAGUCUGGUAGGUCUAUCAUAUUGAUGGAACUAAAUUGUGAGUUAGUUAUGGUUUAGAUUGUUGAAUUUUGAAUUUGCAAUUCCCUUUGAAACUGUCACAAGCGAUGUGUCUGUUGUGGCUACAGGAAUCAAAAGCGAGUGAAAGGUAAAGCUUUUCUCUCCAAGCAUUCAUUGCCAGAAAUUGUAGUACCUCUUUUAAAUUCAAUUUUUUAUUUAUUUGCAGAAUUGUAUUAUCCUUUUGAAGCAGUGGGGAGCCGCGGGUUCACUCACGCUUUCAAAUUUCUCUCUCUCUCUCUCUCUCCCCCCAUUGUAUUUGGGUUUUUCUCCUAUUUCUCUUUUUUGUUGAUCUAAUUUGUGGUGAAGUUGUUGAGUUUGCUUGAAUUGGAACGUGGGUUUAAUUGAGUUUCCUUUACGGCCACUUUGUGUCUGGCAAAGGUAAUAAUAUUACUCUUCAUUCCAUAAGCUUUAUUUUUAAUGCCCAUAAAAAUUUGGAACUGAGAACAUGAUGGGGUUUUAGGCAAUACCCAAGUUCUAUAAUUUUCCCCGCUUGUUUUUAUUAGUAAUUUCUUCAAUCAUGUUAGUUUGAUAGUGUUUUGCUGCCCAGAAUUUUUUUGAAUUUAAAAUAUCAUGGGAUUGGGGUUUUAAGAUUUUAACAACAAUUGAUAUGAAUUUUGGUGAAUUUUGAUGCUCAAUGGACUUUGUUAACGGCUUCUAACUUUGUUAUGCUUUGGAAUAUUGGUGGGUUUUCAUCAAAUUUUGCUUAUAUCUUUGUGCGGUGUGUCUGUUGUAUUAUCUGGUCAUAGAUACCUUCGUUCAGUAAUUUGAGAAGCAUGGGGAGAUAAUAGACUAAUCAAAGAGAUGCAUGUGAUCAACGAUAAAUAGGUAAGCAUCAUCCUUUUCCUUCUUUUGUUAUGAUUGGUUGUAUAGAGGAUUGAGAAAAAAGUUGAAGACAAUUCCAUGCUUUUGAGUUAUAGCAAUUAGUAAAUAUAAAGUUCAUUGAAGUUUUGAAUCCUUCGUUAGUUUAUUUAUGGUGCGUGCUUGAGAAUGAAAGCAAUGGACAUUAUAUGGAAUUGAUGUUCCUUUUAAUGUCAGUAAAGAAAGGAAUUGUUCCUUUAUUAGCAAUUAUAUGAAGUAGGCAUAUUAUGCAAUACAAUGUCUACAAUCGACUAUUUUACUUUUUGUAUACAAGUACAAACUUUUGAUCGAAAGCCACAAAAACUACCUAAAGGCCAAAGAACUGUGUGUGUUAGAAGAACAAAAUAUGGUGUAAAGCUUAAAUUUUGGGCACUUAAAUAUAUGUUUUAUUUUUCAAUUACAAUAACUUGCAUGAAAAUUCAAUUGGGUUUGUUCUGGUCUCCAAGAAUUUUGCUUUGUUUGGUUACUGAUUAAUUUAUGUGGUGGGAGUUUAGUUUUUGCAUUUCUGCCUAUGUAUAUAUGAUUCGAAAUGGACUGUUCAAUUAUAUAUUUGUAAUCGAAAAGCUCGAAGGAGAGGUGAAUUAUAUUACCGACACCGUUCAUUUAUCUAUCCCUUUGCUCAUUCAUGAUUAUGUAGAAUUUUUUUCCAGGUUAAAUGUGUCAUAUUCAUGUAGUUAAGGCUGAUGCAUUUAAGUCCCGCAGUAUCGCGUGGGCCAAUUUACUAGUGUAAACGAAAAUCGAAAUCAAAACACGGAGAUUUUUACGGUUUUAAAACGACUUCGGUUUGAAUCUGAACUGUAGCAUGAAAAAACAGGUUGGUUUUGCUUUUGAACAUCUGAAAUCAAGCCGAAACUGAAUCACAUUGCCAAAAUACCUGAACGAAAAGGCAUAGAGUACGUUCCGCAUAAUGCCCAAAACCAAAAGCCGCAAGGGUGACGCCGAACCUCCGCUCUGUGUAUGAUAGCAUGCCCACCGGACCUGAUGCUCCGCCGCAGCAUGUAAAUCUUGGAUGAGUGGUACACCAACAUUACAAUGCAGUGGUUUAUAUGAUGACGAUCCCAACUGUUAGGUACUCAAGCCCAAGGGAAGAGCCCAACCCAAAAGACUAGUCCAAUAGGUGGGAGGACCCCAAGGACUUAAGAACCCCUACACCCCCAUAAGUGUAGUCGAUGUGGGAUCAUAACAUUACACCACCCUUCGGAAGCCGACGCCCACGGCGGCCCUUACUCUGAUGGCUUUCACUCUUAACGGCAGUGCACCCUUUGGUCAUCCCGUUAAGGUAGCCCUUUCCAGGUCACCCCCUCCGCAGCGUCGGGAACCUAGGCUCUGAUACCAAUGUUAGGUACUCAAGCCCAAGGGAAGAGCCCAACCCAAAAGACUAGUCCAAUAGGUGGGAGGACACCAAGGACUUAAGAACCCCUACACCCCAUAAGUGUAGUCGAUGUGGGAUCAUAACACCAACAUUUCAAAUUCAUUUUCUUAAUCCUUCUUCAGGUUUGUCCACACAACAAAUUGGUGGCAUAUUCAGAAGACACCAAAGGAAAUGAAAUCUAUACAGUUUGUGUCGUUGAUGCCGAGACAGGUGCUCAUGUGGGUCUGCCUCUAGUUGUUACAACAUCCUAGUUUGCAAAUGGUUUGAAACCGAAAUUAAAACCGUUUGAAACCGAACUAAAUCGCAACCAAAUGGUUUGGUUUUAUCUUGAUUCGUUCAAGCUUCAAAUUCACACCGAACCGAACUGGCAAAAAAUUCAGUUUCACUUUAAAACCGCACAUAACCAAACCGUGUCCAUCCGUGGUCUGCAUUGGAGGAAAACUGGGGAAAACCUCCCGGUAACCUCAACUCUGAUGGAGGAAAUGUAUUGGAGAUUGAAGAUUGUGAAUUCUUGUUUUUGUUUUUCUCCAUAAGAUUUCCAUACAAAAUUUCUAUACGAUUUUUGCCUUCUCUUGUAAUUUCAUUAUGACUACAUACUACAAAUUUUUGGUGACCCUCCGACAGCCACGGAAACGACAACCCACUUCUGAGAUCGGAAGCUAGCGUAUGGAGACGGCGUGUCGGAGAUUGUCUUGACGGUGGAUUCGAGCUGUGGCGUCGAAUAUUAUGUUUUUUGGUCAAAUAAUAAAUUUUGUUAAAUUAGUCAUCAAUGGGUGAUUAGCUAUCAAUAGGUUCGGACUCAUAACGUCAUGCAAAAGUUUAACAUUUUUCUACCAUUAUGAUAAAGUGGUUAAUCACACCGAUGAAUGAUUAGUCACAGACGAAUUAUUCUCUAUCAAUCAUACAAAGAUUUAAGGAUCUGUUUGGUAUCUUAUUUGAAAAUUUUAUUAUUUCUCAAAACAUUUCUUAAGAACAUUUCUUGAAAACAAUUUUCUUUAAGACUCAAAAACUUGAUUGGUUUGCGAUUUAAAUUUUUUAAAUCUUAUGACUUAAACUAGAUAAAUAGAUCUAAAAAUAGGGGGUCGCAUGAGAGGAAGAAAAAGGAGAGAGAAUGAAAGAAAGUAAGAGAGGAGUGAAGGCAAGAGAAAGAAGAGAGAGGAUUGGACGAGAUAACGAGGAAGAUGAGUGAGAGAAAGAACCAAGAAAAUAAAAGGAGCUGAUUGGAGGAGAGACGAAAAAGGUUACAAAAAAAAAGGAGAAAGAAAGAAGAAAAGAGAGAGAGAUAGGUUUGAAGUGAGAGAGGAGAAGGAAGAGAAAAAAAAUGAGUGAGUUUAAGUUUAAAAACUCUAAAAACUCACUUUUUAUGUUUUUAGAUAAUAUACUAUAUUUUUUAGUUAGUAUUGAAUUCAGUUUUUAAAAAUAGUCUUACAAAACAAGUUUUUAAGGCAUAAAACUUAAAAAUUAUUUUUGAGUUUAAAAAAUUAAAUUCAAAUAGAGUACCAUAACAUUUUUUUACUAUUUGUGAUAAAGAAGCACUUGCUACCCAUGCGAGCUGGUUGGAUAUAUACAAAAGGGUCCUUUCAGCCUUGGUGCCACUGCCAGACAGAAAACAUGGAAAGUAAAGAAGAGAAAAAAAAAAAUAAAGCAAAAGAAGGUGAUGGUGGAAUUGCAGAAAGAAAUGAAGGAAAAGGAAAGGGGGAGUCCACGUGAAGAAAAGGCAGAAGAAAGACGAAAGAAAACAAAGAGAAAACAAAGAGAAAAAAAAGAUGAAUGAGGAUUUUCGUAGAAUUCUCCUCGUAAAGAUUCUAAAGAUUCUUUAAUCAUAUCCAUUUAUCGUAUAUAUGUUAAAAAUUAUUUUAAUUAUUUUUAUUUAAAAUUAAAUAUAAACAAUACCAAAUAAAAAUUAAUCGUGCGAUAUAUUAUAAACGAAUAUAAUUAAAGAAGUAUCAAAAUUCUUUAAAAAAAAAUCCGACCACGAUCUUCUUUCAAAGUAAAAGUUGAGACAGAAAAGAAAAAGAAAGAGGUUAAAGAAAGAGAAAAAAAAAAAUGGUGGUGCCUGGCAUACAAUACAGAAGUAAAAAAGUGAUGAGAUUGUGGCAGACAAAUAAAAAAAUGUGAAGAAAAAGUGGAAGAAAAUAAAAAAAGGGGUGGAAUGAAAAAGUGAGGUGUGUGGCCAGUGGCCACGUGAAGAAAAGAAAAAGAAAAGAAAAAGAAAAGAAAAAGAAAAGAAAGUGGUGGCAACCACAUGUGAAAUGGCAUGUACCAUCAUGUUAGCAGAUCUAAUAAAGGUCGCCUUUUAUCAUGGUAAUAUAAAAGUUGCGCAUCUUUGCAUUCUUACGUGAAUUCGAGUUUUUUUUGUUUCUAAAAGAUUGUGUGUUCUUAUAUUUCAGCGUGAGUUCGAAAAACCAACAAAAUCAUGAAGGGAAUGAAAACAAGUAUGAAUUCCAUUAGAACCAUCCUCUGAGUGAUCUUCCUUGUCAAAAUUCCCACACGCCAUUAACUUAAUCAUUAACUUAGCAUAUGUAAAGAAGAGCUCAAAAAGUGGUUGAUUCUUUACUCACUCAGGUUUUUUUUCUGUAUGUGACAAACAUCAGAUUAAAGUUCCUAACAUGAAUGACAUCUUUCAAACUAUAGGGAUAAAAUAACUUCAGCGGGGACUUGUAUGCAUCAUUAUCACGUUGAAAUGUUUUGUAAUGUUAUUGAUAUGCAACUUCAAGAGCUAAAUAUUCGUUUUGCUGAGACGAAUAUUGAGUUGCUUCUUUGUGUGAAUCCAGGUGAUAUUCGUUCUCUGCUUUUGACAAACAAAAGUUGAUUCGGCUUGCUCAGUAUACCUGAAUGGCUUUUCGGCACUUGACUUGAUGAUAUUGUUUUUUUAAGGAGCUUUUUGACACUUGACGAUACUUGAAAAUCAGCUUAAGAUGCACAUUAUGGACAUGCGCUCCAGCAUUGAGUUUUUAGGAUUGAAUGGGAUUGCGAAUCUUGCACAAAAAAUGGUUGAGACAAAAUAAGAAACUGUUUACCCAUUAGUUUACUUGAUGUUGACAUUGGCACUCAUGUUACUAGUUGCAUCUCCCAGUGUAGAGGGCGUUUUGUGCUAUGAGGAUUGUGAAGAAUUGAUUACUCAAUCAAAUGGAAGAUCAAGGGACAGAUGAUUGUUGAAUUGCCUAUAUUGAGAAAGACAUUCUCGAUGAUAUCAAACAUGAAGUUAUUAAGCAACGAUUUCAAAAUAUGAAAACUCAUCCAUGGCAAAUAUUAUUGUAACUAAUGGAUAUAUUAUCAAAUAAUGCUGAUUUGUUGUCGUAGAAUGGGCUUCAGUUUUAUUUUUCCUUAUUUAGUUAAAAUAUUGUUAGUAUAGAUAUGUCUUUGCAUCCCAUCCCUUUAAUUUUAACAGGUUCGAUGAUGACCGCUUGCUCAAGAAAAAUGACUGCAGAACAUUAGAGUUACAGGUUAGUGUCGAGAAGUAAUGUACUUGAAUGGAUGACCAUAGGUUGCAUUUUGCAGUUAGUAUUUGGCAUUAUAUGUCGUUUUGUAUCGGAAAAUUAUAGAGCUAUACAGUUGAAUUGAAUUACAAUUGAAUUGAAGGAGAAUGAGUGUGCGUUUUACGUUGAUUAGUUUGCUCACAAUCUUCAUUCUACACUUGUAGAGAUGGCAAAUGAUCAUUCUGAAAUCUAUUGUCUCUUUACUUCAGUUGCUAAUUUGGCAAAAUGAUGCACCAAGCUAAAGUUUGAAACUAAACUGAACUGAAUCCUUUUGGUUAUCUAAUUUACACUGAAAUGAUGCACCAAACCAAAAUGUGUAUUCUAAUUGGUGAGGUAACAUAAUAUGUCCUUAUUUCCAAAAAAAAAACAUAAUAUGUCCUUGUCCUUGAUAGCAUUCAACAUUCAAAUUCUCUAACAAGUUUGUGACAACCCGUUCCAACUUUAUCAAAUUUUAAUUUUGAAAGUGAGAAUUGACUAAAAUGCCUCUGUUGGGUUCAGCUGAUACGUGGACGUUUGAGCCAGUGCUUAAUUUGUCUCAUUUCGUAGUAUAUCGAGAUAGUACUCAUCGUUACUAACGUGUGAGCGCUAACUAGACCCAAAUUAGAUUUGUAACAAAGAAACUACACUUGUUAAUAAACGGGUAAAUAUGUACACAAAAUUGUGUGAAAUUCACAGAGUGUGCAUGUGAGAAACUGUAACCAUUAUCCUUUCCGAAUCCUUAUUUGCGUAUUGCGGAAAAUAUCAAUUCAUCAUAAUCGUUCACUACACAUAUAAAUGAUUUUAAAUAUUUUAUUCUUUUUCCAGCUUGCACGCACAAAUAACGGGCCCCAUUCUUUUUUCGUCACUUUGUAUCAGAUGCUUUAUCCAUCUAAAAUGGAUCAUUAUUGAUUGAAUGAUAACAACCACCACUCUUACAUCACACAGUACAUAAAGACUUCAUUAUUUAUUUAAAGUAUCUGUUAGCUUUUAAAAAUUUGUCAUGUUGUGAGAUUUUUCUUCCGUUAAAUCACGCUUUUGUUUCGUGUGAGAAUGUGAAAAGUUUGUCUAUUUGUAUGAUUUAAAUAUGUGAGAUAGGUGUGUGUUUCUGAUGCUUUUAGCUGAGAUUAAUAUCAUAUGUAAUGUCAAAUUGGAUGUUGCGUAUAGGGAUGGGCAACGGUUAUGACAGGCAGAUAACCGCAGUUAUUUACCCAUAACUAUUUUUGCUCAUACCCGCAUAACCGUUUAUCCGUUGGGUAAUUGCCUAAACGGUUAUACCCAUACCCAUAAACAUUUAUAAAUGGUUAACCAUACCCAUAACUGCAUACCUAUUUAACCGUAACCGUUUAAUACCCAUUUACCCAUUUACCAUUUUUAACCCGUUUGUCUUUUUUUUUACCAUCAUCCAUUUUUCACCCGUUUACAUGUUUUUUAACAACUUGAAAUUUUAAAAAAAAAUGUCAUAAUUUUUUUUUUUGACAAUUAAACACCGUUAUAGGUACAUUCAUCAUACAUUUCCGUAUUUUAAUUUUUUAAGUCCUUAUACCAUUCCAAUAAUUGAAAUAAUAAUUUACGGAUGAUAUUUUUAACUGUUACCAAUGAAAGUAAAUAUAAUAUUUGCCAAGUAUUAUUGGGUUACAAAAAUUGUUUAGAAGACAUUUCUGUCAAAGCAUUUAUGUCAAUUUCACGGUUACCCACAAAUAAUUUAAAUUAAUUUGGAGAAUUCCUUGAUGAUGAGAAUCAUCAUUCCUGUAGCAGUGUUAUUGAUAAAAAGACCGAUGAAUUCCUUGCUAAUUUAUUGGGUGCUAAGUAUUAUUGGAUCAAGAACUUGGUUUGUGUUAGUUUUACAUAUAUAAAAUAAAUGGGUAAACGGUUACCGGUUUAUAACCACGGUUAAUACCCAUAACCGUCCAUUUAAAUUUCGCGGGUAAACGGUUAUACCCAUAACCGUUUAUUAUCUAAACGGUUAGUCAUAACCAUAAUCGUUUAAUUUAAAUGGGCGGGUAACCACGGUUACCCUUAACCAAUGGGUAUUUGCUCAUUCCUAGUUGUGUAUAAUUAAAUUAGUGUAAAAUAUCACUUUAUGAGUGAGUCACGAGAGCAAAUCCCAUGCGAGAAUGUGUGCGUUGAAUGUAUUGAGUUAUGCAAAGAGUAAAAUUGUAGCAGUUGCAUUGUUAAUUUGAUGCAUUUACUUAUGUAGUUUUAAUUUUGGCUAAAAAACAUUAUUUUAAAGGAUAAAAAUUAGUAAAGAUGUGUUAAAAGUAAAAAUAAAUGCGUUGAUAGUAUCACUAUUUUAAAAUUGUUCAUUCAAUUUGCAUGACUAACAAUCUCAAAAUGAAUAAAUUUACCUUACUUUUGGGCUUGUUUCUUUACUUUACUUUUGAAAAUGACUGCAACUUUACUUUAGUGUGCUUUUAACAAACUAUAGUUUAAUUUGUUUUAUCUUUAAUAAGAUUAGUUGUUUGACCGAAAACAAAAGAAUAACUUUUUUUUUGAGAUAUUUUUACACAAUGAUAAAAAAAUAUGCAACUCUAAUUGCGAUGCUUCUACCGUGAAAUGAUAUAAAAUUGUAAUGCCACGAGAGAGUGAGGAUGGCUCGAGACAUGUAUUGUCGUUUGAAAAUUUGGGGUUCGUAAGCAAUGCAUCCAUUUCUCUUUCACUUUUGUCUUUUUCUUGUUAAAGAGAAUACAAAAUGACAAAACUAAUCUUGUUGGGUUUAAUGGAAUUUUGAGCCAAUGCUUAAUUCGUCUCAUUUCUUACCAUAUUUGGACCGUCAUGAAAGCAUAAAAAAAAAUGAACUUUAAUGAAAAGUUCUCAGUACUAUUCAUUUUAACGAAAAAUCAUAUUUUUACAUUAAAAAAUCAAUUCUGGUACUAUUUAUUUUACCCUUUAUUUUAUCCGUUAAAACUCAAAGUUUUCAAAACUUUUUAAUUAGUUUUUCAUAAAAAAACCUAGACCAAAAUCAAACUUAUAACGAUUUAAUGAUCGAUAACAAGCAAUAAAUUUGUACACUUGUGUAAAUUCGCACAUGUGUGCACGUAAGAAAGAGUCGGCAGACACUGUUGGAGAAAUUAUCUAUUGGCUUUUGAAAAUUUGUCCUGUUGUGCGAUUUUUCUUCCGUUAGAUCAGGCUUUUCCUUUACGGAAAGCCACCCACCCCACCAAUCAAUCACUCUGCUUUUUCUCCCUUUCUCUCAGGGUUUCUCCUCCCAGUAACAUCUCUCUCACUCGCUAAACCCUCUCUUUCUACCUCUCAAACUCUCCCGUCCUCUCUUUUCUUUGUAACGCAGCGAAAGUCACCAAACCUUGACGAAUCAACGCUCAAACCACCACCACAUCCCACCCUCUUGACCUCGCGAGUUCGAACCCGAGCUCCGUUUCGUAGGAAACAGAGACUAGAAGCUCUAGCUCGAAGCUCCGACGAGAAAGAAACUUCCCGACGAAGUUCCCGACACUUUUCCGACCACUCCACACCGUUUUGGAAGAGUUGGAAGCCACCACACAACUCCCUAACGUCCCUGGGUCAAGUUUGAGGCAAUCCCCAACUCGAAAACACACGGUUUCGAAGCUUUGGGUUUUUGGCCGAGACUUUCUGGCCAAUUUCAGUACAUUUACGUCUACUUUUUGGAGUUCCAAGAGGUAUAAACUUGUUCCUUGUGCUUCAUUUCCAUGUAAAGAGCGUAAAAUGGUUGAGAAAUGAGCAAGUUAUGACCUUUUGAAAUUCUCCCCAGUUUCCGUCGAUUUCAGGUUCCUUCCGUCCUGUUUUUGGCUAAAUCAUGGCGAGUUAGCCAUUGCUAUGGGUACCAAUCUGUUCAUCUCAUUCUGAGGUAUCAUUUCCAUUCUGAAUCACUCAACUUCGUUAAGAUAUGCGGAAGUUAUGAUGAUUUAAAAAUUUCCCAGAAAACCGGCGAGAAACUGCAUAAUCCGGCGACCAGCGACCGGAAUCUGGUGAAAAGUAAAUGAAAAAACGCAGUUCUAAAACAACUAAAUACGUAAUUGCAUAUCAUUCAAAACACAGAAACUUGUGAGAGUGGCCUGAACAGAAAGAAAAAAUAUGAAAUGAAGUUCCUUUAAAAUCUUAUCCGGUAAAAGAAUUUUUCAUUAUGAUGGAACACAGACGGUGGAAAGUGUUUUUACGGAAGUGAUAGAAAUUUUAUUCUUAACUGUUUAACACAAAUAUUUUUUAAUUUGUAUAAUGACACGUAUUGUAUCAUUUUAUGUGUCGAUCAUAUUAAAAAAAUAAUGUUCAAGAAGGGUAACAUCACAUAUCUAACUUAAACUAGGGAAUGUCAUACUUAAUGUGAUCAUAACUAGUAACUUUUUAUUUUUUACCAACUGCUAAUAAAUUAUAAAGCACCAAGUAUUUGAAUUUUUUAAUUAACCUGGUGAGAUAUUCCCCAAGUUCUGACAUCCACGCCAAUCAAUGUAGUAAUUCCUAAUCUUGUAGUUUGUAAAAUUAUCUUUCCCACCUAGAAUGCGAAUAAGGGGUACAUUUUGCACAGUGCACCCUCACUACUAGUUUAAAUGACUUAUAAGCUUUGGUUUUAUUUAUUCAAAUUUUUGCUCAUCAUCUAUACUUUAUGAUUUUUGUCACUUUUCAGGUGUCCGCUAGUACACUUUGACUUCAGUUGGGGUCUGUCAAAGUUCAUGAAGCACCAUUACUAAUUCCAGACAUAUGAUUUGUUGCUGAACAAGACAUAAAUUUCAUAAUUUCACUUUUACUCUGGACAGUUGUAUCGUGUUGACUUACAAUACAGGUACUACAUAUUUCUCGAAAACUAUUUCUUUCAAAUAUUUGUUGUUUUAGACGUUUGUUUUUACUCUGCCUGACUAAGAAAUAAAAGUGUUGGUUUUACAUUUUAGUGCCCACCAAAUACUGUAUUUCAGCUGAGCUUCAAUACUAACAAACCUAAGGAAACCAUCAUGUAUUAAAAAAUAAUCAACUAAAAGUGAGCUAAUCCCCUUAUAAUCAAAUUUUAUUGUUUUCUAAACAAAAAAAAAAAGAAAACUAAUGAAAAGGGCUUGAAAACUUUGAGUUUUAAUGAUAAGGACAAAAUAAAGGGUAAAGUGAAUAGUACCAGGAUUGACUUUUUAGUGUAAAAAUGUGGUUUUUCGUUAAAGUGAACAGUACCGGGAGCUUUUCGUUAAAGUUUCCAAAAAAAAAUGGAUUGGGGUAGCUAGCAGAAAUAAACAAAUAAAAUAUCAUGUGACAGUGAGUUUGGGGACCAUACAAAUGCAUGUGUUAUUUUUAUCAUGCAAUACAAAAAGUUUGAAACCGUUCUGCUAUGCAAUGAUGAAAUGUAAACUAUUCAAAAUUUGCAUACUGUAAAAUAAUAAUAAUAAUAAAAUAAAUAUACACAUGCACUAAAACGAUCAAUUGAAAAUAUUGCCCUCAAAGUUCGAUUUUCUUUAACCAAAACCCACCAUAGUAUAUUCUCCUAACAAAAACUUAAUAACUAGGCUCCAAAUUGCCCUUAAUGUUCUUAUUUUAUUGUAGAAACUUCAUCGUAAGUCCGAAAUCAGUUCCACUUGCGUCCACGCAUUCGUAAUAACGAGCACUACGAGGAUAUGCUAAAAGGAUGGGUCUAUUCACUUGUGUGUGUGUUUAGGUCAACCCCAAAAAAUAAACUAAUUAGGCAUUAUGCCAAAUUAGAAAAUAAUAAAACAUAUGGACCAACUUGCCCACUUGUUUAACAAGUCUAGCGAGCAAACCAUCAUUGUCACAGUCUGCAACCAACGAUACUAACAGCGUACUUGAAAACAAGUUGUGAAGUCUUGAGGGUGCAAAAUAACCAUUUUGCCCAUCGUCGUGAAACAUGUGCAACUCUUUAGUAAGGACGAGUACUAUCUCAUAACGACAGAACAUGGACAAAAGUGAAAAGAACUCAAAUGUCAACAUAGAAUUUUCACUUAGCCUGUCAAGGGUAUUUUCGUAAUUUUAUAAUGUCAAAGAAUAAAAUACAAAGGAUAGGAUGUAACAAUCUACCUCUUUAAAGAAAUUUUGUCCCUAAAAAAUCAUAUUAUACAAGAUCUUACUCGAAGAACAAGUAUGCAUACAGACCUCUCAUGUGCCUUUUAUGCCUCUACGCUGCUACCUGACGCUUAUCUGGUAUUCUAGUACUGUCCAACUCCAUACCACCUAUAUCCUGGUCCUAAGGCAUGACUUCUUGUUACUGCAUAGUAUUUCUAGUAUAAGGAACCAUACCGUGUCCUGGUAGUGGAUAACGCAACACCAUCAUAGCAGGUUGGCUUCCCAUGAGUAAGUUUGGUUGAUAGAGAACUGCUCUUGUGAGCUACUUUCGUUGUUUUGGGGCACACUUGUUGGCCCAAUAUUCUUGCUGACCGCAUAUAUGACAACCUUUACUCCCUUCCUAUACUUGUCGUAAUGAUGGGUGUUGUAUUGGAAGCAAUUAUUGUACUGGUGUUACUGGAAUUACCCUAAGGGCGAAAUUUAGAAGCUGUUGGAUAUACUUCCAAAAUCGAGUUUACUGGAACUUGAUUAUCCAUUAGAAGAUGUGAAAUUAUAGUUGUUUUUAUUUUUUGAAACAUUGGUUCUGUUGUGGAUAAAAAGAACACUAGUGUUCUUCUGUUGAGUGCUACCACUCUCAUCACCAACAUUGUCACUCGAGACAUUAUCGAAAUUCUCAAUGCAAAGUAAAGCCUUGUAGAAUUCCUUGUAUGUGGUACAUGAUAUAGGUGCUGCCAAGAAACAAAACUGCUUGCGGAUCUGUUAUUUGAACUGGUGGAGCCUCUUUGAAUGGUUAGUAGCGAUUGUUGGACAAUAGCAUGACAGAUCGUUAAACUUCCGAUGGUACUUAGCUACCGAUGUUUUGCCUUGUGUAGGUCCCUAAACUCAUCUUCUUUUUUUUUCGAGUCUUGUACUCCGAAAACUCCGCAUGUGUAAGUUUAUCUUACAUUGCCAGUCCCAAGCCCGGAUAAAAGAGGAGGGGGAGGACAUCAGGUAAUUGAUAGCCGGCACUCCUAUUUUACGUCAAAUUCUUAUGAUAAUGAAUCCUGAACCAAAUUGCACUAAAGUUAGGUCAUUACCCGUAAGUGGCGCGCUGUGGCCCGAGCAUAUUAAUAAGUGAGCAAGGGUCGUCGUAUCUUCAUCAACGCUCGGAUGCAGUGUUAAAUGAGUAAGGAGGCCAUAUAAACUUCUUUUUGAACGACUCCACUCAAAGUUGUUUGGAAGCAUCUGCUCCUAUCAACUUUGACCUUAUUGGACGGGGGAUGGUGAAGAAGCUAGGGCAUGAGGGUAGAGUUCAAGAGAGUAAAAUGCGUUUAGGAACGUGGAAUAUAGGAACCUUAACGGGAAAAUCUGUGGAAGUAGUGGAAGUUAUGGUGAGGAGAAGGAUAAGUAUUAUAUGUCUACAAGAAACUAAGUAGGUUGGUCUUAAGGCAAAGGAUCUCGAAAACUCAGGUUUUAAACUUUUGCAUUUGGGCACAAAUAGAACGAGAAAUGAUGUUGGCAUCAUCGUGGACAAGACCUUGACACAAGAUGAUGUAAACAUCAAGAGGGUAGGAAAUAGAAUUAUGGCAAUCAAAUUGUAAUAGGACAAGAACUCAUCAAUGUGAUUAGCGUGUAUGCACCUCAAGCAGGGUUGGAUACGAGAUUGAAGGAGAAAUUUUGGGAAGAUCUUGGAGACUUGGUACAAGGAAUCGCUCAGAUUGAGGAGAUUUAAAUGGACACGUGGGCAAUGAGACAGGCCAUGGUUUUGGGGAGAGAAACUAGGAUAGGAAAGCCAUCUUGGAUUUUGCAAUGGCAUACGAUCUCUUCUUAGCCAACACCUUCUUUAAGAAGAGAGAAGAACAUGUGAUCACCUACAAGAGUGGGUCGUCAAAAACACAAAUAGAUUUUCUUCUAAUGAGGAAGGAGGAUCGUAUAACUUGCAAGGAUUGCAAAGUUAUACCAGGAGAGAGCUUGGCUAAUCAAUAUCGCUUGUUGGUGAUUGAUGUACAUAUCAGAAGAGAGAAAAAAGAACAAGACCUUGAAGUGCCCAAGGACUAGAUGGUGAAAUCUAAAAGGAGAAAAACAAGCCAUUUUCAAAAAGAAAAUAAUCACCUUAUGCGUGUGGGGUAAAGAGGGGGAAGCUAGCCAAAUGUGGGAUUCUAUGGCUAGUUGUAUCCGAAAAGUAGCAAAAGGGGUAUUAGGAAAGUCCAAGGACUUUGCUCCACACCAAAAGGAAUCUUGAUGGUGGAAUGAAGAGGUAGAAACAAAGGUUAAAGCUAAGAAUGAAUGUUGUAAAGUCUUAUACAAGGAUAGGACCGAUGAAAACGGCGAAAGGUAUAAAAUAACGAAGAAUGAGGCGAAGAAAGCUGUGAGAGAAGCGAAACUAGUAGCUUUUGACGAUAUGUAUAAGCAACUAUAUACCAAAUGAGAGUUAGAUAUCUAUAAACUAGCUAGAGCAAGAGAAAAGAAGACGAGACCGAAACCAAGUAAGGUGCAUCAAUGAUAAGAAUGGAAAAGUUCUUGCUACAGAGAACACGGUCAAAGACUGAUGGAGUGGUUAUUUUCAUAAUCUUUUCAAUGAAAGACAUGAAAUGAGUACUUCUUUGGGGGAGUUGAAUAACUCAGAAGAGUAGAAACUACUCAUUUUACCGCCGAAUUAAGAAGGAAUAAGUGGUUGUAGCUUUGAAAAAGAUGAAGCAUAGAAAAACAAUGGUCCCAGAUGAUAUACCGAUUGAAGUGUGGAAAGUCUUGAGAGAGACGGGUAUAACAUGGCUCAUAGACCUUUUCAAUAGGAUUUUAAAAACGAAGAAGAUGCCAAAUGAGUGGCGAAAGAGCUCUUUGGUGCCUAUCUACAAGAAUAAGGGCGACAUACAAAAUUGCAUGAACUAUAUGGAUAUCGUAACAUCCCACAUCGCCCAGGGGAGUGAUCCUUAAAUGUAUAUUCUCAUUCCUACCUAGCACGAGGCCUUUUGUGAGCUCAUUGGCUUCAGGUUUAGUAGGAACUCUGAAGUUAAGCGAGUAGCGCGCGAGAACACUCCCAUGAUGGGUGACCUAUUGGGAAGUUGCUCGUGAGUUCCCAGAAACAAAAUCGUGAUGGCGUGGUCGGGGCCCAAAGUGGACAAUAUUGUGCUACGGUGGUAGAGCGGGCUCGGGAAGUGGUCCACCCCGGGCUGGGAUGUGACAAUGGUAUCAAAGCCAAUCCUUGGCCGGAAGUGUGCCGACGAGGACGUCGGGCCCCUAAGGGUUUCGAUUGUAACAUCCCACAUCGUCUAGGGGAGUGAUCCUUGAAUGUAUAUUCUCAUCCCUAGCUUGCACGAGGCCUUUUGGGAGCUCACUGGCUUCGGGUUCCGUAGGAACUCCGAAGUUAAGCGAGUAGCACGCGAGAGCACUCUCAUGAUAGGUGAUUCACUGGGAAGUCGCUCGUGAGUUCUCAGAAACAAAACCGUGAGGGUGUGGUCGGGGCCCAAAGCAAACAAUAUUGUGCUACGGUGGUGGAGUGGGUCCGGAAAGUGGUCCGCCCUGGGCCGGGAUGUGACAUAUAUUAAGUUAAUGAGUCAUACAAUGAAGCUCUAGGAGAUGAUAAUUGAGCAUAAACUGAGGCAAGAGACAUGGGUCUCGAACAACCAAUGCGGGUUUAUGCCAAGGCGCUCAACCAUGAAUGUAAUCUAUCUCUUACGAAGAUCGAUGAAAAGAUAUAGAGAUAUGAAAAAGGAUUUGCAUAUGAUCUUUAUAGAUUUGGAAAAACGUAUAAUAGGGUCCCAAGAGACAUUUUUUGGAGGAUUUUAGAGAAGAAAAGAGUACAAGUAGCAAUAUCCAAGCUAUAAAAAGAUAUGUAUAAUUGAGCAAGAACUGUCGUAAGAACUCAUGAAGGACAAACCGAAAGCUUCCCCAUUACUGUAGGGUUACAUCAAGGCUUAUCUUUAAAUUCUUACCUUUUUGCAUUGGUAAUGGAUGAGUUAAUGAGACAUAUUCAAGAUGAUAUUUGUUGGGGUAUGUUUUUCGCAGACGAUAUAAUAUUGAUAGAUGUAACUAAGGAAUGAGUAAAUGCGAAACUUAACCUUUAGAGAGAAGUGUUGGAAUAUAAAGGUCUUUGCCUAAGUCGGUUAAAGACAUAGUAUAUGGAAUGCAAGUUCAAUACAAAUGGAGGCUCAAAUGAGUUAGGGGUGAAGAUUGGAGACCAGGAAGUACCAAAGAGCGACUGCUUUCACUACUUAGGAUUUAUCUUGUAAAAGAACAGAGAAUUGGAUGGAGACCUCAACCAUAGAAUACAAGUUGGAUGGAAGAAGUGGAAGAGUGCAUUUGGCGUGUUGUGUGAUCGUUGUAUACCACUAAAGCUCAAAGAAAAAUUUUAUAGGACGGCAAUAAGGUUGGCAAUGCUUUAUGGCAUAAAAUGUUGGGCGUUGAAGCAUCAACACGUACAUAAAAUUGGUGUAGCGGAGAUGAGAAUGCUUCGUUGGAUGUGUGGGCACACGAGAAAGAAUAAGAUUAGGAUGAGGAUAUCCGAGGUAAAGUUGGAGUAGCCGAAAUUGAAGAAAACAUGAGAGAAAAUCCAUUACGGUGGUUUGGACAUGUGAAACGAAGGCUUACUAACGCUCCGAUUAAAAGAUGUGAUUACGGGACAGGUCUAUGACCGAAGGAGUAGAAGAAGACCUAUGAAGACUUUGGAAGAGACUUUGAGAAAAGACUUAGAAUGCUUGGAUCUAACGGAAGACGUGACACAGAACUGAACACAAUGGCGUUCUAGGAUUCAUAUCAGGAUGGAGAGUUAAAAGAAUAAAUGAGUAAAUGAUUUAAAGUGCUGCUAUUAUCUUGUGAUAAAUGAUGUUGAGAUUUCCCCGGUUGUCGAAGUCAAAGAUGUUUGCCUGGGGACUGAGAACCUUUAGCACUCGAUACAUCUAAUGGAUGUUCAUCCCCCAUCUCGGUAAGAGCCGCUCGGUCUGCAUCGCGCUCCAAGUUUUUUUUCUUGGUACCCAAGAGUAGAUUAUUCUCCAGGAACAGAUGAUGGAGAAGAAUCCUCCAAAAUCCACGACUAAGGGUUGGUUUUAUGGUUAGUGAAAAAGGUUGACAAUCAACUAGACUAGCAAGUCACCAUUGAGCAGGUUGGUGGAGUCAGCAAAGUUGUCAUGAUCAGCGGCAUUGCUACCGACUAACUAGGAGUAGUCUUAAGCCUCAGCCAUCAUUUUCUGAAUUUAAAGCAGUCGACAUUGUGUAUGUUCGGUAUUUACAGGUAGUGUAUGGAUCUCAGAAAUAUAAGGGAAGAGAAUCACAGUAGAGUAAGGUGUAGUUACUCAGGUGAUUAAGCACUCGUCUCAUUUAGACAACUUAGGCUAGUUGGUCUACCAAUUAUGUGGAUUUCUACUUUAUCCUACAGACUAGAUUUACCGAAGAUGGUCGGCGCCGACAUUUACUCACACAGGCGACAACCAAGAAUUUGAAUUUCUUGGAAAAAAAUUACAAUUACAUCUAAAGGUUUCGAAUAGUUCACAAACAAAAAGAAAUGCAAGUGUGGAAAACUUGGAGAAACAACGACAAAGAUUAAAGGCUUGAGGAGGUAGCUCUCAAGGUCAACGGAGAAAUUGUAGAGCAAAUUCGACAGAGUUUCGACAAUGAAGUCAAAUUACAAAAUGAAGGUAAUGCAAGGGUAAGGUUUAUAUAGCAGGAGGCAGAUUCUCUGCUUUCUUUUUCCAUACACUUCUCAUAAUCUCCUAUUUGUGCGGUCACGGUUAAGCCACGUCAACAUUUUAUAUUAAUUUUUUUAUAUAAAUAAUAAGACAAAAAGACGUACCUUAAUUGUGACCGAACAAAUAAAAGGGAAUGAGAAGUGUAUGAGAAAAUGUGAGCAGAGAAUCUACCUCCUUAUACAAGAGGUCACACUUGCUUGCAACGUCUUUAUUACACAUACGCCUCGAUUACCCCUCCAACCAAUGGCAAACACGUACGCUACUGGCACCGUUGUCACGACCGCCUAUUUGAGCGGUAGCCAUACUAUCAGAGCCAGAGCGCUUGGGAAGGAGGAAUACCCAUGUUACCCUUUGAACCAUAUAUUAUUUUAAGGUCCGAUCGACCGUUUCGACUCCAUGCCCAAGAAGAAACCUUUAAACAAGGAGUUGGGGACUUGUUAACACAAGAUCUUUUUAGACCCUUAAAAAUAGUAUAGGCCGGGAAAGAGAUCGAGAAAGGCCCAGGAAAGAUAAGGCCCAAAGGAGGAAAGGAAAUCCAAACCCCAAUGAAUUAGAAAGAAUCAUUUAUCGAGCGCUAUAGUUAACCGCUCACUAGUUUGGGUUGACUAGAGCAACAGAAAGUACUUUCCCGACUGAGAACUUUAUGGCACAAAGCUCUAGGAACAGGUCUACUCAGACACCAUAUUAGGCUAUAUGUCAGUGACCAAUGAAGGCAGAAGUCUAGGAUGAGAUGUAAAGGUAGUCGGACUAUCACUCGGAAAAAACUCCGUUAACUUGUCAAGGCCAAGCAUGUCACUUGGUACACACUGGCCCAGAAAAACAUGUAAUCUCGACUAAACAAUGUUACUUCAUAGCCAAAUGUUGACUGAUGAAUGAUAAAGCUCUCAGCAUGCUAGUCUAUGUACGUAGCUCAUUUAACGCUAGAAUAGUAAAGUAAGUGAGCUCAUCACUGUUUGGACGCAUUAAGGGCCUAUAUAAAGGAGUGAGCACCUCUUUUAAAGGGGUCAAACGAUUGUGAGAUUAGCCGAGCACUUAUUGUAUUCUCCGAGUGAAUAUGUACUAAGCAACACAGUGAAUAUAGCACAGUUUUGAGUGGUAAACCAUUAAAGUCCAUUAUUUCAUAGCUUUAAUCCUAAAUCCAACAGGGGUUAAUUAUUCUUGUUUGCUAGUGUGCAAAUUUUGAGCUUUAACAAUACUUGAAGAUAAAGAAUGUCAUUUGGUUCAAGAUUAAAUUUACCUAUAUUUCACAGAUAUAGAUAUAGGUAAAUUAUUUUAUGUCGAUUAAAGUUACUACUUGAAGAUAAAGGAUGUAAUUUGUUUCAAGAUAAAGGAUUUCAAAUGUCAUUUGGUUAAAAAAAAUAUAGGUAUAUUAUUUUUACGAAGAUUAUAAGGAAAUAUAUUUUUAUAAUAAUAAUAAAAUAUAUAUAUAUAUAUAUGUAUGUAUAUUGUUUCAAUUGUAGCCUACAAAACUGAAAUUUUGAACAAGUGCUAGCAAAAACAAUUAUAAAGUGUAAUGCACCCACGUGAUGAAUUUUAAAUGCUUGCCAAAAAAAAAAACAACCGAAAGAAAUGAGAUGAAAUUUAGGAUUCCAUCAAUACUGUAGGUAUUAAUAUAUUUAUUGAGAUAAUUAAGGUGUUUUGGCAUAGAUUGUAAAUAGUUUGUAAUAAUAGGUUAUUUCUUUGUCUACAUGUCAAUUUGAAUUUUGGGGUUUAAUAAGAUAUUUAAAUAUAAGUGGGUUUUGUCUAAAAAUAAAAAUUAUGGGUUGUGAUUUUCACACAAUUUCAUAUAAUUCAAGUUCAGCAACAUGAUAAACUCAAAUAAAAAUUCAAAUAUUUUAAACAUCAUGAUGAUCUUAUAUUCAAAUGCUAUCAAAGCAUCAGCACACAUUUUUUUUUCCUAAAAUAAAAAUAAAAAUACAACCUAGAUUUAAACAAACAAAAAAUAUCCGAUUAUUAAUGUUUAUUGCUCGUUUGGUUUUCGGCAGUAGAGCACUGAGCGCGAGACUUACAAAGCUAUCAACAAAGAGAAGCAUUCCAGCCGCAGUCUUUGAUUUCAGAAGGAAAUGGCAACGGACAUUAUAAUUGCAAUUGCCUCAAAAAUUGGAGAGUGCUUGGUCAAACCAAUAGGAACAGAGUUUGGCUAUUUGAUUAAUUACCAUUCCAACCUUGAAAGUCUUAAGGGUGAGAUAAAAAAGCUUUUUGACAAGAAAGAUGGAGUGCAGGGAUUGGUGGAUGCUGCCAAAAGGAAUGGUGAAAUCAUCAAACCUGAUGUUCAGAGUUGGCUAAAGAAUGUGAACGACGACAUGGUCAAAAAAGUGUUGCAGUUUGAGGAUGAAAUUAACAAGAAAAGGCGAUGUGUGUAUCGAUGGAGCUUGAGUCGGAGAGCCUAUAAGAUUAAACAAGAAGUUCUUCAGCUCUAGAACGAAGGAGCAUUUGAAAAUGUGGCCCAUCCUGCACCUCCACGAGAGAUAUGGUCAACAUUCAAGAAAGGUUUUAAGGAUUUCAAGUCCAGAAUGGCAUACAUGAAUGAGGUGAUAGAGGGUUUGAAGAGGGAACGAGUACGAAUGAUCGGGAUUUGUGGAAUGGGGGGUGUGGGUAAAACCACAAUGGUGAAAGAAAUCAUCGAAAGAUUGGCAAAACUAGACUUGUUUGAUAAAAUUGUAAUGGCAACUGUGUCUCAAAGUCCAAGUAUUAGGAUGAUCCAGUCGGAAAUUGCAGACAAAAUAGGUUUGAAAUUUGAGGAGGAAUCCGAGCCCGGAAGAGCACUAAAGCUACGUGGGAGACUCAUGGAAAUAAAGAGGAUCCUGAUUGUAUUAGAUGAUGUCUGGACAGAGCCUGAUUUUGAGGCUAUAGGACUCCCUUGUGGAGAUGAUCAUGAAGGGUGCAAAGUUUUGUUGACAUCACGAGAUUCGGAAGUCUGCAACAGGAUGGGAAGUCAACAAAUUAUUGCUGUCCCGAUUUUAACAACAGAAGAAUCACAGGAGCUCUUUAGAGAAAUGGUAGGUGAAUCCUUCGAUGAGCCUGAUUUACGUUCCAUUACAAAAGAGGUCGUGCAUGAAUGUGGAGGUUUACCUAUUGCAAUUGUAACUGUUGGAAAAGCCCUAGAAAAGAAAACAAGCGUGAAUGGGAUGAUGCCCUUAAUCAGCUGCGAAAUUCUACCCCAGUGAACAUCCCUGGAGUGAAUGACAAAGUUUAUUCUUGCAUAAAAUGGAGUUAUGAUAGAUUGGACAGUGAUGAAGCCAGAUCAUGUCUUUUACUUUGUUGUUUAUUUCCAGAAGAUCAUGAUAUUUCAAUUGAGUAUUUGGUUCGAUAUGGGUGGGGUCGAGGAUAUUUUAGCAACAGCUUUACUUUGGAAGAUGCAAGAAAUAGAGUGCAUUCUUUGGUUGACCAACUAAAAAGAAGGUUUUUGUUGCUAGAUAGUGGCGAGGAUAAGUUUACCAAAAAGGUUGACAUGGUUCAGUUUACAAAAAUGCAUGACAUUGUUCGCGAUGUUGCCAUAUCAAUUGCUUCAAGAGAUCCACAUCGAUUUCUGGUAAGAUGUCAUGCUGAAAAUAAGGGGUGGCCGAAUUUAGCUACAUAUGACAAUUACACUACAAUCUCACUUGUUGGCGAAUUGGAGAUUCCCGUUGGUUUGAAAUGCCCAAAACUUGAGCUUCUACAGACGAUAAAAGGAAGUUUUUCAGAAGAUGGCAUGGACAUCAUUUGUGAUGCGAUGAAAGAACUGAAGGUUUUAGCUUUGGUGGAAAUGGAAGGCCUAGACUCAUUAAGUUCACUAGGAGUACCGAAGAACCUGCGGACAUUGUGCUUAGAUGGGUCUAAAUUUGAUGGCAUGUAUACUGAUGUUAUUGGGAGUUUGGAGAAUUUAGAAAUCCUCAGCUUUCGGGAUUGUCGUUCCAUGCAUGAGUUGCCGAGGGAAAUUGGUCGACUUAAACAGUUAAGGUUGUUAGAUACGACAAACUGCAGGAAACUUAAGGUGAUUCCACAUGGUAUCUUCUCCAGCUUAUGUAGACUUGAAGAGUUGUAUAUGCUUGAUAGCUUUGGUGAAUGGGAAAUUGGAACAGGAAGAGAAGAGAAGGGGAUGGCAAGCAUUUCUGAGGUGAUGUCUCUGUCUGAUCAUUUGAAGGUUCUAGCCAUAGAGAUACCCAGUGUCAUCCACUUGUUGCCAAAAGACAUAGUCUUGAAAAGCCCAACAAUAAAAUUCUAUAUACACUUAGGAUGUGACAAUGUAGUUCCUGAGAAGAUGACACUGGAAAAUUGUUUGGCGAUUUAUGGAAGUGAUGCAAUGGAGUUGAAGGAGAGUCAAGCAGUUAGACUUCUGUUGAAAAAAUCUAAAAUUUUGAUUUUGGACAGUGUUAAGAAUUUCUCUGUCCUCAUUGAUUCAGACCAAGAUGGAUUUCAAGAUUUGAAACUUUUGCAUCUUAAUAAUUGUCCAAAUACCAAGUAUCUUGCAAAUAGAACAAGUGCGACCCAGCAGACACUCUUUCCUCGCAUACAGUCAGUUAGUCAGUUCCCGGAUAACUUUUUGUCCAACCUAAGAUUCCUUUAUUUGGGAAAUUGUGAUGUCUUAAAAUAUGUCUUUUCACUAUCAAUAGCGAGAAACUUGGUACAACUCAAGGAAUUAAGUAUUGAUGAAUGUGAUGAAAUGGAAGAAAUUGUGUCGAAGCAGGGGAGGGAACAUGAGGAGGAAGCCAAUAUGAUAUCUUUCCAUAAUUUAACCAAUUUGACUCUUAAGGGUCUAGAGAGUUUGGUCGGUUUCUUCCGAGCCAACACGCUAUGCUCCAACCCAAAGGUAUGUCCCACUCUCCAAUCUCUAUGAUAUGAGGAGGCAGCCAAUAUAUGGAAAUUUGAAAUUGUUACGAAAUGCUCAAGUUGGUGCAUAAUUUUUCUUUAACUGAUAAUGAUUUUUCUUUUUCAGGAAACAACGCCAAGGCUUGGGCAUCAAUCUGCAGGAAUAUUUGAAAAAGCAAUAUUUCCAUCAAAGUGCAUUUCAUGGUUCCCAAGUUUGGAAAAGGUAAAAUUGGAGGAUAUGAAGUUUGACGGCGUGCUAUUUGAUCUGAAAAUCCAUAUAGUUAUGGAUGGGCAGACAACUCCAACAUUUCCCCAUUUACGUAAGUUGAAGAUACUCAAUUGUACGUAUACACACUUGUGGAAAAACAUUCCGUCUAGAUUUCAAGGCUUCCAAAAUUUGAGACAUUUGGGAUUGAGAAAAUGUUCUGGUCUAAAAUAUGUGUUCUCGCAUUUAAUUGCCCGAGAACUUUUGAAUCUUGAAGAGAUAGAGAUAUCAACAUGUCCGGACAUGGAAACUAUAGUCAGAAUCCCAAAGGAAAAUGAAGAUGAGGCAACAAAAGACAUGAUUUUGUUUCCGAAACUGUCCACAUUUGAACUAGUAGACCUGCCUCUUCUCACAAGUCUUUGUUCCGAAGGAUCUACAUUUCUAUGGUCAUCCACAAAAAAUAUGCACGUGGAAAAAUGUGAAAAAUUGAAGACAUUGUGUGCUGUAAUUCCACAAAGAAAGAAGUUGGAGAAUAAGUCUGAGAAGGAUUCAACAAGUCACGAUUUCAGCACUUCUCCAUCAAAUUGGUGUCCUGCUGGAUGUGGAUGCACACCAUAUUCAAGACCAAACGCCCACCGCUCCAUUGAAAUAUUGCCACGUCCAAUUAAUCUGGAGGUAAGCUUUUAAAUCAGGUUCAAUUAACCUCUUUAAGUACAACUUUUAAUUAGUAUUGUAUCAUCGUGCUGAUCAUGCAUAAUUUUCUAGGUUACACCAACCAAUCUUGAGGACUCAAAUGAUUAUGAUAAUCUCGAAAUUCUUACUGUACGUGAUUGUAAUUCAAUGGAAGUGAUUUUCCACCUAAAGGGACCGAAGCAUGAUAAAAGUAGUCACUCCUUUGAAGGAUUCAAUAAAUUGAGGUCCUUGUGGUUAUAUAAGUUGCCAAGUUUAACACGUGUUUGGGAAACGGGUAGUUCACAACAGAUGUUCACAGGAAGCAGCUUCGGAAACUUGAAAUCAUUGAAGGUCAAUUGUUGCAACCAGUUGAAAUACUUGUUUUCUUCGUCCAUAGUCAAACUUCUUGUGAGUGUAGAGGACAUAAAAGUUGAGAAGUGUGAGCAGAUGGAAGAAAUCGUUGCCGCAGAAGAAGAAACAGCUGAAAUAAUUACAUUACCUAAAGUGAAGUCCAUCAAGCUUAAAAGGCUGCCAAAACUCAAGUAUUUUUGUGGUGAAGCUUAUACUUUGAAGUUGCCGUCUUUGGAGUUAUUGAAGGUUAUUAAGGUCCAAAACUUAAAGCUAUUUGCUCCUAAGCUUGUUGACACACAUCCCCGAUUGCAAGUACGCACCGCGUUGGGAGUAGCUGAAUGGAUGGAGGACCUCAAUGCCACUUUAAGGAACAGUUACGUUCUGGUUGAUAAUUUACAGUAAGCGAGCUACAAGCAUAAUUUGGCACUUUAUAUGCUCAAUCUUAAAUUUCUAUUUAUUCAACCAACAAAUACGUUCUGGUUUUGAGCUACAAGCAUAAUUUGGCAAACACCACCAAAAUUUUGAAUACAAAUUUAGGGAAAGCAUAAUCAACAGUUCAUAUUUAGUUUGACAAAAGUGUUCUCAAAAUUUAGUCAAAUACCAUAUAUAUGCAUAUGUUCACACUAAAGUGUAUUUAAGUAAUUUUAUUUUUUAAAACUCAAUUCUAUCUCAAGAAAACAUCCGUCUUUUAUUUCUAAAACAGGAAGGAUAACGAUGACGAAUUGUACAGUGAGGAUGAAAAUGAAGAUGACGAACUCUAUGGUUACAUGAAGAUGACUAACACAAUUGAUUGAUCAAGCACAAAGGUUAGCAUGUUUCCGUCUCCCACUUCUUCUAGGUUUAGUAAAAACUGAUGAAAUUAUCUAUAAAGUACUCAAAAAAUUAUUCUACCAUGUUUGAUAGAAUAUAUACACAUACAUGGAUGGUACUUAAAAAAUUGAACAAUAAAGGGUCGUCGAACCACAUUCUGCUACCUAAUUCAUUUUUUCAAGGAACCCAAUGCAAGUCGAUCUAUAAUAUGCACUCUAAAAGUACUAACCUUGAGAAGCCAUUGAUAUGAACAAGAUUGAACCAUGAUCAGCAACGAACAAGCAAAGAUCUUCAUCUCUCUCUACACGCCUUAUGCACUCCUAUAUGGGGUAGUGUUUUGUGCUUUAAUAAUGUGUAUAAAAGUGGGGCCUAAGCCUUAUAUUUAUAGGUGAGAGUAUUAGGUUUCUUGCCCAUAAAGAAAACCCUAAUACAGAUCUUUAGCACCUCUAAAAUCCAUGACCUAAUAGGAUUGAUAUUCCCAAAAAUUAUUGCUAUACUUUACCAUAAGUAAUCCGGAAUAAUCAAAUAUUAAUUCCCUUCUUUUAUCCUUAAUCAAUUAGGACUCCUAAAUAGAUGUAAGCCCAAUAAAAGUCUUACACCCAAUAGCAGUUAAGAUGGAAGAAGCUUUUAGGAUUAGCAACUGCCUCAAGAAACCUUUAUCAGAUUCCACAAUAAUAUUGGAAUAACCUUUUUCUGUUAGCAUGUCUCGCCUGAUCUAAAACAAGCAUAACCGUUUUGAGAAACACAUAUACAAUAAACAUAACUGUAGUGCUAAGUGACUUGAAAAUUAAUUUAGUCCUUAAACCGCUAUUUUCUGAAACACAUAUACAAUAAGCAUUACCAUUUGAACUUAUUCCAAUUUCAGUGAUUUCUAAUAUUCUCCACUGCAUGCAGGACAAGAGUUUACAGAACGUUGUGUACAAGCCAAUAAAAGGUCAUUUGUUGACCAGAAUUUCAUUCCAAAAUACUAUUUAAAUUGCUUAUUUGAUGUAUUAUAAAUUUCGAUUGUGAUUAUUACUGUUUGUUUCUAAACUAGCGUUUGCUUAUUUGUUAUGAUAAUUUGGAAAGGUUGUCUCUAGCUACCAAUAUUUGCAUUUCAAUUUAUAAUGCUAAAAGUUCUGUAAUACCAUACACGUGUAAGAUGAAUGGCAUGUAUGUAGAAUGACACGUGUAAUAUUGAUCAUACAUGUAAGCUAAAUAAUAUUAUGAUACACUAGCUAGCCGCAACUAAUGUAAGCUGAAUAAUAUGAUCAUUCACUAUAAGGUCUGAUAUUAAUUCAUAAAAUCUGGUUUUCCCCCUAAACGUAACGGAAAUCAUAUUUAUCACACUUCCGGCUAGCUCUCCCUUGAGGAGCCUUGUCUACCAAAUAGGUAAGUUCAAGCAACUUCAAGAGAGAGUUUCCUCCACAUUAAGUCUUAAACAUCUACUGGACAGCAGGCAAUUCAAAACCAAAGUAAGCUGCUGAAUACAACUAGAAUAAACAAGGAAUCGGGCUAAGCUAUUGUCUUCAUCAUAACAUGAUUUUGGCCCCCAUUUACUAAUUUCGUACCACAUUUUCACACUCUUUCCUUGAAUUUUAUAAUUCCUAUGCAACAGAGUUCAUUCAUUGCCUAUUCACAACAUUACAAGGUUCUACAGAGUUCAAUCCCACACCAUGUUAUAGACAUGCUUCAACUAUCAACCUGGAACGUAAUCGUUAGGGUUUCAACAACUUCAGAGAUACAACAAUUACCAUAAGUCUCAUCUCCGACAUUCAUACAGAAAAUCGAAUAAAAUUCGAAAUCAAGAAUUAAUCCCAAAACUGAAAGUUGAAAAUUCGGAAAAAGAACUUACAUUGGAGAACAGCCCACGAGAAGAGGAUCAUUUCUACGUCUUAGGUCGAGGUCCAAUUACUGCGAUAUUGGCCGGAAGUUGGAUGGAAAACCCUGGGUCACCGUUUCUUAAAUUGGAAAUUGCGGAAAACCGCCUACGAAUUUAUAGAAACGAACUUGGGGAUUGGAUACAGGACGGCAAGAGCAUUCAGGAUGUGUAGUUUGACAGCCUUUGGUGACCUGUGGACGACAGAGCUGUUGCGUGGCAGUCGUCGGCUUGGGCCGCUGUUGCAGCGUGUGAAAGAGAAGAGGGAGCGAGGAGAGAAAAUGGGUUUCUCCCACUUUUUGGAUCUUAAUUCUUUUCCACAUUUUUUUAUAUAGAAUAAACGAUAUUAUUUAUCACUAAAAGUGCGUUUGGUAUGUAAGAUGGGACGGAACACGUUUUGAUGAUAAUAAUAGCUAGAAGUAAUAAUGUAAUAUAGUUCAAAUUCGUUUUUGAUAAUAAUCAAAUAUAAAAGGGAAUUGUUAUUAGCAUUCCAAAAAUCUCAUUCUACACUCCUCACAAGUGUAUUUUUCUUUCUAAUUAUAGAAAGUUUAGAGUGCCAAAUGAGAUUUUUGAAUUGCUAAUAACAAUUUCCUAAAUUCUCUCACUUAUAAAUUACAAGUAAAGAAAAAUACUAUUAAAUUUUUUCCACUUUUAAUGCAUAUCUAAAUAAAAAGAGACAAAAUGAAAAGGAAAAGAAAUAAAAUAAUUUGAAAUAGAAAUAAAAAUUAAGGGUAAAUCUCAUAUUACUAACCUCAUGUUUCGUGGUUUUCAACAUUUAGUACAUCAAGUUUUUUUUCGUCCCAGAGUCAUACCUAAAGUGUAAAUUUUGGGACAGUCUCAGACAUUCGUUAGUCAAACUGUUAAGUCUCCCGUUAACUGAUGACAUGGCGUCCAUGUGGACAAUGACUGGGUUCCAUGUGUCAUUAAGGGGUCCACGUGGAUUUUUUUUUUAGAGAAAGAGUUUUAAAAAAAAAUUUCCUGCCCAAAAUUUUUAACCCAUAAUCGUGUACCUUACAUUUUUCCCGCCAAAUUUUUUUGGAAAAAAAAUAAAAUUAAAUAGGGAAAAAACACCAACUUUCUACUCCAAAUCUGCAAAUUCAAUUCCAAAAAAAAUUUGAAUUCUAAAUCUGCAAAUUCAUCAUUUAAACUACCAACUACCAACAAAGUUCAAUUGUCAACAACUUUCAAUUCAUAACAAAGUUCAAUAUACACCCUCCAAUUCACACGAAAGUAUCAAAAGACCACAACUUUAACAACUAAUGGGUUAAGGUGUUCUUCCAAAAACCAAAAUAAGAGUACCAAAAACACCAAAGAUAUGUCCAAAACACUAAAAUCUAUCAGAAAGUUGUUUCCAAAAAACCUAAGGGCAUAUUCAACUAUAACAAAAUGAACCCUUAAACAACCUAAAGCAUUAAAGCAGCAUCAUGGAACAUUCCUCCUCCUUUUCUAACCUCUUGUGGUAGACUUUGAAGUGGUUUGAGAGGCUUGAGUUGGAUGAGAUAAAGGUUGUGGAGCUUUCUGAGUGCAUAUUGGUUGUGAUGACUGAGAGGGUUGUGAUACCUUAGAUGUUGAGGCCUAAGUAAUGAACCCAAAUAGCAUUAGCACUGACAGAUACUACACUUCACAAAUAACAAAUUCACUUAAGAAAUGAAAAAUCAACAAAAAAAUAUCAAAAUUAUACCUCAUUUUUCUUGCUUUUUCUUCCUUUUCUAGCAGUUGAAGGAGGAUGAGUGGUUGGGCAUCUAGCCUUGUUGUGUCCCGAGUCCUUGCAAACACUACACUUCACACUUUUUUUGCCCUCUCUUGCUUAACUUGAUUCAUUUUCAUCAUCCUCCCUAUAUCUCCUCUUUUUUGGUUUCCCAGGUUGCCUUUUAAAAGUUGGAGGAAGAAUGCAUUUGUUUUCAGAUGGCUCCUAAAAUUUCAUGCCUUGGAUGGGUUGAAUCAAGUUUUCGUAAGCUUCAAAGUACUUCUCCUUCUUGUACCAAGAGGAAACAAAUUCCUCAGGUUGUCUCCUUGCAUAAUAGAUGGCCGAGCAACCAUGUAUGCAAGGAAAGUCUGUCAAAUCCCAUCUUCUACAUAAGCAAGUGCAGCCAUUCAAAUCCACCACAAAUAUAUUGCCUCUGCCUUCAUCCACUUCAAAAUUUUCUCCUCCAGACCAUGUAGCUAUAGUGUGUGAGCUUUUCAGUUUGAACUCUUCCAACAUCUUCUGGAUUUUUUGGCAGAUAGCUCCUUUAUCCUUCCACAUUGCAUCUUUUCUUAACCAUAUCCUCUUCAUCAAUAAAACUCUUAUAGUUUCCAACAUGGUAAUAAUAGGCUUAUCCCUAUACCUUAGGAUAAAAGAAUUAAAGCUCUCACAGAGGUUGUUUAAGAGAAUGUCACACUGAGUGUGUGUCUCAAAGUGUGAUCUACUCCAAUACAAGGCUGGUCUCUUUACCAACCAUUUAUAAGCUUCGACAUUCAGCCUAUUCACCUCAGCCAUACUCUCUCUAAAAUCAGUGAUGGUUAUUGCGUUGGCAGCAUUCCACAAGGCAUCCUGUAAUCCUUUCCCUUUAAACCCAUCUGCCUUGUAGUUGGUGUAUAAGUGCCUAACACAGAACCGAUGAUUACAAUUAGGAAGCAAUUUCUCAAAAGCUGGUAUUAAACCUUUUUGUUUGUUAGAAAUGAAAGUCUAAGCACGCUGAUUCACAAUUCCCAAGUCAGCAGCUAGCAGCUCCAGAAACCAAACUCAACUGUCCUUGUUCUCGAGCUCUACUAUGGCAUAUGCAAUAACCCAAGUUUGGUUAUUUUGCAUCUAUUCCCUGUAGACAGUAGGCCUUUGAACCUCCUUCAAGUGACAACAUCCAAUAGCUGCCUUCCAUUCUUAAAUCCAUUUUUGUAAGCCCCUAAACAAAUAUAAAUCCUCUGAAAUAUCACAUGAGCAUCAUCAUAGGGCAACACCUUCAUCUGAACUGUACAAGUGACAACCACUUUGCCUUACAAGCUUUACUUUUUAAAUCCUCAAGCCCUAAACAACCAUAUAUAUUUUCUCUUUUUGAGUCACUUCAUACUCCAACAACAUGCAUCCUUUGUGAGUUAGGAUCCCCUAAAAUCUCGGACAUUCUAUUUCCAACAUAGGUUCUCGUAUGCGCAUGAUUAUUCAUUGUAAUUUGUUAACUAAAUCCUCCAUGAUAUAAGUUUUUCUCACACCUUGCACUAAUAUUUGUACAUCUUUUUUUAGUUAUAGUGCACCAUGCUUAUAGUGACAUUUUUUUUAUCUUCAAUGCUUAAUGAACAUACUGCCUCUCUUCCAAUCAUCUUGAACUUCAAUUUCCUUGUCAUCUUCCUUUCUUUUUAGCUCAGGGUAGAAUCUCUCAUCACAUUCUGACCUGAAUCGUAACACUGUGCAGGCUAUUUAAGUCUUGUCUCUCAUCAAGGGGAGUCUAUACAUACCUAGCAUCAUAACGUCUUCUGAAUGUUGUCCCAUACCCUUUCCCCCUCAGCAUCUCCAAUUUUUAUCAGCGUAUCAUCUCUUACGCGAUCAUCAUCUAUAUUACUUCACCUGUCCCACCUAACUCAUAUUUGUUAAAAUCCUCUUGCAUUUAAUUGACAAAUAAAUGCAAAUUUGUAAAAAUAAAACCUUUAAGAUAUUAAACGGCCUUAAAAUAUUAACUUUAUUAGCUUCUGACUUCAUUUAGUUUCAAUACAUCACCUUUUUCUCUCAUCGCUUUCAUUAUCAGCAUUGGAUGAAUCAGCCUCAUUCACUUCCACUUCCUCCCUCAGUUGCUUGCCUCAUAUUCUCUCAACCAUGUGCUAUGCAUUCAAAAGCACAGCCGGUUUUCUGUAUGCCGCACCCUUUGCCUUCGCUUCUUCAGUUUUAUCCACUUUCCCUUUGUAAUCGAAAUCGCCUCUCCCUCAAUACUUCAUAAUAAUGACACCGUUUUAAAUAUGCACUCUCUCUAGAUUUCAUCAAGCUUAUGAUUUCAAGCAGCUUGCUUCGACUUGAUUGUUCUAGUAAUUUCUAUUUACCUACCCGGAACAUAAUUGCCCACUUUCACAUAUCUGGCCUGUUCGUUAAGCUUAAUCCUCCUAUAGACAUCACAGAAUUAUAGGUACAACAAAAAACCCAUCAAUAGAAUCCUUACCAUUUUCCAAUCUCGAAAAAAAGUCAUGAGAUCUUUGUCUACGUAAUCAUCUAAGCCUCAAACUUCCCCGUGUAUAUGCAUUUAAGACCACUUCCCAUGCUGCAAAGUAAGGAGAAAGGUGAAAAACAUAAAAAUAAUCUAAAGGAUUUAAGGGUUUAUAACAAAUACAGGUUAACCCAAACCAAUUGAGACCAAGAGGAAAUGGUGAAUACAAAACAUGGGAUAAUGAAAACAGGGUUUUUUAAGGUUUCAUAUAGGAUCGCCUUGCAGACAAAGAAACAUUUUGAAAAAUCGGAUACAACCUAAACCCAUAUCUAUCUAAUACUUCAAAAAAGGUGGUAGGUUUACUACAUUAAAAAGGUAGUGUCUUACACCACACUUUUUUUCCCCCACCCAUCGCCAGCGCAUGGCUUAACGAAUCAAGUGACCCAGAGUAAACAGUGGGUUCUUUGAGUGGCAAGGGUGUGCGAAAUGUUACGACGGCUUGUGAGUGGGUCCCCUGAAAGUGAAAUAUUUGGAGGGUUUAAAUUGUGCCAUUCAUGUCCACAUGGGCACCACGUCAUUCAGUUACGGGAGACUGGUAACAGUUCAGUUAACUUAACAGGGUGAUGAACUGUCCAAAAUUUACACUUUAGGUAUACAAACUGGAACGAGAUGUAAACUUACCACGAUAACAGAGGUGAGAAACCCCAUCGAACACAUGAGGGUCAUAAUGAGAUUACCCAAAAAUUUAAAGGUUCUGAUUCGUUCUGCUUGCGAAAACACGUUCGUAAUUGAGAGCAUUGAAUGACUAAGGAAUAUUACGAUGAUAUGUCAUACGUGAGUUUUCGCUGAAAUUUUUUUGAUGGGAUUUGCAUUGGCAGCCAAUUUUGGAGCCACCCAUCGUAAGGCAGGAGAAUUGGAGAUAAUGUUGUGUUUGAAAGGAGUUUCUUAAAAAAUACAUAGAAUAAUGUCCUCCUAGAUGUGCCUUGCAGGGUGGAAUCGAUAGCUAUGAUACCUUGUUGGAAAAUGGGCGGUUACUAGGGUUCAUUAGGCUGGUAAUAAAAAAAAAAUUUCCAUUUACUAAAACACUUUCAAGAAACGAAUCGCACAAAAAUUGUAUGAUUACCACUAUUGUGAGCUUUGACUAUUGUUUCAAAGCCAUCGAGAAUUUACCAAUUCCUAUAUUGAUGACGUUUUACUGUGAAAGGAUAAAUCCACAAAGAAUUGCUCAAGCCUAUAGUGAUGAAAUUGAGAAGUGGGUUUGAGGAAAGCACUUGCAUUCCAUUAAUUGUACUUUCACUUGGUCAUUGUUCUUUUGUUAAAAGAGAAUAGAAUUUAAAAGCACUUUCUUUUGUCUCCACCUUUCUGAGAGACACUAUGGGUUUGGAUAACUUCUCUUUCCCUAUAGUUUUUUCUUUUUCUUUUUACCAUUUACUAGAACACCUAGUGUUGGAUACUUAGAUAAUGUUUAUUGCAAAUUAUUAUAUAUUGUACAGACACUUUUGUUGUUUGAACAAGGCUAGAUGAUCUUUAUAUUUGCACCUAGACAUAAUUUGUUUACAUACAGCGUAAUAUAUUUCUCUAGAAAAUUUUUUGUACCUUUAUUGCAUUUUAUUUCACUAUUCACUUUGUUUCUGUUAACAGUUUAGAAAUUUAUUUUUACAAUCACAUUUGUAAUUUGGAAUCAAAGUUUUGAAAUAUUUCGGUAUAAGGUGUUUGAAUGUACUUUGUGAUUAAGAAACCUAAAGUGUUGGAUUUUACAACAUCAUUUUUCUUGCAAUUCAUUCCUUUAGUACCAUAUUAUUGUUUUUUGAACAAAAUACCAAAAACAGAAUUUCAUUUUUUCUCUACCUGUUGCAUAUUUGAUUCUACAAUACAGUCCGUCAUAUUUAUUUGCCACUUGAUGUGCACCCUGAUCUGCCUCCAAUAUGCAUGCUAACACUUCGGCAAAAUUAAUUUAUCUAUGAACCAUCAAUUUGUGAAGCACCACUCACAAUUAGUACCAUGACUACACCUUGUGCUGAACAGUUGUAGAAAGACUGAUAAAAGAAGUUUCAAUUUUAUUUUUGCGGGACCAUGCAUUGGCAUUCGUUGCAUUUUGACACCACUACUACCUGCAUAUGACUUGUUGCUGAACAAGGCAUAGAUUUCAAAAUUUCAAUUUUAAUUUGCCGGACAAUUGAUUGCGUUGAUUUACGAUACAGGUACGUACGUACUUUUCUAAAACUCUAUUUCUUUCCAUUAUUUGUUGUUUUAGACGUUUGUUUUUACCCUGCCUGACCAAGAAACAAAAGUGUUAAUUUAACAUUCUAGUACCCGCCAAAUAUUGUAUUUCGGCUGAGCUCCAACACUAUGACUAGGCGCCAACUCAACAAUUUUAUUGAUUAGCUUUUGACUUCACACAGUUUUGUAUUUUAGAUGUCUAAAAUAGCCCUAGUAACUUAUGUCAAAUUAAAAACAAAUUUUAAAAUCAUGAUUUCAUUGCAUAUUAAUAAUAAUAGGAUAUGAUGCUAGGGUUUUCAUUUGUUUUAUUUUUUUCCCUUUUAAAUUCCUUAGUUGCUUUUCAAAUUUGCAUAAAUUAGGAUUUUUUUUGGUUUAGUUUUUCCGUUUUCAAAAUAUGUGAGCAUUAGUUACCAACAAAAUAUAAGAAUGUUAUUUUUUUUCCAAAAUUAUUUAAUUAUAUUCUAUAUAAAUAUAGGUAAAUUAUUUCUCUACACAUAUAUAAUAACAAUAAAAUGUGGUUAAUGUAUGUAAUAAUACAUGCAAAAUAAUUUACCUUCAACAUAAAGGAUGUGAUUUGGUUCAAGAUUUAUUUUACCUAUAUUUCACAUAUAGGUAUAGGUAAAUUAUGAAAGAUUCUUUUUUUUUCUUUUUUUCUUUUUUUGUCUUUUGGCUUAACAUAUAUAGAUAAGUAAAUCAUUUUUUGUCAUUUGGUUUGAUAUAAAGGAUGUCAUAUGUCAUUUGGUUCAAAAAAAUAUAAGUAAAUUAUUUUAUGAAGAUUAUCAUUAUAUAAUAAUAAUAAAAAGGAGAAUAUAUAUAUAUUGUUUCAAUUAUGUAAAUAGUUUGUAAUAUGAGGUUAUUUCUUUGUCUACAUGUCAAUGGAUUUAGAUUCCGUUUACAAGAGUUAAUACCAAACAUACAAUUUCAGUUGUCCUUGGACAGAAGCCACUAAAUGAGUAAAGGACAACGGGACGAAACAACCUUCUACCUGGCGUAUGUACCUUGCCACUUUCAAUAAAAACAGGUGUGUUUCAAUUUGAUAUUUAAAUAUAUGUGGAUUUUGGGCUGCUUAUUAUGUGAUUUUGCCGAACUCCCCCUCCCAUUAAUGUAAAAAUAUCGAUGUACUAAAAAAUAUAUAUGUGGAUUUUUGUUUAAAAAGUAAAAUUACAAAGGUCUAUUUCUAAAGAACCCUAUGUAUCAACAACAAUUUCAACUAAUUCAAGUCCAGCAACACAAUAAACUCAAAUAAAAAUUCAAUUAUUUUAAACACAGUGAUGAUCUUAUAUUCAAAGAUAAUUUUGAUCUAGGUGCUUGAUUUUUGAAUUUGAUAGACCCAACAUCCCUAGCUUUUAGACUUUUUAUUAAGGAAAAAUUAGUAUCUGGUCCCUAGUUCUUACUGUUCAUUGACUAAGACCUUAUUAGUUCUCAAAUUUUGAUUCAAGUCCCUAGCAUUAAUGUGAUAAUGAAUUUACAUGUUUAUUUGUUAAUUUUUUAAUAUAAAAAUUAGUAAUUAAUUUAGGGUUUAAUACUCACACCUCUAUUAAACUUCUAAUUAAUUUUCAAUUCAAACAUUUCCAAAAUAAUAAAAAAUUAAAUUAAAUUAAGUUUGUACCUAUUAGUUUAUAUAUAUAUAUAUAUAUAUAAAGAUUCUCAAUUUUUUAAUCUUAAAUGUACCCAUUCAUAUAAUUUUUCAAUUUUUUUAAUCUUCAAUGUACCCAUUCUCAAAUAUAUCAAUUUCUUAUAUGUAAAAUGUACUUUUUUUUUAAUAUAAAAUCCAUUCAAAUUUUUUAAUCCAUGUUUAAACUUAUAUGGGUACAUUUUUUUCGUUGAUUUGAGAAUGUAUCCAUGUUUUGGUACAAUAACUUUUUUUGUUAAUUUUGGUUAAUGUACCCAUACAUAUAUGUACACACACACACAAUAUAAUAGAGAGUAUAAUUUAUAUUUUAUUAUUUUUAAUCCCAUAAAUUAUGGGUUUUAUUUAAAAUCUCAUUAAUAUAAACAAUUACAAAUUUUAAUUUUUAAUUUUUAAUUUUAAAAAUAUAGUAACUUACAUUAUUACAUUAAUGUCAGGGACCUCAAUCAAAAACUAAAAACUAACAAGAUUUCAAUCAAAGAAUAUUGAUAGCUAGGGAUCGCAUCCAAAGUGUCCCAUUUAUUAAACUACUUUCUACAAUUUUGGUGCCACGAUUUUUAAAACGUCCUCUUUCUAAAAUUCAAAAUAACAUGAACUGUCAUUAAUCCACCAAUUUAUUCCAGAAACAAUAUCCAAAGCUCCUAAAUCUAGCCUUCUUUAAACCAAAAUUAUUAUUAUUACUCCAACAUAAAAAUACAUAAUUAUUAAGUUAUCAAUCAAUGAUAUGUACCAAAAAUUAAAAUUAUACAUACCAAAAACUAAAAUGAAACGUACCAUUAACUAAAAUAAAACAUACCAAAUACUAAAACUAAACAUACCAAUCAAUGGUAUGUGCACAACUGAACAUACCAAAAAACAAAAUUAAGUAUGAAAACCAAUAAUAAACGUACCAAUAAUGUAUACAAAAGAAUUCUCUUAAUAAAAUGUAUAUAUAACAAUUUAAAAAAUAUAAACAUCCACCAUUUUCGUUAUCUUGAACAUAAAAUUAUAUUUUAAUUUUAGGAGAAAAAAUAUUUUGUACGAAAAAAUUAUUAAAAAGAGAAUUGGAUAAAUAUAUUGAAUGAAAAAUCAAGAUUAUCUCCAAAAAAAAUCGCUUAACUAAUUAAAGGACAAAUUAAGAAACCAAUAUACAGUGAGGUAUAUGGUAAUGGCAUGAGGAUGAAUGAAAAAACAACAACAACAACAACAACAAAGCCUUUUCCCACUAAGUGGGGUCGGCUAUAUGAAUCCUAAAACGCCAUUGCGCUCGGUUUUGUGUCAUGUCCUCCGUUAGAUCCAAGUACUCUAAGUCUUUUCUUAGAGUCUCUUCCAAAGUUGUCCUAGGUCUUCCUCUACCCCUUCGGCCCUGAACCUCUGUCCCGUAGUCACAUCUUUGAACCGGAGCGUCAGUCGGCCUUCUUUGCACAUGUUCAAAAUCACCGGAGCCGAUUUUCUCUCAUAUUUCCUACAAUUUCGGCUACUCCUACUUUACCUCGGAUAUCCUCAUUCCCAAUCUUAUCCUUUCUCGUGUGCCCACACAUCCCACGAAGCAUCCUCAUCUCUCCGCUACACCCCAUUUUGUGUACGUGUUGAUGCUUCACCACCCAACAUUCUGUGCCAUACAACAUCGCUAGCCUUAUUGCCGUCCUAUAAAAUUUUCCCUUGAGCUUCAGUGGCCUACGACGGUCACACAACACGCCGGAUGCACUCUUUCCAUCCAGCUCGUAUUCUAUGGUUGAGAUCUCCAUCUAAUUCUCCGUUCUCUUGCAAGAUAGAUCCUAGGUAGCGAAAACGAUCGCUUUUUGUGAUCUUCGCUAGAUUGCUCCGGUCAUUAGUGUGGGUAAGUAUAUAAAUGGAUAGAGAUAGGAAAGCAAACACAAGAUGUACGUGGUUCACCCAGAUUGGCUACGUCCACGGAAUAGAAGAGUUCUCAUUAAUUGUGUGAAGGGUUUACACAAGUACAUAGGUUCAAGCUCUCAUUUAGUGAGUACAAGUGAAUGAUUUAGUACAAAUGACAUUAGGAAAUAUUGUGGGAGAAUGAUCUCGUAAUCACGAAACGAAACUUCUAAGUAUCGGAGUGUGGUGUCGUCUUGACUUGCCUUAUCUGUCUCAUAGGUAGAUGUGGCAUCUUCUCUGGAAGUACUCUUCCUCCAUCCAGGAGUGGUGGUAUCUUUAACUGGUGGAGAUGCACACAAGGUAAAUGUAUCAAUUUCAAUUUCACUUGAAGCUUACUUGUAGUUUCAGGCUUGGUCAAGCGCGAUACAAACCAUGUAGUAGGAGUCCCCCAAGUCGCCGAGCUAGGGGGUCUGCUGAAAGAGGUGACAGACAAGGUAAGCAAUCAGAGCUCCGACUGAUUGUUCACCUUCUCCCCAUCUUGCAGCAGCAUGAAGGAUAAAGAGAAGAAAAAUGAGAAGAGAUGAUAUGAGAUACUUUUGCUUUUGAAGAAGUAACUUUCCACAGGCUUAUUCUUGAACUGAGCUGGAGGGUUUUCUGGUUUCCUCCAGAGUAUAAGGCCGACUGAAGAAUUUGAGGGUCAAAACAAGUCCAUCAAAUCUAGAGUACGUUCCACCCUGCUGAUAUGGGAUACUUUUGCUUUUGACAGAGUAAUAAAUGUAUCGGCACGUGUGCUGUUACGCUUGUCUCCACAUGCUUCCUUGUAUCCUUCGCACUUGCCCUAUCUGUUCCUCAAGCAGAUGCGGAAUCUUCCCUGGAAACAUAAGAUGUUGAAGAUGAGUACUCGAGAGCAAUGCCAGGUAAGUAAUCAGGUAAGGGGUUCCAGGCAGUCAGUUCCUGGCUGGAAGCUUGAUUCCAAGUGCUGACUGAUUGCUCUCUUUCUCCUUGUCUUGCAGGUAAAAACAAGGCCAAAAGAAAAGACAGGGAAAAAGCAUGAUAUGGGAUACUCUUGCUUUUAACCCUGAUGAUAUGAGAUAUUCUUGCUCUAGUAUAGCUUGUUUGCAGAGGUAUUAUCAGGGGGAAAGAAAGCUGAAUAUUUCGAAAGGCUUCGUUGGGAGUGUCCUCUCAGAUAUGAUGAAGGGUUGAGCAUUUUUGCAGGUCUGCCUGUCCGUUGGGGAUGGAGGUCGACAUAUAUAGGAGUCUCCCUAACAACAAGUAGUAAUGUUAUUCCUUUACCCUGCUUGGUCAUAGCACGGUAGUGGGAGCUGCCAGUUUCACAUGUUUUAACUCUGUCAGAGCACUUUGAAAAAGUGGUCUGUGGUAUCUGGCUCUCGAGAUUCGGAGAACGAUGCCUCUUCGAUUUUUGAGAAAGCAAUCAUGCUGGGGGUAUGACUCUCGAGAUUCGGAGAGCAGUGUCUCUUCGAUUUUUGAGGAAGUAAUCAUGUUGGGAGUCUGGCUCUCGAGAUUCGGAGGGCGGUGCCUCUUCGAUUUUUGGAGCAAGCAAUCUUGUUGGGAGUGUUGUCUCGAAUGUGAGUAAAGGUUGGGCAUGUUUGCUAGUCUACCUUGCCACGAAGCACAAAGGUUGACACACAGGGACUUUCCAAUUAUCCAGCAAUGGUACUGUUCCUUUACCCUCUCUUCGAUUUUGAGAAAGUAGUCAUGUUGGGAGUCUGGCUCUCGAGAUUCGAAGGACGGUGCCUCUUCGAUUUUGGAGCAAGCAAUCUUAUUGGGAGUGUUUUCUCUCGAAUGUGAGUAAAGGUUGGGCAUGUUUGCUAGUCUACCUUGCCACGAAGCACAGAGGUUGACACACAGGGACUUUCCAAUUAUCCAGCAGUGGUACUGUUCCUUUGUUCCACACAGUUGUGGGUAAUAAUAUGGUAGCUAGACCUUCAAAAUUUAUGUGUCUAAACUUUUGUUAGUGCUGUUUCUUUGCUAUUCUUUUACCUUUCUUGGUCAGAGCGAUGUAGUGGGAGCUGCAAGCUUCACGUGCUCAACUUUGGCAGAGAACUUUGGCAAAGUUAUUUGUGGUACCCAUGAGCUAUUGUUGCGUGUGGGAAGUGGGUGAUUGAACAGUAAGAUUCAUGUGCUUUCUACUUCACCAGAAGUCUUCGACAGAAUGCCCAUAAUUUCUGCAAAGCUGAGUGUGCGUGUGACAGUUGCUGACAAGGCUAGAAAAGUAGGUGCCUCUUCGAUUUCUGAGAUCGGCCCUCGUGGUCUCUGAGCAGCCCAGCUUUUGAGAAAGCGAGCGCCUCUUCGAUUGAUUCGGAGAACGAUACCUCAUCGAUUUUUGAGAAAGCAAUCAUGCUGGGGGUCUGGCUCUCGAGAUUCGGGGAGCAGUGUCUCUUCGAUUUUUGAGAAAGUAAUCAUGUUGGGAGUCUGGCUCUCGAGAUUCGGAGGGCGGGUGCCUCUUCGAUUUUGGAGCAAGCAAUCUUGUUGGGAGUGUUUUCUCGAAUGUGAGUAAAGGUUGGGCAUGUUUGCUAGUCUACCUUGCCACGAAGCACAGAGGUUGACACACAGGGACUUUCCAAUUAUCCAGCAAUGGUACUGUUCCUUUACCCUCUCUUUCGAUUUUUAAGAAAAAGUAGUCAUGUUGGGAGUCUGGCUCUCGAGAUUCGAAGGACGGUGCCUCUUCGAUUUUGGAGCAAGCAAUCUUAUUGGGAGUGUUUUCUCGAAUGUGAGUAAAGGUUGGGCAUGUUUGCUAGUCUACCUUGCCACGAAGCACAGAGGUUGACACACAGGGACUUUCCAAUUAUCCAGCAGUGGUACUGUUCCUUUACCCUUGUGGGUAAUAAUAUGGUAGCUAGACCUUCAAAAUUUAUGGGUCUAAACUUUGUUAGUGUUGUUUCUUUGCUAUUCUUUUACCCUUCUUGGUCAGAGCGAUGUAGUGGGAGCUGCAAGCUUCACGUGCUCAACUUUGGCAGAGAACUUUGGCAAAGUUAUCUGUGGUACCCAUGAGCUAUUGUUGCGUGUGGGAAGUGGGUGUGAUUGAACAGUAAGAUUCAUGUGUUUUCUACUUCCCCAGAAGUCUUUGACAGAAUGCCCAUAAUUUUCGCAAAACUGAGUGUGCGUGUGACAGGUGCUGACAAGGCUGGAAAAAGGCUGGAAAAGUAGGUGCCUCUUCGAUUUCUGAGAUCGGCCCUCGUGGUCUCUGGGGAGCCCAGCUUUUGAGAAAGCGAGCGCCUCUUCGAUUUUUUGAGAUCGGCCUUCGUGGUCUUUGAGCAGCCCAACUUUUGAGAAAGCAAACGCCUCUUCGAUUUCUGAGAUCAACCCUCGUGAUCUCUAAGCAGCCCAGCUUUUGAGAAAGCAAACGCCUCUUCGAUUUCUGAGCAGGCGCCUCUUCGAUUUCUGAAGCUUCGUCGAGUGCAGAUUUUUAUAGGGGUUGGCAUUAAGUUCCAAAGCACACUUGAAUCUCCACCAGUAGAAGCUUCAUUCUUGCACUUCUAAGAUCUUGAUUUGUCCGACCUCUUCUCUCUUCAACACCUUUGAAAAUGUCUGGCCCCUCCGACCGUCGUUUUGACUUGAACCUUGUUGAAGAGGCAGCCCCGCCUUCUCCAGACAACAUAUGGCGCCCAUCCUUCGUCUCCCCUGGUCCUCUUACCGUUGGGGAUUCCGUGAUGAAGAAGAAUAUGAUAUGACCGCUGCGGUGGUGGCCAGGAACCUUCUCACUCCCAAAGAUAACAGACUACUUUCCAAACGGUCUGAUGAGUUAGCUGUUAAGGAUUCGCUGGCUCUCAGUGUUCAGUGUGCAGGUUCUGUGUCUAAUAUGGCCCAACGCCUAUUUGCUCGAACCCGCCAAGUUGAAUCAUUGGCGGCUGAAGUGAUGAGUCUCAAACAGGAGAUUAGAGGGCUCAAGCAUGAGAAUAAACAGUUGCACCGGCUCGCACAUGACUAUGCUACAAACAUGAAGAGGAAGCUUAACCAGAUGAAGGAAACUGAUGGUCAAGUUUUACUUGAUCAUCAGAGAUUUGUGGGUUUGUUCCAAAGGCAUUUAUUGCCUUCGUCUUCUGGGGCUGUACCGCGUAAUGAAGCUCCAAAUGAUCAACCUCUGAUGCCUCCUCCUUCUAGGGUUCUGUCCAGUACUGAGGCUCCAAAUGAUCCCCCUCCGGUGCCUUCUCUUUCUGGGGCUCUACCGACUGCUGAGACUUCUCCUAAGCAACCUUUGUGAAGGCUCCCUCUUGUGUGCUUAUUUUUGACUCAUGUAUAUGUACAUAUUUGUAGCUUAUCGGGGAUAUCAAUAAAUAAGCUUUCCUUCAUUUCAACGUAUUGUGUUAAAUACACCAAAGCCUUCUUCGCUAAGUUCUUUGAAUUUUCUUUUGUUAAAGCUUGUAUGUUGAAGCUUUCUGAGUGGAGCAUGUAGGUUGGGGUAGUGUUCCCUUAAUUUCCCGAGUGAGGAAAACUUCUCGGUUGGAGACUUGGAAAAUCCAAGUCACUGAGUGGGAUCGGCUAUAUGAAUCUUAGAACGCCAUUGUGCUCGAUCCUGUGUCAUGUCCUUCGUUAGAUCCAAGUACUCUAAGUCUUUUCUUAGAGUCUCUUCCAAAGUUUUCCUAGGUCUUCCUCUACCCCUUCGGCCCUGAACCUCUGUCCCAUAGUCGCAUCUUCUAAUCGGAACGUCAGUAGGCCUUCUUUGCACAUGUCCAAACCACCGUAACCGAUUUUCUCUCAUCUUUGUGACUCAUUUCGAACUAAUACUAACUAAUUGUUAGUCAAGUGAGAAAUUUUCUAAUUAGAGAAAAAGGUCCUAAAUUUGAAUCGUAACUCCAACUUUGAUAAAAUAAAAAUAAAAAUAAAAAUAAAAUACCACUUAGAUUUAAACAGGACAAAAAUAUCUAAUAUUGUGUUGGGGUAGUGCUUCUUUGGUUUUAGGUAGUAGAGCACUGAGCACGAGACUUAAAAAAGCUACCAACAAAUAGGAGCAUUCAAGCCAUGGUCUUUGAUUUCAGAAGGAAAUGGAAAUUAUAAUUGCAAUUGCCUCAAAAAUUGGAGAGUCAUUGGUCGCACCAAUAGGAACAGAGUCUGCCUAUUUGAUUAAUUACCAUUCCAACCUAGAAAAUCUUAAGCGUGAGAUAAAAAAGCUCUGUGACAAGAAAAAUGAAGUGCAGGGAUGGGUAAAUGCUGCCAAAAGGAACGGUAAAUUUAUCCACCCUGAUAUUCAGAGUUGGCUAAAGAAUGUGGACGAAAUGAUCCAAAAAGUGUCGCAUUUUGAGGUUGAGAUUGACAGGAAAAGGCGAUGUAUGUAUCGAUGGAGCUUGAGUCGGAAAGCCUAUAAGAUUACACAACAUGUUCUCCAGCUCCAAAACGAAGGAACAUUUGAAAAUGUGGCCUAUGCUGCACCUUCACGAGAGAUAUGGUCAACAUUCAAAGACGGAUUUAAACAUUUCAAGUCCAGAAUGGAAAACAUGAAUGAGGUGAUAGAGGGUUUGAAGAGGGAAGAAGUAAGAAUGAUCGGGAUUUGUGGAAUGGGGGGUGUGGGUAAAACCACAAUGGCGAAAGAAAUCAUCAAAAGAUUAGCAGAACGGAACAUGUUUGAUAAAACUGUAAUGGCAACUGUGUCUCAAAGCCCAAGUAUUAAGACGAUCCAGUUGGACAUUGCAGCACAAAUAGAUUUGAAAUUUGAUGAGGAUUCUGAGUCCGGAAGAGCACUAAAGCUGCAUGACAGACUCAUGGAAAUAAGGAGGAUACUGAUUGUGUUAGAUGAUGUAUGGACAGAGCUUAAUUUUGAGGCUAUAGGACUUCCUUAUGGACAUACUCAUAAAGGGUGCAAAAUUUUGUUGACAUCACGGAAUUUGGAAGUCUGCAAUGCGAUGGAAAGUCAACAAAUUAUUGCAGUCCCAACUUUAACAACAGAAGAAUCACGGGAGCUCUUUAGAGAAAUCGUAGGUGAAUCCUUCGAUGAUCCAGAUUUCCAUUCCAUUGCAGAAGAGGUCGUGAAUGAAUGUGGAGGUUUACCUAUUGCAAUUGUAACUGUUGGAAAAGCCCUAGAAAAGAAAAAGAAGCACGAAUGGGUUAAUGCCCUUAAUCAGCUGCGAAAGUCUAUCCCAGAUAACAUCCCUGGACUAAACGGCAAAGUUUAUUCAAGCAUAAAAUGGAGUUAUGAUAGAUUGGAGAGUGAUGAAGCCAAGUCAUGUCUUUUACUUUGUUGUUUAUUUCCAGAAGAUUAUAGCAUUCCAAUUGAGGAUUUGGUUCGAUAUGGGUGGGAUCGAGGAUAUUUUAGCAGCAGCGAUACUUUGGAAGAAGCAAGAAAUAAAGUGCAUUCUUUGGUUGACCAACUACAAAGAAGGUUUUUGUUACUAGAUAAUGACUGGAGUGGGACUACAAAAAUGCAUGACAUAGUUCGCGAUGUUGUCAUAUCAAUUGCUUCAAGAGAUCCACAUGGAUUUCUGAUAAGAAGUAAUGCUGAAAAUAAAGGGUGGCCAAAUCUAGCUACAUAUGACCAUUACACUACAAUCUCACUUGUUGGCGAUUUGGAGAUUCAAGAUGGUUUGAAAUGCCCAAAACUUGAGUUUCUACAGACGAUGAAAGGACGUUUUUCAGAAGGUAGCAUGGACAACAUUUGUAAGGCGAUGAAAGAACUGAAGGUUUUAGCUUUGGUGCAAAUGGAAAUGGAAGACCUAGGCUCAUCAAGCUCACUAGGAUUACUGAAGAACCUGCGGACCUUGACCCUAAAUGGGUCUAAAUUUGAUGGCAUGUCUACUGAUGUUAUUGGGAGUUUGGAGAAUUUAGAAAUCCUCAGCUUUCGGGAUUGUGAUUCCAUGCGUGAGUUGCCGAGGGAAAUUGGACGACUUAAACAGUUAAGGUUGUUAGAUACGACAAAUUGCAGGAAUCUUGAGGUGAUUCCACAUGGUAUCUUCUCCAGCUUAUGUAGACUUGAAGAGUUAUAUAUGCUUGAUAGCUUUAAUAAAUGGGAAAUUGAAACAGGAAGAGAAGAGAAGGGGAUGGCAAGCAUUUCUAAGGUGAUGUCUCUGUCUCAUCAUUUGAAGGUUCUAUCCAUAAAUAUACCCCCCAAUUUCAUCCACUUGUUGCCAAAAGACUUAGUCUUGAAAAGCCCAAGAUUCGCUAUACGGCUUACACCAGCAAGGUAUUGUUUCCCCACAACUUAUGCAUUCGAAAAUUGUUUGGCAAUUGAUGAAAGUGAUGCGAGGGAACUGAUGGAGAGUCAAGCAGUUAGACUUUUGUUGAAAAAAUCUAAAAGAUUGAUUUUGAACUAUGUUAAGAAUUUCUCUGUCCUCACUGAUUUAGACCAAGAGGGAUUUCAAGAUUUGAAAGUUUUGGCUCUUUUGAAUUGUCCAAAUACCGAGUAUCUUGCAAAUGGAACAAGUGCGACCCAACAGGCACUCUUUCCUCGCAUACAGUCAGUUAGUAAGCUUUCGGAUGGCUUUUUGACCAACCUAAGAUGCCUUUAUUUGACAAAUUGUGAUGUCUUAAAAUAUGCCUUUUCACUAUCAGUAGCGAGAAACUUGGUACAACUCCAGGAAUUAAACGUUAAUGGAUGUGAUCAAAUGGAAGAAAUUGUGUCGAAGCAGGGGAGGGAACAUGAGGAGGAAGCCGAUAUGAUAUCUUUCCAUAAAUUAACCAAUUUGACUCUCGAGGGUCUAGGGAGUUUGGUUGGUUUCUUCCAAGCCAACAAGCUAUACUCCAACCAAGAGGUAUGUCCCACUCUCCAAUCUCUAUGAUAUGAGGAGGCAGCCAAUAUGUGGAAAUUUGAAAUUGUUUAACUGAUAAUGAUUUUUCUUUUUCAGGAAACAACGGCAAGGGUUGAGCAUCAAUCUGCAGGCAUAUUUGAAAAAGCAAUAUUUCCAUCAAAGUGCAUUUCAUGGUUUCCAUGUUUAGAAGAGGUAGAAUUGGAAGAUAUGAAGUUUGAAGGCGUGCUAUUUGAUCUGAAAAUCCAUGGCCAGACAACUCCAAUAUUUCCCCAGUUAAGUAAGUUGGAGAUAAUCCAGGGUUCGUUUACACACUUGUGGAAAAACAUUUCGUCUGGAUUUCAGGGCUUUCGAAAUUUGAGAUAUUUGGCAAUGAGAGGAUGUUGUGGUCUAAAAUAUGUGUUCUCGCAUUUAAUUGCCCGAGAACUUUUGAAUCUUCAAGAGGUAAAGAUAUCUAGAUGUCCGGACAUGGAAACUAUAGUUAGAAUCACAGAGGAAAAUGAAGAAGAGGCGACAAAAUACAUGAUUUUGUUUCCGAAACUGAACACAUUUGAACUAAAAUACCUGCCUCGUCUCACAAGUCUUUGUCCAGAGGGAUUUACAUUUCUAUGGUCAUCCGCAAAAAAUAUGCACGUGAAAAAAUGUGAAAAUUUGAAGACAUUGGGUGCUGUAAUUCCACAAAGAAAGAAGUUGGAGAAUAAGUCUGAGAAGGAUUCAACAAGUCAUGAUUUCAGCACUUCCCCAACAAGUUCAUCAAAUUGGUGCCCCGCUGGAUGUGGAUGCGCACCAUAUUCAAGACCAAACGCCCACCGCUCCAUUGAAAUAUUGCCACGUCCAGUUAAUUUGGAGGUAAGCUUUUAAAUUAGGUUCAAUUAACCUUUAUAAGUACAACUUUUAAUUAGUAUUGUACUCAUCUUGUUGAUCGUGUUUAAUUUUCUAGGUUACACCAACUAAUCUUGAGGACUCAAAUGAUGAUGAUGAUAAUCUCGAAAAUCUUACUGUAAGUGACUGUAAUUCAAUGGAAGUGAUUUUCCAACUAAAGGGACCGAAGCAUGAAGAAAGUAAUCACUCCAUUGAAGCAUUCAAUAAAUUGAGGUCCUUCCAGUUACAUAAGUUGCCAAGUUUAACGCGUGUUUGGGAGGUGGGUAGUUCACAACCAAUGUUCACAGGAAGCAGUUUUGGAAACUUGAAAUCGUUGCAGGUCGAUUGUUGCAACCAGUUGAAAUACUUGUUUCUGUCCUCCAUAGUCAAACUUCUCGUGAGUAUAGAGGACAUAGAAGUUAAGAAGUGUGAGCAGAUGGAAGAAAUCGUUGCCGCAGAAGAAGAAACUGAUGGAACAAUUACAUUACCUAAAGUGAAGUCCAUCAAGCUUCAAAGUCUGCCAAAACUCAAGUAUUUUUGUGGUGAAGCUUAUACUUUGAAGUUGCCGUCUUUGGAGUUAUUGAAGGUUAUUAAUGUGCAAGACAUAAGGCCAUUUGAUUCUAAGCUUGUUGACACGCAUAAUCCCCGAUUGCAAGUAAAACCCACAUUUCGACAGGAAUGGACAAGGUAUGCUUUAGAUUAAUGGACAAGGAAUCAACAGUUCAUAUUUAUUUUGAGAAAAGUGUUCUCAAAAUUUAGUCAAAUACCAUAUAUAUGUGCAUAUGUUCACACUAAAGUGUAUUCAAGUAAUUUUAUUUUUUAAAACUCAAUUCUAUCCCAAGAAAACAUCUGUCUUUUAUUUCUAAAACUGGAAGGAUAAUGAUGAUGAAUUGUACAGUGAGGAUGAAAAUGAAGAUGAGAAUUCUAUGGCGAGGAUGAAGAUGACGAAAUCGACGGCGAGGAUGAAGAUGACGAAAUCGACAGGGAGGACGAACACAAAUGACUGAUCAAGCACAAAGGUUAGCAUGUUUCCAUCUCCAACUUCUUCUAGGUUUAUUAAAAACUGAUGAAAUUAUCUAUGAAGUACACAAAAAAAUUUUCUACCAUGUUUUAUAGAAUAUGUACAUACAUGGAUAGUACUUAAUUAAACAAUAAGGAUCGUCGAACCACAUUCUGCUACUAAUUCAUUUUUUCAAGGUACCCAAUGCAAGUCGAUCUAUAAUAUGCACUCUAAAAGUACUAACCUUGAGAAGCCAUUCAUAUGAACAAGAUUGAACCAUGAUCAGCUACGAACAAGCAAAGAUCUUCCUCUUUCUCUACACACCUUAUGCACUUCUAUAUGGGGUAGUGUUUUAUGCUAGAAUAAUAUGUAUAAAAGUGGGACCUAAGCCUCAUAUUUAUAGGUGAGAGUAUUAGGUUUCUUGCCCAUAAAGAAAACCCUAAUACAGAUCUUUAGCACCUCUAAAAUCCAUGACCUAAUAGGAUAGAUAUUCCCAAAAAUUAUUGCUAUACUUCACCAUAAGUAAUCCGGAAUAAUCAAAUAUUACUUCCUUUCUUUUAUCCUUAAUCAAUUAGGACUCCUAAAUAGAUGUAAGCCCAAUAAAAGUCUUACACCCAAUAGCAGUCAAGAUGGAAGAAGCUUUUCGGAUUAGCAACUGCCUCAAGAAACCUUUAUCAGAUUCCACGAUAAUAUUGGAAUAACCUUUUUCUGUUAGCAAGUUUCACCUGAUCUACAACAAGCAUAACUGUUUUGAGAAACACAUAUACAAUAAACAUAACCGUAGUGCUAAGUGACUCGAAAAUUAAUUUGGUCCUUAAACCGCUAUAUUCUGAAACACAUGUACAAUAAGCAUUACCAUUUGAACUUAUUCCAACUUCAGUGAUUUCUAAUAUUCUCCAAUGCAUGCAGGACAAGAGUUUACAGAACGUUGUGGCUUCAGCAAUUCGUUUACCAUAUCAUAUGUACAAGCCAAUAAAAGGUCAUUUGUUGCACCAGAAUUUCAUUCCAAAAAUACUAUUUAUGUUGCUUAUUUGAUGUAUUAUAAAUUUCGAUUGUGAUUAUUACUGUUUGUUUCUAAAUUAGUGUUUGCUUAUUUGUUAUGGUAAUUUGGAAAAGUUGUCUCUAGCUACCAAUAUUUGCAUUUCAAUUUAUAAUGCUAAAAGUUCUGUAAUACCAUAGACGUGUAAGAUGAAUGACAUGCUGGAGGAAUGACACGUGUAAUAUUGAUCAUGUGUAACCUAAAUAAUAUUAUGAUACACUAUAAUAAUAUGAUCAUUCACCAUAAGGUCUGAUAUUAAUUCAUAAAAUCUGGUUUUCCCCUAAACGUAGGAAAUCAUAUUUAUCUAGGCAUGCUUAAUAUUUCAUAAAAGAAAAAACAUUUCUUAAAUAAAUGUCCACUCACACCUCCGGCUAGCUCUCCCUUGAGGAGCCUUGUCUACCAAAUAGGUAAGUUCAAGCAACUUCAAGAGAGAAUUUCCUCCACAUUAAGUCUUAACCAUCCACUGGACAGCAGGCAAUUCAAAACCAAAGUAAGCUGCUGAAUACAGCUACAAUAAACAAGGAAUCAGGCUAAGCUAUUGUCUUCAUCAUAAAAUGAUUUUGGCCCCCAUUUUCUAAUUUCGUACCACAUUUUCACAUUCUUUCCAUGAAUUUUAUAAUUCCUAUGCAACAGAGUUCAUUCAUUGCCUAUUCACAACAUUACAAGGUUCUACAGAGUUCAAUCCCACCGUGUUAUAGACAUGCUUCAACUAUCAACCGGGAACGUAAUCGUUAGGGGUUUCAACAACUUCAGAGAUACAACAAUUACGAUAAGUCUCAUCUCGGACAUUCAUACAGAAAAUUGAAUAAAAUUUGAAAUCAAGAAUCAAUCCCAAAAGUGAAAGUUGAAAAUUCGGGAAAAGAACUUACAUUGGCGAACAGCCCACGAGAAGAGGAUCAUUUCUACCUCUUGGGUCGAGCUCCAAUUCUGGCGAUAUUGGCCGGAAGUUGGCCGGAAAACCCUGGGUCACCGUUUCUUAAAUUUGAGGUUGAGGAAAGUCGCCUACGAAUCUAUAGAAACUAACUUGGGGAUUGGAUGAAGGACGGCAAGAGCAUUCUGGAUGUGUAGUUUGAGAGCCUUUGGUGAGCCGUGGACGACAGAGCUGUUGCGUCGGCACUCGGCAGUCGUCGGCUUGCUGUUUAAUGGGGCUCCUGUUGCAGCGCAAAAGAGGAUACGGGAGGAGGAGAGAAGAUGGGUUUCUCCCACUUUUUAGAUCUUAAUUUUUUUCCCUUUUUUUAAUUUUUUUCCCUUUUUAUAUAUCGUUUACACACUUGUGGAAAAACAUUCCGUCUGGAUUUCAGGGCUUCCAAAAUUUGAGAUAUUUGGCAAUGAGAGGAUGUUGUGGUCUAAAAUAUGUGUUCUCGCAUUUAAUUGCCCGAGAACUUUUGAAUCUUCAAGAGGUAAAGAUAUCAAAAUGUCCGGAUAUGAAAACUAUAGUCAGAAUUACAGAGGAAAAUGAAGAAGAGGCGAUAAAAUACAUGAUUUUGUUUCCGAAACUGAACACAUUUGAACUGGUAGACCUGCCUCGUCUCUCAAGUCUUUGUCCAGAGGGAUUUACAUUUCUAUGGUCAUCCGCAAAAAAUAUGCGCGUGGAAAACUGUGAAAAAUUGAAGACAUUGGGUGCCGUAAUUCCACAAAGAAAGAAGUUGGAGAAUAACAUGAAGAAGGAUUCAACAAGUCAUGAUUUCAGCACUUCCCCAACAAGUUCAUCAAAUUGGUGCCCCGCUGGAUGUGGAUGCGCACCAUAUUCAAGACCAAACGCCCACCGCUCCAUUGAAAUAUUGCCACGUCCAGUUAAUUUGGAGGUAAGCUUUUAAAUUAGGUUCAAUUAACCUUUAUAAGUACAACUUUUAAUUAGUAUUGUACUCAUCUUGUUGAUCGUGUUUAAUUUUCUAGGUUACACCAACUAAUCUUGAGGACUCAAAUGAUGAUGAUAAUCUUGAAAAUCUUACUGUAAGUGACUGUAAUUCAAUGGAAGUGAUUUUCCAACUAAAGGGACCGAAGAAUGAAGAAAGUAAUCACUCCAUUGAAGCAUUCAAUAAAUUGAGGUCCUUCCAGUUACAUAAGUUGCCAAGUUUAACGCGUGUUUGGGAGGUGGGUAGUUCACAACCAAUGUUCACAGGAAGCAGUUUUGGAAACUUGAAAUCGUUGCAGGUCGAUUGUUGCAACCAGUGUUCUAAAAAUCGGCCUAGGCGGCCGCCUAGGCGCUAGGCGGUGGGCAACCGCCGGGAUUAACGUAAAAUCGGAAGAAAAAUCGGGACAAGGAUUAGGCGGGUGUCGAGGUGGCCUGAGCGGCCCUUGGGCGGCCUAGGAGGGCAACUGGGUGGCCUAGGCGGUCUGAGAAUUUCAAUUUUUCUAUGUUCGAACUUGAGAAAGGAUGAAUGCUUCUGGUUUUUCUGGGCUUCUGGUGGUCUGUGUUCGCGAAGGAGGAAGAAGAUGAGAGAAUUAGUUUCUCUCUCUUCUUUCCAUACCCACGCACGUGAUGUAUUAAACUUUUUUUUUUAUUUUUUAUUUUUUAUUUUUUGUCCAUUAAAAUGUGGACAGCUAGCCUUGACUUUUCUUAAAGAAUAAAGGUUGUCAGGCUAUUAAUUUUUGUGUCAUCCAUCAAGUGCUAUGGAUUUUUUUUGUAGAUAGCGAUGGAGCACUCAUCUCUUCCUGGACAAAGGGCAGACUAGCUGCCAUCUAUAAAAAAAUUAAUAGCCUGACAAAAAAUUAAUUUUUUUCUCAUUAAAAAAACAUUGAUUGUCAGGUUAUCAAUUCAUAGCAUCAAGUGAUAUGGAUUUUUUGGACUUGUUAGAUAAGCAUUUUAUUAUUCUUUUACUAUCUUAUUCAGAGAUUUCAUAUAAGUAUAAUUUUUUGUAAGUAUCAGUAUACAUUUAUUUACAAGAUAUAUAAGAAAUUUACCUAAAUCCGCCUAGACCGCCUAGGCGCCCGCCUAGACCCCGCCUAACCGCCUAGGCGCUAGGCGCCAGUUCACCGCCCGACUAGCGCCUAGCGUUUUUUAGAACCUUGGUUGCAACCAGUUGAAAUACUUGUUUCUGUCCUCCAUAGUCAAACUUCUCGUGAGUAUAGAGGACAUAGAAGUUAAGAAGUGUGAGCAGAUGGAAGAAAUCGUUGCCGCAGAAGAAGAAACUGAUGAAACAAUUACAUUACCUAAAGUGAAGUCCAUCAAGCUUGCAAGUCUGCCAAAACUCAAGUAUUUUUGUGGUGAAGCUUAUACUUUGAAGUUGCCAUCUUUGGAGUUAUUGAGCGUUAUUAGUGUGCAAGACGUAGGGCCAUUUGAUCCUAAGCAUGUUGACACGCAUAAUCCCCGAUUGCAAGUAAAAACCGCAUUUCGACAGGAAUGGACGGGGACCUCAAUGCCACUCUAAGGAACAUUUAUGACACAAGGUAUGCUUUAAAUUAAUGUUUCUAAUUUGCAGUCACUUUUGUGUCCACCUGGAAGACCGCAUCAUCAAUAUACAACCACUGAACCAACAAAUAUUUUCUCCUAAACAAUUACAAUUACGUCAAUAUAAACUUUUAGAGACUACAGUAAUGCUUCAUGCUGUUUGUUCCAACUCUUUCGAUCCUUGAUGCAUGCGUGGGAUUUCUAAUGUUUUUACGAAGGACUGAAGAAUAGCUAGGUUGAUAAUUUGCAGUAUGUGAGCUAUAUAUGCUCAAUCUUACAUUUCUAUUUAUUCAACCAACAAAUACGUUCUGGUUUCGAGCUACAAGCAUAAUAUGGCUAACACCACCACAAUUUUGACUACAAAUUUAGGGAAAUCAAUAUCAACCGUUCAUAUUUAUAUGUGCAUAUGUUCACACUAAAGUGUAUUUAAGUAAUUUUAUUUUUUAAAACUCAAUUCUAUCUCAAGAAAACAUCUGUCUUUUAUUUCUAAAACAGGAAGGAUAACGAUGACGAAUUGUACAGUGAGGAUGAAAAUGAAGAUGACGAAUUCUCUGGGGAGGAUGAAGAUGACUAACAGAAUUGAUUGAUCAAACACAAAGGUUAGCAUGUUUCCAUCUCCAACUUCUUCUAGGUUUAGUAAAAACUGAUGAAAUUAUCUAUAAAGUACUCGAAAAAUUAUUCUUCCAUGUUUUAUAGUAUAUACAUAAAUGGAUAGUACUUUAAAAAUUGAACAAUAAGGAUUGUCGAACCACAUUCUGCUACCUAAUUCAUUUUUUCGAGGUACCCAAUGCAAGUCGAUCUAUAAUAUGCACUCUAAAAGUACUAACCUUGAGAAGCCAUUGAUAUGAACAAGAUUGAACCAUGAUCAGCAACGAACAAGCAAAGAUCUUCCUCUCUCUCUACACCCCUUAUGCACUCCUAUAUGGGGUGGUGUUUUGUGCUAGAAUAAUGUGUAUAAAAGUGGGAUCUAAGCCUUAUAUUUAUAGGUGAGAGUAUUAGGUUUCUUGCCCAUGAAGAAACCCCUAAUACAGAUCUUUAGCACCUCUAAAAUCCAUGACCUAAUAGGAUAGAUAUUCCCAAAAAUUAUUGCUAUACUUCACCAUAAAUAAUCCGGACUAAUCAGAUAUUACUUCCUUUCUUUUAUCCUUAAUUAAUUAGGACUCCUAAAUAGAUGUAAGCCCAAUAAAAGUCUUACACCCAAUAGCAGUUAAGAUGGAAGAAGCUUUUGAGAUUAGCAUCUGCCUCAAGAAACCUUUAUCAGAUUCCACAAUAAUAUUGGAAUAACCUUUUUCUCUUAGCAUGUCUCACCUGAUCUACAACAAGUAUAACCAUUUUGAGAAACACAUAUACAAUAAACAUAACCGUAGUGCUAAGUGACUUGAAAAUUAAUUUAGUCCUUAAACCGCUAUUUUCUGAAACACAAAUACAAUAAGCAUUACCAUUUCAACUUAUUCCAAUUUCAGUGUUUUCUAAUAUUCUCCAAUGCAUGCAGGACAAGCGUUUACAGAACGUUGUGGCUUCAGCAAUUCGUUUACUAUAUCAUAUGUACAAGUCAAUAAAAGGUCAUUUGUUGCACCAGAAUUUCAUUCCAAAAAUACUAUUUAUGUUGCUUAUUUGAUGUAUUAUAAAUUUCGAUUGUGAUUAUUACUGUUUGUUUCUAAAUUAGUGUUUGCUUAUUUGUUAUGGUAAUUUGGAAAAGUUGUCUCUAGCUACCAAUAUUUGCAUUUCAAUUUAUAAUGCUAAAAGUUCUGUAAUACCAUAGACGUGUAAGAUGAAUGACAUGUGUAAGCUAAAUAAUAUUAUGAUACACUAUAACAAUAUGAUCAUUCACUAUAAGGUCUGAUAUUAAUUCAUAAAAUCUGGUUUUCCCCUAAACGUAACGGAAAUCAUAUUUAUCUAGGCAUGCUUAAUAUUUGAUAAAGAAAAAAACAUUUCUUAAAUAAAUGUCCACUCACACCUCCGGCUAGCUCUCCCUUGAGGAGCCUUGUCUACCAAAUAGGUAAGUUCAAGCAACUUCAAGAGAGAAUUUCCUCCACGUUAAGUCUUAAACAUCCACUGGACAGCAGGCAAUUCAAAACCAAAGUAAGCUGCUGAAUACAACUACAAUAAACAAGGAAUUAGGCUAAGUUAUUGUCUUCAUCAUGACAUGAUUUGGCCCCCAUUUUCUAAUUCCGUACCACAUUUUCACAUUAUUUCCAUAAAAUAAUUUUAUAAUUCCUAUGCAAAAGAGUUCAUUCAUUGCCUAUUUCACAACAAUACAAGGUUCUACAGAGUUCAAUCCCACACCAUGUUAUAGAAAUGCUUCAACUAUCAACCAGGACGGUAAUCGUUAGGGGCUUCAACAACUUCACAGAUACAACAAUUACGAUAAGUCUCAUCUCCGACAUUCAUACAGAAAAUCGAAUAAAAUUCGAAAUCAAGAAUCAAUCCCAAAACUGAAAGUUGAAAAUUUGGAAAAAGAACUUACAUUGGAGAACAGCCCACGAGAAGAGGAUCAUUUCUACCUCUUGGGUCGAGGUCCAAUUCCUGCGAUAUUGGCCGGAAGUUGGCCGGAAAACCCUGGGUCACCGUUUCUUAAAUUAGAAAUUGAGGAAAAUCGCCUACGAAUUUAUAGAAACUAACAGGGAUUGGAUAAAGGACGGCAAGAGCAUUCUGGAUGUGUAGUUUGACAGGCGUUAGUGACCUGUGAACGACGGAGACGUUGUGUCGGCAGUCGUCGGCUCGCUAGGAGAAGAGGGAGAGAGGAUGCAGGAGGGAGGAGAGACAAAAAGAAAAGGAAAAGAAACAAAGAAAUUUAAAAUAGAAAUGAAAAAGAAAGGUAACCGGACUGCAAAGGUAAUCAGCAUACAAAAUUAUCAUACUAUCCUUAAACUUUGUAGCUAUGUGAAAUCUUCAUUUUAAUUCUAAAUUUUCUUAUGCUUGCGCUCACAGGUUCUUAUUAGAGCAGUUCCACCGGAGGUGGAAUAGCCCAGUACCCAGUCAAAAAAUCAGGUUAGCACCCUGUUAAUUCACUCCAGCCCGUGAAAUCGACUAGCACCCAGCCUAAGCCAGUCUACGGGCCGGCCUAAAAUCGACAGACCUUGGGACCGACCUAUCUGACGUCAGCGUGGCGUCGGAGGGCAUAUGACGUCAGAGAAGGAGUUGUUGUGGAGGCUGAGGAGCAGAGCUGGUUGAGGCGGGAGAGGAUGUCGAGAGGGAAGGAACCAUGGAGGGAGAACGACGGAAGGACAAAGCGACAGCGUCGGAGGUGUGGAGAUGCAGGAGGACGAAUCGACGGUGUUGAAGGACAGGAGGUGUGGAGACGCUGUAGAGGAGCUAGUUGUUGAGAUGUGGAGAUGCAGGAGGUGAGGAGAUGCAGGAGAUGUAGGAAGUGCAGGGGUGGAUGGCGUGCAGAAAUGGAAGGGAAAGGAGGUGUGGAAGAUGAGAAAAUAAUAAUAAUUUUUUUUUAUAAAGUUAGAAAUUAAAAAUAAAAAUAUUAUUUUUUAUUAUUUUAUAAUAAAAAAUAAUAAUUUUUUAAUAAAAUUGACUAGGCUAUUUUUUUUAGGGAUAGAGAUGCAUUGGCCUAUUGCUGUUCAUUAUGGUUUAUCACUGUUCACUUGAGUGGAUAAAUGCACUGGAUGCUGGCGUAAAGUCUUUAGGGGUGGACUUGCUCUUAUGCGCACUACGAAAAGAUAUUAUGUGAGUUUUCGUUGAGAAUUUUUUUGAUGGAGGCAUCCAUGAUUUGCAAGGCCCACCAUGGCAAAGCUAGGUAUCGGCCUGACAUGUGAAGACACCAUCGCGGAGAAGAAUCUGGAAAGUUCAAUCCUUGUAUUUUUCUUAUAUAAUGGUGUCGUUUUAGUGAACUGAAUGUUUCGAUUCCAACAUCUAAAAUACUACAAUUGGAAUUUUUACAUACUACAAUUGGAUUGUAUCUUAAAAUUCUGAAGUUUUGGAUUGAAUUACCACUACCAAAAAUGUGAGCAUUGGUCACAAUCAUGCUGCUUUGUGUUGGAUUUCGUUAGAGAUCAUAAUUAAUCAAUCACCCAUAUUGUGUCUCCCUCCAAAAGCUCAAACUGAAACCUAAACUCCCUCGUCGACCAAAAAAAAAAAAACAAUCCUUGAACUCCCUAGCAAAUCAGAGCCCAAUUUGACAACCAAGAUCUUCAUCGUUCGAGCAUCAAUGUUCUCUUAAAUUUGCUGCGAGCAACCUACCAUGAAAUCUCCUUCAUGGACAUCUCAUAAAAUUAGAAUGGUACAAAGAAGAGUAGUGUCACUCCUAAGCUAGGAUUACACGUUUGAAUCGCAAAAUAGUUCCUCCUCCACUCUUUGAUUCUCUCUUUCACCGGCUAACAAUAUUUUACAUUACCAUCUUUUGCUCUAUUUGACUGAAGGACAAAUUUUGAUUGUCUAAAUAUUAUAUUAAACUACAAAUAAUAUUGAUAUUACUUUAGUCUAAAGAAGGCUUUUCAAUUGCAUUGUACCAAUGAAUAGUGUUUUGAACCACAUUUCAGUUUAUUUACAAGACUGCCACUGGGACGCUUUUAGCCAACUUUUGCUUUAUUUACAAAAAUGCCACUCAGGCUUAAGACUCGAUUUUCAGCCGCUGCAUCUCAGGUUUUUACUAGGGGAAAGAGAGGGGAGGGGGACAGAACGAGCAGAGAGAGAGAGCCUGCGGCUUGCAGAAUUACGAUGAUAGAAGAAGAAGCUCAAAAGUUUGAUACGCCAAGUCGAAGGAACCCUAAAAACCAGAGAAGAAGAAGAAGCUCAGAAAUCGGGUGAGGAUGUUGACAAAUCAGCAAGCCCAGUUUUAGGCGACUCUGCAAAACCAACAACCUAACCUCCGACGAACGAUGUUAGAGGGGAUUCGUCAGAUUCGAGUCGAACCGAGGCCGUCGUCGACUAAGAGAACAUUAUCGAUCCCGACUUUUGGAUCGACUCCCUUUACCUGCUCCCUGUCUGUUACUCCUGCUCCGUCUCUCUUCUUGCAAGUUCGCUCGGGUUCUUCUCCCCAGUUAUUUCAAGCACAAAAAAUUCUCCAGUUUCAUUCGUCAGCUCAUACAUACGUAAGCUCUUCGCCUCUUAAUAUUUUGAUUUAGGUUAAUUGUUAAAUUCUUGAAAAAAAUUGAAAGCAUUGUUCAUUUUUGUCCCAAAUUGGUUUGGUUCUGGUUUGGAAACAGAAAUUAAAACAUAUACUCCUUCAUCUACGAUUCACUUAUUCCAUUCCAGAUAUUUCUCCAUUUCUCUCUUAAUUUCUUACUUUUUGAUUCAAGCGUUUAAUUUUUUAUUAAUUAAAUUACAAAUAAGUAUUAUUGACUUUCAUUUGGUACCAAUCAAUCAAGUGAGAGAUGAGUUGUUUGAAUGUUUGAUUUUACUUGAAUCAGAGUCUCCAAGGAGGAGAAAGAGAAGGAUCCGAAUGAUUUAGGGUUUAGGUCUUAGCGUGUGAGCAGGCGUAUUGAUGACUGUAAUCAAGGUAUCACUUAAGCUCUAAUUGUGACUAGUAAAUUUUGAAUGACUGCUGGUUACUGUUAAAACCCCAAAUGUAUGCAAUCCCACGUUCCAAUUUGUUGUGUGAAGAUGCGGACCACAAUUGCUUCCUCUCAGCACAAUUAGUUUCCACGAUUACUCUUAAACCCUAAUUGUCUCUCCUCUAUCUAAAAUCCAUUUUUCGAUUUUUGAAUACGGUAAAUGGAUAUUGUUUCUAUGUGCAGGUGUUACUCGGAGAAGUUUGAAAGGCCCUGGGACAAUGAGGAUUGCAUUUCAGAGUAGCAGAAAUACAAGGCCACCCUCUCUUUGUGUAUCCAAUCUUACCCUUCUCCUAAAUUUUUAUCAAACUAUAGGAUUUAUUUUGCUGAUUUUAUUUUUUGCGAUUUGAGUUUUUAUCUCCUGCUUAUUUUUUAUUUUUUUGCCGAGGUAUUACUUUUCCUUUGACUAGAAAUUUUAGUGUUUUUAAAGUAUAAUGUUAUCAAAUUCUAAUUUUCUAAUUUUCUGAUUUUGGCCUUUUGCAGGGAGUGCUAAGAUACUAAAUUUUUGGGAUUUUUUAUCUUUGCAUGAUUUUUGGUCUUUGAAAUGGGUAUGUGCUGUUUUUAACGUUUUGGUUCUCAAAUGUUUCGUUCUUGAUUUCUGUUUUCUGCCUCCUUCUAGGUUGCUUCGUGAUUUUCAUUUUCCAUUGUUGGCUUAUGGAAUUUAUAAAAAUGGUUGUAGUUUUGUGACCAAAUCCCAAUAAGAGUAUGCCGAAACACAGAUUAGCAUGUAGUGAACAUACGUUGAAUUAGAACAAAAUUUAAUAUAUAAGUGAAGGCAUGUGCAGUGAACAGACAUUGAAUUUAAAAUUGAUAGGGUAGUUAAGCUUCUGCCUUAGUUAUUCUUUGUCACUCACUUUUGGAAUUUAAUUCAUUCAUUUCAAAGUCACUCAUGUACUCUGUCUUACUUUAUUCACUCAUGUUUAGUAUGCACCAUUGAAUUUUUUUGUCAUAUAUUAUUCACUCAUCUACUACACUAAUGUUGAGAUUUGGGUAUCAUUUGUUUUCUCAUAUGUCAUGUUUUUAAGCCAAAUCUAAUAUAUAAAUGGAUCCAAAAACUCCUGAUGUAGCACAUUUAAUUUGUUCAAAUAUUGAUUCUUUUCCCUCUAUUCACUUCAGUUGUCGUGUUCUUCUUCGUUCUUUUUUCAACGGCAAAGCUGGACGAUCCAUGGAGCACAUGUUGUUGAGCCUUUUGCCACUACUGGUCUGGUCCAAUUCGAAGGAGUUGUUGGAGUACAAUCUUUAGGCCCUUUGGAGGAGCUGAAAAACCAGUCUCGACUCUGCUGACCUAGACAUAUUCCGAGAUAUGCUCCAGCUCCAUAACGAAUCGGACAUCAGCCCGGUUCACUACUCUCACUCUUUCCUGCUUUCAUUCUCAAUUUUUUUUUGGAAUUUUGCGCUGAAUUUCAUUUGGGUAAUUUGUGAAGUUUUGUUUUUUUUUCUUCUUUUGUUAGGCAGCUUUUGGUGUGCCUGCGAAUGUUGAUUCGGCGAUGCGUUUACAAUAACGUCAAGAGGGAAAAGAUUCAAAAGAUGUUCCCAGUGUAGCUAUUUUAUAAUUGAUGAGGCUGUUGGUGCUUUUGAUGCGGAAGUUUCAGCGAGAAUGACGGCGAGAUGCACACAAGGAUCAGGUUAGAGAUCUGUGUUGUUUGACAUUUCUGUGUAAACAUUUUUGAGUAUCAAAUAUAUCUCAAAUUUAGGGUGUCGGUUAUGGGCUACUAAAGCGGAAAGUUCUUUUGGCUCAUACAUUAAAGCGGCAUGUGCUUUUGGCUCAUACAUUUAAUUUGUUCAAAUAUUGAUUCUUUUCCCUCUAUUCACUUCAGUUGUCGUGUUCUUCUUCGUUCUUUUUUCAACGGCAAAGCUGGACGAUCCAUGGAGCACAUGUUGUUGAGCCUUUUGCCACUACUGGUCUGGUCCAAUUCGAAGGAGUUGUUGGAGUACAAUCUUUAGGCCCUUUGGAGGAGCUGAAAAACCAGUCUCGACUCUGCUGACCUAGACAUAUUCCGAGAUAUGCUCCAGCUCCAUAACGAAUCGGACAUCAGCCCGGUUCACUACUCUCACUCUUUCCUGCUUUCAUUCUCAAUUUUUUUUUGGAAUUUUGCGCUGAAUUUCAUUUGGGUAAUUUGUGAAGUUUUGUUUUUUUUUUCUUCUUUUGUUAGGCAGCUUUUGGUGUGCCUGCGAAUGUUGAUUCGGCGAUGCGUUUACAAUAACGUCAAGAGGGAAAAGAUUCAAAAGAUGUUCCCAGUGUAGCUAUUUUAUAAUUGAUGAGGCUGUUGGUGCUUUUGAUGCGGAAGUUUCAGCGAGAAUGACGGCGAGAUGCACACAAGGAUCAGGUUAGAGAUCUGUGUUGUUUGACAUUUCUGUGUAAACAUUUUUGAGUAUCAAAUAUAUCUCAAAUUUAGGGUGUCGGUUAUGGGCUACUAAAGCGGAAAGUUCUUUUGGCUCAUACAUUAAAGCGGCAUGUGCUUUUGGCUCAUUUCUUUACAAAAGUUGAAUAUUUGAAUCUGCUUAUUUAUGUUUUGAAAUGAGUGUGUUUGUUAUUCAUGUUUUGGGAAUGUUAAAUCUUUUUAAUUUUUUCGUUCCAGGACGAAAAUAUUUAACGAAAUGAAUUCUGACUAUAAAGUUAAUUGAAGCUCUGAAAAAUUUUGUGGUCGAAAAGGAUGACAGAUUACUAUAGUUUUUUUUCCUUCCUAUCCAAAAACUACCUUUGAUUUUCUUGAUUGUGCGUAUAUUUAAUAUUUGCUAUUAUAAUCGUUCCCAGUAUAAUAGCAGAACCUACUAGACGAGCAGGACCAAGUACCCGACCCUCUACAACAAAAUCAGCCUGCUCAGAAACCCUAGCUUGAAUGCGGUUCCAGAGCUCGACGACUGGGUCUACAAUGGCAACAAAGUCCGAGUCACCGAGCUUCAGCGCAUCAUUCACGACCUCCGAAAGUGGAAACGCUUCUCCCAAGCCCUCCAGGUUUCCAUCUUUCUUUCUUACCUUGCAAUUUGUGUUAUCCCCUGUUUGGUUGCUCAGAAAAUGAAAGAAAAUUGAAAGAAGAAUCAAAGUAAUUAAAUUUUAGUUAAAGAAAGUGAGUGAAUGAGGGAAUUAGGAUUUUUGUUAGUUUAUGUGUUUGUUUGUAUCAUAAGUAAUCGGAAUUUCCUCUGCUUUCAUAAUAAUGUGUUUUAGGUUGCAGAUUUCAGAAUGGAUGAAUCAGAAGGGGAUAUGCAUAUUUUCGCCGGUUGAGCAUGUCGUGCAACUGGAUUUGAUUGGGAAGGUAGAAUUUUGCACGAAUUGCUGUCAAAUAAAGCCAGUUUGAGCCUAUGGGUCGAAUCCUAUUGGACAUUGUUGCAUCAUGGAGCAUGUGAUUGUUGGGAAGUUUAAGCUGGGGAGGAAGAUUGGGAGUGGGUCUUUCAAAGAACUCUAUUUAGGUAUGGUAAUCAGUGCUUGAUAUCCUUUUUUCCUUAGAAAAUUAUUCAUUGUGUUAAUUUAAUGUGUUUUGUAAUGAAAUUGCUCUUCUGGUGUUAGGUGUAAAUGUACAUGGUGGGGAGGAGGUUGCUGUUAAGCUGGUAUGUGAUCGAUCGUCAAAUCUUAUAUUUAGUUCUGAUGUUUGGUUUAUGGCUAAAUGUUUGCAAGCAUUGUAUAGUUUUGUGCCUGAUUGUAAAUGGGCGGCUUCAUUAAUGUACUAGGGUAUGUUGAGUGUGAGCUUCUGGUAAUUCAUUAUGAUUUCAUGUGUGCUUCCAUAUAUAUUGAAAUUGUCCAGUUUGCUCAUGGAUGUUUCUGUAUGAUUUUGCAUGUCUCCCUUGAUAAAAGCUUGAGCAAAAUAUGCUUAUGAAAUCGAUAUGUGGUUUAGCUUUAUAAUUGUGCCUGCAUCUGUACUGCUUAUUUGCUACCCAUCUAAACAUAUAACUUUAUAUGAGAUAGCCCCCCAUUUGAAAAUGAGUGUUUUUAUGCGAUGUUUAUAUUUGUAGGCACUGGAAUUAGUGUCUUUUGUUUUUAUUUUGAUCUCAGUUACUCAAAACUGAAUUUUUUGUUGGUGUGAAUAUAUAUGUCAACAUUUAAUAUCAGCAUUUGGAGUGAAUCAAAUUCAUUUUAAAUUUUCUUAAAUUUAUUGAUUAUCAGAUGACAUAGUUAACAACUUCUGUGAUUUUAAAACACUUGGAGGUGAGAUUUACAUAAUUAAAUAGUCAAUUGAAAAAUUGAAAUGAGAUGUUAGUUUUACCUGACUGAUUUCUUUGUUGGGUUUAUUACUGCUCAAUGUUAAAACCCAAAAAUGGUUUUUUGGGCAAGUGGUGAUUGGCCCGCCUGUGUCAGGAAAGACCACUUACUGCAAUGGCAUGUCUGAGUAUAUCUAGCUCAUCCGAAGGUAAAAAAUUUCACUCUGAAUUCUGGGUUUUCAAGUUUUUCCAUGGCUUCAAUUUUGGUUUUUGAAUACAUCUGAAAUAUUUACAGUGGCAAUUUGUUGUUUUGGUGUGCAGGAAAGUUUUUGUGGUAAAUUUGGAUCAUGCAGCCGAUGCAUUGCCGUAUCCUUUUCGGGGUUUUAUUUUUUUCAUGUUUAUUGUUCGUAAUUUGUAGUGUUGCACUGCAUUCCAAUGUCGAAUAUUGAGGGUAAUAAAGUAGAGCUACUGGUUCAUCUUUCAUUUGAUCUUCUACUAAUUUCGAUUGAAUUCCACAAAUUUUUUUUAUUUGCUUAGUUUAAUUUGUUGUUGUUCAAUUGUUAUGAAGAUCUGUGAAUGUGUAUGAAUUAUUGGUUCUGAUUUUUGUUGAACAAUGUGAAGUUGCUUGGUGUUUUAAGUUCUUGAUCCAAAGAAAGUUGCGUUAUUUCGUAAUGACAUUGCCGUUUGUAGUGGUUGUUUGGAUUACUGUGUCAUUUUAUUUAUGCAACACUUAUAUGAUACCUUUCUUAUUGGCUGUAUGUAAAUCAUCAAUAUCUUAUGGAUUAAUAUGCUUACCAUUUCGUAUACAUAUGUUUUUUAUUCAUGUUAAAACUUUUUGUAUUAUUUUUGUGUUUGUCAUUGGCAGGUGAAUUUGUAAACAUUCAUAGUUAUCCAUAGGACCUUGAGGGAGUAUGCAAUUAGUAUUCAUAUAGAUGGUUAUUUGUGUUAACGAUGAAAGCAUAUGGUUUAGGUUUGUCCUCAAAAUUUAUGCUUAGUUGUAAUAAUGCUUUUGCUUAGUUGUUCAUGUAAAAAUGGAACAAUUUUUUUUUGUACAUAUGUCAUUUUAUAUUCGUUUAAUGUUUGAACUUAUGCUUAUGAACUUGGUUAUUGGUAGGGCUCUUCUAGAGGCAGUGUUGGCGUGUAGAUGAUGUGGAAGUAGGCGAUGAGGAGGAAAUGACAAAGGUGGAGGACCAAAAGGUCUUAUAGAAGAAGAAGAAGCUCAGAAGUCUGAUACACCAAACAACUCCAUCUGAAAGAGGAAGAAUCCAAGGGUAAACCCCUUCAAACUCUUCGAUUAUGGUGUUCUUUAGUCGAUUGCAAGACUAGAACUUGAAAAACUAACACAUGCAUAUAAUUUUUUUAUGAAGGAACUGCAGUCCAGUGGUUGUAUAAAACAAAAGGACAACGCAUGCUCUCUCUCUCAUAGUAGCUCUGUGUUCCUCUCCCCCCAAACCUAAUGGCUUCAUCCCAAUUCGGAGCCUGCUCGAAUCGGGACUUCUUGGAGAUUCGGAUCUCCAGGUGAGAUAAUUUUCCCCAAAUUGUAUUCAAUCUAUGUUGCUUCAUUUCAUUUUCCAUUUUAAUUUGGAAUUGUUGAUAUUUUAGGCGGGUAUUGCAUGUAUAACCACAACAAUUUUUGUGUUGGAUUGGGGUCAAAUUGUCCAGCUUUAUUAGCUAUUUGGUCGCCUUUGUAUUUGUAAUCUGAAUAAUAUGAAUUAGGGUUUUUCUGUUAGUGUCCAAUUGGUCAAGAAAGGAUGCUUCUUUUUUGUUAUCAUGCAUAUUUAAGCUGUAAACAUCUGAAAAACUGCUUAAUUGAAGUGAUAUUUCCAGUUUUUUAGCUCAGUUUCAGGUUUUGACCUUUGAAUUUGUUUACAUGUAUCCCAGCUGAAGCUAUGUACAUCGUAGUUUAAGGGGAUUUUGCUCAAAAUCUGGAGAGCUCUCUCGCUUUGCUCUCUAUGUAAACCCGAGAGAAAUUCCAUGGAAACAUCACGCCUGCAAACGAAGUUGCAGGCCUACACACAAGCAAACUCCAUCUGAAAGCCAAAGAAUCCAAAGGUAAAUCUCUUCAGCUUUCUUAGCUAUUUGGUCCUGUGUAUUUGUAAUCCGAAUAAUAUGAAUUAGGGUUUUUCUGUUAGUGUCCAAUUAGUGAAGAAAUGAUGCUUCUUUUUGUUAUCAUGCAUAUUUAAGCUGUAAACAUCUGAAAAAGCUGCUUAAUUGAAGUGAGAUUUCCAGUUUUUGAGCUCAAUUUCAUUUCUUAUAGACAAUUUUUUUUCAAGAUUUCUGGGUUUCUUUUUGCUGCUUCUUUGUUAAAUUACUCAUCUGGAAGUUAAAUUUUGUUCAAAUACCAAGUAUUGUUCUUCAAUUAAAGAUUUAUGGGUUUUUUUAUUGCUUCUUUUCUGUUAAAUUACUCAUCUAGAAGUUAAUUUUGUUCAAAAACUUACUGUUCUUCAAUUAAUCUUACAAGAAAGCAUAUGAGAAUGUGGCACAUUAGGUGUUCGAUGAAAUGUGUCUGAGAAUCUGUCAGUAUGAUAUAUUAUAAUUCUGAAUCUCCUCUUCAGCUCUGGCCACAGGUGCGCGAAGGCGACAUGAUCCUGGUCGACAGUUCGGAGCUCUGGCGAUUCUGACUAAGAAAGAGGUCAAUAACAACAAGGUAAUGGAAUUCAAUGUUUUGUGUUUGUUAUAGAGGCAUAUUUGCAACAGUAUAUCAGAUAAUAAUUCUAGAUAGUAUGUCCAGAUGGCAUAGAUUGUGUUUCAUGAUGCAUAUGGCUGAAGCGGUUUUGGCUACUUUUUUUAUUGCUCAUUAAAUUUUUUGCUGCCUUUGGCUGGUACAAAUAUAUAUAAGAAGUACUAUCCUUUUAUCAACUUUUACCAAGUCAAAUUUAGGAUCCAUUUGUACUCAUGCGCCAUUGGGGUAAAGUGCAUGUGCUUUUUUUUUCUGUUGUAUAUUUUCAUCUAGGGGAUAACGUUUUGUUGUUUGUUGGAAGGAAUAUUAAAACACAUCCACACCCUAUUUUGUCAUUGUUCUAAAGUAUCUCAUGCUGGUUUUAGAAUUCUCCCGACUUUCUAACUCAAAUAUGUGCCAAGAGAACCCAACUAAAGUGGUUCGCCGCUCCAUGUAUGAAGUAUUAGUGAAUUAUUUGUAAUUUUACAUAACCAAAAGAAAAUUUUUGCGUUGUAUGCAUACAUAUUGAAAUUUAUGUUAUAAAUUUUUUGAAAAGAAACAGAUGUAAAUUAGAAUCAUACUAAUAUAGGUAUGCUGUAUACAUAACUUUGAUAAUACCAUAAGUUCAGAAUUAAUCUUUAGUGUCAUUAAAAAAUUUAUGUAAAUUUAUAUACAUAAAUUUGAUAGCACCAUAAACUUGGGGUAUUGUUAUAUUUAGUACAGGCAAUAUGAUGCCGUUCAGGUGUUUUUAACUAAUAUCUGCAGUUUUUCAAUUCAUCUGGGGUAUUUGUGAUUUGAACGACACUAAAAAAUUUUAUGGGUUAUAGGAACUGCAGGUUAAAAAAAUGGGUCAAAUUCAGAGCUGCAUUCGUCUUCCCUCAAAAUAAGAAGAAAAUGCUUCCUCAACUACAUAUUUUGCAACCUCAGGUAUAUUUGUGUUCUAAAGGCUUUUACUUCCUCCGGUUUCUUCAGAGCUAUUAUUUUACCCAUAUAUGAUUUGUAAAGUGGAAGAUUGGAUUUCAUAUGUCUGAGUAUUUAGGGUUUUGCACAAUGCAAACUUGAGCUUUUGAUCCAAAUGGCUAGAACAGUGUACUCGACCAAUUUCAUAUCCUCUUGGGCUAAUGAGAGUAUAUUACUUGCCACUGGGGAAUUCACUUCAUAUAAGCCAUAGAGAGAGAGAGAGAGAGAGAGAGUCACAUUUUUGUUUUUUUUUUUUUGGAUUUGGUAACUGAAAUUUUAUAUGUGUGAACUACAUGUUUCUUCUGUUUCUUAAGGAAACAGAAAUUUUUUGGAAACCAUCUCUUUCUAAUCAAAGACAUUGUGCAAUGUGUUUAUAUGCCAACUCACUUGAAUGUAUAUAAAAGCAAAACAGCUUCACUUAUUGACCUCAAUUCACUCAUGUAUCCCUCUGUUUGUUCACGAUUGUGUUGAAUUUAUUCAAUUUAAAUAUAUUUUAUUCAUUUGAUUAUACCUGAAACAACAGGUUCCCGCAACAACGUGCGGGCAUAUUUUCUCGUUAUAUAUAUUACAAUGUGACUGGAAUUGUAGUACCCAACAUUUUGUUGUCCAUGAAGUGGCCAACUCGCCCUCUCUGAUAUUCUUUAGUCCGGUCCAUUUUGAGUUUAACCAAACUCAUUCUUUUAUAAGCAAUGUAUUGUGGGCAUCGUUGGAGCACGAGACAUUAUUUUAUAAUUCCUCUUUGGUUGAGCUAUUAAUGUCAUUGUUUAACAAUUUAGUGAUAUUUAUCUUUACUUGUAGAUGAGAGGUUUCAGGUUCGAAUCUCGGGAGUGAUGAUUUGUUGUAAAUAUACCAUAAAAGAAGAAGAAAAAAAAAAGCAAAUCAUCAUUUACCACAGUAGUAGAAAGGUGUUGAGCCCUUGUAUAUGAUGGCGUGAGUUUGAACGUAGUUGGUAACUAAUCUAACAUGUAAUCUAACAAAAUUUAUCAUUUGAUAAAAAAAAAUAUAAUACAAAAACACGAAAAUGCCCUUAAAGUCCAAAGUGCCCCCCUCUGCCCUGCCGCUUCCUGCAAGUUCUUUCCUCGCCCCUAUUUCCCUCACUUUCUCCCUAUCAGACGUUCGAAGACUCAAAACUGUUUUUAACUCUCUCCCUCUCUCUCACUCUCUCCUUCUCACUCUUAAAUGUCGCCCUUUCUCACUCAUACGCACGCUCAAUGAUCUCUGAAGCACCAAUUGCUCUUCGCUUUGGCUCUCUGCAUCUCACCAGAGGUAAAAUGCCCCAAAUUUAUUUAUUUAUUUUUUUACUUUUUCCUCUAAAUUUAAUUCAAUGAAUUUUUUGUGUACCCUUGCAGUAAUACAGGAAGAUUUUUGUAGUAUUUCUACUUGCUGGAUGAUACUGAAAUAAUUAUUGGGAGUUUGAAGAAUUUCUGGUUUGUAUGAUAUAUUUGCUAAAAGACCCAAAAUUUUGAAGCAGAGCGGCGGUAUUUGAUAAGAAAAUCAUCUGAUGAGUCAAUGGAGUCGUCAUCGCCUCCAAAGGAGAACGAAAAAAGCUCGAAACAAGCUUGCGUAGAAAUCAACUUGGAAGAUCUUGCUGUUGAUCCCGGGCUGCGCACUCGAAUUUGGGAUUAGCAUCCCAGUUCAAGUUCGAGAGUAAGUUCGAAGAGCAUAUAUACAAAAGGGUCCUUUUCAGAGUCGAGACCAUGACUUCCCCAGCAAGAAUACUAGUGAGGGACCGAGAAAGUUUAUAUCUGCUUGGUUUAUGAUUUUCCGACUUGGUUGGUAUUGUCUAUGUUGUUAUCUGUUUAAGCUAAAUACAGGAGAGCAAGCCGGCGGUGAUUGCUUGGUUAGUAAAGGGUUUUCGAAUUGGAAGAAGGAAAGGUUGCAGGGUCAUGUUGGAGGACGGAAUAGCGGCCUCAACCAAGCUUGGAGAACCUGUGAUGCUUUAUUAAAGCAACACCAAGCAUGAAUAUGAAGGUUCAAACAACGAAGGAGUUUUUCUUGGACUCUGGAACUUCCACUGUGGUCGUCAUGAGGAGUUAAAAGUUAUCACAUUGAGAAAUUCUCCCUUAAGUCUGAAGUUGACUUCACCUGAUACUCAGAAGGACAUCAUAACUACUUUUUCAGUGAAAUUAUCAAUGCAAUCGUUAAAGAUAUUGGUAGUUCGUACUUUUCCAUUCUUAUCGAUGAGCUUCAUGACAUGUCUUCAAUGAAGCAAUUGGCUAUUGUAAUACGUUUUGUGGAUAAAGGUCAACUGAUCGAGCCUUUUUUUUAUGUGUUGUACAAGCCACUGAUAAUACUGCUGACUCACUUAAGGUGGCUAUUGAUGAUUUCUUUUCUACCCAUGGAUUAAGCAUGUCAAAGCUAGGGGCAAGGUUAUGGUGGGACUAGUAAUAUGAUUGGUGAGUUGAAUAGUAUUAAGACACUUAUAAUGAAGGAGAAUGAGUGCAUUUUACGUUCGUUACUUUGCUCACGGCAGCGAGAGACACGAAAUGCCCACGCCCUCACGAAAGUACUGUCGGCGUUCUCCAACAAGGACGUAGUCGUCUUGCUUGAGGACGAGCGAGUGCUCCAGAUAACUGUUCGCCAUCCGAACCACCCACAAGAAAGGCUGCUUGCUGUUGGCCAGACCCCAUGCCAUUGCAGCUAGUUUUUUACUGUCCAUGAAUGCUGUGCUUCCUAGGCUUACAUAGAUGACAGAGUUGUGUGCUUGUUUAACGAGCCAUGACGUACAACUCUGGUCCUCUUUCAACAAGCUUGUAGACGGGGAUGGAACAGUUUUGUGCAGAGGACCGGUAGGAAAUAACGGAAUUUGGUACUCUUUUUGAAGCCGUGCCAGCGAUGAUUGUUCAAGGCCGUCCCGGUGUUCCAAAUGACGGCUGAAGAUGACCUUUGAAUCGUGUGCUUUCACUAGUAGUUGCAGUAAGCCGUCCAAAACUCUGCCAUCUUAAUGGUUGGAGUCCUGGUGCCAGUUCCAGCAUUAUAGAAUCUGUACACAGAAUGGUCAAGCAUCAGAGAUCUUAAGGUUAGUGCAGACAGUUGCAAAAGUUAUAAAAAUCAUAGAGUCAUCGAGUCUUUUUCCCUUAAAAAGGUUAAAAUCAAUCAAUUAAUUGAUCAAUUUGAUGCAUUUACAUCUCAUAGUUAUUGUGUCAAGACGGAAUUCGAAAAAUUUGAGAUGUCUGAUUGUUACCUUGAAUUGAAAAGUAACCAUCUUAUAGGAAUUACUUGGUAAGUCAUCGUGUUUGCUGCACUGCUAGUAGUCAAUAUAAUGCUAGGCAACCCUAGAUGAUUAGCCACCUCUACUGUACUCAUCAUAGAUGAUGCAUGAAAUCUUGGAGUGGGGACUUGCAGUUAGACAUUAAAGCCUAAUAUUGCAGCAAUAAAAUUGUGGGACGAGAUAUUUUUCUCUCAUAAGCCAUCGGAUAUCUCUAAGAAAUCGAAAUCAGGGUAGUUCGAAGGAAAGUUGAAGUUGGUGUGAGGGACUGUGAUGUAGAAGCCCUCGGAGUGAAAGAUAGCGCCCAGUUGAAGUAUUGGAGUUAUGUUCCCUUGGAAUGGGCAUGGAGCCAGCACUAAUCUGUGGCUUGUACGUUGUGUUUCCAUUGCCCUUAAGAUUUGUGUAGCUAAAAGGAGUACUUCACAUGGUGGACAUUAUGAAGGCUUAUGAUAUUCUGGAUUGGGAAUUUCUUUUAGACACUCUUUCAGAUUUCCAACUUCUAUGAUUAAUUGAAUUUGUUGUUGUGUGAAUAGUACUAAGUUUUUAGUUUCAGUUAACGGCAAGCUAGCGAGUUUUUUCUCCUAGUAAAAGGGGGCAAAGGCAAGGGGACGCUCUAGUUGCUACAACAUCCUAGUUUGCAAAUCGUUUGAAACAGAAAUCAAAACCGUUUGAAACCAAAUUGAACCGCAAUCAAAUGGUUUGGUUUUAUCUUGAUUGGUUUAAGCUUCAAAUUCACACCGAACCGAACUGGCAAAAAAUUCAGUUUCACUUUAAAACCGCACAGAACCAAACCGUGUCCAUCCCUGGUCUGCAUUGGAGGAAAACUGGGGAAAACCUCCCGGUAACCUCAACUCUGAUGGAGAAAAUGUAUUGGAGAUUGAAGAUUGUGAAUUUUUGUUUUUGUUGUUCUCCAUAAGAUUUCCAUUCAAAAUUUCUAUACGAUUUUUUGCCUUCUCUUGUAAUUUCACUAUGAUUACAUACCAUAAUUGAAUAGUACAAAUUAGUCCCGCCUGUUGCCUUGUGGGCUUCAAGUCCUUGGUGACCCUCCGACAGCCAAGGAAACGACAACCCACUUCUGAGAUCGGAAGCUAGCGUAUGGAGACGGCGUGUCGGAGAUUGUCUUGACGGUGGAUUCGAGCUGUGGCAUCUGAAUCUUCUUGAAACCGGUACCUGGCUGACUUGCAGAGCCACCAUCGCAAAGAAGAAGAAUCCGAAAAGCCCAAACCUUAUCUUUUUCUCCUAUAACGAUGUCGUUUUAGUGAAUUGCUUUUACGUUCUCAAACGUCCAUGUCAAAAUUCAAUUAAACCCAACAAUAUUCAUCACAAUUUACAUCAUUUCAUGGUAGAAACGUUGCAAUUAAAAUUGUGCAUAUUAUUGUAUAAAAAUAUCUCGAAAAAAAUUUAUUCUUUUGUUUUUGGUCAAAGAACUAAUUUCAUUAAAGAUAAAACAAAUUAAAGUAUCGUUUGCUAAAAACACACUAAAGUAAAAGUGCAGUCUUUUACAAAAGUAAAGUAAGGAAACAAGCCCCAAAAGUAAGGUAAAAUUUAUUCAUUUUGAUGUCGUUUAGUCAUGCAAAUUAAAUGAAUAUUUUUAAAAUAGUGGUGUUAUCAACACUUUUUUUUUUAGAAAAAUUAAUGAAAAAUGUUUGAAAACUUGAGUUUUUACGAAAAUGACAAAAUAAAGGGUAAAGUAAAUAGUACCAGAAUUGACUUUUUAGUGUAAAAAUAUAAUUUUUCGUUAAAGUGAAUAGUAUCAUGAGUUUUUGUUAAAGUUUUUUUUUUUUUACUUUAACACAUCUUUACUAAUUUCUAUCCUUUAAAAUAAUGUUUUUUUUUUGGGGGAAAACUUAAAAUAGUGUUUUUUAGCCAAAUUAGAACUGCAUAAGUAAACCUAAUACAUCAAAUUAACAAUGCAAUUGCUAUAACUUUACUUUUUGCAUAUCUCAAAACAUUCAACGCACACAUUAAAAUCCCACGUGACUCACUCAUAAGGCGAGGUUGAGAAGACUCGCUAGACACGUAGCUUGCCACUUCAAGAGUAAUUGCAAUGUUUGAGUCCCACUAAAAUAAAAUAAACAAUAAAACUCGAAAUUAAAAUUAAAUUUCUCCCUAUUCCAACCUUCUCUCUCCGAUAAAAUGCAAAUGCCUUUAACUUAUCAUUCUAAUUGCACAAUGUAAAAGAUAAUAUCGAAUGUAAAGAUUUACAUUUUUUUACAGUGCGAUAUUAUACACUAGUUUAAUUAUAUAGAGCAUCCAAUUCGACAUUACAUGUGAUAUUAAGUCUGAUUCUACAGAAGAAAAAUCUCACAGCGGGACAAAUUUUUAAAAGCCACAGAUACUUUAAAUAAACAAUGAAGUCUUUAUGUAUUGUGUGAUGUAUUAGUGGUGGUUUUUAUCAUUCAAGCAAUAAUGAUCCACUAGCCUCCAUGCGCGCUCAUGCACGUGCAUAAAGUAUCACGGUAUGCUAUAUGAGAUUUACACGUUUUAAAUGUAUUUAUAUGCGUAAAUUGAUAAAAAGAAAGUCAAAUAUUUGAGAUAAAUGAAUAAUUUUAAAUCAUGCUAGAAGAAACCCCUCAUAAACCAAUUAAAGCUGAAUCUACAUAAUAUUUAAUAAAUAACUUAUUGAAUCACAUUAUUGCUAGCUCAUUGUGAGGCUAAGCACACCCUCUCCCUUUCAUUUAGAUAAUCUUGUUUGUUUAAAAAAAUCAUUUUACAACUAAUUUGAUCACAUUAUUAUUCACGUGUGAAAGACUUUUUUUAUAACUGGCAUUACACGCCUCUUUAGAUGUUUUGAACGUGUUUAAAAAUAUAGAAAAGAAUAUUGAAUGAACAACUGAUUGAAUCACAUUAUUGCUAGCCUAUUGUGAGGUACUUAUUAAAAAAAACAGUACAAAAAAUUAAUUAUUAAAAAAACACUACUAAAAUGAUGAAAAUACCAUGCCACAUUUGAUGUCUUAUUUUGGGUUGCUUUUGAAGUUUUUUGUUUGAGGGGCAUUUUUGUCCAAUUAUUUUUUGUUGAAGCUUGUGACACCAAAAAAACAGUAUUCACUUUAUUGUUGGCUUUUUAUGUAGAUACUUUUAAGUUUUAUACGUAGUAUACUCACGUGAGCUGGUUAGAUUAGUCAUAAAUGGGUGAUUAGCCACUAACAGAUUUGGACCUACGUCGUCAUGCAAUGCUUAACACCUUUCUACCAUUAUGAGAAAGUGGCUAAUCACACCGAUGAGUCAUUAGCCACCGACGGGUUCAGACUCACGACGUCAUGUAAGAGCUUAAUACCUUUUUGUUAUUAUGGUAAAGGACCACUACCACGCGAGCUGGUUGGAUAUAUACAGAAGGGUCCUUUCAGCCUUGAGACCAUGAAUUUCCCCAUUAGGCUUGGCGCCAGACAAAGGAAAAAUGGAAAGUAAAGAAGAGAGAAAAAUAAGAAAAGGAAAAGAAGGUGAUGGUGGAAUUGCCGGACAAAGAAAAAAUGGAAAGUAAAGAAGAGAGAAUAAAAAAGAAAAGGAAAAGAAGGUGAUGGUGGAAUUGCAGAAAGAAAUAAAGGAAAAGGAAAGAGGGAGUCCAUGUGAAGAAAAGGCAGAAGAAGAAAGAAAACAAAGAGAAAAAAAAAAAGAUGAAUGAGGAUCAUAGCCGUUAUUAGGAUUCUGGAAAUCCUUCAAUCACAUCUAUUCAAUUUAUAUUGUAUGGUCAGAACUUAUUGUAAAUUUUUUAUUUAAAAUUAAUAUAAAUAAUGUCUGACAAAAGCUAAUUGCAUAAUGUAUGAUAAACAAAUGUGAUUAGAGAAUUUAUAGAAUCCUUACAAAUAUGAUCCGACGGGGACCUCCUCUAAAAAAAGAUGGUGAAAGUUGAGACAGGAAAGAAAAAGAAAGAGGUAAAAGAAAGGGAAAAAAACAAUGGUGGUGUCUGGCAUGCAAAUACAGAAGUAGAAAAGUGAUGAGAUUGUGUAGAAAAAGUGGAAGAAAGAAAAAAAAAAGGAGUGGAAUGAAAGUGGGGAGUGUGGCUCUUUACCACAAUGAUGAAAAAGUUAUGCGUCUUUGUAUUUCUACGUGAAUUCAAAUCUAGUUGGCUCCUCCAAGGUUGUGUGUCCUUGCAUUUCGGCGUGAGUUUGAAACAUCAACCAAAUUAUGAAAUGAAUGAAAACAAGUAUGUAUUCCAUUAGAACCAACCUCUGGGUGAUCUUCCUUGUCAAAAUUCCAACACGCCAUUAACAGUCAUUAACUUAGUCAGCAUAUGUAAUGAAGAGCUGAAAAAGUGGUUGGGAUUCUUUACUAAAUCAGGUUUUUGUGACAAACAUAAGAUUGAAGUUCCUAACAUGAAUGACAUGUUUCAAACUGUAGGGAUAAAAUAACUUCGGCGGGGACAUAUAUGCAUCAUUAUCAUGUUGAGAUGUUUUGUAAUGUUAUUGAUAUGCAACUCCAAGAGCUAAAUAUUCAUUUCACUGAGACGAAUAUUGAGUUGCUUUUUUGUGCGACAUGUAUGAAUCCAAGCUAUAUUUAUUCUCUACUUUUGACAAACAAAAGUUGAUUCGUGGCUUGCUCAGUAUACUUGAAUGACUUUUCGGCACUUGACUUGAUGAUACUGUUUUUUUUUUAAGGGACUUUUUGGCACUUGAUGAUACUUGAAAAUCAGCUUAAGAUGCACAUUAUGGACAUGAGCUCUAACAUUGAGUUUUCAGGAUUGAAUGGGAUUGCGGAUCUUGCACAAAAAAUGGUUGAGACAAAAUAAGAAACUGUUUACCCAUUAGUUUACUUGUUGUUGACAUUGUCACUCAUGUUACCAGUUGCAUCUCUCAGUGUAGAGGGCGUUUUGUGCUAUGAGGAUUGUAAACAAUUGGUUACUCAAUCAAAUGGAAGAUCAAAGGACAUAUGAUUGUUGGAUUGCCUAUAUUGAGAAAGACAUUCUCGAAGGUAUCAAACAUGAUGUAACUAAGCAACGAUUUCAUAAUAUAAAAACUCGUCCAUGGCAAAUAUCAUUGUAACUAAUGGAUAUUAUCAAUCAAUGCUGAUUUGUUGUCCUAGAAUGGGCUUCAGUUUUAUUUUUCCUUAUAUAGUUAAAAUAUUGUUAGUAUAGAUAUGUGUCUUUGCAGGUUCGAGGAUGACCCCUUUAAUUUUAACAGGUUCGAGGAUGAUCGCUUGCUCAAGAAACAAUGACUGCAGAACAUUGGAGUUACAGGUGAGUGUUGAGAAGUAAUGUACUUGAAUGGAUGACCAUAGGCUGCAUUUUGCAGUUAGUAUUUGGCAUGAUAUGUCGUUUUGUAUCGGAAAAUUAUAGAGCUAUACAGUUGAACUGAAUUUCAAUUGAAUUUGUGCGUUUUACGUUGAUUAGUUUGCUCACGAUCUUCAUUCAACACUUGUAGAGAUGGCAAAGGAUCAUUCUGAAAUCUUUUGUCUCUUUAUUUCAGUUGCUAAUUUGGCAAAAUGAUGCACCAAGCCAAGGUUUGAACGAACUGAAUCCUUUGGUUAUCUAAUUUAUAUGCUGAAAUGAUGUACCAAACCAAACUGUAUAUUCUAAUUGGUGAGGUAACAUAAUAUGUCCUCCUUGUCAAUGAUAGCAUUCAACAUUCAAAUUCUCUAACAAGUUUGUGACAACCCAUUCUGACUUUAUCAAAUUUUAAUUUCGAAAGGUGAGAAUUGACUAAAAUGCCCCUGUUGGGUUCAGCUUAUACACGGACUUUUGAGCCAGUGCUUAAUUUGUCUCAUUUCUUAGUAUAUCGGGAUAGUAAUCGACGUUAUAAAUGCAUGAGUGCAAACUAGAUCCAAAUUGGAUUUGUAACAAAGAAACUACACUCGUUUAAUAAACGGGUAAAUAUGUACACAAAAUUGUAUGAAAUUCAUAUUUCUAGGUAAUCAAAACCUAAUAAUUUCACAAACCAAGUUUGGAAUAAAAAAAAAAAUUCUAAGGAAAAGAGAUUAAAAAUGGAAACUUUGAAUAUUAUUAAAAAAAAUGACAACUAACGAAAAGUUCAAAAAAAAUUCUCACUUAAUGAAAAACUCUUUUUAAAGGUAUAGUGAAUAGUGUCAAUUAAAUGUAAAAAUGUAAUUUUUCGUAAAAAAUAAACAGUACCUGAGUGUUUUGUUAAAACUCCCUUAAAAAAAACCCAACAAUUUUGUUCAAGAAAAAUAGAAAGAUAGGAAAAAAUCUUUACCUUCCAGAACAUUGAAGUGUGUUUGGAUCAAAUGAGAGAAUCAAAUUGUUAAAUUCAAAUAUCUAAGCGGAUCUGUGUGAAUUUUGUAAGUUAUUUACAAGUUGAGGUCGGUGCCGUUUCUUAUUGUUGGCGAAGUGAAUUUUGUAAGGGGAGGAGUCGCAGAAGGUGGGAUAGAGACGACGGAGGGGGACCUGGGUUCUCUGUGGAGGGAGGUAUGGAGCCGUUGCUGAUCUCGGUCUUCUUGGAUUCGGGUUCGUUGGGGAGUUUGGGUGUGGUGGGUGGGUGAAAAUGGAGGGUUUGAUUUCUGUGAAGACGUUGGUUCUGGAUGUGGUGGGUGGGUGAAAAUGGCGGUUUGGGGAGUUUGGGAGUGGGUUGUCGGGAGGAGAAGUGGGUGUGGGAUAUAGUUGGCCGGAGAAGAUAGAGGCGACAAGGUGGGUACUUUGAAGAAGAUGGAGGUGGGUGGGACGCGGAGGAGAGAAGAGGGGGAGAUCGAACUCUUCUUAUCGGAGGAAGACGAUUGGGCCCAGAUUUCUAAAUUUUUUAUUAUUUUUAUUAUUAUUCUAAUUUUUUUAAAUAUCCAUGUGGACAUAUUGACUCGUAGCCUUAUGUCAUUGUUCAUGCAGGUGUCAUGUCAUAAAUUAACGGUUAAUUUAACAGUAAUCCUAACGGAUAUAUGAAAAUAUUCUACAAUUAUGACUUCAUGUAUCACUUUGGGAUAAAAAAAAUUUGAUGUACUAAAUGUUGAAAACUAAGAAACGUAAAUUGAGAUUAACCCUUAAAUUAAUGUAAAAUAUCGUUUUAUGAGUGAGUCACGAGAGCAAAUCCCUCGUGAGAAUGUGUGCGUUGAAUGUAUUGAGAUAUGCAAAAAGUAAAAUUAUAGCAGUUGCAUUGUUAAUUUGAUGCAUUGAGUUUACUUAUGCAGUUUUAGUUUGGCUAAAAAAUAUUAUUUUGAAGGAUAAAAAUUAGCAAAAAUGUGUUAAAAGUAAAUAAAAAAAAUUGUUGAUAUCACCACUAUUUUAAAAUCAUUCAUUCAAUUUGCAUGACUAAACGAUCUCAAAAUAAAUAAAUUUUACUUUACUUAGACUUGUUUCCUUACUUUACUUUUGGAAAAGACCGCACUUUCACUUUAGUGUGCUUUUGGCAAACGAUACUUUAACGUGUUUUGUCUUUAAUGAGACUAGUUGUUUGAUCGAAAACAAAAGAAUAAAUUUUAGAGAUAUUUUUACACAAUAAUAAAAAAAAUGCGCAACUCUAAUUGCGAUGCUUCUACCGUGAAAUGAAGUUGUAAUGCCGUGUGAGAGUGAGGAUGGCUCGAGCCAUGUAUUGUCAUUUGAAAAUUUGGAGUUCGUAAGCAAUGCAUCUAUUACUUUUUCACUUUAUCUGUGACAUCCCACAUCGCUUAAAUAUAUAUUUUCAUCUCUACCUAGUACGAGGCAUUUUGGGAACUCACUCGGAAUCCGAAGUUAAGCGAGUAGCACACGAGAGCAUUCCCAUGAUGGGUGACCCAUUGGGAAGUUGCUCGUGAGGUCCCAAAAACAAAACCGUGAGGGAAUGGUAAGCCCAAAGCGGACAAUAUCGUGCUACGGUGGUGGAGCGGGGCCAGGAAGUGAUCCGUCCCGAGCCGGAAUGUGACAAAUGGUAUCAGAGCCAAUCCCUACCCAGAAGUGUGCCGACGAGGACGUCGGGCCCCUAAGGGGGUGGAUUGUGACAUCCCAUCGCUCAGGAGAGUGAUCCUUAAAUGUAUAUUCUCAUACCUAAUAGCAUGAGGCAUUUUGGAAGCUUACUGGUUUUAGGUUCUAUCGGAACUUCGAAGUUAAGCGAGUAGCGCGCGAGAGCAAUCACAUGAUGGGUGACCCACUGAGAAAUUGCUCGUGAGUUUCCAAAAACAAAACCGUGAGGGAAUGGUAAGCCCAAAAUUGACAAUAUCGUGCUACGAUGGUAGAGCGGACUUGAGAAGUGAUUCACCCUGGACCGGGAUGUGACAUUAUCUAUUUCUUAUUAAAGAGAAUACAAAAUGACAAAACUGAUCUUGUUGGGUUUAAUGAAAUUUUACAUAGAAGUUUGAGCCAGUACUUAAUUCGUCUCAUUUUUUUAUUGUAUUUAGAUAUUAUUUGUCAUUGUAUGAACGCAUAAACACAAACUAGAUCCAAAUCAAACUUGUAACGAUUUAAAGUAUUGGCUUUUAAAAAUUUGUCCCGUAGUGAGAUUUUUCUUCCGUUAGAUCAGGCUUUUGCUUUACGGAAAGUCACCCCACCUAUCAAUUGCACUAUGCUUUUUCUCUCUUUCUCUCAGUGUUCUCCUCCCACUCUGUAACAUCUCUCUCACUCACUCAACCCUCUCUUUCUCCCUCUCAAACUCUCCCGUCCUCUCUUCUCUCUGUAACGCAGCGAAAGUCACCAAACCUCGACGAAUCAACGCUCAAACCACCACCACGUCCACCCUCUUGACCUCGCGAGCUCGAACCCGAACUCCGUUUCGUAGGAAACAGAGCCUAGAGGCUCUAGCUCGAAGCUCCGACGAGAAAGAAACUUCCCGACGAAGUUCCCGACACUUUUCCGACCACUCCAUACCGUUUUCGAAGAGUUGGAAGCCACCACACAACUCCCUAACAUCCAUGGGUCAAGUUUGAGGUAAUCCCCAACUCAAAAACCCACGGUUUCGAAGCUUUGGGUUUUUGGGCGAGACUUUCAGGCCAAUUUCAGUACAUUUACGUCUGCUUUUUGGAGUUCCAAGAGGUAUAAACUUGUUCCUUGUGCUUCAUUUCCAUAUAAAGAACGUAAAAAAUGGUUGAGAAAUGAGCAAGUUAUGGCCCUUUGAAAUUGUCCACAGUUUCCGUCGAUUUCAGGGACCUUCCGGCCUGUUUCUGGCUAAAUGACGGCGAGUUAGCCGUUGCUAUGGGUACCAAUCUGUUCGUCUCAUUCCGAGGCAUCAUUUCCAUUCUGAAUCACUCAAUUUGGUUGAGAUAUGUGGAAGUUAUGAUGAUUUAAAAAUGUCCCAGAAAACCGACGUGAAACUGCAUAAUCCGGUGACCCGCGACCGGAACCUGGUAAAAAGUAAAUGCAAAAAACGCAGUUCUAAAACAACUAAACACAUAAUUGCAUAUCAUUCCUAAAACACAGAGAAAUUUGUGAGAGUGGCCUAAAUAGAAAGAAAUGGAUAUGAAAUGAAGUUCCUUUUGAAACAUUGGUCCUGUGGGGUUUAAAAAGAACACGGGUGUUCUUUCGUCGAGUGCUACCACUCUCAUCAUUAACAUUGUCACUCUAGACAUUAUCACAAUUCUCAACGCAAAGUAAAGCCUUGUAGAAUUCCUUGGAUGUCGUACAUGGUGUAGAUGCUGCCAAGAAACAAAACUGCUUGCGGAUAUGUUAUUUGAACUGGUGGAGCCUUCUUGAAUAGUUGGUAUCGAUUGUUGGACAAUAGCAGGACAAUUCGUUGAACUUCCGAUGGUACUUAGCUACUGAUAUUUUGCCUUGUGUAGGUCCAUGAACUCGUCUUUUUUUUCUUUCCCGGGUCUUAUACUCCGCAUGUGUAAGAUUAUCUUACAUUGCCGGCCCCAAGCCCGGAUAAAGAAGGAGGGGGAGGGCGUUAGGUAGUUGAUAGCCGGUACUCCUAUUUUACGUCGAACCUUAUGAUAAUGAAUCCUGAAUGAAAUUGCUCUAAAGCUAGGUCGUCACUCGUAAGUGGUGCGUUGUGUCCCGAGCACAGUGAUAAGUGAGCAAGGGUCGCUGUAUCUCCACUGGUGCCCGGAUGCAGUGUUAAAUGAGCAAUAGAGCCAUAAUAACUCCUUUUUGAACGACUCCACUCAAAGUUGUUUGGAAGCAUCUGCUUCUAUCAACUUUGACCUUAUUAGACGGGGGAUGGUGAAGAAGCUAGGACAAGAGGGUAGAGUUCAAGCGAGUAGAAUGCGUUUAGGAACGUGGAACAUAGGAACCUUAACGGGAAAAUCUAUGGAAAUAGUGAAAGUUAUGGUGAGGAGAAGGAUAAGUAUUAUGUGCCUACAAGAAACUAUGUGGGUUGGUCUUAAGGCAAAGGAUCUUGAAAACUCAGGUUUUAAACUUUGGUCUUCGGGCAAAUAGAACAAGAAAUGAUGUUAGCAUUAUCGUGGGGUAGGAAAUAGAAUUAUGGCAAUCAAGAUUGUAAUAGGACAAGAACUCAUCAAUGUGAUUAGUGUGUACACACCUCAAGUAAGGUUGGAACGAGUUUGAAGGAGAAAUUUUGGGAAGAUCUUAGAAACUUGGUGCAAUGAAUCACUUAGACGGAGAAUGUAUUUAUAGGAGGAGAUUUAAAUGGACACGUGGGUAAGAGGAUAGGCCAUGGUUUUGGGAAGAGAAAUGAGGAUGAGGAAGUCAUCUUGGAUUUUGCAGUGGCAUACAAUCUCUUCUUAGCCAACACUUUCUUUAAGAAGAGAGAAGAACAUGUGGUAACCUACAAGAAUGAGUUAUCAAAAACACAAAUAGAUUUUCUUCUAACGAGGAAGGGGGAUCAUAUAACUUGUAGAAUUGCAAAGUUAUACCGGGAGAGUGUUUGGCUAAUCAACAUCGCUUGUUGGUGAUGGAUGUACAUAUCAAAAGAGAGAGUAAAAAGAACAAGACCUUGAAGUGUCCAAGGACUAGAAGGUGGAAUCUAAAAAGAGAAAGACAAGUCAUUUUCAAAGAGGAAAUAAUCACCCAAUGCGUGUGGAUAGAGAGGGGGAAUAUGGGCCCACAUAGAUAUUAAAAAUUACAUGUCCUUAGUUCACCCAAAUUGCAUAUCCCACAAACCAGAAGAUCCAAAACUUCAAACAUCAAGAAGCCGAAUUUCAUAUGUUAAUAUAGAAUAAAAUAAAGGAAAUUCUUACCUUCGAAUUAUCAGAGACAGAGGACUGCCACUACUGUUAUUGUGAGACAAAGGAGUGAAAUCAAUCAAUGAUUCAGUGGAACUUCUUCAGGGCAAAUUUUGUAAUUUUUAUUUUUUGGGAAAACAAAUAGUACAAGGAGUGAAAGGAAAAAGAACCUCAAAGGAGGAAGCAUCAAUGAAGCACAUAUGGAUUAAAAAAUUGGUUUUUCCUCCAAAACCCAGAUGGAAAUUCAAUAUUCAGAAGAGAAAAUCACCAAAAGGGAGAAAAAAUGAGGGUUUUUCUUAAUCCCCAAAUGGAGAAAAAGUUUUUUCUAAUAUUUUCUUAGUACCAAGAAUUUCGAGCCCGACCGGCGAGCGAGCAGUGUAAGCCCCCCCGAACCGUACUGCAUUGAAUUGGAGUGGCUGUGACUCGGCGUCAUGGAUCGGACCCACGUCCACCUCCCGAGUUGUAAAACGAGGAGGCCGAGAGCCAGCAGGAGCGCGGAAUGAUCCGACCGUUGAUCAACGAAGAAGAAGAAGAGGUUGAGGAAUAGGUCCACUAGUCGGGCUCGGCGGGGACGGAGUUGAGGAGGAGGGAGCACUGGGAGGCAGGGGUGGAAGGCAGGCCAGGUGAGGAGGAUGAGGGGCUUGGAUUUGGAGGGUUUGAAUUUGGGCGAUGGUGGUGAGGAAGGCGACUAUGAGGAAGACAAUAGGGUUUGGGAUUUUUCUUUUUUAUAAAUUUUUAUUAGCAUUUUUAUAUUUCUAUAUUUUAUUAAUAUUCAUGUCGGCCUAUAUUAACAUGUGGCGUCUAGUUAUUGUUCACAUAAGCGGCAUGUCAUCAGUUAAAAUAGAUUCUAAUGGAAAUCUAAACAGAUAUAUGAAAGUGUAACUUUAAGUACCAGAUUGGAACGAAAAAAACUUAAUGUAUGAAAUGUUGAAAACCAAGAAACUUCUAGAUAGUAAAUUGAGUUUAACCCUUUAAGCACACAAUUUUUUUUUUUUCAUAAAAUAAAAAUACAACCUAGAUUUAAACAGGACAAAAAUAUAUGAUUAUUAAUGUUGUGUUGGGGUGCUUCUUUGGUUUAGGCAUCAGAGCACUGAGCGCGGGACUUACAAAAGCCACCAACAAAGAGAAGCAUUCCAGCCGUAGUCCUUGAUUUCAGAAGGAAAUGGAAAUUAUAAUUGCAAUUGCCUCAAAAGUUGGAGAGUGCUUGGUCACACCAAUAGGAACAGAGUUUGGCUAUUUGAUUAAUUACCAUUCCAACCUGGAAAAUCUUAAGGGUGAGAUAAAAAAGCUUUUUGACAAGAAAGAUGGAGUGCAAGGAUUGGUAGAUGCUGCCCAAAGGAACAGUGAAAGUAUCAAACCUGAUGUUCAGAGUUGGCUAAAGAAUGUGAACAACAUGAUCCAGAAAGUGUUACAUUUUGAGGAUGAAAUUAACAAGAAAAGGCGAUGUAUGAAUCGAUGGAGCUUGAGUCGGAAAGCCUAUAAGAUUACACAACAUGUUCUUCAGCUCCAAAACGAAGGAACAUUUGAAAAUGUGGCCCAUCCUGCACCUCCACGAGGGAUAUGGUCAAAAUUCAAGAAAGGUUUCAAGGACUUUAAGUCCAGAACGGCAUACAUGAAUGAGGUGAUAGAGGGUUUGAAGAGGGAACAAGUACGAAUGAUCGGGAUUUGUGGAAUGGGGGGUGUGGGUAAAACGACAAUGGCGAAAGAAAUCAUCACAAGAUUGGCAAAACUGAACCUGUUUGAUAAUAUUGUAAUGGCAACUGUGUCUCAAAGUCCAAGUAUUAGCAAGAUCCAGUCGGAAAUUGCAGACCAAAUAGGUUUGGAAUUGAAGGAGGAAUCCGAGUCCGGAAGAGCAAUAAAGCUGCAUGGGAAACUCAUGGAAAUAAAGAUCCUGAUUGUAUUAGAUGAUGUCUGGACAUAGCUUGAUUUUGAGGCUAUAGGACUCCCUUCUGGAGAUGCUCACAAGGGGUGCAAAGUUUUGUUGACAUCACGAGAUUGGGAAGUCUGCAACAGGAUGGGAAGUCAACCAAUUAUUGAAGUCCCGACUUUAACAACAGAAGAAUCACAUGACCUCUUUAAAGAAAUGGUAGGUGAAUCCUUCGAUGAGCCUGAUUUACGUUCCAUUGCAAAAGAGGUCGUUUAUGAAUGUGGAGGUUUACCUAUAGUCAGAAUCACAGAGGAAAAUGAAGAAGAGGCGACAAAAUACAUGAUUUUGUUUCUAAAACUGAACACAUUUGAACUAGAAAACCUGCCUCGUCUCACAAGUCUUUGUCCAGAGGGAUUUACAUUUCUAUGGUCAUCCACAAAAAAUAUGUACGUACGAAAAUGUGGAUCAUUGAAGACAUUGGGUGCUGUAAUUCCACAAAGAAAGAAGUUGGAGAAUAACUUGAAGAAGGAUUCAACAAGUCAUGAUUUCAGCACUUCUCCAACACGUUCAUCAAAUUGGUGCCCUGCUGGAUGUGGAUGCGCACCAUAUUCAAGACCAAACGCCCACCGCCCCAUUGAAAUAUUGCCAUGUCCAAUUAACCUGGAGGUAAGCUUUUAAAUCAGGUUCAAUUAACCUCUAUAAGUACAACUUUUAAUUAGUAUUGUAUCAUCUUGUUGAUCGUGUUUAAUUUCCUAGGUUACACCAACUAAUCUUGAGGACUCAAAUGAUGAUGAUAAUCUCGCAAAUCUUCGUGUCCAUGACUGUGCAUCAUUGGAAGUGAUUUUCCAACUAAAGGGGCCGAAGCAUGAAGAAAGUAGUCACUCCGUUGAAGCAUUCAAUAAAUUGAGGUCCUUGCGGUUAGAUAUUUUGCCAAGUUUAACGCGUGUUUGGGAGACGGGUAGUUCACAACCGAUGUUGACAGGAAGCAGCUUCGGAAACUUGAAAUCGCUGCGGGUCUUUGAUUGCGACCAGUUGAAAUACUUGUUUUCAUCGUCCAUUGUCAAACUUCUCGUGAGUAUGGAGGACAUAAAAGUUCAGAAGUGUGAGCAGAUGGAAGAAAUCGUUGCCGCAGAAGAAGAAACUGAUGAAACAAUUACAUUACCUAAAGUGAAGUCCAUCAAGCUUGAAAGUCUGCCAAAACUCAAGUAUUUUUGUGGUGAAGCUUAUACUUUGAAGUUGCCGUCUUUGGAGUUAUUGGAGGUUGAUGACGUGCAAAACUUAAGCCUAUUAGCUCCAAAGCUUAUUGCCACACAUCCCUGAUUGCAAGUAAACACCGCGUUGGGACUGGCUGAAUGGAAGGGGGACCUAAACGCCACUCUUACGGAAUAUUUACAUCACAAGGUAUGCUUUAAUAUAAGGUUUCUAAUUUUCAAUCGCUUAUGCGUGCAUGUUUAAAGAUGUUUUUUUUUUUCAACAUCUCUCUUUUAAAUCUUGAUGUAUACGUGGAAUUUCUGAAGUUUUUACAAAAGACUAUAUAAUAGCAUUAUAUUAAUGUAUAUGUGUGUGUGUAUGCGAGUAUGUGCACACUAAAGUGUAUUUAAAUAUAUAUAUAUAUAUAUAUAUAUAUAUAUAUAUAUAUAUAUAUAUAUAUAAUUUUAGAAAACUCAAUUAUAUCUCAAGAAAACAUCGUCUUUUAUUUCUAAUACAGUACGGAUGAAGAUAACGAAAUCGAUGGCAAGGAUGACGAUGACAAAAUCGACGGCAAGGAUGAAGAUGACGAAACCAACAGGGAGGACGAACACAGUUGAUUGAUCAAGCACAAAGGUUAGCAUGUUUCCAUCUCCAACUUCUUCUAGGUUUAGUAAAAACUUAUGAAAAUUAUAUAUAUAGUACUCAAAAAAGUAUUCUACCAUGUUUUAUAAUAUAUACAUACAUGUAUAGCACUUGAAAAAUUGAACAGUUUGGAUCUAAAACCACAAUCUGCUACCUGAUUCAUUUUUUCGAGGUACCUAAUAGCAGUUAAGGUGUGAGGAAGAAGCUUUUUAGAUUACCAACUGCCUCAAGAGAAACCUUUAUCAGAAACACAUAUACAAUAAACAUAACCGUAGUGCUAAGUGGCCUAAAAAUUAAUUUAUCCUUAAACCGCUAUUUUUGGAAACACAUAUACAAUAAGCAUAACCGUUUGAUUUCUAAUAUUCUCCAAUGCAUGCAGGAAAAGAGUUUAAAGAACGUUGUGGCUCCAGCAAUUCGUUUACCAUAUCAUAUGCACAAACCAAUAAAAGGACAUUUGUUGCACCAGAAUUUCAUUCCAAAAAUACUAUUUAUGUUGCUUAUUUUAUGUACCAUAAAUUUCGAUUGCGAUUAUUACUGUUUGUUUCUAAAUUCGCAUCAUUAGUAUUUGCUUAUUUGUGCUCGAGGUUGAUUAUACACGUGUAAGCUGAAUCACAUGUUUGUAGAAUGGACAAGCUGAAUAAAAUCUGUUUGCCCCCUAAAUGUAAUGGAAAUCAUAUGUAUCUAGGCAUGCUUAAUAUUUGAUAAAGAAAAACAUUUCUCAAAUAAAUGUCCACUCACACCUCCGGCAAGCUCGCCCUUGAGGAGCCUUGUCUACCAAAUAGGUAAACAUCUACUGGACAGCAGGCGAUUCAAAACCAUAGCAAACUGCUGAAUACAACUAGAGUAAACAAGGAAUCAGGCUAUGCAAUUGCCAUCAUCAUAACAUGAUUUUGGCCCCCAUCUUCUAAUUUCCUACCACAUUUUCACAUUCUUUCCAUGAAUUUUAUGAUUCCUAUGCAACAGAGUUCAUUCAUCGCCUAUUCACAACAAUACAAGGUUCUACAGAGUUCAAUCCCACACCAUGUUAUAGACAUGCUUCAACUAUCAACCGGGAACGUAAUCGUUAGGGGUUUCAACAAUUUCACAGAUACAACAAUUACUAUAAGUCUCAUCUCCAACAUUCAUACAGAAAAUCGAAUAAAAUUCGAAAUCAAGAAUCAAACCCAAAACUGAAAGUUGAAAAUUUGGAAAAAGAACUUACAUUGGAGAACAGCCCACGAGAAGAGUAUCAUUUCUACCUCUUGGGUCGAGGUCCAAUUCCCGCGAUAUUGGCCGGAAACCCCUGGGUCACCGUUUCUUAGAUUUGAAGUUGAGGAAAAUCGCCUACGAAAUUAUAGAAACUAACUUGGGGGAUUGGAUAAGGGACGGCAAGAGCAUUCUGGAUGUGUAGUUUGAGAGCUUUUGGUGACCAGUGGACGACAGAGCUGUUGCGUCGGCACUCGGCAGUCUUCGGCUUGCUGUUAAAUGGGGCUCCAGGAGUCGCAGCGCAAAAGAGAAGGAGGAGAGAGGAUACGGGAGGAGGAGAGAAAAUGGGUUUCUCCCACCUUUUACAUUAAUUCUUUUCCACAUUUUUUAAUGUAAUAAACGAUAAUAUAUAUCAUCAAAAGCGUGUUUGGUACGUGAGAUGAGAAUGAACGUGUUUUAAUGAUAAUAAUGACUAGAAGUAAUAUAGUUAAAAUUCGUUUUUGGUGAUAAUCGAAUAUCAGAUUUCUUAUCUACAAGUUACAAAUAAAAAUGAAUAUCAUUAUUUUUUUUUCACUUUUAAUACACACGUAAAUAAAAAGAAACAAAAUGAAAAUGAAAAGAAAUAAAAUAAUUUGAAAUAGAAAUGAAAAAUAAAGGUAAAUUGACAACAUAAGGUAAUCAGCCAUGGUAAUACAAAAUUAUUAUACUAUCCUUAAACAUUGUAGUGCCAUGGAAUCUUCAUUUUAGCUCUGAAUUUCCUUCUGCAUACGCUCACGCGUUCAUAUUGAUGAGCACUACGAGAAAAUAUUAAGAUGAUAGGUCAUACUCAUACGUUCGUUUUUGUUGAGAAUUUUUUUGAAGGAUUUUGCAAUAUGGCAGCCAUGAUUUGCAAAGCCCACCAUCGUAGAACUCGAUAUCGGCCUGACUUGUGGAGCCACCAUCGCAAAGAAGAACCUGGAAAGCUCAAUCCUUGUCUUUUUCUUAUAUAAGUGUCAUUUUGGUGAACCAAAUGUUCCGAUUCCAACAUCCAAAAUACCACAAUGUGAUUUUUUUCAUACUACAAUUGGAUUGCAUCUUAAAAUUAUGAAGUCUUGGAGCAUUGGUCAUGCCAUCAUGCUGAUUUGUGUUGGAUUUCGUUAGAGAUCGUAAUUAAUCAAUCACCCUUUUUGUGUCUCCCUUCAAAAGCUCAAAUUGAAAUCUGAACUCCCUAGCAAAUAAGAGCCCAAUUUGACAACCAAAAUCUUCAUCGUUCGAGCAUCAAUGUUCUCUUAAAUUCACUACGAGCAAACCGCCAUGAAAUCUCCUUCAUGGACAUCUCAUAAAAUUAGAACGAUACAAAGAAGAUUAGUGUGACUCCUAAGCUAGGAUUACACGUAUGAAUCGUAAAAUAGUUCCUCCUCCGCUCUUUGAUUCUCUCUUUCACUGGCUAACAAUAUUUUGCUCUACCUUUUCACCCUAAGUAAGAAAUGAGCAUUUUGUUAGCAUCUUUUUGAAAAUUCAAAUUUGAUCCUAAUAUAUCUCUUUUGCACUAUUUGACUGAACAACAAAUUUUGAUUGUCUAAAUAUUUAUAUCAAACUACAAAUAAUAUUGAUAUUAUAUAUUUAUAAUGUGACUGAAAUUGUAGUACCCAACAUAUCUAUCUUGAAAUAAAUUUUGUUGUCUAUGAAGUGGCCAACUCGACCCUCUCCUAUACUCUUUGAGUUUGUAUAAAUAUAUCAUUGUUUAACAAUUGACAUUCAGUACUGUGAUUUAGUGAUAUUCAUUAUCAUGUUCGAAUCUUAGGAGUAACGAGUUUGUGUAAAUAUAUCAUUGUAUUAAAGAAAAACAAAAAAAUAAAAAAUAAAACAAAAUAUUUUUUUUUUUGGUCGGACAAAAACACGAAAAUGCCCUUAAAGCCCAAAGUGACCCCACUACCCUGCCGCUGCCUGCAAGUUCCUUCCUCGCCCCUGUUUCUACGUCCAAUUAAUUAAUUUGGAGGUAAGCUUUUAAAUCAGGUUCAAUUAACCUCUAUAAGUACAUCUUUUAAUUAGUAUUGUAUCAUCUUGUUGAUCGUGUUUAAUUUUCUAGGUUGCACAACCUAAUCUUGAGGACUCAAAUGAUGAUGAUAAUCUCGAAAAUCUUACUCUAAUUAACUGUAAUUCGAUGGAAGUGAUUUUUCAACUAAAGGGACCGGAGCAUGAAGAAAGUAGUCAAUCCGUUGAAGCAUUCAAUAAAUUGAGGUCCUUGCGGUUAGAUAUAUUGCCAAGUUUAACGCGUGUUUGGGAGACGGGUAGUUCACAACCGAUGUUCACAGGAAGCAGCUUCGGAAACUUGAAAUCGCUGCGGCUCGUUGCACCGAUGAAAUAAUUACAUUACCUAAAGUGAAGUCCAUCAAUCUUAAAUGUCGGCCAAAACUCAAGUAUUUUUAUGGUGAAACUUAUACUUUCAAGUUGCCGUCUUUGGAGUUAUUGGCGGUUACUGACGUGCAAAACUUAAGCCUAUUAGCUCCAAAGCUUAUUGCCACACAUCCCCGAUUGCAAGUACGCACCGCGUUGGGAGUGGCUGAAUGGAUGGGGGACCUCAAUGCCACUCUAGGGAAUAUUUACGUAAUCACUUAUGCGUGCAUAUGCGCACACUAAAAUAUGUUUUUUUUCUUUUUCCUUUUUGGAAACUCGAAUUAUAUCUCAAGAAAACAUCUCUCUUUUAUUUCUAAUACCGAGAAGAAUGAAGCUGACGGAAUUCUACUAGACACCAUAUAACGAGGAUGUUAACAAUCACAAAAGGUUGUGGCUUCGGCUAUUCGCUUACUUUCAUAUGUACAAACCAAUAAGAUGUCAGUUCGCCAAAAAAAAAAAAAACCAAUAAGAUGUCAUUUGUUGCACCAGAAUUUCAUUCUAAAGAUUCUGUUUCCGUUGCUUACUAUAUGUAUAAUUAAUUUCGAGUGCGAUUAUUACUGUUUGAAUUCAUCUCUCGACUGCCUAUGGGGACGUCAAGGUGGACACCAAAAUGGAGGUGUGAUGACCUGCAUCUGGAAAGUGACGUAACCAUAACGUGCAUGCAAAUAUAAUUUAAUAAAAUAACUUCAAAUGAUCUACUGAAAAAUCGGCACAGUUUCCUUUGGAAUUAGGUUUUGGCACCCAAAUUUAAAACCUGCUGAAAAGUUAUAAUUAUUUCAAAACCACAUCCCCGACACCUAAUGGGUUAUCAACCCUCCACUACAUGCACGUAUACUCCAAUAUACUUACUGGUGGUAUAGCAUACAAUUUCAUACACUAGUCAUAGUUAGUGUAAGGUUACACACACAUGAUACAUGCUAGUGUAAACUGAAGAUAAAACCAUACAUUAGAUGUAGCUAGUGUAAGCUGAAAAAUAUAAUCAUACACUAGCCGUAGCCAGUGUAAGCUGAAUGGGCAUGCUCACAGUAGGGACAAGAUGACUAUACUGUAGUAUAAAUCAUACACGUGUAAGCUGAAUAACAUGUCCGUAGCAUGGACAAGUUGAAUAUUCUUUAAUAUUAACCAUACACAUGCGGAAUGACAUGUUUGUAGUAUGGACAAGCUGAAUAUACUGUAAUAUUGACUAUACACGUGUAAGCUAAAUAAUAUUAUCAAACACUGGUUAUGGCUAGCUAGUGUAAGCUGAAUAUGUUCAUACACUGUAAGGUCUGGUAUUAAUUCAUAAAAUCUAUUCUUCCCCUAAACGUAAUGGAAAUCAUAUGUAUCUAGGCAUGCUUAAUAUUUGAUAAAGAAAAACAUUUCUGAAAUAAAUGUCCACUGACAGCUCCGGCUAGCUCUCCCCCUUGAGGAGCCUUGUCUACCAAAAAGGCAAUUUCAAGCAACUUCAAGAGAUAAUUUGACCACGUUGCGGAAGUAUGACACCAAACGGUUGAGACCCAGAAGACAUCCAAGAGUUUUUGGAGAAACAGAACGCUCACUGAAGAUAUGUGUUCUAUUUCUAUAGCACGCUUACCCCAAACAAAACACAGGUUAUGGAAAGGAAAAUAACAUUAAGAAAUGCAAAAGAUUGGGGAGAUGCUAAAGAACUCAUCUCCGGUCCUGGAAAUAAUGCAUACAAUAUUGCUCUACCAAUUAAACCAAAUCUUAUGACUCUAGUGACAAGCUAGAAAGCCACAAAAACCCCAAGCCUUGCAGGGAACCCAAAACCAAAGCAAACUACCGAAAUGAACCCGAUUCGAGCCAAGAAAUGACAAUUGCUUAUGUAAAAAUAAAUUAAUCAAAUUAAACAAGGAAAACUUUACACUACUCAAACAAGAAAUGACAAACCCGAUUCUAGUUGAAUACAACUAGAAUAAACAAGGAAUCAGGCUAUGCAAUUUCCUACCACAUUUUCACAUCAACGUGAUUGUUAGGGGUUUCAACAACUUCACAGAAUUACCACAAAUCUCAUCUCCGGCAUUCAGACAGAAAAAUCGAAUAAAAGUUCGAAAUCAAGAAUCGAUCCCAAAACUGAAAGUUGAAAUUUUGGAAAAAGAACUUACAUCAGAGGACAUUCCACGGUGAGCCUGCAUAAAUGAACCAAUUAAACAAAGAAAUGAAAACCGAAUAACUCGGAAGCUAAAGUAUCACAGAUAGAAAAUUGCAUAUACCUAACUAAAAAUGCACAACCUAAUGAGAUGUGGUAGUUUAAGUGUAUAACACAAGGGUGAGAAGUACUCUAGUGCUCACACACUGAAGCCACAAGACUACCAAAUAAUGUAGCUUUAGAAAUAUCAUUCGUUGUUUUGCACACAAUCAUACAUGCUCAUCAGAACAUAGUAUGAUCUCCAACGGAAAUAGAAGUGACACAGGUGAAAGUCAAAAUAAACAAACAAAUAAUAGUGUACGAGAAGGCCCUAAAGAAUUGCUCUAACUAAGAGACAAGCUUAAAUUAGAGUAAAUUGUAGCUAUGGUCCCUUAACUUUAACUCAAUUGGAGCAAUGGUCCCUCAACUCAUCAAAACAUGCAGCUAUGGUCCCUUAACUAAAAAUCCAUUACCAUUGGUCCCUCAACUCAUCAAAGCGUGCAGUUAUGGUCCCUCAACUAAAAAUUCAUUACCAUUGGUCUCUCAACUUUAAUUCAAUUGGAGAAAUGGUCCCUUAGCUUUAACCCAAUUGUAGCAAUGGUCCUUCCAACCAAGGUCUAAAAUAUCGAUGAUAUCCUGAUAUUUCCAUCGAAAUUUUCGUGUUUUUGGACUACCGAUAUUUCCGAUAUCAUCGAUAUUUUAGACCUUGAUAAGAACUCUAUGUGGUACUAAAUUACUCAUAUAUCUUACCAUGCAAUGUAUAAAGUGUAAAAUAUUGUACUAAUUCAUUAUAUAUAAAUGAUUAUGGUGUGUUUAAACUUGUUUCAUUAAUUACUACAUAUUUUCUACACUCACAAUGUUUGCCAGCUCGCUAUAUAAUCAACUUAAAUCAAUUAAAUCCAUCAUGCAAUGCAUUUCCUUCCAAUUUUUUGUGAUAAACUAAUAGAUAAUUGACUAAAUAAACAUCCUGCAAAGUUUCAAUAAAAAUUUCCAAGUUUUUCUUACAAUUUCCGUGGUUUUUAUUCAAUUUUUAUCGAUAUCGAUAAUAUCUCGAUAUUUCCAUCGAAAUUUCCGUUUUUUACUGCCGAUAUUUCCGAUAUCAUCGAUAUUUUAGACCUUGCUUCCAACAUAACUCGUUUUGACAAAAUUUUUGACGUGAUUGACGAAAAGAACCAUAAUUACACUUUGAUAAGUUGAGGGACCCUAAUUAUAUAAAUGGUUAUUCCAACAUAACUUAUUUUGACAAAAUUUUGACGAAAUUAAUUAAAAGGACUAUAGCUACAUAUUUUGAUAAGUUGAGGGACCAAUGGUAAUGGAUUUUUAGUUGAGGGACCAUUGCUCCAAUUUGAUUACAGUUGAGGGACCAUUACUACAAUUUACUCCUUAAAUUAUAUAAUAAGCUUUGCACACACCCCACUUUCAAAAACUAGAUUAGUAUGCCGUGAUAUUUAACAAUGCCGUCAUAAACUUACUUGUUGAAUAACUCAACCCUGUAUUCCAUCUCCUUCUCUGCCAUACCAAAGAUUUGCACAAUUGUUUAAAACCAAAUUCAAGUCUUUCCAGAACACGCAGGAGAUUAUUUGAAAAACAAGAAUUUAGAACAAUAAUUCAAAACCAAAGAAAAGAAAGUCCAUCACUCAGAGUAAAAAUUAACCAUCUUGUUGCUUCCUAACUGUCUGGAAAUACCCACGUUUCAAUUUUACUAAUGUCGAAACACCACCAUCAUUGACCAAUUAGACAAAUAAGACCCAAUUCGAUUACGCCCAACUCACAGAAUACCCAGAUUCCCAACACCCAUUGAACAAUCUAACCAUGAAUUUCCAAAACUUUCCCCAAAAUCCAAUCUUGGGCAUGCAUUAAAUCCAAUCUAAAACUUGAAUUCGUUUUUGCAGAACAAAAGGUAAAAACUUUGGAACAAUGAAGCAAAAGGGUACUUACCUGUUCCUUGUCCAAAACCGUCGGCGCAUUGUGGGGGGCAGCCAUUAGAACCUGAACAAUUCGCAAAAUUAAUUUACAGACUUCUUCGAAACCGAAACAGUAUGAAGUAGCAGAGAGGGUUUAAGUAAUCUUACUCGGCGGAUGGAAUCGAACGCGCUGAGAGUGGUAGCUGUAAAUGCAGAGGGGUUUUAGGUGUCCGAUUUGAAGCCAAAGCAGGAGAAAAUGGAAAUCCCACUGAACUAUAAUGUACGAAUUAGGGUUUUAGGAGUUUGUAUAGCGUGUAUGUGCGAUGGACGGUUUUGUUUUGGGGGACUUUCAACCCGAAAAGUAGUGGAUUAUUGCCCCUUCUUUUCUCCUUCCACCACAAGUAGCGGAUAAUUUCACAAAGUCCUUACAUGGUGGACAGCCGUAUAUAUAUGUCCCUUUCUUUCUUAUUUUUUGGAUUCUUUUAUUUCUUUGCUUACUCAUAUUUCAUCGGUUGGCUCAAGUUCGGUUCACUAAAGUAGCGUGUUUCUUUGUUAUGUUAGAGUUUGAAUAUCCAUUCAAAUGAUUUAGAUUUCUUCGUGCAGACUAUCGUUUAAUUAAAAGAAAAACUCGUAUUAUGUUUACUUAUAGGAAAUGAAUAUUAGUCUCAUUGUAUAUUUGCUAACAACUAUGAAUUUGAGAGGAAAAAAAGUGAAUCCACAUUGAUUUUACAUUCUAAUACGUUCUCAUACAUGAAAAAUCAUAAGAUUAUUAUGGGGGUUGUUUAAACUCGUGGAAACGUGUUUUGAUGUUCACCCAAUAACAAUUGUUUGUUCUCGAUCCAUUUCAAGUUUUAACAAAUAGUUCGUUUAAGCAGUUAAGAGUUUUUUCUCGUGCUCUCAAAACUCGGCGUUACCUAGUGAACCAUAUAAUAUUCAAUAAUGACUUACCAUUUGAAUGGAUCGAAAAUUUCAAAUUGACGACAUUUGUGCCGGUAACCUGUGUAUUACAAGGAUCAUUGAGAAAAUACAUACUUUCACAUUGUGCCGGUAGCUUUCAUUAGCAAUGCUUCACAAUUUACAGGUACGAGGGCUUGACCAGCAUCUCCUCCGGAUCUUUCCACACUGGGGAGUCCUUAAGGGUGCGUUUGGUACGUGGGACGGGACGGGACGGAACGGGACGAGGCGUUCCGUCCCGCGUUUGGUACGCCAAAAAUGGGUGGAACGGGCUGUUCCACGGGACAGAUUUUGGGUGUUUUUGCGUUCCACGUCUGUGGAACACAAUGUUUUACCAUUUUAAGACAAAUAUACCCCAUGUCUUUUUCAAAAAUUACACCUUCGUUCCGUCCCGUCCCGUCCCGUUCCGUCCCGUCUCGUCCCAUCCCGUUCCGUCCCGUCUGCGUACCAAACGCACCCUUACUGUACAAAUAAGAUUCACAUGCGCAAAAUAUGUGCUAGACUACGCGCUGCAAAUGGAAACAAGUUGUCACCCCCAUUUAUCCAAAAAUAAUAUACUUGUUAUAGAUAUCCGUGUAGAAUAUUAUAUUACGAAGGGCGGAGAGCGUGUGUACGGCAAAGUAGGAACGGGUACAGCAACGUAGCAGCACAAGCAAGACGAUGAUUGGAACUGCAACUUACCCCCACACAUUCACAGAAGCCUUUUUCUUUCCCCUGCUGGUGUUCAUGAAAGCGCUUUGAAGUGAAAAAGCCAAGAAAUUACGAAGGCAAGGAUCAUGCAGGCAAGAAGGAAAGCCGCAUCAGUACUGCUAUUUGCCUCGUUUAUCUGGCCACUGGAAAUGUUGAAUGCAGUUACUCCACAGAUCUCGCAGGUUCUGCAAAUCAAAUAAAUAAAAUUAUGGAUAGGCAGAAAAUAACAUAUCAGUCAGACAAGACAAGUAAUUACAACCAUAACGCAACAUAAUGAAGAAACGUACCAUGAGGAUUUUGAACAAACAUAAUGAAGUGUAACCAACAGCAUACAAAUAUAAAAAAAUAUAGAAGAAAAUGCUAUACAAUCACUGUAAGUGAUUUCAAAGGCCAUCAAUCUUCUAUUUCUGUUUCUAGAAAUAAGUCACGUCGUCAAGAUGUCGUUCCAUUUGCUUACCAUGAUGAGUAAAAUGAAAUUUGAACUAGCUUGCUGUUCUUGCAUAUCUUCUCCUCAUCCUGGUUACCAAGCAAGUCAGUCUUGACCAAUCCAUCUAUGAUGUAUUGUAUUCUCAUGUGAUGCAGCUUAUCUAGAUUAUAUUUCCUGUAGCCUAAGUUUGGAUAUUUCCUUUGCAGAGGGUAUAGCGUGCAAGGUCCUAAGAACUUCACCAAAUUAUCAUCCUUCGAGUAUAGAAAAUCUCCCAAAUAUAUAAGCGAAAUAAACUUGUGACGGAAUCAAAGAAUGCAAAUGCUCAUCAUCAUUUACUAAUCCAUAUGCAUAAUGUAAACAUUUACAUCUUUAUUAGAAGCAUACAUAAAAAAUACAUGGCACACAAGAUAUCCACUUUUCAACAUAGGAGCUCAAUUCUUACAUACAGACACACUUCCUUUAGCUUGCAUUGGACCUCGCACUUUCCACUAAUGUAAAUGCCAUAGAAAGUGUGACUGUAAAAACUAUAAACGUAGAACGAUCGAUAUGUUUGAGUUCAGAUGGACUGUAAUAGUGGUGACUACAAGAUUUGUUCUUUUACUAGAUUUUCUCGUAUUUCAUAUGAGCAUACACAUUCUACUAUAUACGUGAUCUGCCUCAUUCAGCAUUCCAGUAAGAAGCAAAAUGAUAAGAACAAUUGUGACAAUUACAUCAAAAGAAAGAAGCUAAUUAGCAAGUAAUCAUUCGAAUAAGCUGAACUCACGGAAGCAGGAACCUAAACACUAUCAAGAUGGUCUCUGUUGUAGCAUGCCCAUAGUAAGAUCAUAGUUUGAAGUAUGUUAGGAUGCCACUUGUCAUCAUCUCAAUAUGACAAAUGUAAGGUUGAGAUGCUCUAGUAGUAGAUAAGAUGGUUAUAAGUUGUCGGAUGAUAGCUUACAGAGGAAGCUAAGUAGUUUACAUAUAAGGAAGUCGGUUGUAAUUGGGAGGGGGUCAUUGGAAUAAUCUCUGUGUAAUACAAGAAAGUACUAUGCAAUUGUGAAGAAGCCGAGCAAGGUUUUAACAUUGGUAUCAGCCAGUGUCGAUUCCUCUCAAUCCUUCAUUGUUGUAUGCCUCGCCGACCCCGGAACACCAUGGAAUCGCGAGUGUCGACUUUGGAAACCAUGCUCGCCGAUCUCAAAGAUGAGUUCAAGAACAGCCAAGAGAUGAUCAUGAUGCAGCUGCAAUCAUGAUGCAGAUGGAUGCAUUAUUUGUGGCUUUUAUCGUUAUUGAAAUCUUGUUGGAAUUUCGACAUUUAUUGAUCAUAAUGCAUCCAUCUGCAUCUCCGUUGUAUCAUUACCCUGUACAAAGAAAGUGGCUCGAAGUCUUGAGAAGCACAUAACCAACAAUCAAACCGCGGCAUUUGGGUGCUCCAUUAGAAAUGGUGGGACUACGACCAGGAAUCCCAGGUACAUUACGUCUUGCUACAGUUAAAAGGGACAAAUGCUCAAAAUCAAAUACAUAUUCGUGAUAUAACUUUGGCACUCUUAUUUCUGAUACAUAUUUGUGACUGAGCAGAUAAUCAUAGAUAAAAUCUUAAAAAAAAAAAUAUAUAUAUAUAUAUAUAUAUAUCACAAUUUCAACCAGAAAUUUCAAUGGCUCUGACGUCAACGUUCUUCAACUCCGCCUUCGGAACAGUGACACUCAGAACUCCAUUCUCCAUGGCAGCCUUAAUCUGAUCAACCUUUGCGUUCUCCGGAAGCUGAAACCUCCUCAAGAACUUGCCGCUGUUCCUCUCCACUCUGUGCCACUUGUCGUUUAUAUCCUCCUUCUCCACGUUCCUCUCUCCGCUGAUCUUAAGCACCCUGUCGUCUUCCACCUCCACCUUCACCUCCUCUUUUUUCAGCCCCGGAACGUCCGCCUUGAACACAUGGGCUUCGGGGGUCUCCUUCCAGUCGACCCUAGUGUUCACAAAAGCCGAAUUCUCCCGAGAAAAUUCAGGAAAUGCGGAGAGUGAUGAGGAGGAAGGGAACGGGAAAUCCUUGAAAGGGUCCCACAGAUUGAGGGAGAAUGGGUCGAAGACGCUGCUGCUUCCUCGUCGGGAGUUGGGAAUUAGCGACAUUCUGAAAAACCGAUGGGGUUGGUUUGGAUGCAGAGAAAUUUGAGAAUUAUUACAGAAUUAUUGCUUUUGCUGGACUGAUUGGAAAAGUAGCGGAUUUGAUAUAUUUAUAAGGAACCGAAGAAUUUUCUAGAACAGACUUGAGGAUGAGGCUGGAAAAGUAUGUGUGAGUUUCUCGAACUUUCUAGGAUGCUUGAGAAUAAUUGGAACUUUCUUAGGACGCUUAAGAAUAAUCCGACGUUUGUGUGAGUUACUCACACAACACGGUUGACUUCAUGAUGAUGAAUGGUGGACCCAAAAGCCUAAGUGUGGGGGUUGUAUGGGCCAUUCGAUUUAAUCGGACGGUUAAAACUGAAGAUACUGUGCAAGUUAUAAGCGGGGCGUUUGAAUCUUUGAUAUGUAUUAUUUGGACUUAUUGAUAAAUAAUAAUAUUUACAUUAAAUUAACAAUAUCAACUAAAUAUCAAUAACAUUUAACAUCUCAUGAAGUAGCUUAUCUAAAGGUAAAGGGAGUUAUAGCCCAAACAAGCAAAUUACCAGUUAAGUAAUAUGAUGGUCACUUAGUGCUACCUUUAAUGAUAUUUUUCUUUAUUUGAGAGUGAGAGGUCUUAGAUUCGAUUCUCGUCAAAAGCGAAUUCGAAUCAUAUUAUUGUUUAGGGUAAAUUGCCAAUUUAGUCCCUGAAUUAUUACCUUAGUGAAAAUUAGAUUCCUAAACUAUUUUUUUCAGAAAAAUUAGUCCCUGAAAUAUAAAAAUCUGCCAAUUACAUCCCUAAUGUUAUAUUCGAAGCUACUAUAUUCAAAUUUUCGUCAAUUUAAGUUAUAUUACUUGCAUGCGAUACACAUUGGAGGGUAGAUUGGUAGUUUUUCAUAAAGAAAUAGUGUAUGGAGUUAACUUUGGAUGAGAAAUUAAUAGUGUACAAAAUAAUACAUAAAAUAUUGUAAAACACACAUAAAAGGAUCUAAGCCUAAAAAGAAAAAUCAUCCACAGAGCCCAGUCAGUAAGGUUCUAUACGCCAUAAGAAUGAAAUAAAGCAUUUUAUUGUGCACCAUAAGAUUGGAAGAAUCAAUCUUAUACCUAGCCAAUUACCAAUGGCUGAUCAAAGUUCUAGCUCAUAAAUAUUAAGUACAAAUGUGAAAAACAAACUGAAAUCUAUAGGCCAAAUUGAUAAUAAAUAAAUAAAUAAAAAAAGAACAUCUGCACGCCCGCACCGACAGUAAAGCUAGUUUAGUCUUUAGCGGAAUUCUUUUCUCUCUUCUAUCCCCCUUUUUUUUUUUUGGUCGAAGCCCAAUUCUUUUUCAUUCACGAAGUUUCUAGCAACUUCUGUUUUGCCUUCAUUGAGCUGUUGGGUUUCAUGCUCUUUCUAGUUUUACGGUACCUGAAAUUUUCCAGAAACGUCUUUGACUCCUCAUAAAUACGUCACUAACCCCACGCCCUUCACCAACCAGUGAAGCCAAGCAAGAACUCUCCCUACUGACUCCAAUUUGAUUCCCAAGGCAGCCAAACAAAACCACAUCAAGUUUUUUGUUUUUUAGGUUUUUUUAAUAAAUUAUAAAAAAUUAUCUCAAUUAUGAAUCCAACUACAAUCUUAUAUAUCAUGUUCAAACAUUACAAUGUUAUAUGAAUUCCUUUAAAUAUUCUAUUAAUUUUAAUUGUUAAAUGAUGAGAUGCCAGGAAUGGAGCUCACUCUUUUGAUAAUUGGAAUAAAAAAUUAAUCAAUUAAUAAUAAAUUAAUAAUUUUUUAUUUACAAUUAAAAUCAAUUAAAAAAAAAACUCUCUCAGCCGCAUCCCUCCGUUACCCCCCCCCCCCCCACAUUUUCCGAGCAACCAAACAAACCAAAGCAUAUAAUUUUUUCCAGAAAAAAAUUCAAAACCCAAGUCGAAAAAUCACAAGAGAGUGCAGACCUGAUUUUUUAUCCCAAAAACAUGCAUUGAAUGUGGAUCCGGCAAUUACAAGCAGGACGCGAUUCCCAAACCUCACAAAUCAAAAUUUACAAACCCUUAAAAUCCCAAUAGAUUUACGAGUUCCCGGAGUGGGAUUCAAAUCCCACGAAACCUUCAUAGCCAUUGGACCAAAACACUAGACUAUUUCUCUACUAGAGAAAAUUAAGAUUUAAUUUUUAAUUUAAACCCAUGAUGUUAUGGGUACAAUGAUUUUUGGGCAUCGGUGGAGACUACGCGCAGACGAAGGAGAUAAGGGAAUAGAGAAGACUCGCAGACUACCUCACCGAAAAGAUCUCAUCUCCCCUCCCCAGAACAACACCUUCCACUACUCCAAAAUUCCUAGGUACUCGAUUCCACUAGCAGAGACAACCACAUCAGCAAUGGCGAUGGCGAUUAUGCAGCUUCAAAUUCUCAUGAUGCACUCGAGAGCUCCCUUGCCGAUCUUUAGAACAUUGACGAUGGAUAGACGAGGAUUGGAAAAGUCUCGAUCAUCGUCAGGUCCAGGAAUCGCGGGCGGGAAGCUCAUACGGUAGCCGGAUCUCGAGGUGGUUUCGAUGACAGAAGACUCGCUGCAGACAACCAUCAAGAAGCAACAAGAGAGACAGAAGGAGAGAUGGGGUUUUUAAUAACUUUAAUUUUUUCAGAUUAAAAAUUCUUGACUUAUUUAAUUUUUAAAUUAUGAGUGGGUCCUAUUAUUGCCAAGUCAUCAUUUAGCAGUCAAACUGAUAGAAAAUUUAAUGAAGGUGUGACAUUGCAACGAAUUUAGAAGUUGAUGUAUGAUAUUGUAAUGUUUAAUACAUGAAGUAUGAGAUUGUGGUUCGACCCAUAUUUAAAGUAGUUUUGUAUAAUUUAUCAUUUUUUUUCUUCAAAAUGUUGCUUAUCCCCACCUCUCAACAAGGCAACAGCAUCUUCGACCAAUUCUCCCUCAACUUGUGUGACCCUUUCAAGGAUUUCCCAUUCCCUUCCUCCUCAUCACUCUCUGCAUUCCCUGAUUUUUCUCGGGAAAAUCGGCUUUUAUGGACACUACAGUCAACUGGAAGGAGACCCCCGAAACCCACGUGUUCAAAACGGACAUUUUGGGGCUGAAGAAUGAUGAGGUGAAGGUGGAGGUGGAAGACAACAAGGUGCUUCAGAUCAGCGAAGAGAAGAAUGUGGAGAAGGAGGACAAACACAACAAGUGGCAUAGAGUGGUAAGGAGCAGAGGUAAGUUCUUGAAAGAUUUCAGCUUCCGGAGAAUGCAAAGGUCGAUCAGAUUAAGGCUGCCAUGGAGAAUGGAGUUCUGAGUGUGAUCGUACCAAAGACAGAGGUGAAGAAGCCUGACGUCAAAGCCGUUGAAAUCAAUGGUUAAUUAAUAGUGAAAUAAUAAGAUUAUGAAUGUUGUGUUCUUAGGAAAUAAGAUUAUGAAAUAGAGUGCCCAAAAAAGAGUGAUUUGUGUAAUUGUUUGUAAAAUAAUGACUUGUGUGUAGUUAAUUUGAUACAAAUUUGGAUUUAUGCGUUUGAAAAUAAUAAAAAUUUUAAAUGAGGAUAAUCGGAAAACAACUUUUGUAGUAAAAAUUUAGAUUUAAAUUUUUUGGUAAAGUUCAUUAGGUUUCAUGUUCGAAUGUGACAUUUAUAUUAUUUUUCUGUUACUUGUCAUUUCACUCUAUAUUUUUUCACGGGGUAUCAUACCAUUGCCAAGCCCCUUUCUCACUUCUCCCUCUUCGUCUCUCUACACCUACAUCCCGUCUUCUCUCUCCUCCGUCUCACUUUCCAUGCGCAAAACAUUUUUGUGAGUUUUUAGAUUUUAAAGCUCUGAUUGGAUCAGUUUGAAUGAAAAGUUUUAACCAAGCUUCUAAAACUGGAGAAAGGAUUUCUAGGCAGCAAAAGGCAAGACCCAUGGCGUACAAUUGAGAUUUAAAAAAAAAUGGCUUUGAGAUUUGUUGGUUAGGAUGUCCUUCCCUCAAUUGUGAGUAGGGUUGGGCAAAUACCCAUUGGUUAUGGGUAACCGUGAUUACCCGCCAAUUUAAAUUAAAUGGUUACGGUUAUGGGUAACCGUUUAGAUAAAUAAACAGUUAUGGGUAUAACCGUUUACCCGCAAAGUGUAAAUGGGCGGUUAUGGAUAUUAACCGCGGUUAUAAACGGGUAACCGUUUACCCAUUUAUUUUAUAUAUAUAAAAUUAACACAAAAUAUGUUCUCUACUAGACAAAACUUAGAUCAAUGCUAUUGACUAUAAUGUGAUUUAUAUAGCGCUGUUUUAAUUAAUUAAAAAGUAAUAAACGAUAAUCCGUGCAGUAUUUUUAUCCUUAAAUUGAGUAAAUCAAAAGAAAUUUAAGUGAGAAAAAUAAACGGGAGCGCACUGAAAUCAUUUCCCUUGCAGUAUGCAUGCAUUAGAUUUUUUCAUGUGUUUACUGUAGCUAUAUGUUGAUCUUGGAUCGAACAAACUGGAAAUCGAACAUUCUUACAGGGCUAUUGAUCCCCUACAUUUUCUUUACCCUUCCUUCAAUAUUGUUCAACAUCUUCAAGUUCUUUUCUACACGUAGUUACCGUACAAGUUAUAUAUUUCCUGUUGUCUGUGUUUCUUAUUUGUUCUAUUCCCUAAAAAUCUUUAUUUUUCUAGGGGAGAGAAUGGAAAAUGGAUUGCUCUCGUUACGUUGGCAUAUAAAUAAUCCACGUAACGGUGCCCGUCGUUGUGUCUUUUCCGGUAAUUAUUUCAAUUAUUGGAAUGUUAUAAGGACUUAAAAAUUUAAAAUACGGAAAUGGAUGAUGAAUGUACCUAUAACGGUGUUUAAUUGUCACAAAAAAUAAAAAUUAUAACAAUUUUUUUUUAAAUUUCCAAGUUGUUAAAAAAUAUGUAGACGGGUGAAAAAUGGGUAACGGUAAAAAAAUAAAAAGAUAAAUGAGUUAAAAAUGGUAAAUGGGUAAACGGGUAUUAAACGGUUACGGUUAAAUGGAUAUGCGGUUAUGGGUAUGGUUAACCGUUUAUAAAUGGUUAUGGGUAUGAGUAUAACCGUUUAAGCAAUUACCCAACGGGUAAACGGUUAUGCGGGUAUGAGCAUAAACGGUUAUGGGUAAAUAACCGCGAUUGCCCACCCGGCAUAACCGUUGCCCAUCCCUAAUUGUGAGCAGCUCUUAAUAUGCUUUCUUCGCAGGAAGGCGAAUUGGAGACAAUAGUAUGCUUUUGAAGGAGUUUCUUAAAAAAACACUUUCAAACAAAUUUGUAUAGAAUUUAUAUGCUACGACUAAUAGUAGCCCUACUAUUGUUCGAAAUAGAUUACCAAUUCUAAUUGUGAUGUUUGUACCGUAAAAUAAUGUGAUGCCUCGAACGAAUGAGGAUGGCUCAAGCCAUGUAUUGUGCCUUGAGAAUGUGGGGUUGGGAAGCAAUGCAUCCAAUUUUUCUUUCACUUUAUCCUUCUUCUUUUUUUGUUAAAGAAAGUACCAUAUGGUUCGUAAGCAAAGUAUCCAAAUCUUUUUCACUUUUUUCUUGAUAAAGAGAAAUACAAAGUGGGUUCGAAAGCAAUGCAUCUCAUUCUCUUUCCCUUUGUCUUUUUCUUGUUAAAAAAGAAUGAAAAUACCUUACUUCAGAAUCACCUCCUCUUGAGGUAAUGCUCGUUAAAUAUAUUUUUUUUGCUUCUCUAUUUAUAUUGUUAGAGAACUCUUAUUAACCUUUCCCCAUUGAAGUUAUCUGCUCAUUGCAUUGCUGAGGUAACAUAAUAUGUCCUCCUUGUGCAUGAUACCAUUCAACAUUCAUAUUUUCUAGCAAAUUCGUGAAGUAACAAUGUCAGUACCAGACACAUGAGUUGUUGUUGAAUAAGGCAUAGAUUUUAGAAUUUCACUUUUACUCUAGUGAACUGUUGCAUUGGGUUGAUUUACAAUACAGGUACGUAUGUACAGCUUGGAAACUUUAUUUCUUUUCAAUAUUUGUUGUUUUAGGUGUUUAUUUUUACCCAUGUGUGACUAAGAAACAAAAGUGUUGGUUUUACAAUAUAUUUUCUAGAAAAUUCGUGAAGUACCAGAUCCAGCAGCAGACAUAUUGUUGUUGAACAAGGCAUAGAUUUCACAAUUUCAUUUUUUUCCCUACCGGUUAGUUGCAUUUGGUUGAUUACAAUACAGGUACGUAUGUUCUUAGAAACUUCAUUUCUUUUCAAUAUUUGUUGUUUUAGGUGUUUGUACUAUAUGUUUAUGCAUUUUGAUGUUCAUCCACGUCAACUGAAAUUGAGCUAAUCCCCCCCCCCUUAUAAUCUAAUUUUUAGUUUUCUCACUCAAUACAAAAAGUUUUAAAUCAUGUCUGCUAUAUGGUGGUGAAAUGUAAACUAUUAGAAAUUUGUAUGCUGUAAAAUAAUAAUGAGUAAAUAAAUAUACAUGCAGUGAAACCGUCAAUUGAAAAUAUGACUUUACCCCUUGAAAUUCAAUUUUCUUUAACUAAAACUCAUCAUAGUAUAUUUUCCUAACAAAAACUCAUUGACUUUACCUCUUGAGAAAAAAAAAGGGCCUUCGGGUUUUUACAUAUAUAUAUUUUUUUCACUUCUCCUAUUUAUAUUGUUAGAAAGCUCUUAUUAACUCUUCCCCAUUGAAGUUAUCUGUUCAUAUAUAUGCAUUGAUGUGCAUCAUCUUUCCUCCUUGUGCAUGCUAACAUUCAUCAUUCAAAUUUUCUUGCAAAUUCGUGAAGCACCACUACCAGUACCAGACAUAUGAUUUGUUGCUGAACAAGGCAUAGAUUUCAAAAUUUCAAUUUUACUCUGUUGGACAAUUGCAUUGCGUUGAUUUACGAUACAGGUAUGUAGUACUUCUCGAAAACUUUGUUUUUAUCUUGCUUGACUAAGAAACUAAAAUGUUAGUUUUACAAUCUAGUGCCCACCAGAUAUUCUAUUUCAGGAUUCAGCUCAACAAUUUUAUUGAUUAGGUUUUGACUUCACACAAUUUUGUAUUUUUAGAUGUUUAAAAUAUCCCUAGUAACUUAUGUCAGAUUAAAAACAAAUUUUAAUAUCAUGAUUUCAUUGCAUAUUAAUAAUAAAAGUAUAUGAUUCUACGGUUUUCAUUUGUUUUAUUUUAUUUUUUUUCCUUUUUAAAUUCCCUAGUUGCUUUUCAAAUUUGCAUAAAUUAGGAUUUUUUUUUUGGUUUAAUUUUUCCGUUUUCAAAAUAUGGGAGCAUUAGUUACCAACAAAAUAUAAGAAUGUUAUUUUUCAAAAUUAUUUAAUUAUAUUCUAUAUAAAUAUGGGUAAAUUAUUUUACUACACAUAUAUAAUAACAAUAAAAUGUGCUUAAUGUAUGUAAUAAUACAUGCAAAAUAAUUUACCUACAACAUAAGGGAUGUGAUUUGGUUCAAGUUUAUUUUACCUACAUUUCACAUAUUGAUAUGGGGAAAUUAUUUUAUGUAGAUUAAAGUACCUACUUAAAGAUGAAGAAUGUGAAUUGGUCCAAGAUUUAAUUUACAAUUAUUUCAAAUAUAUAGAUAUAAGUAAGGGGAAUUUUGAUCUAGGUGCAACAUCCCUAGCAUUUAGACUUUUUUAUUAAACUAUUUUCUACAAUUUUGGUGCCACGUUUUCUAAAAUGUCCUUCUUUUUGAAAUUCAAAAUUACAUGAAGUGCCAUUGAUCCACCAAUUUAUUCAAAAAGUAGUUCCGAAAUCUAGCCUUCUUCAAACCAAAUUUAUUAUUUUUAUUAAUCCAAAACAAAGACACAUAUUAUUAAGUUAUCAACCAAUGACAUGUGCCAAAAAUUAAAAUUAAAAUAACCAAAACUAGAAUCAAACGUACCAUAAACUAGAAUUAAACGUACCAACACUAAAACUAAAUGUACCAAUCAACGAUAUAUACAAAAUAAUUCUCUCACUAAAAUGUAUACAUAAAAUAUAAACAUCCACCAUUUUCAUUGUCUUGAAGGUAAAAUUAUAUUUUAAUUUUAGGAGAAAAAAUAUUUUUUACGAAGAAAUUAUAACAAAGAGAUCAUUUGAUAAGCAUCAGGUGCGACUUUGUGGCAAGGCUUCAUAUCGUUUCGGGUUUGAACUAAGUGAUGCUUAGGCCAUCUCCAACCGAAGGGUUCAGAGGGCCAGAAGGUCGAAAAUAGCCCGAAAACCGUCUCCAACCGAGGGCUAGGCCAAAGGGCUCUGGAAUCUGGGAGGGCCCCACGGAAUCGGAGAGGGCUGGAGGGCUGGAGGGUUGGCUGCAUGCAGCCAGCCAGCCCGGGGCUGGCUAUUUUUUUUUAAUGUUUUGUUAUUCCUGUCGGUUAUAACCGACAUGAAUACAUUUAUACUAAAUAAUAGCAUGUAUUCCUGUCGGUUAUAACCGACAUGAUUUCUUAAGAAAAAAUUCAAAUGCAACGGCUACUAGACGUUGCAUUUGAUUUAUUUAUUUAUUUAUUUUCAGUUUUAUUAUUAUUUUUUAUUUACAAAAAUUUUCAUAUAACUUCUAUUUUUUCCUAUAACUUCUAUUUCACAAAAUUUAUUUCAUAUUUUUUUUUAAAUUCCAUUUUUUCCCUAUAACUUCUAUUUCACAAAAUUUGUUUCAUAUUUUUUUUAAAUUCCAUUUUUUUCCUAUAACUUCCUAAGCCAUUAUACAACAUUAAAUUAAAUUAAGUAACAUGAAACAACAUUAAACAAUAUGAAACAACAUUACAUAACAUUAACCAACAUAAAAAUUAUACAACAUGAAACUUAAAUGGAGACGGUUUUUAAAUGGGUUGAAUUUAAGUUGUAGUCUUUAAAUAAUAAAUUAUGUUUGGCCCUAUGGUCUUCGGUUGAAGACGGUUUUUUGUGACAGGGCUAAAACGAGCCAUCUGGCCCUCGGUUGGAGACGGAGGCAAAUAUGACCCUGUACUGUUCAUUAAAAUAUUAAUAUCUUGAAGAAUCUUGGAGGGCUAGAGGGCUAAAACGAGCCAUCUUGCCAACCAUCGGUUGGAGAUGGCCUUAAGCCUUAAAGUAUGAGUCAUAGAGGAAAAAUAACAAAGAUCUACACAAAACUCAAACAAAAGAUAAAGAUAGAGAAAACAAUAGAUAAGUUUUCUGGGUGGGCUCAAAACUGUCAUAAAUAGUGGGCGAUGGAGGAAGGAGGCUUGAAUUUUGAAACGAACCAUGAGGGUUGCUGGAAAAAAUAAAAAAUAAAAAAAUAAAAACUAGAGGAGGUGUGGGGUCUAUGGUAAUGGGAUGAGGAUGAAUGAAAAAACCAAUAAAACAAAAAUAUAAAGAAAUAAAAGAAUUGAAAAAACCCGAUAUAUCACGUUGUUUGCUGUAUCGUGUAAGCUUGACAAUGAGCUUAUAAUAAUGUGAUUCAAAUUCGCAUUUGACGAGAAUCGAACAUAAAACCUCUCACUUACAAGUAAAUAAAAAUAUCACUAAACUGCAAUACUAAGUGAUAAUACAACUUAGAUUUAAACAGGACAAAAAUAUAUGAUUAUUAAUGUUGUGCUGGGGUGCUUCUUUGGUUUAGGCAUCAGAGCACUGAGCGCGGGACUUACAAAAGCCACCAACAAGGAGAAGCAUUCCGGUUGUUGUCUUUGAUUUCAGAAGGAAAUGGAAAUUAUAAUUGCAAUUGCCUCAAAAAUUGGAGAGUCCUUGGUCACCAAUAGGAACAGAGUUUGGCUAUUUGGUUAAUUACCAUUCCAACCUUGAAAGUCUUAGGGGUGAGAUAAAAAAGCUUUUUGACAAGAAUGAUGGAGUGCAAAGAUUGGUAGAUGCUGCCAAAAGGAAUGGUGAAAUCAUCAAACCUGAUGUUCAGAGUUGGCUAAAGAAUGUGAACGACGACAUGGUCAAAAAAGUGUUGCAGUUUGAGGAUGAAAUUAACAAGAAAGGCGAUGUGUGUAUCGAUGGAGCUUGAGUCGGAGAGCCUAUAAGAUUAAACAAGAAGUUCUUCAGCUCCAAAACGAAGGAGCAUUUGAAAAUAUGGCCCAUCCUGCACCUUCACCAGAGAUAUGGUCAACAUUCAAGAAAGGUUUUAAGGAUUUCAAGUCCAGAAUGGCAUACAUGAAUAAGGUGAUAGAGGGUUUGAAGAGGGAACGAGUACGAAUGAUCGGGAUUUGUGGAAUGGGGGGUGUGGGUAAAACCAUAAUGGUGAAAGAAAUCAUCGUAAGAUUGGCAAAACUAGACUUGUUUGAUAAAAUUGUAAUGGCAACUGUGUCUCAAAGUCCAAGUAUUAGGAUGAUCCAGUCGGAAAUUGCAGACAAAAUAGGUUUGAAAUUUGAGGAGGAAUCAGAGCCCGGAAGAGCACUAAAGCUACGUGGGAGACUCAUGGAAAUAAAGAGGAUCCUGAUUGUAUUAGAUGAUGUCUGGACAGAGCUUAAUUUUGAGGCUAUAGGACUCCCUUGUGGAGAUGAUCAUGAAGGGUGCAAAGUUUUGUUGACAUCACGAGAUUCGGAAGUCUGCAACAGGAUGGGAAGUCAACAAAUUAUUGCUGUCCCGAUUUUAACACCAGAAGAAUCACAGGAGCUCUUUCGAGAAAUGGUAGGUGAAUCCUUCAAUGAUCCUUAUUUACGUUCCACUACAAAAGAUGUAUUGAAGGAAUGUGGAGGUUUACCUAUUGCAAUUGUAACUGUUGGAAAAGCCCUAGAAAAGAAAAACAAGUGUGAAUGGGAUGAUGCCCUUAAUCAGCUGCGAAAAUCUACCCCAGUGAACAUCCCUGGAGUGAAUGACAAAGUUUAUUCUAGCAUAAAAUGGAGUUAUGAUAGAUUGGAGAGUGAUGAAGCCAGGUCAUGUCUUUUACUUUGUUGUUUAUUUCCAGAAGAUUAUGAUAUUCCAAUUGAGUAUUUGAUUCGAUAUGGGUGGGGUCGAGGAUAUUUUAGCAACAUCUUUACUUUGGAAGAUGCAAGAAAUAGAGUGCAUUAUUUGGUUGGCCAACUAAAAAGAAGGUUUUUGUUGCUCGAUAGUGGCAAGAGUGAGGCUACAAAAAUGCAUGACGUAGUUCGCGAUGUUGCCAUAUGGAUUGCUUCAAGAGAUCCACAUGGAUUUUUGAUAAGAAGUGAUGCUGAAAAUAAAGGGUGGCCAAAUUUAGCUACAUAUGACCAUUACACUACCAUCUCACUUGUUGGCGAAUUGGAGAUUCAACAUGGUUUGAAAUGCCCAAAACUUGAGCUUCUACAGACGAUGGAAGGACGUUUUUCAGAAGGUAGCAUGGACAACAUUUGUAAGGCGAUGAAAGAACUGAAGGUUUUAGCUUUGGUGGGAAUGGAAAUGGAAGACCUAGGCUCAUCAAGAUCACUAGGAUUACUGAAGAAUCUGCGGACCUUGUGCCUAGAUGGGUCUAAUUUUGAUGGCACGUCUACUGAUGUUAUUGGGAGUUUGGAGAAUUUAGAAAUCCUCAGCUUUCGGGAAUGUGAUUCCAUGCGUGAGUUGCCGAGGGAAAUUGGACGACUUAAACAGUUAAGGUUGUUAGAUACGACAGACUGUCGGAAACUUGAGGUGAUUCCACAUGGUAUCUUAUCCAGCUUAUGUAGACUUGAAGAACUGUAUAUGCAUUGUAGCUUUAAUAAAUGGGAAAUUGGAAGAGGAAGAGAAGAAAAGGGGAUGGCAAGCAUUUCUGAGGUGAUGUCUCUGUCUCAUCAUUUGAAGGUUCUAGCCAUAAAUAUACCCAAUGUCAUCCACUUGUUGCCAAAAGACAUAGUCUUUGAAAAGCCCAACAAUAAGAUUCGGUAUAUGCCUUGCAAGAUGGACAGAAGCAGUCAAAGAAUUUUUUAGGACAACUUAUGCAUUCGAAAAUUGUUUGAUGAUUGAAAAAAGUGAUGCAAGGGAGUUGGAGGAGAGUCAAGCAGUUAGACUUUUGUUGAAAAAAUCUAAAAAUUUGACUUUGCGCAAAGUUAAGAAUUUCUCUGUCCUCACUGAUUUAGACCAAGAAGGAUUUCAAGAUUUGAAAGAUUUGGAUCUUCGGUAUUGUCCACAUAUCGAGUAUCUUGCAAAUGGAACAAGUGGGUUUUUGACCAACCUAAGAAUCAUUCAAUUGAAAUUUUGUGGUGUCUUAAAAUAUGUCUUUUCAUUAUCAGUAGCAAGAAACUUGGUACAACUCCAGGAAUUAAACAUUUAUGGAUGUGAUCAAAUGGAAGAAAUUGUGUCAAAGCAAGGGAGAGAACAUGAGGAGGAAGCCGAUAUAAUAUCUUUCCAUAAAUUAACCAAUUUGACUCUCGAGGGUCUAGGGAGUUUGGUUGGUUUCUUCCAAGCCAACAAGCUAUACUCCAACCAAGAAGAGGUAUGUCCCACUCUCCAAUCUCUAUGAGAUGAGGAGGCAGCCGAUAUGUGGAAAUUUGAAAUUAUUUAACUGAUAAUUAUUUUUCUUUUUCAGGAAAAAACGGCAAGGGUUGAGCAUCAAUCUGCAGGCAUAUUUGAAAAAGCAAUAUUUCCAUCAACGUGCAUUUCAUGGUUUCCAAGUUUAGAAAAGGUGAGAUUGGGAUUUAUGGAGUUUGAAGGCGUGCUAUUUGAUCUUAAAAUCCAUGUAGUUAUGGAUGGGCAGACAGCUCCAACUUUUCCCCAGUUACGUGGGUUGGAGAUAAUUUUUUGUUCGUUUACACAUUUGUGGAAAAACAUUCCAUCUGGAUUUCAGGGCUUCCGAAAUUUGAGAUGUUUGGAUAUAAGAGAAUGUUGUGGUCUAAAAUAUGUGUUCUCGCAUUUAAUUGCCCGAGAACUUUUGAAUCUUGAAGAGGUAAAGAUAUCUAGAUGUCCGGACAUGGAAACUAUAGUUAGAAUCAAAGAGCAAAAUGAAGAAGAGGCGACAAAACACAUGAUUUUGUUUCCGAAACUGAACACAUUUGAACUACAAUACCUGCCUCGUCUCACAAGUCUUUGUCCAGAGGGAUUUACAUUUCUAUGGUCAUCCAUAAAAAAUAUGCACGUGAACAAAUGUGAAAAUUUGAAGACAUUGGUGAAUAACUUGAAGAAGGAUUCAACAAGUCAUGAUUUCAGCACUUCUCCAACACGUUCAUCGAAUUGGUGCCCUGCUGGAUGUGGAUGCGCACCAUACUCAAGACCAAACGCCCACCGCCCCAUUGAAAUAUUGCCACGUCCAAUUAACCUGGAGGUAAGCUUUUAAAUCAGGUUCAAUUAACCUCUAUAAGUACAACUUUUAAUUAGUAUUGUAUCAUCUUGUUGAUCGUGUUUAAUUUUCUAGAUUACACCAACUAAUCUUGAAGACUCAAAUGAUGAUGAUAAUCUCGAAAAUCUUACUGUAAGUGACUGUAAUUCGAUGGAAGUGAUUUUCCAACUCAAGGGACCGAAGCAUGAAGAAAGUAGUCACUCUGUUGAAGCAUUCAAUAAAUUGAGUUCCUUGCAGUUAUAUACAUUGCCAAGUUUAACGCGUGUUUGGGAGACGGGUAGUUCACAACCGAUGUUUACGGGAAGCAGCUUCGGAAACUUGAAAUCGCUGCGGGUCUAUUAUUGCAACCAGUUGAAAUACUUGUUUUCAUCGUCCAUAGUCAAACUUCUUGUGAGUGUAGAGAACAUAGAAGUUCAGAAGUGUGAGCAGAUGGAAGAAAUCAUUGCCGCAGAAGAAGAAACAGCUGAAAUAAUUACAUUACCUAAAGUGAAGUCCAUCAAGCUUUUAAGGCUGCCAAAACUCAAGUAUUUUUGUGGUGAAGCUUAUACUUUGAAGUUGCCGUCUUUGGAGUUAUUGAAGGUUACUGACGUGCAAAACUUAAGCCUAUUAGCUCCUAAACUUACCGGCACACAUCCCCGAUUGCAAGUACGCACCGCGUUGGGAGUGGCUGAAUGGAAGGGGGACCUCAAUGCCACUCUAAGGAAUAUUUACGUCACAAGGUAUGCUUUAAUAUAAGGUUUUUAAUUUCCAAUCAUUUAUGGCAAACAGCACAAAAAUUUCGACAACAAAUUUAGGCAAAGCAUAAUCAACAGUUCAGAUUUAGUUUGACGAAAGUGUAAUCAAAAUUUAGUCAAAAAUACACAUACACACACAUAAAUAUGUAUGUGUGUAUGUGUGUGUGUGUGUGUGUGUGUAUAUAUAUAUAUAUGUAUGUGCGUAUGUGCACACUAGAGUGUAUUUAGAUAUGUUUUUCUUCUUUUGAAAACUCAAUUAUAUCUCAAGAAAAUAUCUGUCUUUUAUUUCUAACACAGGAAGGGUGAAGAUGAUGAAAUCGACAGGAAGGAUGAACACAAUUAAUCGAUCAAGCACAUCUUCAACUUCUUCUAGGUUUAGUAAAAACUGCUAUUUUCGGAAACACAUAUACAAUAAGCAUAACCGUUUCAACUUAUUUGAGUUUCAGUGAUUUCUAAUAUUCUCCAAUGCAUGCAGGACAACAAUUCAAAGAAGGUUGUGGCUUCAACAAUUCGUUUACCAUCUCAUAUGUACAAACCAAUAAAAUGUCAUUUGUUGCACCAGACUUUCAUUCCAAAAAUACAUCGUCAAUGACAUUUAUCUAAGUUCUCAUUAUUAAUGUUUGUAUCUAAGUUCGCAUUAUUAAUGUUUGUUUAUUUGCCCGAAGAAAUGAGAAAUGCUUAUGUAAAAAUAAAUACAACAACAACAACAACAACAAAGCAUUUUCCCACUAAGUGGGGUCGGCUAUAUGAAUCCUAGAACACCAUUGCGCUCGGUUUUGUGUCAUGUCCUCCGUUAGAUCCAAGUACUCUAAGUCUUUUCUUAGAGUCUCUUCCAAAGUUUUCCUAGGUCUUCCUCUACCCCUUCGGCCCUGAACCUCUGUCCCGUAGUCACAUCUUCGAACCGGAGCGUCAGUCGGCCUUCUUUGCCCAUGUCCAAAUCACCGGAACCGAUUUUCUCUCAUCUUUCCUUCAAUUUCGGCUACUCCUACUUUACCUCAGAUAUCCUCAUGCCCAAUCUUAUCCUUUCUCGUGUGCCCACACAUCCCACGAAACAUCCUCAUCUCCGCUACACCCAUUUUGUGUAUGUGUUGAUUCUUCACCGUCCAACAUUCUGUGCCAUACAACAUCGUUGGCCUUAUUGUCGUCCUAUAAAAUUUUCUCUUGAGCUUCAGUGGCCUACGACGGUCACAUAACACGCCGGAUGCACUCUUACACUUCAUCCAUCCAGCUCGUAUUCUAUGGUUGAGAUCUCCAUCUAAUUCUCCGUUCUCUUGCAAGAUAAAUCAUAGGCAGCAAAAAUGGUCGCUUUUUGUGAUCUUCGCUAGAUUGCUCCGGUCAUUAGUGUGGAUAAGUAUAUAAAUGAAUAGAGAUAGGAAAGCAAACACAAGAUGUACGUGGUUCACCCAAAUUGGCUACGUCCACGGAAUAGAAGAGUUCUCAUUAAUUGUGAAGGGUUUACACAAGUACAUAGGUUCAAACUCUCCUUUAGUGAGUACAAGUGAAUGAUUUAGUACAAAUGACAUUCGGAAAUAUUGUGAGAGAAUGAUCUCGUAAUCACGAAACUUCUAAGUAUCGGAGUGUGGUAUCGUCUUGACUUGCCUUAUCUGUCUCAUAGGUAGAUGUGGCAUCUUCUCUGGAAGUACUCUUCCUCCAUCCAGGGGUGGUAUCUUUAACUGGUGGAGAUGCACAAGGUAAUGUAUCAAUUUCACUUGAAGCUUACUUGUAGUUUCAGGCUUGGUCAAGCGCGAUACAAACCAUGUAGUAGGAGUCCCCCAAGUCGCCGAGCUAGGGGAUCUACUGAAAGAGGUGACAGACAAGGUAAGCAAUCAGAGCUCCGGCUGAUUGUUCACCUUCUCCCCAUCUUGCAGCAGCAUGAAGGAUAAAGAGAAGAAAAAAUGAGAAGAGAUGAUAUGGGAUACUUUUGCUUUUGAAGAAGUAACUUUCCACAGGCUUAUUCUUGAACUGAGCUGGAGGGUUUUCUGGUUUCCUCCAGAGCCGACUGAAGAAUUUGAGGGUCAAAACAAGUCCAUCAAAUCUAGAGUACGUUCGACCCUGCUGAUAUGGGAUACUUUUGCUUUUGACAGAGUAAUGGAUGUAUCGGAACGUGUGCUGUUACGCUUGUCUCCACAUGCUUCCUUGUAUCCUUCGCACUUGCCCUAUCUGUUCCUCAAGCAGAUGCGGUAUCUUCCCUGGAAACAUAAGAUGUUGAAGAUGAGUACUCGAGAGCAAUGUCAGGUAAGUAAUCAGGUAAGGGGUUCCAGGCAGUCAGUUCCUGGCUGGAAGCUUGAUUCCAAGUGCUGACUGAUUACUCUCUUUCUCCUUGUCUUGCAGGUAAAAACAAGGCCAAAGGAAAAGACAGGGAAAAAGCAUGAUAUGGGAUACUCUUGCUUUUAAUCUUGAUGAUAUGAGAUAUUCUUGCUCUAGUAUAGCUUGUUUGCAGAGGUAUUAUCGGGGGGAAAGAAAGCUGAAUAUUUCGAAAGGCUUCGUUGGGAGUGCCCUCUCAGAUAUGAGGAAGGGUUGAGCAUUUUUGCAGGUCUGCCUGUCCGUUGGGGAUGGAGGUCGACAUAUAUAGGAGUCUCCCUAACAACAAGUAGUAAUGCUAUUCCUUUACCCUGCUUGGUCAUAGCACGGUAGUGGGAGCUGCCAGCUUCACAUGUUUUAACUCUGUCAGAGCACUUUGAAAAAGUGGUCUGUGGUAUCUGGCUCUCGAGAAGUCUUCGACAGAAUGCCCAUAAUUUUCGCAAAGCUGAGUGUGUGUGUGACAGGUGCUGAUAAGGCUAGAAAAGUAGGUGUCUCUUCGAUUUCUGAGAUCGGCCCUCGUGGUCUCUGAGCAGCCCAGCUUUUGAGAAAUCGAGCGUCUCUUCGAUUGAUUCGGAGAACGAUGCAUCUUCGAUUUUUAAGAAAGCAAUCAUGCUGGGGGUCUGGCUCUCGAGAUUUGGGGAGCAGUGUCACUUCGAUUUUUGAGAAAGUAAUCAUGUUGGGAGUCUGGCUCUCGAGAUUCGGAGGGCGGUGCCUCUUCGAUUUUGGAGCAAGCAAUCUUGUUGGGAGUGUUUUCUCGAAUGUGAGUAAAGGUUGGGCAUGUUUGCUAGUCUACCUUGCCACGAAGCACAGAGGUUGACACACAGGGAUUUUCCAAUUAUCCAGCAAUGGUACUGUUCCUUUACCCUCUCUUCGAUUUUUGAGAAAGUAGUCAUGUUGGGAGUCUGGCUCUCGAGAUUCGGAGGACGGUGCCUCUUCGAUUUUGGAGCAAGCAAUCUUAUUGGUAGUGUUUUCUCGAGUGUGAGUAAAGGUUGGGCAUGUUUGCUAGUCUACCUUGCCACGAAGCACAGAGAUUGACACACAGGAACUUUCCAAUUAUCCAGCAGUGGUACUGUUCCUUUACCCUUGUGGGUAAUAAUAUGGUAGCUAGACCUUCAAAAUUUAUGGGUCUAAACUUGUUAGUGCUGUUUCUUUGCUAUUCUUUUACCUUUCUUGGCCAGAGCGAUGUAGUGGGAGCUGCAAGCUUCACGUGCUCAACUUUGGCAGAGAACUUUGGCAAAGUUAUCUGUGGUACCCAUGAGCUAUUGUUGCGUGUGGGAAGUGGGUGAUUGAACAGUAAGAUUCAUGUGUUUUCUACUUCCUCAGAAGUCUUCGACAGAAUGCCCAUAAUUUCCGCAAAGCUGAGUGUGCGUGUGACAGGUGCUGACAAGGCUGGAAAAGUAGGUGCCUCUUCGAUUUCUGAGAUCGGCCCUCGUGGUCUCUGAGGAGCCCAGCUUUUGAGAAAGCGAGCGCCUCUUCGAUUUCUGAGAUCGGCCUUCGUGGUCUUUGAGCAGCCCAACUUUUGAGAAAGCAAACGCCUCUUCGAUUUCUGAGAUCAACCCUCGUGGUCUCUAAGCAGCCCAACUUUUGAGAAAGCAAACGCCCUCUUCGAUUUCUGAGCAGGCGCCUCUUCGAUUUCUGAAAGCUCCGUCGAGUGCAGAUUUUUAUAGGGGCUGGCAUUAAGUUCCAAAGCACACUUGAAUCUCCACCAGUAGAAGCUCCAUUCUUGCACUUCUAAGAUCUUGAUUUGUCCGACCUCUUCUCUCUUCAACACCUUUGAAAAUGUCUGGCCCCUCCGACCGUCGUUUUGACUUGAACCUUGUUGAAAGAGGCAGCCCCGCCUUCUCCAGACAACAUAUGGCGCCCAUCCUUCGUCUCCCCUACUGGUCCUCUUACCGUUGGGGAUUCCGUGAUGAAGAAUGAUAUGACCGCUGCGGUGGUGGCCAGGAACCUUCUCACUCCCAAAGAUAACAGACUACUUUCCAAACGGUCUGAUGAGUUAGGCUGUUAAGGAUUCUCUGGCUCUCAGUGUUCAGUGUGCAGGUUCUGUGUCUAAUAUGGCCCAACGCCUAUUUGCUCGAACCCGCCAAGUUGAAUCAUUGGCGGCUGAAGUGAUGAGUCUCAAACAGGAGAUUAGAGGGCUCAAGCAUGAGAAUAAACAGUUGCACCGGCUCGCACAUGACUAUGCUACAAACAUGAAGAGGAAGCUUGACCAGAUGAAGGAAACUGAUGGUCAGGUUUUACUUGAUCAUCAGAGAUUUGUGGGUUUGUUCCAAAGGCAUUUAUUGCCUUCGUCUUCUGGGGCUGUACCGCGUAAUGAAGCUCCAAAUGAUCAACCUCUGAUGCCUCCUCCUUCUAGGGUUCUGUCCAGUACUGAGGCUCCGAAUGAUCCCCCUCCGGUGCCUUCUCUUUCUGGGGCUCUACCGACUGCUGAGACUUCUCCUAAGCAACCUUUGUGAAGGCUCCCUCUUGUUUGUUUAUUUUGACUCAUGUAUAUGUACAUAUUUGUAGCUUAUCGGGGAUAUCAAUAAAUAAGCUUUCCUUCAUUUCAACGUAUUGUGUUAAAUACACCAAAGCCUUCUUCGCUAAGUUCUUUGAAUUUUCUUUUGUUGAAGCUUGUAUGUUGAAGCUUUCUGAGUGGAGCAUGUAGGUUGGGGUAGUGUUCCCUUAAUUUCCCGAGUGAGGAAAACUUCUCGGUUUGAGACUUGGAAAAUCCAAGUCACUGAGUGGGAUCGGCUAUAUGAAUCUUAGAACGCCAUUGUGCUCGGUCCUGUGUCAUGUCCUUCGUUAGAUCCAAGUACUCUAAGUCUUUUCUUAGAGUCUCUUCCAAAGUUUUCCUAGGUCUUCCUCUACCCCUUCGGCCCUGAACCUCUGUCCCAUAGUCGCAUCUUCUAAUCGGAGCGUCAGUAGGCAUUCGUUUACUAAUUCAUAUGCAUAAUUUAAACAUUUUCAAAUGCUUAUCAUCAUUUACUAAUUCAUAUGCAAAUUUAAACAUUUUCAUAUUCAUUAGAAGCAUACAGAAAAGAUACAUGGCACACAAGAUAUGUACUUUUCGACGUAGGAGCUCAAUUCUUGUAUACAGACACACUUCCUUUAGCUUGCAUUGGACCUCGUACUUUCCACUAAUGUAAAUGCCACAUCAAAAGUGAAAGAGCGAUUCCGGAAACCAAUUACAUCCAUGUGCUUGCACUUCAAUGCAGAAACAGAAUAAAACAUAAUCCUAAAGUUUUCGGACCAUCAUUAAACACGCAAGCAUAAUAAACAUUCACAAUCCAGCAAAUGGGUGUUCAUAAUUUCAAGCAGAAACAAAAGUCAAAGAAAAUAAUGAAUUAAACUCUGAAAAAUUUUGUACUCAAGUAUCUCCCGUGGUCUUGAACCAAGUCUCAGCACAUUGCUUAUAAGCAGCACCCAAAUCCCCCUUGCAAGAACACCCCAAGUCAAUCGGGACCCCAGAGGCAAGGUCGGUCCCACCACCUCCCUCCAAACCCAAGUGGCAAAUCCUGCAAUUUCUCUAACUUUACUCAAAUGCACCACCUUCUUCACCUCCGAAACCCCGCUCUCUCCACUGAACAGCACUGGAUGUCGUCAGAGUCAUCCGAGUCUGACGCACCGCUGCCUCUGGUGGCCAAAAGGCGGUGGUGGGUUGUCUCGGGAGCUGACAUUCGUGAAACCCAGAAAGAGAAAUGGCAUGAAAUCAACGCUCAAACCACCACCACGUCCACCCUCUUGACCUCGCGAGCUCGAACCCGAGCUCCGUUUCGUAGGAAACCAAAACUAGAGGCUCUAGUUCGAAGCUCCGACGAGAAAGAAACUUCCCGACGAAGUUCCCGACACUUUUCCGACCGCUCCACACCGUAUUGGAAGAGUUGGAAGCCACCACACAACUCCCUAACGUCCCUGGGUCAAGUUUGACGCAAUCCCCAACUCGAAUACACCCGGCUUCGAAGCUUUGGGUUUUUUUGCGGAGACUUUCAGGCCAAUUUCAGUACAUGUACGUCUGCUUUUUGGAGUUCCAAGAGGUAUAAACUUGUUCCUUGUGCUUCAUUUCCAUAUAAAGAACGUAAAAAAUGGUUGAGAAAUGAGCAAGUUAUGGCCUUUUGAAAUUGUCCUCAGUUCCCGUCGAUUUCAGGGACCUUCCGGCGUGUUUUUGGCUAAAUCACGGCGAGUUAGCCGUUGCUAUGGGUACCAAUCUGUUCAUCUCAUUCCGAGGUAUCCUUUCCAUUCUGAAUCACUCAAUUUAGUUGAGAUAUGUGGAAGUUAUGAUGAUUUAAAAAUUUCCCAGAAAACCGGUGAUAAACUGCAUAAUCCGGCGACUCCGCGACCGGAACCUGGUAAAAAGUAGAUGAAAAAACGCAGUUCUAAAACAACUAAAACACAUAAUUGCAUAUCAUUCCUAAAACACAGUGAAAUUUGUGAGAGUGGCCUAAAUAGAAAGAAAAAGAUAUGAAAUAAAGUUCCUUUGAAAUCGUAACCAGUAAAAGACCCGAUCAUGUUCAGGAAAGGUAACAUCACAUAUCUAACUUAAACUAGGGAAUGUCAUACUUAAUGUGAUCAUAACUAAUAACUUUUAUUUUUUACAAACUGCUAAUAACUUAUAGAGUAAAUUUAAGCAAUUGUCCCUCAACUUUAGUAAAAUAGGAGCAAUGGUCUUUCAAUUAAAAAUCUAUUACUAUUGGUCCCUUAACUCAUCAAAAUGUGUAGCUCCCUUAACUCAUCAAAAUGUGUAGCUAUGAUCAUUUUCUUUAACUUCAUCAAAAUUUGGUCAAAAUGAGUUAUGUUGGAAAGACCAUUGCUACAAUUGACUUAAAGUUAGAGGGACCAUUUCUCCAAUUGAAUUAAAGUUAAGGGACUAUCUCUCUAGUUUGAUUAAAGUUGAGAGACUAUUGGUAAUGUAUUUUUAGUUGAGGGAUUAUAGUUGCACGUUUUGAUAAGUUGAAGGACCAAUGAUAAUGAAUUUUUAAUUUAGAGAUCAUUGUUCUGAUUGAGUUAAAGUUGAGGGAUCAUUACUAAAAUUUACUCUUAACUUAUAAAGUACCAAGUAUUUGAAUUUUUAAAUUAACCUGGUGACAUUCAACUGUCGAUAUUCCCCGGUUCUGGCAUCCACACCAAUCAAUGUUGUAAUUCUUAAUCCUGUAGUUUGUAAGAUUAUCUUUCCUACCUAGAAUGUGAAUAAUCUUUAUAUAACUACACUUAUAUAUGCUCUAAAUUUACAUUUAUGUAGUACGGGUACAUUCUGCACAGCACACCCUCACUACUGGUUUAAAUUACUUAUAAGCUUCGGUUUUAUUUAUUCAAAUUUUUGCUCAUCAUCUAUACUUUAUGACUUUCGUCAAUUUCCAGGUGUCGGCUAGUACGCCUUGACUUCAGUUGGGGUGUGUCAAAGUUUGUGAAGCACCACUUCCAAUUCCAAGCAUAUGAUUUGGUGUUGAACAAGGCAUAAAUUUCAUAAUUUCACUUUUACUCUGGACAGUUGUAUUGUGUUGACUUACAAUACAGGUACUACAUAUUUCUCGAAAACUAUUUCAUUCCAAUAUUUGUUGUUUUAGACGUUUGUUUUUACUCUGCCUGUCCAAGAAAUAAAAGUGUUGAUUUUACAUUCUAGUACCCACCAUAUACUAUAUUUCAGCUGAGCUCCAAUACUAAGAAACCUAAGGAAACCAUCACCUAUUAAAAAAUAAUCAACUAAAAGUGAGCUAAUCCCCCUUAUAAUCAAAUUUUUAUUAUUUUCUAAACCGAAAAAAAAAAUAUGGAUUGGGGUAGCUAGUAGAAAUGAACAAAUAAAAUAUCAUGUGACAGUGAGUUUGGGAACCAUACAAAUGCAUGUGUUAUUUUUAUCAUGCUACAUAGAAAGUUUGAAAUCGCUUCUGUGAUGCAAUGGUGAAAUGUAAACUAUUCAAAAUUUGCAUACUGUAAAAUAAUAAUGAUAAAAUAAAAAUACACAUGCACUAAAAUGAUCAAUUGAAAAUAUGAUUGUACCCUCAAAGUUCAAUUUUCUUUAACUAAAACCCACCAUAGUAUAUUCUCCUAGCAAAAACUUAAUAACAAGGCUCCAACUCAGAAAUUUUCUUAAUUAAGUUUGACUUUUGCACAAUUUUGUAUUUUUGGAUGCCUAAAAUACACCUAAUAACUUAUAUCGGAUUGAACACAAUAUUUAAUGUCAUGAUUUCAUUGCAUAUUAGUAAUAUAAUGAUACGAUACUAGGGAUUUCAUCCGUCUUAUUUAUUUCCUUUUAAACUCCUUAGUUGCUUUUGGUAUAUACAUGAAAUUAGGAUUGCUUUUGGUUUAGUUUUUCCCUUUUCAAAAUGUGUGAGGAUUACGACAUGAUUGUAAUACCAUACACGUGUAAGAUGAAUGACAUGUUUGUAGAAUGAUACGUGUAAUAUUGAUCAUACACAUGUAAGCUAAAUAAUAUUAUGAUACACUAGCUAGCCGCAACUAAUGUAAGCUGAAUAAUAUGAUCAUUCACUAUAAUGUCUGAUAUUAAUUCAUAAAAUCUGGUUUUCCCCUAAACGUUACGGAAAUCAUAUUUAUCUAGGCAUGCUUAAUAUUUGAUAAAGAAAAAACAUUUCUUAAAUAAAUGUCCACUCACACUUCCGGCUAGCUCUCCCUUGAGGAGCCUUGUCUACCAAAUAGGUAAGUUCAAGCAACUUCAAGAGAGAGUUUCCUCCACAUUAAGUCUUAAACAUCUACUGGACAGCAGGCAAUUCAAAACCAAAGCUGCUGAAUACAACUAGAAUAAACAAGGAAUCGGGCUAAGCUAUUGUCUUCAUCAUAACAUGAUUUUGGCCCCCAUUUUCUAAUUUCGUUCCACAUUUUCACAUUCUUUCCAUGAAUUUUAUAAUUCCUAUGCAACAGAGUUCAUUCAUUGCCUAUUCACAACAUUACAAGGUUCUACAGAGUUCAAUCCCACACCAUGUUAUAGACAUGCUUCAACUAUCAACCUGGAACGUAAUCGUUAGGGUUUCAACAACUUCAGAGAUACAACAAUUACCAUAAGUCUCAUCUCCGACAUUCAUACAGAAAAUCGAAUACAAUUCGAAAUCAAGAAUUAAUCCCAAAACUGAAAGUUGAAAAUUCGGAAAAAGAACUUACAUUGGAGAACAGCCCACGAGAAGAGGAUCAUUUCUACGUCUUAGGUCGAGGUCCAAUUACUGCGAUAUUGGCCGGAAGUUGGAUGGAAAACCCUGGGUCACCGUUUCUUAAAUUGGAAAUUGCGGAAAACCGCCUACGAAUUUAUAGAAACGAACUUGGGGAUUGGAUACAGGACGGCAAGAGCAUUCAGGAUGUGUAGUUUGACAGCCUUUGGUGACCUGUGGACGACAGAGCUGUUGCGUUGGCAGUCGUCGGCUUGGGCCGCUGUUGCAGCGUGUGAAAGAGAAGAGGGAGCGAGGAGAGACAAUGGGUUUCUCCCACUUUUUGGAUCUUAAUUCUUUUCCACAUUUUUUUAUAUAGAAUAAACCAUAUUAUUUAUCACUAAAAGUGCGUUUGGUAUGUAAGAUGGGACGGAACACGUUUUGAUGAUAAUAAUAGCUAGAAGUAAUAAUGUAAUAUAGUUCAAAUUCGUUUUUGAUAAUAAUCAAAUAUAAAAGAGAAUUGUUAUUAGCAUUCCAAAAAUCUCAUUAUACACUCCUCACAAGUGUAUUUUUCUUUCUAAUUAUAGAAAGUUUGGAGUGCCAAAUAAGAUUUUUAAAUUGCUAAUAACAAUUUCCUAAAUUCUCUCACUUAUAAAUUACAAGUAAAGAAAAAUACUAUUAAAAUUUUUCCACUUUUAAUACACAUCUAAAUAAAAAGAGACAAAAUGAAAAGGAAAAGAAAUAAAAUAAUUUGAAAUAGAAAUAAAAAUUAAGGGUAAAUCUCAUAUUACUACCCUCAUGUUUCAUGGUUUUCAACAUUUAGUACAUCAAGUUUUUUCGUCCCAGAGUCAUACCUAAAGUGUAAAUUUUGGGACAGUCUCAUACAUCCGUUAGUCAAACUGUUAAGUCUCCUGUUAACUGAUGACAUGGCGCCCAUGUGGACAAUAACUGAGUUCCACGUGUCAUUAAGUGGUCCACGUGGUUUUUUUUUUUUUAGAGAAAGAGUUUUAAAAAAAAAUUUCCUGCCCAAAAUUUUUAACCCAUAAUCGUGUACCUUACAUUUUUCCCGCCAAAUUUUUUUGGAAAAAAAAUAAAAUUAAAUAGGGAAAAAACCCCAACUUUCAACUCUAAAUCUACAAAUUCAAUUCCAAAAAAACUUUGAAUUCUAACUCUGCAAAUUCAUCAUUUAAACUACCAACUACCAACAAAGUUCAAUUGUCAACAACUUUCAAUUCAUAACAAAUUUCAAUAUACACCCUCCAAUUCACACGAAAGUAUCAAAAGACCACAACUUUAACAACUAAUGGGUCAAGGUGUUCUUCCAAAAACCAAAAUAAGAGUACCAAAAACACCAAAGAUAUGUCCAAAACACUAAAAUCUGUCAGAAAGUUGUUUCCAAAAAACCUAAGGGCAUAUUCAACUAUAACAAAAUGAACCCUUAAACAACCUAAAGCAUUAAAGCAACAUCAUGGAACAUUCCUCCUCCUUUUCUAACCUCUUGCGGUAGACUUUGAAGUGGUUUGAGAGGCUUGAGUUGGCUGAGAUAAAGGUUGUGGAGCUUUCUGAAUGCAUGUUGGCUGUGAUGACUGAGAGGGUUAUGAUACCUUAGAUGUUGAGGCCCAAGUAAUGAACCCAAAUAGCAUUAGCAUUGACAGAUACUACACUUCACAAAUAACAAAUUCACUUAAGAAAUGAAAAAUCAACAAAAAAAUAUCUAAAUUAUACCUCAUUUUUCUUGCUUUUUCUUCCUUUUCUAGCAGUUGAAGGAGGAUGAGUGGUUAGGCAUCUGGCCUUGUUGUGUCCCGAGUCCUUGCAAACACUACACUUCACACUUUUUUUGCCCUCUCUUGCUUAACUUGAUUCAUUUUCAUCAUCCUCCCUAUUCUCCUCUUUUUUGGUUUCCCAGGUUGCCUUUUAAAAGUUGGAGGAAGAAUGCAUUUGUUUUCAGAUGGCUCCUAAAAUUUCAUGCCUUGGAUGGGUUGAAUCAAGUUUUCGUAAGCUUCAAAGUACUUCUCCUUCUUGUACCAAGAGGAAACAAAUUCCUCAGGUUAUCUCCUUGCAUAAUAGAUGGCCGAGCAACCAUGUAUACAAGGAAAGUCUGUCAAAUCUUAUCUUCUACAUAAGCAAGUGCAACCAUUCAAAUCCACCACAAAUAUAUUGCCUCUGCCUUCAUCCACUUCAAAAUUUUCUCCUAGUGUGUGAGCUUUUCAGUUUGUACUCCUCCAACAUCUUCUGGAUUUUUUGGCAGAUAGCUUCUUUAUCCUUCCACAUUGCAUCUCUUCUUAACCAUAUCCUCUUCAUCAAUAAAACUCUUAUAGUUUCCAACAUGGUAAUAAUAGGCUUGUCCCUAGACCUUAGGAUAAAAGAAUUAAAGCUCUCUCAGAGGUUGUUUAAGAGAAUGUCACACUGAGUGUGUGUCUCAAAGUGUGAUCUACUCCAAUACAAGGCUGGUCUCUUUACCAACCGUUUAUAAGCUUCGACAUUCAACCUAUUCACCUCAGUCAUACUCUCUCUAAAAUCAGUGAUGGUUAUUACGUUGGCAGCAUUCCACAAGGCAUCCUGUAAUCAUUUCCCUUUAAACCCAUCUGCCUUGUAGUUGGUGUAUAAGUGCCUAACACAUAACCGAUGAUUACAAUUAGGAAGCACUUUCUCAAAAGCUGGUAUUAAACCUUUUUGUUUGUUAGAAAUGAAAGUCUAAGCACGCUGAUUCACAAUUCCCAAGUCAGCAGCUAGCAGCUCCAGAAACCAAACUCAACUGUCCUUGUUCUCGAGCUCUACUAUGGCAUAUGCAAUAACCCAAGUUUGGUUAUUUGCAUCUAUUCCCACUGUAGACAGUAACUGGCCCUUGAACACUCCCUUCACGUGACAACCAUCCAACCCUACAAGCUGCCUAUAUCUAUUCUUAAAUCCAUUUUUGCAAGCCCUUAAACAAAUAUAAAUCCUCUGAAAUAUCACAUGAGCAUCAUCAUAGGGCAGCACCUUCAUCUGAACUGUACUACCCGGGUUUGUCCUCCUAAGCUUAUCACAGUACUCCCACAACUUUGUGUAUUGAUCCAUGUUACUCCCCUCAAGGAUUUUCAAACACUGUGCUAUCACUCUGUAUGCUGUCUUAAGGUGGAUCUCAACCAUUCUUGCCUCCUUCAUUGUCUCUAUAAAUGUAGUGAUGGGCAUGCUUGGGUUGAGUCUGAACUUGUCUACAUACCUCUUCACAAGCCAUGCCACUUUGCAGUUAGGAUUUUCCCUCCAAAUCCUCGGACAUUCCUAUUUCCCAACAUAGGUUUUCACUUGCAUUGAAUCUUCAUUGUACAUCCUGGAAGCAUACAAUCUCCAUAUACAGUUUUUCUCACACCUUGCACUAAUAUUCCAUUUCUCAUUCCUUUUUAGCUUAAUAGAAAGUGCACCAUGCUUAAUGGAGUGAGACCACACUGCCUCUCUCAACUGUGUAGCAUCUUUGAACUUCAAUCUCUUUUCAAACUUUGGAUCAUCUUUGUCAGCUUCUUCAUUAAACUCAGGGUAGAUGACAUUCUCAUCACAUUCUGAACCUGAAUCGUCAACACUGUGCAGGCCAUCUAAGUUUUGUCUCUCAUCAUCAAGGAGAACGUCUUCUACAUACCUUGCAUUAAUAACGUCUUAUGGAUGUUGAUUCCCAAUCCCUUCACCCCUUUCAGCAUCUCCAAUAACACUUUCUACAGCCCUAUCAUCUACUGCAAGACGAUCAUCAUCUUCCUCUACAUUUACUACCACAAACAAUGCAUAUUUGUUAAAAACAUAAACUUUGCAAAAAUAAUUGAAUACUAAAGUUAAAAUUGUUAAAAUAAAUGUUUCAAAAUUUUACCUUUAUUAGCUUCUACUUUGGCCCCUUCAUUAACUUAUUCAGCUUCGUGACCUUCUUCCGUUUCAUCACUUUCAUUAUCAGCAUUGAGAUGACCAUCUUCAGCCUCAUCUCCAUUUCCUUGUUCUCCCUCAGUUGCUUCAGCCUCAUGUUCAUCAUCACCAUUGUAUGCUAUGUCAUUCAAAAGACAUAGCCGUUUUUCUAAGUGAUCCGCACCCCUUUUUGCUCUACCCUUCUUCAGUUUUGAUCUACUUCCCUUUGUAAUCGAAAUCGCCACCCUCGAUUCCUCAAUAUCUUCUAUAAUGACACCUUUUUAAUAUGCCACUCUCAUCUAGAUUCAUCAAAAGCUUAUGUUUCAAGGCAGCUUGCUUUGGACUUAGAUGUUCUAGGUACAUUUCUAUUUACCUAGCCCCUGGAACAUACUUGCACAUUUCACCCACAUCUUGGUCCUGUUCAAUAAGCCUUAAUCCCUCCCUAUAAGACAUCCCAAGAAUCCUAUAGUGAUACAACAUAAACCCAUCAUAUCCUAACUCCUUAACCAUUUCAUCAAUCUCGAAAAAAGACAUGAAGUCUUUGUCUACGUAAUCAAACUAAGCCUCAAACCCUCCUGUAUAUGCAUUUUCAGACCACUUCCCACCGUGGUUGAUUUUAAGGCUAAAUAAUUCGGGCAUGCCUGCAAAGUCAAGGAGAAAGGUUAAAAUAUCGUAAAAUUUUAAGGUUUUAAAACCCAAAAAGUUAACCUAAAACACUAGUAGGACCAUGAGGAAAAAUGGUGAAAACAAAACCAUGGGGAUCAUGAAUACAAGGUUUUUUAAAGGUUGCAAUUGGGACCACGAUUGAAGACAAAACCACAUGCAAAUUGAAAACAAUUAACAAUGCAGGAAACCCACUACAAAACACAAUUCCAGAAACCAUAGAAAAAAAGGGAUUGGAACUAACAGAUCCCCCUAAUCCCUAAAAUUCAAAAUUGAAAAAUCGGAAAACCUAAACCCAUAUCAUCUACACUUCGAAAAAAGGUAGGUUACUUACAAUAAACUAGUGUUUCACCCACUUCAAUCCUCCUUUUUUCCCACCCCAUCGCCAGCGAUGGCUUCACGACAACCUUGCCCAGAAACGGUGCCUCUUCUUUGAUGUGCAAAGGUGUGCGCAACGUACGACGGCGUGUGAGGUGGAGUGACGGCGAGGUCGAGUGAUGGGGAGUUUGGUAGGGUUUCGGACGGAGAUUGGGGGUCGCGAUUUAUGGGGGAGUGAAAAGUGGUUUUCACUUUUCACUUUUUCACUUUUACCUAAUCCCCUCUAAAAAAUAAAUAAAAAAUCCACAUGGACCCUUAAUGACAUAUGGUGCCCAAUCAAUGUCCACAUGGGCACCACGUCAUCAGUUAACGGGAGACUUAACAGUUUGACUAACGGAUGUAUGAGACUGUCCCAAAAUUUACACUUUAGGUAUAACUCUGGGAUGAAAAAAACUUGAUGUACUAAAUGUUGAAAACCACGAAACAUGAGGGUAGUAAACUGAGAUUUACCAAAAAAUUAAAGGUAAACUAACAACAUAAGGUAAUCAGCCAUGGUAAUACAAAAUUAUUAUAAAACUUUGUAGGGCUGUGGAAUCUUCAUUUUAGUUCUGAAUUUCGUUCUGCUUGCGCUCACACGUUCAUAUUGAUGAGCAUUACGAGAAAAUAUUACGAUGAUAUGUCAUACGUGAGUUUUCGCUGAAAAUUUUUUUUGAUGGAUUUUGCAAUAUGGCAGCCAUGAUUUGCAGAGCCCACCAUCGUAAGGCAGGCGAAUUGGAGAUAAUAUUAUGCUUUUGAAGGAGUUUCUUAAAAAUUACCAUAGAAAUAAUGGUCCUCCUAGAUGUGCCUUGCAGGUGGACAUUCUGAUAGCUUAUGAUACCUUGUUGGAAAAUGGGGUUACUAGGAUUAGGCUGGUUCAUAGUUCGAUUCCAUUUAAUUGUAAUUGGAAGAAGAAAAAAAAAUUACUAAAAACACUUUCAAACGAAUUCGUACAAAAUUUAUAUGUUACGACUAAUAGUAAGCCUACUAUUGUUCAAAAUCGAUUACCAAUUCUAAUUGUGAUGUUUGUACCGUGAAACAACGUGAUGCCACGAAGAAGAUGGCUCAAGCCAUGUAUUGUCCUUUGAGAAGUUGGGGUUGGGAAGCAUUGCAUCUAAUUUUCUUUCACUUUAUCCUUUUCUUGUUAAAGAGAAUACCAAAUGGUUCGUGAGCAAAGCAUCCAAAUCUUUUUCACUUUUUUCUUGAUAAAGAGAAACACAAAAUGGGUUCGAAAGCAAUACACCACAUUCUCCUUCACUUUGUCUUUUUCUUGUUAAAGGAGGAUGAAAAUACCUUACUUUAGAAUCACCUCCUCUUGAGGUAUUGCUUGUUAGAUAUAUUUUAUUGCUUCUCUAUUUAUAUUGUUAGAAAACUCUUAUUAACCCUUCCCCAUUGAAGUUAUCUGCUCAUAUAUUUGCAUUGUUGAGGUAACAUAAUCUGUCCUCUUUGUGCAUGAUACCAUUCAACAUUCAUAUUUUCUAGCAAAUUCGUGAAGUAUCAAUACCAGUACUAGACACAUGAGUUGUUGCUAAAUAAAGCAUAGAUUUCAGAAUUUCAUUUUUGUUCUGCCGGACAAUUACAUUGAGUUGAUUUACAAUACAGGUACAUAUGUACAUCUUGGAAACUUUAUUUCUUUUCAAUAUUUAUCGUUUUAGGUGUUUCUUUUUACCCCUGUGUGACUAAGAAACUAAAGUGUUGGAUUUACAUUAUAUUUUCUAGCAAAUUCGUGAAGCACCAGGUCUAGUACCAGACAUAUUGUUGUUGAACAAGGCAUAGAUUUCAGAAUUUCAUUUUUUUCUCUGCCGAACAGUUGCAUUGGGUUGAUUUACAAUACAGGUACGUAUGUACUUCUUAGAAACUCCAUUUCUUUUCAAUAUUUAUUGUUUUAGGUGUUUGUACUAUAUGUUAUUGUGUUUUGAUGUUCAACCACGUCAGCUAAUCCACCCUUACAAUCGAAAUUUUUAUUUUUCUCAUCGCAAUACAAAAAGUUUGAAAUCGCUUCCGCUAUAUGGUGGUGAAAUGUACACUAUUUGAAAUUUGCAUAUUGUAAAAUAAUAAGGAGUAAAUAAAUAUACACAUGCACUGAAACCAUCAACUGAAAAUAUGACUUUAUCCCUUAAAAUUCAAUUUUCUUUUACUAAAACUCAUCAUAUUAUAUUUUCCUAACAAAAACUCAAUGACUUUACAUGUAUAUUUUUUUUUGCUUCUCCUGUUUAUAUUGUUAGAAAGCUCUAAUUAACUCUUCGCCAUAGAAGUUAUCUGCUCAUAUAUAUUUGCAUUGAUGUGCAUGAUCUGCCCUCCUUAUGCAUGCUAACAUUCAGCAUUCAAAUUUUCUAGCAAAUUUGUGAAGCACCACUACCAGUACCUGACAUAUGACUUGUUGCUAAACAAGGCAUAGAUUUCAAAAUUUCAAUUUUAAUUUGCCAGACAAUUGAUUGCGUUGAUUUACGAUACAGGUACGUACGUACUUUUCGAAACUCUAUUUCUUUCCAUUAUUUGUUGUUUUAGACGUUUGUUUUUACCCUGCCUGACCAAGAAACAAAAGUGUUAAUUUAACAUUCUAGUACCCGCCAAAUAUUGUAUUUCGGCUGAGCUCCAACACUAUGACUAGGCGCCAACUCAACAAUUUUAUUGAUUAGCUUUGACUUCACAUAGUUUUGUAUUUUUAGAUGUCUAAAAUACCCCUAGUAACUUAUGUCAAAUUAAAAACAAAUUUUAAAAUCAUGAUUUCAUUGCAUAUUAAUAAUAAUAGGAUAUGAUGCUAGGGUUUUCAUUUGUUUUAUUUUUUUCCCCUUUAAAUUCCUUAGUUGCUUUUCAAAUUUGCAUAAAUUAGGAUUUUUUUUUUGGUUUAGUUUUUCCGUUUUCAAAAUAUGUGAGCAUUAGUUACCAACAAAAUAUAAGAAUGUUAUUUUUUUUCCAAAAUUAUUUAAUUAUAUUCUAUAUAAAUAUAGGUAAAUUAUUUCUCUACACAUAUAUAAUAACAAUAAAAUGUGGUUAAUGUAUGUAAUAAUACAUGCAAAAUAAUUUACCUUCAACAUAAAGGAUGUGAUUUGGUUCAAGAUUUAUUUUACCUAUAUUUCACAUAUAGGUAUAGGUAAAUUAUGAAAGAUUCAUUUUUUUUUUAAUUUUUUUUUAUUUUUAUUUUUGUCUUUUGGCUUAACAUAUAUAGAUAAGUAAAUCAUUUUUUGUCAUUUGGUUUGAUAUAAAGGAUGUCAUGUGUCAUUUGGUUCAAAAAAAUAUAAGUAAAUUAUUUUAUGAAGAUUAUCAUUAUAUAAUAAUAAUAAAAAGGAGAAUAUAUAUAUAUAUAUAUAUAUAUAUAUAUAUAUAUAUUGUUUCAAUUAUGUAAAUAGUUUGUAAUAUGAGGUUAUUUCUUUGUCUACAUGUCAAUGGAUUUAGAUUCCGUUUACAAGAGUUAAUACCAAACAUACAAUUUCAGUUGCCCUUGGACAGAAGCCACUAAAUGAGUAAAGGACAACGGGACGAAACAACCUUCUACCUGGCCUAUGUACCUUGCCACUUUCAAUAAAAACAGGUGUGUUUCAAUUUGAUAUUUAAAUAUAUGUGGAUUUUGGGCUGCCCAUUGUGUGACUUUACCGAACUCCCCCUCCCAUUAAUGUAAAAAUAUCGAUGUACUAAAAAAUAUAUAUGUGGAUUUUUGUUUAAAAAGUAAAAUUACAAAGGUCUAUUUCUAAAGAACCCUAUGUAUCAACAACAAUUUCAACUAAUUCAAGUCCAGCAGCACAAUAAACUCAAAUAAAAAUUCAAUUAUUUUAAACACAGUGAUGAUCUUAUAUUCAAAGAUAAUUUUGAUCUAGGUGCUUGAUUUUUGAAUUUGAUAGACCCAACAUCCCUAGCUUUUAGACUUUUUAUUAAACUACUUUCUACAAUUUUGGUGCCACGAUUUUUAAAACGUCCUCUUUCUAAAAUUCAAAAUAACAUGAACUGUCAUUAAUCCACCAAUUUAUUCCAGAAACAAUAUCCAAAGCUCCUAAAUCUAGCCUUCUUUAAACCAAAAUUAUUAUUAUUACUCCAACAUAAAAAUACAUAAUUAUUAAGUUAUCAAUCAAUGAUAUGUACCAAAAAUUAAAAUUAUACAUACCAAAAACUAAAAUGAAACGUACCAUUAACUAAAAUAAAACAUACCAAAUACUAAAACUAAACAUACCAAUCAAUGAUAUGUGCACAACUGAACAUACCAAAAAACAAAAUUAAGUAUGAAAACCAAUAAUAAACGUACCAAUAAUGUAUACAAAAUAAUUCUCUUAAUAAAAUGUAUAUAUAACAAUUUAAAAAAUAUAAACAUCCACCAUUUUCGUUAUCUUGAACGUAAAAUUAUAUUUUAAUUUUAGGAGAAAAAAUAUUUUGUACGAAAAAAUUAUUAAAAAGAGAAUUGGAUAAAUAUAUUGAAUGAAAAACCAAGAUUAUCUCCAAAAAAAAUCGCUUAACUAAUUAAAGGACAAAUUAAGAAACCAAUAUACAGUGAGGUAUAUGGUAAUGGCAUGAGGAUGAAUGAAAAAACAACGGAAUAAAAAAAAAUAAAAAAAAAUUAAAACUAAAAAAUGGCCACGAUAUAUUCCGUUAUCAUAUUGUGAAAUCUUACAAUAUUGGGGACAUCGUGAUAUUAUAUGAUAUCUCGCAAAACAGUUUUCGUGAUGUGAUACUAGCUAAUUGUAAUACUUUUGUAAUAAUAUAGUACUAAAAACUGAAGUAAACAUACAUGUAAUAGUUCAUUUGUCACACAAGUCUAUACUUGUCAUGGAUAUUUUUUGAUAGAUCUUUGUGACUCAUUUCGAACUAAUACUAACUAAUUGUUAGUCAAGUGAGAAAUUUUCUAAUUAGAGAAAAAGGGCCUAAAUUUGAAUCGUAACUCCAGCUUUGAUAAAAUAAAAAUAAAAAUAAAUACCACUUAGAUUUAAACAGGACAAAAAUAUCUAAUAUUGUGUUGGGGUAGUGCUUCUUUGGUUUUAGGUAGUAGAGCACUGAGCACGAGACUUAAAAAAGCUACCAACAAAGAGGAGCAUUCAAGCCAUGGUCUUUGAUUUCAGAAGGAAAUGGAAAUUAUAAUUGCAAUUGCCUCAAAAAUUGGAGAGUCAUUGGUCGCACCAAUAGGAACAGAGUCUGCCUAUUUGAUUAAUUACCAUUCCAACCUAGAAAAUCUUAAGCGUGAGAUAAAAAAGCUCUGUGACAAGAAAAAUGGAGUGCAGGGAUGGGUAAAUGCUGCCAAAAGGAACGGUAAAUUUAUCCACCCUGAUAUUCAGAGUUGGCUAAAGAAUGUGGACGAAAUGAUCCAAAAAGUGUCGCAUUUUGAGGUUGAGAUUAACAGGAAAAGGCGAUGUAUGUAUCGAUGGAGCUUGAGUCGGAAAGCCUAUAAGAUUACACAACAUGUUCUCCAGCUCCAAAACGAAGGAACAUUUGAAAAUGUGGCCCAUGCUGCUCCUUCACGAGAGAUAUGGUCAACAUUCAAAGACGGAUUUAAACAUUUCAAGUCCAGAAUGGAAAACAUGAAUGAGGUGAUAGAGGGUUUGAAGAGGGAAUAAGUAAGAAUGAUCGGGAUUUGUGGAAUGGGGGGUGUGGGUAAAACCACACUGGCGAAAGAAAUCAUCAAAAGAUUAGCAGAACUGAACAUGUUUGAUAAAACUGUAAUGGCAACUGUGUCUCAAAGCCCAAGUAUUAAGACGAUCCAGUUGGACAUUGCAGCACAAAUAGAUUUGAAAUUUGAUAAGGAUUCUAAGUCCGGAAGAGCACUAAAGCUGCAUGACAGACUCAUGGAAAUAAGGAGGAUCCUGAUUGUGUUAGAUGAUGUAUGGACAGAGCUUAAUUUUGAGGCUAUAGGACUUCCUUAUGCACAUACUCAUAAAGGGUGCAAAAUUUUGUUGACAUCACGGAAUUUGGAAGUCUGCGAUGCGAUGGAAAGUCAACAAAUUAUUGCGGUCCCAACUUUAACAACAGAAGAAUCACGGGAGCUCUUUAGAGAAAUCGUAGGUGAAUCCUUCGAUGAUCCAGAUUUCCAUUCCAUUGCAGAAGAGGUCGUGAAUGAAUGUGGAGGUUUACCUAUUGCUAUUGUAACUGUUGGAAAAGCCCUAGAAAAGAAAAAGAAGCACGAAUGGGUUAAUGCCCUUAAUCAGCUGCGAAAGUCUAUCCCAAAGAACAUCCCUGGACUAGACGACAAAGUUUAUUCAAGCAUAAAAUGGAGUUAUGAUGGAUUGGAGAGUGAUGAAGCCAAGCCAUGUCUUUUACUUUGUUGUUUAUUUCCAGAAGAUUAUAACAUUCCAAUUGAGGAUUUGGUUCGAUAUGGGUGGGGUCGAGGAUAUUUUAGCAGCAGCGAUACUUUGGAAGAAGCAAGAAAUAAAGUGCAUUCUUUGGUUGACCAACUACAAAGAAGGUUUUUGUUACUAGAUGGUGGCAGGAGUGAGACAAUAAAAAUGCAUGACAUAGUUCGCGAUGUUGCCAUAUCAAUUGCUUCAAGAGAUCCACAUGGAUUUCUGAUAAGAAGUAAUGCUGAAAAUAAAGGGUGGCCAAAUUUAGCUACAUAUGACCAUUGCACUACAAUCUCACUUGUUGGUAAAUUGGAGAUUCCAGUUGGUUUGAAAUGCCCAAAACUUGAGUUUCUACAGACGAUGAAAGGACGUUUUUCAGAAGGUAGCAUGGACAUCAUUUGUGAUGCGAUGAAAGAACUGAAGGUUUUAGCUUUGGUGGAAAUGGAAGACCUAGGCUCAUCAAGAUCACUAGGAUUACUGAAGAACCUGCGGACCUUGUGCCUAGAUGGGUCUAAAUUUGAUGGCACGUCUGCUGAUGUUAUUGGGAGUUUGGAGAAUUUAGAAAUCCUCAGCUUUCGGGAUUGUGAUUCCAUGCGUGAGUUGCCGAGGGAAAUUGGACGACUUAAACAGUUGAGGUUGUUAGAUACGACAAACUGCGAGGAACUUGAGGUGAUUCCACAUGGUAUCUUCUCCAGCUUAUGUAGACUUGAAGAGUUGUAUAUGGUUAAUAGCUUUAACGAAUGGGAAAUUGGAAGAGGAAGAGAAGAAAAGGGGAUGGCAAGCAUUUCUGAGGUGAUGUCUCUGUCCGAUCAUUUGAAGGUUCUAGCCAUAGAGAUACCCAGUGUCAUCCACUUGUUGACAAAAGACAUAGUCUUGAAAAGCCCAACAAUAAGAUUCCUUAUACGCUGUGCAACAUGGGUAGGGCAUUUUUCGGAGAUGAGUACUUAUGCAUUCGAAAAUUGUUUGGAGAUUAGUGAAAGUGAUGCAAGGGAGUUGGAGGAGAGUCAAGCAGUCAGACUUUUGUUGAAAAAAUCUAAAAAAUUGUAUUUGUCGGAGGUUAAGAAUUUCUCUGUCCUCACUGAUUUAGACCAAGAAGGAUUUCAAGAUUUGAAAGAUUUGGAUCUUUGGUAUUGUCCACAUAUCGAGUAUCUUGCAAAUGGAACAAGUGGGUUUUUGACCAACCUAAGAUUCCUUAAAUUGGGAAGUUGUGGUGUCUUAAAAUAUGUAUUUUCACUAUCAGCAGCGAGAAACUUGGUACAACUCCAAGAAUUAAACAUUGAUGGAUGUGAUCAAAUGGAAGAAAUUGUAUCGAAGCAGGGGAGGGAACAUGAGGAGGAAGCCGAUAUGAUACCUUUCCAUAAAUUAACCAAUUUGACUCUCGAGGGUCUAGGGAGUUUGGUUGGUUUCUUCCAAGCCAAGAAGCUAUACUCCAACCAAGAGGUAUGUCCCACUCUCCAAUCUCUAUGAUAUGAGGAGGCAGCCGAUAUGUGGAAAUUUGAAAUUGUGUUAACUGAUAAUGAUUUUUCUUUUUCAGGAAACAACGGCAAGGGUUGAGCAUCAAUCUGCAGGCAUAUUUGAAAAAGCAAUAUUCCCAUCAACGUGCAUUUCAUGGUUUCCAAGUUUAGAAAAGGUGAGAUUGGGAUUUAUGGAGUUUGAAGGCGUGCUAUUUGAUCUUAAAAUCCAUGUUAUGGAUGGGCAGGCAGCUCCAACUUUUCCCCAGUUACGUGGGUUGGAGAUAAUUUUUUGUUCGUUUACACAUUUGUGGAAAAACAUUCGGUCUGGAUUUCAGGAUUUCCGAAAUUUGAGAUGUUUGGAUAUAAGAGAAUGUUGUGGGCUAAAAUAUGUGUUCUCGCAUUUAAUUGCCCGAGAACUUUUGAAUCUUGAAGAGGUAAAGAUAGCAAAAUGUCCGAACAUGGAAACUAUAGUCAGAAUCACAGAGCAAAAUGAAGAAGAGGCGACAAAAUACAUGAUUUUGUUUCCGAAACUGAACACAUUUGAACUAGAAGACCUGCCUCGUCUCACAAGUCUUUGUCCAGAGGGAUUUACAUUUCUAUGGUCAUCCACAAAAAAAAUGCACGUGAAAAGAUGUGAAAAUUUGAAGACAUUGGGUGCUGUAAUUCCACAAAGAAAGAAGUUGGAGAAUAACUUGAAGAAGGAUUCAACAAGUCAUGAUUUUAGCACUUCUCCAACACGUUCAUCAAAUUGGUGCCCUGCUGGAUGUGGAUGCGCACCGUAUUCAAGACCAAACGCCCACCGCCCCAUUGAAAUAUUGCCACGUCCAAUUAACCUGGAGGUAAGCUUUUAAAUCAGGUUCAAUUAACCUCUAUAAGUACAACUUUUAAUCAGUAUUGUAUCAUCUUGUUGAUCGUGCUUAAUUUUCUAGGUUACACCAACUAAUCUUGAGGACUCAAAUGAUGAUGAUAAUCUCGAAAAUCUUACUGUAAGUGACUGUAAUUCGAUGGAAGUGAUUUUCCAACUCAAGGGACCGAAGCAUGAAGAAAGUAGUCACUCCAUUGAAGCAUUCAAUAAAUUGAGUUCCUUGCGGUUAGAUAGAUUGCCAGGUUUAACGCGUGUUUGGGAGACGGGUAGUUCACAACCGAUGUUGACAGGAAGCAGCUUCGGAAACUUGAAAUCGCUGGAGGUUGGUUUUUGCAACCAGUUGAAAUACUUGUUUUCAUCGUCCAUAGUCAAACUUCUCGUGAGUAUAGAGGACAUAGAAGUUCAUAACUGUGAGAAGAUGGAAGAAAUCGUUGCCGCAGAAGAAGAAACUGAUGAAACAAUUACAUUACCUAAAGUGAAGUCCAUCAAGCUUGAAAGUCUGCCAAAACUCAAGUAUUUUUGUGGUGAAGCUUAUACUUUGAAGUUGCCGUCUUUGGAGUUAUUGGAGUUUGAUGACGUGCAAAACUUAAGCCUAUUAGCUCCAAAGCUUAUUGCCACACAUCCCCGAUUGCAAGUACGCACCGCGUUGGGAGUGGCUGAAUGGAAGGGGGACCUCAAUGCCACUCUAAGGAAUAUUUACGUCACAAGGUAUGCUUUAAUAUAAGGUUUUUAAUUUCCAAUCAUUUAUGGCAAACACCACAAAAAAUUCGACAACAAAUUUAGGCAAAGCAUAAUCAACAGUUCAGAUUUAGUUUGACGAAAGUGUAAUCAAAAUUUAGUCAAAAACCAUAUACACACACACACACACACAUAUAUGUAUAUAUGUAUAUAUGUAUGUGCGUAUGUGCACACUAGAGUGUAUUUAGAUAUGUUUUUCUUCUUUUGAAAACUCAAUUAUAUCUCAAGAAAACUUCUGUCUUUUAUUUCUAACACAGGAAGGGUGAAGAUGAUGAAAUCGACAGGGAGGACGAACACAAUUAAUUGAUCAAGCACAAAGGUUAACAUGUCUCCAUCUUCAACUUCUUCUAGGCUUAGAAACUGCUAUUUUCGGAAACACAUAUACAAUAAGCAUAACCGUUUCAACUUAUUUGAGUUUCAGUGAUUUCUAAUAUUCUCCAAUGCAUGCAGGACAACAAUUCAAAGAAGGUUGUGGCUUCAACAAUUCGUUUACCAUCUCAUAUGUACAAACCAAUAAAAUGUCAUUUGUUGCAUCAGACUUUCAUUCCAAAAUACUAUUUAUGUUGCUUAUUUUAUGCAUGUAUAAUAAAUUUCGAGUGUGAUUGUUACUGUUUGUAUCUAAGUUCGCAUUAUUAAUGUAUGUUUAUUUGCACCAAGAAAUGAGAAAUGCUUAUGUAAAAAUAAAUGAAUAAGAUUAAACAAGAAAAACUUUACGCUACUCAAACUUGCAAACACUCAAACUACAAGCAUUAUGAAUAAACACGGAAUCAGGCUACGCAAUUGCCUUCAUCAUAACAUGAUUUUGGCCCCCAUUUUAUAAUUUCCUACCACAUUUUCACAUUCUUUCCAUGAAUUUUAUAAUACAUAUGCAAAAGAGUUCAAUCUAGGGGCUCCAAAAAUAUCACAGACAGAACAAUUAACACAAAUCGAAUAAAAAUUUGAAAUCAUGAAUCGAUCCCAAAACUGAAAGUUGAAAUUUUUGAAAAGAACUUACAUCGGAGGACAGCCCACCGGGACAGGAUCAUUUAUACCUCUUGGGUCGAGAAUAUUGGCCGGAAAACCGCGGUCACCGUUUCUUUGAUCUGAAAUUGAGGAAAUUUGGCUACGAAUCUGUAGAAACUAACUUGGGAGUUGGAAAGAGGACGGAAAGAGGAGUCUGGAUAUGUAAUUUGACGGCCGUUGGUGACCGGUGGACGAAAAUAAACUUCAUGCGAAAACAAGACCAGAUUGAGGUAAGAAAGAAAAAUACAUACGCAGAAAUAACAUGUCAGUCAGGCAAGACAAGUAAUUGCAACCAUAACAGAACACAAUGAAGAAACAUACCAUGAGGAUUUUGAACAAACAUAAUGAAGUGUAACCAACAGCAUACAAAUAUCAAAAAUAUAGAAAAGAAUGCUAUACAAUCACUAUAAGUGAUUUCAAAGGCCAUCUUCUAUUUCUGUUUCUGGGAAAAAGUCAUGUCGUCAAGAUAUCAUUCCAUUUCCUUACCAUGAUGAGUAAAAUGAAAUUUGAACUUGCUUGCUGUUCUUGCAUAUCUUCUCCUCAUCCUGGUUACCAACCCAGCAAGUCUUCACCAAUCCAUCUAUGAUGUACGUACGUCAUUGUAAUAUCAUGUGAUGCAGCUUACCUAGAUUAUAUUUCCUGUAGCCUAAGUUUAGAUAUUUCCUUUGCAGAGGGUAUAGCGUGCAAGGUCCUAAGAACUUUACCAAAUUAUCAUCCUUCGAGUAUAGAAAAUCUUCCAAAUGUAUAAACGAAAUAAACUUGUGACAGAACCAAAGAAUGCAAAUGCUUAUCAUCAUUUACUAAUCCAUAUGCAUAAUUUAAACAUUUUCAUAUUCAUUAGAAGCAUACAGAAAAGAUACAUGGCACACAAGAUAUGUACUUUUCGACGUAGGAGCUCAAUUCUUGUAUACAGACACACUUCCUUUAGCUUGCAUUGGACCUCGUACUUUCCACUAAUGUAAAUGCCACAUCAAAAGUGAAAGAGCGACUCCGGAAACCAAUUACAUCCAUGUGCUUGCACUUCAAUGCAGAAACAGAACAAAACAUAAUCCUAAAGUUUUCGGACCAUCAUUAAACACGCAAGCAUAACAAACAUUCACAAUCCAGCAAAUGGGUGUUCAUAAUUUCAAGCAGAAACACCAAAAGUCAAAGAAAAUAAUGAAUUAAAUUAUGAAAAAUUUUGUACUCAAGUAUCUCCCGUGAACUUGAACCAAGUCUCAGCACAUUGCUUAUAAGCAGCACCCAAAUCCCCCUUGCAAGAACACCCCAAGUCAAUCGGGACCCCAGAGGCAGGGUCGGUCCCACCACCUCCCUCCAAACCCAAGUGGCAAAUCCUGCAAUUUCUCUCAACUUUACUCAAAUGCACCACCUUCUUCACCUUCGAAACCCCACUCUCUCCACUGAACAGCAUUGGAUGUCGUCAGAGUCAUCCGAGUCCGACGCACCGCUGCCUCCGGUGGCCAAACGGCGGUGGUGGGUUGUCUCGGGAGCUGACAUUCGUGAAACCCAGAAAGAGAAAUGGCGUGAAAUGGUAAAGUGUUAAAGUUGCGGCAUUCGGAGAUCAAACAUGGUGGGGUUAUAGAGCAGGUGGAGAUGUUUUUUCUCUAUCCUCAAUCAAAAUAUCAAUCUGCAGGCAUAUUUGAAAAAGCAAUAUUUCCAUCAAAGUGCAUUUCAUGGUUUCCAAGUUUAAAAGAUGUACGUUUGGAAUUUAUGAAGUUUGAAGGCGUGCUAUUUGAUCUGAAAACCCAUGGCCAGACAACUCCAAUAUUUCCCCAGUUACGUGAGUUGCGGAUAUUCGAUACUUCGUUUACACACUUGUGGAAAAACAUUCCGUCUGGAUUUCAAGGCUUCCAAAAUUUGAGAUAUUUGCACAUAAGUUAUUGUUCUGGUCUAGAAUAUGUGUUCUCGCAUUUAAUUGCCCGAGAACUUUUGAAUCUUGAAGAGGUAGAGAUAUCAACAUGUCUGGACAUGGAAACUAUAGUCAGAAUCACAAAGGAAAAAGAAGAAAAGGCGACAAAAGACAUGAUUUUGUUUCCGAAACUGAACACAUUUGAACUAGAAGACCUGCCUCGUCUCACAAGUCUUUUUCCAGAGGGAUCUACAUUUGUAUGGUCAUCCACAAAAUAUAUGCUGGAGAAUAACUUGAAGAAGGAUUCAACAAGUCAUGAUUUCAGCACUUCUCCAACAUGUUCAUCAAAUUGGUGCCCUGCUGGAUGUGGAUGCGCACCAUAUUCAAGACCAAACGCCCACCGCCCCAUUGAAAUAUUGCCACGUCCAAUUAACCUGGAGGUAAGCUUUUAAAUCAGGUUCAAUUAACCUCUAUAAGUACAACUUUUAAUUAGUAUUGUAUCAUCUUGUUGAUCGUGUAAUUUUCUAGGUUACACCAACUAAUCUUGAGGACUCAAAUGAUGAUGAUAAUCUCGAAAAUCUUACUGUAAAUGACUGUAAUUCGAUGGAAGUGAUUUUCCAACUCAAGGGACCGAAGCAGGAAGAAAGUAGUCACUCCAUUGAAGCAUUCAAUAAAUUGAGUUCCUUGCGGUUAGAUAGAUUGCCAGGUUUAACGCGUGUUUGGGAGAUGGGUAGUUCACAACCGAUGUUGACAGGAAGCAGCUUCGGAAACUUGAAAUCGCUGGAGGUUGGUUUUUGCAACCAGUUGAAAUACUUGUUUUCAUCGUCCAUAGUCAAACUUCUCGUGAGUAUAGAGGACAUAGAAGUUCAUAACUGUGAGAAGAUGGAAGAAAUCGUUGCCGCAGAAGAAGAAACUGAUGAAACAAUUACAUUACCUAAAGUGAAGUCCAUCAAGCUUGAAAGUCUGCCAAAACUCAAGUAUUUUUGUGGUGAAGCUUAUACUUUGAAGUUGCCGUCUUUGGAGUUAUUGGAGGUUAUUAAUGUGCAAGACUUAAGGCCAUUUGAUUCUAAGCUUGUUGACACGCAUAAUCCCCGAUUGCAAGUAAAACCCACAUUUCGACAGGAAUGGACAAGGUAUGCUUUAGAUUAAUGUUUCUAAUUUGCAUUCACUUUUGUGUCCACCUGAAAGACCGCAUCAUCAAUAUACAACCACUGAACCAACAAAGAUGACGAAAUCGACGGCAAGGAUGACGAUGACAAAAUCGAUGGCAAGGAUGAAGAUGACGAAACCAACAGGGAGGACGAACACAAUUGAUUGAUCAAGCACAAAGGUUAGAAUGCUUCCAUCUCCAACUUCUUCUAGGUUUAGUAAAAACUGAUGAAAAUUAUCUAUAUAGUACUCACAAAAAUAUUCUACCAUGUUUUAUAUAAUAUAUACAUACAUGUAUAGCACUUAAAAAAAUUGAACAGUUUGGAUCUAAAACCACAAUCUGCUACCUGUUUCAUUUUUUCGAGGUACCUAAUAGCAAUUAAGGUGAGAGGAAGAAGCAUUUCAGAUUACCAACUGCCUCAAGAGAAACCUUUAUCAGAAACACAUAUACAAUAAACAUAACCGUAGUGCUAAGUGGCCUAAAAAUUAAUUUAUCCUUAAACCGCUAUUUUUGGAAACACAUAUACAAUAAGCACAAGCGUUUCAACUUAUUCCAAUUUCAGUGAUUUCUAAUAUUCUCCAAUGCAUGCAGGAAAAGAGUUUAAAGAACGUUGUGGCUCCAGCAAUUCGUUUACCAUAUCAUAUGUACAAACCAAUAAAAGGACAUUUGUUGCACCAGAAUUUCAUUCCAAAAAUACUAUUUAUGUUGCUUAUUUUAUGUACCAUAAAUUUCGAUUGCGAUUAUUACUGUUUGUUUCUAAAUUCGCAUCAUUAGUGUUUGCUUAUUUGUGCUCGAGGUUGAUUAUACACGUGUAAGCUGAAUCACAUGUUUGUAGAAUGGACAAGCUGAAUAAAAUCUGUUUGCCCCCUAAAUGUAAUGGAAAUCAUAUGUAUCUAGGCAUGCUUAAUAUUUGAUAAAGAAAAACAUUUCUCAAAUAAAUGUCCACUCACACCUCCGGCAAGCUCUCCCUUGAGGAGCCUUGUCUACCAAAUAGGUAAACAUCUACUGGACAGCAAACUGCUGAAUACAACUAGAGUAAACAAGGAAUCAGGCUAUGCAAUUGCCAUCAUCAUAACAUGAUUUUGGCCCCCAUUUUCUAAUUUCCUACCACAUUUUCACAAUCUUUCCAUGAAUUUUAUAAUUCCUAUGCAACAGAGUUCGUUCAUCGCCUAUUCACAACAAUACAAGGUUCUACAGAGUUCAAUCCCACACCAUGUUAUAGACAUGCUUCAACUAUCAACCGGGAACGUAAUCGUUAGGGGUUUCAACAACUUCACUGAUACAACAAUUACUAUAAGUCUCAUCUCCGACAUUCAUACAGAAAAUCGAAUAAAAUUCGAAAUCAAGAAUCAAUCCCAAAACUGCAAGUUGAAAAUUUGGAAAAAGAACUUACAUUGGAGAACAGCCCACGAGAAGAGUAUCAUUUCUACCUCUUGGGUCGAGCUCCAAUUCCGGCGAUAUUGGCCGAAAACCCCUGGGUCACCGUUUCUUAGAUUUGAAGUUGAGGAAAAUCGCCUACGAAUUUAUAGAAACUAACUUGGGGGAUAGGAUAAGGGACGGCAAGAGCAUUCUGGAUGUGUAGUAUGAGAGCCUUUGGUGACCAGUGGACGACAGAGCUGUUGCGUCGGCACUCGGCAGUCUUCGGCUUGCUGUUAAAUGGGGCUCCUGUUGCAGCGCAACGCAAAAGAGAAGGAGGAGAGAGGAUACGGGAGAAGGAGAGAAAAUGGGUUUCUCCAACCUUUUUCAUUAGUUCUUUUCCACAUUUAUUUAUGGAAUAAACGAUAAUAUUUAUCAUCAAAAGUGUGUUUGGUACGUGAGAUGAGAAGGAACAUGUUUUGAUGAUAAUAAUGGCUAAAACUAAUAUAGUUCAAAUUUUUUUUAGUGAUAAUUGAAUAUAAGAUUUCUCUUACAAGUUACAAAUAAAAAUGAAUAUCAUUAAUUUUUUUUCACUUUUAAUACACAUGUAAAUAAAAAGAAACAAAAUGAAAAUGAAAAGAAAUAAAAUAAUUUGAAAUAGAAAUGAAAAAUAAAGGUAAAUUGACAGCAUAAGGUAAUCAGCCAUGGUAAUACAAAAUUAUUAUACUAUCCUUAAACAUUGUAGUGCCAUGGAAUCUUCAUUUUAGCUCUGAAUUUCCUUCUGCUUACGCUCACGCGUUCAUAUUGAUGAGCACUACGAAAAAAUAUUAAGAUGAUAGGUCAUACUCAUACGUUCGUUUUUGUUGAGAAUUUUUUUGAAGGAUUUUGCAAUAUGGCAACCAUGAUUUGCAAAGCCCACCAUCGUAGAGCUCGAUAUCGGCUUGACUUGUGGAGCCACCAUCGCAAAGAAGAACCUGGAAAGCUCAAUCCUUGUCUUUUUCUUAUAUAAGUGUCAUUUUGGUGAACCAAAUGUUCCGAUUCCAACAUCCAAAAUACCACAAUGUGAUUUUUUUUCAUACUACAAUUGGAUUGCAUCUUAAAAUUAUGAAGUCUUGGAGCAUUGGUCAUGCCAUCAUGCUGAUUUGUGUUGGAUUUCGUUAGAGAUCGUAAUUAAUCAAUCACCCUUUUUGUGUCUCCCUUCAAAAGCUCAAAUUGAAAUCUGAACUCCCUAGCAAAUAAGAGCCCAAUUUGACAACCAAAAUCUUCAUCGUUCGAGCAUCAAUGUUCUCUUAAAUUCACUACGAGCAAACCGCCAUGAAAUCUCCUUCAUGGACAUCUCAUAAAAUUAGAACGAUACAAAGAAGAUUAGUGUGACUCCUAAGCUAGGAUUACACGUAUGAAUCGUAAAAUAGUUCCUCCUCCACUAUUUGAUUCUCUCUUUCACUGGCUAACAAUAUUUUGCUCUACCUUUUCACCCUAAGUAAGAAAUGAGCAUUUUGUUAGCAUCUUUUUGAAAAUUUCAAAUUUGAUCCUAAUAUAUCUCUUUUGCACUAUUUGACUGAACGACAAAUUUUGAUUGUCUAAAUAUUUAUAUCAAAAUACAAAUAAUAUUGAUAUUAUAUAUUUAUAAUGUGACUGGAAUUGUAGUACCCAACAUAUCUAUCUUGAAAUAAAUUUUGUUGUCUAUGAAGUGGCCAACUCGACCCUCUCCUAUACUCUUUGAGUUUGUAUAAAUAUAUCAUUGUUUAACAAUUGACAUUCAGUACUGCGAUUUAGUGAUAUUCAUUAUCAGGUUCGAAUCUUAGGAGUAACGAGUUUGUGUAAAUAUAUCAUUGUAUUAAAGAAAAACAAAAAAAUAAAAAAUAAAACAAAAUAUUUUUUUUUGGUCUGACAAAAACACGAAAAUGCCCUUAAUGCCCAAAGUGACCCCACUACUGACACACCCCGAUCCAGAGGAUCCAGGCGUGCUGGCCGUCACGUGAGCGUGACGUAACCAUAAGUGCGACACGGAAGCGAAACAACAACAUACAUAAGAAGGAAUUCAAACCAAACUCUAGCAGAACAACCUACUAGAAUAACAGGACGAGUUAUAAUGUAAACACAUAAAUUCAGAGCAUAGGUUUAAGUGCAGUCAAGUAGGACUAAAAUAAAAGUACAUCGCUCUCAGGUGAGUCCUACAUGUCAAGAGUUUGUCAGAAAGCCGAAAUAAGACCUCGAGAGUCACAAACUGCUAACUAGAACCUGGAGGGGCGCAAAACAAAAUGAGUGGGUCAGUAAAACCAAAGAGUUUUCCAAAACAGUUCAUUUAAAACAUUUCUAACCCCUCACCGUAAAAACCUGUAUACUUCCCCAGAAAAUAGUAUAUAAACAUAUAUAUAUAUAUACACGCAACAUCAAAACUCAACUCAUAUCCAUCAUUACAACAUCUCAGAAAUGAUAUGCCAUGCACAAAAUAUAAUCAGAAUGCAUCAAUAUCAAUCAGGUGAAAUAAUACAUCAACCGGAGAUCCUACAAUGGUCAUGUACGGCUGAUUCUAAAGCUCAACAUCUAAUCCAACCGGAGUCACCUCGGUGACCUGUACGGUCCAACUCUGCACGUCACUCGGAACUACAUAUAGUAGUCUGUACGAUGACAGGUGUAUAAAUACGCUCUAGUGCUUCUCUCAUCAAUCAACAGCGCGCAUAACUAAGGUCACCCACUAGUCGGAAUCACAUCUAGUGAUAUGUACGACUAGCAUGUCAGAACCCUCACAUGGUCUGUACGACAUCCACCUACUUGGAUCCAAGACGAGCGUGCGGUGUGGUGAAUAACAAUAUAAGCACUAACACCUAGGUGCAACUUAUGAGCUUUCAAUGCAAUUCAUAUAAAAUAACUCAGCUGAAUAAUAAUAAAACUCACAUGUGCGUCCACCGCGUCAAUUCACAUAUAUAUGCAUCAAUUAUCAAACUAAAUAUCUCAACAAUUGCAUGCAUGGCAAAUAAAUUCAUAAUUUUCACAUAAACGUAUUUUCUGGGAAAAACAGUUGUAUAUAGGUAAUACGAAAUCAGAACUGCCCACUCACUGAUAAGUCGAUGGAUCGUAACCCCCGUGACGUCCUUGGAUGCACUCGUCCUCGGGAUAGGUGUCACCUAUAUGCGAAACAACUAUAAAAACGUUAAUUUUAAACACAUAACCAUUAAUUCGAAAUAACUUCUCAUACGAUGCUCAAUUUGGGUAUAUGAAUAUACCACAUCGACCUACUCGACGUCACGGACGUCGAGGAAUUUUUAGAAAAAAUUUUAGGCUUGCCACGCGCCCCCACGCGCCGUGGGUGGCACAGGUCCACGCGCCCCCACGCGCAUCAUCUUCAACCUCAGCUCGCCGGACUGGUUUUUCCGGCGGUCGGUUUCUGGCGAACUUUGAAACUCUUUGUUCUCCUUCGUUUCUCAACCAUUUUCUUCGUAUUUUAUACCAAAAUGAAGCCCCAAACAUGUAGAAUCACGAUAGACUAGUUUAAGGCUCUAAAAAUCAAGAAAUCUCACCAGAAAAUUUCCAAGAAAAUCGGCCAAAGUUGAACCACGUGAUCCUGACGUCCAAAUCCUUCAAACGAAGUACUCCGAGCCUCCUUGGGACCUUACUAAGCUCACUACAAGCUUAGAAUUCCCUAAAAAUAAACAUUUUACGUUUGCAUGAAUAGUGACCAAAAAUGAAGGUUCGGGUUUCACGUGAUUCCGAGGAUUUCACUUCCUAAAACUAGUACCAAUCAACUUAAAAUGACUCAAGGAUGAAGAUGCAUACCUUGGUUGCCUCGAUCCACCGAGAUUUGGGAGGUUUUGGGUGUGUCCGUACGUAUGGGUGUGUGUGAGAGAGAGGGAGUCGAGAUGGAGGAGAGAGAGAGAGGCUACAGGAAUGAGAGGGAGAGAGAGAGGGUUUGUGAUGUCCAAAAACAAUCCCCACCAUCCAUUUUACAUCCCUAACCAAAAUAACAAAAAAUCAAAUUAAAGUCAACUUAUCUUAUUAUUUUCUUCCAACACAUUACUAAGAUUAGACUAAAAUAAUGUCACACACCCAAGUACCUUAAUGCCCGUUAAGGGCAAUUUCGUCAUUUCACAUUCCCGUCAAAUGUACCUCCGGGACGGGCUGUGACAACUACCCUGCCGCUGCCUACAAGUUCCUUCCUCGCCCCCGUUUCUACGUCCAAUUAAUUAAUCUGGAGGUAAGCUUUUAAAUCAGGUUCAAUUAACCUCUAUAAGUACAUCUUUUAAUUAGUAUUGUAUCAUCUUGUUGAUCGUGUUUAAUUUUCUAGGUUGCACAACCUAAUCUUGAGGACUCAAAUGAUGAUGAUAAUCUCGAAAAUCUUACUCUAAUUAACUGUAAUUUGAUGGAAGUGAUUUUUCAACUAAAGGGACCGGAGCAUGAAGAAAGUAGUCACUCCGUUGAAGCAUUCAAUAAAUUGAGGUCCUUGCGGUUAGAUAUAUUGCCAAGUUUAACGCAUGUUUGGGAGACGGGUAGUUCACAAUCGAUGUUCACAGGAAGUAACUUCGGAAACUUGAAAUCGCUACGGGUCGUUGCACCGAUGAAAUAAUUACAUUACCUAAAGUGAAGUCCAUCAAUCUUAAAUGUCGGCCAAAACUCAAGUAUUUUUAUGGUGAAACUUAUACUUUCAAGUUGCCGUCUUUGGAGUUAUUGGCGGUUACUGACGUGCAAAACUUAAGCCUAUUAGCUCCAAAGCUUAUUGCCCACAUCCCCGAUUGCAAGUACGCACCGCGAUGGGAGUGGCUGAAUGGAUGGGGGACCUCAAUGCCACUCUAAGGAAUAUUUACGUAAUCACUUAUGUGUGCAUAUGCGCACACUAAAAUAUGUUUUUUUUUUUUUUUUUUUUUUUUUUAGAAACUCGAAUUAUAUUUCAAGAAAACAUCUCUCUUUUAUUUCUAAUACCGAGAAGAAUGAAGCUGACGGAAUUCUACUAGACACCAUAUAACGAGGAUGUUAACAAUCACAAAAGGUUGUGGCUUCGGCUAUUCGCUUACUUUCAUAUGUACAAACCAAUAAGAUGUCAGUUCGCCAAAAAAAAAAAAAACCAAUAAGAUGUCAUUUGUUGCACCAGAAUUUCAUUCUAAAGAUUCUGUUUCCGUUGCUUACUAUAUGUAUAAUUAAUUUCGAUUGCGAUUAUUACUGUUUGAAUUCAUCUCUCGACUGCCUAUGGGGACGUCAAGGUGGACACCAAAAUGGAGGCGCGAUGACCUGCAUCCGGAAAGUGACGUAGCCAUAACGUGCAUGCAAAUAUAAUUUAAUAAAAUAACUUCAAAUGAUCUACUGAAAAAUCGGCAUAGUCUCCUUUGGAAUUAGGUUUUGGCCCCCAAAUUUAAAACCUGCUGAAAAAGUUAUAAUUAUUUCAAAACCACAUCCCCGUCACCUAAUGGGUUAUCAACCCUCUACUACAUGCACGUAUACUCCAAUAUACUUACUGGUGGUUAGGCCUGGCAAUUCCUGACACGAUCCGAUAACCCGACACGACACGACACGAAAUUAACAGGUGUCCGGGUCGACACGAUAACGAAACGGAUCAUUAUCGGGUAACCCGAUAAGCACCUGUUAAGAUAACGGGUUUGUUCGGGUAUACACGUGGGUAACACGAUACACGAUAAGCAAAAUAUUAAUUUAAUAAUUUAUAACCCUAAAAAAAUACUAUAAUAAUUAUAUAUAUAUAUAUAUAUAUUAAUUUAACAAUUUUAUACCCCUAAAAACUAUAAUAAUUAUAUAUAUAUAUAUAUAUAUAUAUAUUAAAUUAACUAUAAUAAUUAUAAUAAUUAUAUAUACUAUAAUAAUUAUACCCAACAUAUUAACUAUAAUAAUUAUAUAUAUAUUAAAUUUUAUACCCCUAAAAUCUAUAAUAAUUAUACAUACAAAAUAAAUAGAUUUAAAUCUACUUAAUAAAUAAAUAUAUAUAUAUACACACACACACCAUUGAACUUCAUGGAAUACGAAUUAUACAAAACUAAUUUCAACGAUCCAACCGUCAAACAUGUUUGUAUAUACUUCGUAUAUACUUCGAGAUUGCAUACGCCAAAAAUUGCAAAAAACAAACAUUUAGAGAGCAAAUAACAUGACAAAACUUUUCGACGGUUAUAAACGAAAAAUCACGAUUUAACAGUCAUUUUAACUCCGAUUUUGAUGAUUUUUUACAACCACACUCCUUGACCCUAUAUGAAUACAAUGAUUGAAUUCGAUCUUCAAUUUAAAAUAUUUACACUAGUGGAUACCACAAAAUCUUAUGUUAUACUUAAUAAAAGUAUGAAUAAACUCUUAAGUAUUAGUGAAUCUAUUGUUUUGAUGGGAUACUCAUUCUACAAAACUAGUUUCAAUGAUCCAACCGUCAAACAUGUUUGUAUAUACUUCGAGAUCGCAUACGCCAAAAAUUGCAAAAAACAAACAUUCAGAGAUCAAGUAAUGGGACAAAAGUUUUUCGACGGUUAUAAACGAAAAAUCACGAUUUAACGGUUAUUUUAACUCCGAUUUUGAUGAUUUUUUACAACUACACUCCUUGACCCUAUAUGAAUACAAGUAAUGAAUUCGAUCUUCAAUUUAAAAUAUUUACACUAGUGGAUACCGCAAAAAAUCUUAUGUUAUACUUAAUAAAAGUAUGAAUAAACUAUUAAGUAUUAGUGAAUCUAUUGUUUUGAUGGGAUACUCAUUCUACAAAAACUAGUUUCAAAGAUCCAACCGUCAAACAUGUUUGUAUAUACUUCGAGAUCGCAUACGUCAAAAAUUACAAAAAACAAACAUUCAGAGAUCAAUUAACGGGACAAAAACUUUUCGACGGUUAUAAAAAGAAAAAUCACGAUUUAACGGUCAUUUUAACUCUGAUUUUGAUGAUUUUUUGCAGCUACACUCCUUGACCUUAUAUGAAUACAAUGAUUGAAUUCGAUCUUCAAUUUAAAAUAUUUACACUAGUGGAUACCACAAAAUCUUAUAUUAUACUUAAUAAAAGUAUGAAUAAACUAUUAAGUAUUAGUGAAUCUAUUGUUUUGAUGGGAUACUCAUUCUACGAAACUAGUUUCAAUGAUCCAACCGUCAAACAUGUUUGUAUAUAUACUUCGAGAUCGCAUACGCCAAAAAUUGCAAAAAACAAACAUUCAGAGAUCAAGUAACGGGACAAAACAUUUUCGACGGUUAUAAACGAAAAAAUCACGAUUUAACGGUCAUUUUAACUCCGAUUUUGAUGAUUUUUUACAACUACACUCCUUGAUGAAUAUGAAUACAAUGAUUGAAUUCGAUCUUCAAUUUAAAAUAUUUACACUAGUGGAUACCACAAAAUCUUAUGUUAUACUUAAUAAAAGUAUGAAUAAACUCUUAAGUAUUAGUGAAUCUAUUGUUUUGAUGGGAUACUCAUUCUACGAAACUAGUUUCAAUGAUCCAACCGUCAAACAUGUUUUUAUAUAUUUCGAGAUCGCAUACGCCAAAAAUUGCAAAAAAACAAACAUUCAGAGAGCAAGUAACGGGACAAAACUUUUCGACGGUUAUAAACGAAAAAAUCACGAUUUAACGGUUAAUUUUAACUCCGAUUUUGAUGAUUUUUUACAACUACACUCCUUGACCUUAUAUGAAUACAAUGAUUGAAUUCGAUCUUCAAUUUAAAAUAUUUACACUAGUGGAUACCACAAAAUCUUAUGUUAUACUUAAUAAAAGUAUGAAUAAACUCUUAAGUAUUAGUGAAUCUAUUGUUUUGAAUGGGAUACUCAUUCUACGAAACUAGUUUCAAUGAUCCAACCGUCAAACAUGUUUGUAUAUAUUUCGAGAUCGCAUACGCCAAAAAUUGCAAAAAAAAAAAAAACAUUCAGAGAUCAAGUAACGGGACAAAACUUUUCGACGGUUAUAAACGAAAAAUCACGAUUUAACGGUUAUUUUAACUCCGAUUUUGAUGAUUUUUUACAACUACACUCCUUGACCUUAUAUGAAUACAAUGAUUGAAUUCGAUCUUCAAUUUAAAAUAUUUACACUAGUGGAUACCACAAAAUCUUAUGUUAUACUUAAUAAAAGUAUGAAUAAACUAUUAAGUAUUAGUGAAUCUAUUGUUUUGAUGGGAUACUCAUUCUACAAAACUAGUUUCAAAGAUCCAACCGUCAAACAUGUUUGUAUAUACUUCAAGAUCGCAUACGUCAAAAAUUACAAAAAACAAACAUUCAGAGAUCAAUUAACGGGACAAAACUUUUCGACGGUUAUAAAAAGAAAAAUCACGAUUUAACGGUCAUUUUAACUCUAAUUUUGAUGAUUUUUUGUAGCUACACUCCUUGAACUUAUAUGAAUACAAUGAUUGAAUUCGAUCUUCAAUUUAAAAUAUUUACACUAGUGGAAACCACAAAAUCUUAUAUUAUACUUAAUAAAAGUAUGAAUAAACUAUUAAGUAUUAGUGAAUCUAUUGUUUUGAUGGGAUACUCAUUCUACGAAACUAGUUUCAAAGAUCCAACCGUCAAACAUGUUUGUAUAUACUUCAAGAUCGCAUACGUAAAAAAAAAUUACAAAAAACAAACAUUCAGAGAUCAAGUAACGGACAAAACUUUUCGACGGUUAUAAACGAAAAAUCACGAUUUAACGGUCAUUUUAACUCCGAUUUUGAUGUUUUUUUACAACCACACUCCUUGACCCUAUAUGAAUACAAUGAUUGAAUUCGAUCUUCAAUUUAAAAUAUUUACACUAGUGGAUACCACAAAAUCUUAUAUUAUAUACUUAAUAAAAGUAUGAAUAAACUAUUAAGUAUUAGUGAAUCUAUUGUUUUUGAUGGGAUACUCAUUCUACGAAACUAGUUUCAAUGAUCCAACCGUCAAACAUGUUUAUAUAUACUUCGAGAUUGCAUACGCCAAAAAUUGAAAAAAACAAACAUUAAGAGAUCAAGUAACGGGACAAAACGUUUCGACGGUUAGAAACGAAAAAUCAUGAUUUAACGGUCAUUUUAACUCCGAUUUUGAUGAUUUUUUACAACUACACUCCUUGACCCUAUAUGAAUACAAUGAUUGAAUUCGAUCUUCAAUUUAAAAUAUUUACACUAGUGGAAACCACAAAAUCUUAUGUUAUACUUAAUAAAAGUAUGAAUAAACUCUUAAGUAUUAGUGAAUAUAUUGUUUUGAUGGGAUACUCAUUCUACGAAACUAGUUUCAAUGAUCCAACCGUCAAACAUGUUUGUAUAUAUUUCGAGAUCGCAUAUGCCAAAAAUUGCAAAAAACAAACAUUCAGAGAGAACGUAAUGGGACAAAACUUUUCGACGGUUAUAAACGAAAAAUCACGAUUUAACGGUUAAUUUAACUCCGAUUUUGAUGAUUUUAUACAACUACACUCCUUGACCUUAUAUGAAUACAAUGAUUGAAUUCGAUCUUCAAUUUAAAAUAUUUACACUAGUGGAUACCACAAAAUCUUAUGUUUAUACUUAAUAAAAGUAUGGUAUAGUACUAUUGUUUUAUUUUUUUUCAUAAUUAUUUUGGUAAACUUCUCAUAAUUUGAAUAAUUUUUAAUGUUUGGUUUUUCUAUGCUUAGUUUAUGCAGAAGAUAGUUAUGACGUGGAAAACCUUACUGAAAAGGUCAUCAACAUAACUCUUGAAGGCAAUAGAUCAAGCCAAAGUUCCAAUGCAAUUUCAUGAUGAUCGAUGUAAAUCGAUGAUUUUGUAAAUUGAGGUUUAAACUUUUGAGAAAGAUUUCAUAACCUUGAAAACAAAAACUGUUUCAUUUUGCAUAUCCUUGCACAUAUAAAAUUUGUAAUAGAUUAGUAGUGUAUGUAUUAUUUUUUUAUUAGGCUCUUAUUUUCGAGUGUAGAUGUAGUACUUAAACGACAAAUGUGUUUUAAUGUUUUGAAGUAAUAUUUAUGUGGCAAUGUGUGGUAUGUGCAAAUUUAAGAAAAAAAAAAUAUUUUUCUUAACGGGUCAUAACGGGUCGGGUCACUUUACCCGUUGGGUAAAGUGACACGACCUGUUAAGGACCCGUUAAGAUAACAGGUGUGACACGACACGACCCAUUAAGAUAACAGGUGUUAUACGAAAACGACACGAACACGACUGACACGACCCGUUUGCCAGGCCUACUGGUGGUAUAGCAUACAAUUUCAUACACUAGUGAUAACUAGUGUAAGCUGAAAAUUUAACCAUACACUAGUCAUAGUUAGUGUAAGAAAUGCAAAAGAUUGGGGAGAUGCGAAAGAACUCAUCUCUGGUCCUGGAAAUAUUGCAUACAAUAUUGCUCUACCAAUUAAACCAAAUCUUAUGACUCUAGUGACAAGCUAGAAAGCCACAAAAGAAUAAACAAGGAAUCAGGCUAUGCAAUUUCCUACCACAUUUUCACAUCAACGUGAUUGUUAGGGGUUUCAACAACUUCACAGAAUAACCACAAAUCUCAUCUCCGGCAUUCAGGCAGAAAAAUCAAAUAAAAGUUUGAAAUCAAGAAUCAAUCCCGAAACUGAAAGUUGAAAUUUUGGAAAAAUAACUUACAUCAGAGGACUUUCCAUGAGGAGAAGAUCAUUUUUACCUCUUGGGUCGAGGACAUUCCACGAUGAGCCUGCAUAAAUGAACCAAUUAAACAAAGAAAUGAAAACCGAAUAACUCGGAAGCUAAAGUAUCACAGAUAGAAAAUUGCAUAUACCUAACUAAAAAUGCACAACCUAACGAGAUGUGGUAGUCUAAGUGUAUAACACAAGGGUGAGAAGUACUCUAGUGCUCACAAACUGAAGCCACAAGACUACCAGAUAAUGUAGCUUCAGAAAUAUCAUUCGUUCUUUUGCGCACAAUCAUACAUGCUCAUCAGAACAAAGUAUGAUCUCCAACGGAAAUAGAAGUGACACAGGUGAAAGUCAAAAUAAACAAACAAAUAAUAGUGAACGAGAAGGCCCUAAAGAAUUGCUCUAACUAGGAGACAAGCUUAAAUUAUUCAGAUAAUAAGCCUUGCACAAACCCAACUUUCAAAAAACUAGAUUAGUAUGCCGUGAUAUUUAACAAUGCCGUCAAAAACUUGCUUGUUGAACUACUCAACCCUGUAUUCCAUCUCCUUCUCUGCCAUACCAAAAAUUUGCACAAUUGUUUAAAACCAAAUUAAGGUCUUUCGAAAACCCACCAGAGAUUAUUUGAAAAACACGAAUUUAGAACAAUAAUUCAAAACCAAAGAACAGAAAAUCCAUCACACCAGAGUAAAAAUUAACCAUCUUGUUGCUUCCUAACUCUCAAGAAAUAUCCACGUCUCACUUUUACUAAUGUCAAAACACUGCCAUCAUUGAUCAAUUAGACAAAUAAGACCCAAUUCGAUUACGCCCAAACUCACAGAACACCCAGAUUCCCAACAUCAAUUGAACAAUCUAACCAUGAAUUUCCAAAACUUUCCCCAAAAUCCAGUCUUGGGCAUGCAUUAAAUCCAAUCUAAAACUUGAAUUCAUUUUUAGAGAACAAAAAGUAAAAACUUUGGAACAAUGAAGCAAAAGGGUAAUUACCUGUUCCUUGUCCAAAACCGUCGGCGCAUUGUUGGGGGCAGCCAUUAGAACCUGGACAAUUCGCAAAUUCGCAAAUUAAUUUACACAAACUUCUUCGAAACCGAAUGAAUUAGCAGAGAGGGUUUAAGUAAUCUUACUCGGUGGGAUGGAAUCGAACGCGCUGAAAGUGGUAGCUCUAAAUGCAGAGGGGUUUAAGCGUCCGAUUUGAAGCGAAAGCAGGAGAAAAUAAAAAUCCCACUGAGCUAAUAAUAUACGAAUUAGGGUUUUAGGAGUUAAUAUAGCGUGUAUAUGCGAUGGACGGUUUUGUUUUUCGGGGGGAUUUCAACCGGAAAAGUUAGUGGAUUAUUGCCCUUUCUUUUCUCCUUCCCAAAGGCCCUGUAUGGUGGGCCGUCGUAUAUAAUUGUCCUUUUCUUUCUUAUUUUUUGGAUUUUUUUAUUUCUUUUCUAACUCAUAGAUCAUCGGGGCUCAGGUUCAGUUGAUUAAAGUAGUAUGUUUCUUUUGUUAUGCUAUAGUUUGAAUAUUCAUUCAAAUGAUUUAGAUUUCUUGGUGCAAAGUAUCAUUCAAUUAAAGAAAAAACUCGUAUUAUGUUUGCUUACAACCAUUGUAUGUUUGCUAACAACAAAGGAUUUGAGAGGAAAAAAACGUGAAUCCACAUUGAAAGGAAAAAAAUAUGUGCUAGAUUACGCACUGCAAAUGGAAACAAGUUGUCACCCCUAUUUAUCCAAAAAUAAUAUACUUGUUAUAGAAUAUUAUAUUACGAAGGGCGGAGAGCGUGUGUACGGCAAAUUAGGAACGGGUACAGCAACGUAGCAGCACAAGCAAGACGAUGAUUGGAACUGCAACUUACCCCACACAUUCACAGAAGCCUUUUUCUUUCCCCUGCUGGUGUUCAUGAAAGCACUUUGAAGUGAAAAAGCCAUGAAAUUACGAAGGCAAGGAUCAUGCAGACAAGAAGGAAAUUCAUAAUGCAGCGGCCAUGCCACAUGGUUCAGGUUUCAACCUGGAUCAUGGGUGGUGCUGGUACUGAUGCGGCUGUGGCAGUACUGCUAUUUGCCUCGUUAAUCUGGUCACCUGAAAUGUUGAAUGCAGUUACUCCACAGAUCUCGCAGGUUCUGCAAAUCAUAUGAAUAAAAUUAUGCAUAGGCAGAAAAUAACAUAUCAGUCAGACAAGACAAGUAAUUACAACCAUAACGCAACAUAAUGAAGAAAUGUACCAUGAGGAUUUUGAACAAACAUAAUGAAGUGUAACCAACAGCAUACAAAUAUAAAAAAUAUAGAGGAAAAUGCUAUACAAUCACUGUAAGUGAUUUCAAAGGCCAUCAAUCUUCUAUUUCUGUUUCUGGAAAAAAAGUCAUGUCAUCAAGAUGUCGUUCCAUUUGCUUACCAUGAUGAGUAAAAUGAAAUUUGAACUAGCUUGCUGUUCUUGCAUAUCUUCUCCUCAUCCUGGUUACCAAGCAAGUCAGCCUUGACCAAUCCAUCUAUGAUGCAGCUUAUCUAGAUUAUAUUUCCUGUUGCCUAAGUUUGGAUAUUUCCUUUGCAGAGGGUAUAGCGUGCAAGGUCCUAAGAACUUUACCAAAUUAUCAUCCUUCGAGUAGAGAAAAUCUCCCAAAUAUAUAAGCGAAAUAAACUUGUGACGGAAUCAAAGAAUGCAAAUGCUCAUCAUCAUUUACUAAUCCAUAUGCAUAAUGUAAACAUUUACAUCUUUAUUAGAAGCAUACAUAAAAAAUACAUGGCACACAAGAUAUCAACUUUUCGACCUAGGAGCUCAAUUCUUGCAUACAAACACACUUCCUUUAGUUUGCAUUGGACCUCGCACUUUCCACUAAUGUAAAUGCCACAGAAAGUGUGACUGUAAAAACUUUAAACGUAGAACGAUCGAUAUGUUUGAGUUCAGAUGGACUGUAAUAUUGGUGACUACAAGAUUUGUUCUUUUACUAGAUUUUCUCGUAUUUCAUAUGAGCAUACGCAUUCUACUAUAUACGUGAUCUGCCUCAUUUAGCAUUCCAGUAAGAAGCAAAAUGAUAAGAACAAUUGUGACAAUUACAUCAAAAGAAAGAAGCUAAUUAGCAAGUAAUCAUUCGAAUAAGCUGAACUCACAGAAGCAGAAACCUAAACACUAUCAAGAUGGUCUCUGUUGUAGCAUGCCCAUAGUAAGAUCAUAGUUUGAAGUAUGUUAGGAUGCCACUUGUCAUCAUCUCAAUAUGACAAAUGUAAGGUUGAGAUGCUCUAGUAGUAGAUAAGAUGGUUGUAAGUUGUCGGAUGAUAGCUUACAGAGGAAGCUAAGUAGUUUACAUAUAAGGAAGUCGGUUGUAAUUGGGAGGGGGUCAUUGGAAUAAUCUCUGUGUAAUACAAGAAAGUACUAUGCAAUUGUGAAGAAGCCGAGCAAGGUUUUAACAUUGGUAUCAGCCAGUGUCGAUUCCUCUCAAUCCUUCAUUGUUGUAUGCCUCGCCGACCCCGGAACACCAUGGAAUCGCGAGUGUCGACUUUGGAAACCAUGCUCGCCGAUCUCAAAGCUGAGUUCAACUAACAGCCAAGAGAUGAUCAUGAUGCAGCUGCAAUCAUGAUGCAGAUGGAUGCAUUAUUUGUGGCUUUUAUCGUUAUUGAAAUCUUGUUGGAAUUUCGACAUUUAUUGAUCAUAAUGCAUCCAUCUGCAUCUCCGUUGUAUCAUUACCCUGUACAAAGAAAGUGGCUCGAAGUCUUGAGAAGCAACAUAACCAACAAUCACACCACGGCAUUUGGGUGCUCCAUUAGAAAUGGUGGGACUACGACCAGGAAUCCCAGGUACAUUACGUCUUGCUACAGUUAAAAGGGACAAGUGCUCAAAAUCAAAUACAUAUUCGUGAUAUAACUUUGGCACUCUUAUUUCUGAUACAUAGUGACUGAGCAGAUAAUCAUAGAUAAAAUCUUUAAAAAAAAAAAAUAUCACAAUUUCAACCAGAAAUUUCAAUGGCUCUGACGUCAACGUUCUUCAACUCCGCCUUCGGAACAGUGACACUCAGAACUCCAUUCUCCAUGGCAGCCUUAAUCUGAUCAACCUUUGCGUUCUCCGGAAGCUGAAACCUCCUCAAGAACUUGCCGCUGCUCCUCUCCACUCUGUGCCACUUGUCGUUUAUAUCCUCCUUCUCCACGUUCCUCUCUCCGCUGAUCUUAAGCACCCUGUCGUCUUCCACCUCCACCUUCACCUCCUCUUUUUUCAGCCCUGGAACGUCCGCCUUGAACACAUGGGCUUCGGGGGUCUCCUUCCAGUCGACCCUAGUGUUCACAAAAGCCGAAUUCUCCCGAGAAAAUUCAGGAAAUGCGGAGAGUGAUGAGGAGGAAGGGAACGGGAAAUCCUUGAAAGGGUCCCACAGAUUGAGGGAGAAUGGGUCGAAGACGCUGCUGCUUCCUCCUCCGGAGUUGGGAAUUAGCGACAUUCUGAAAAACCGAUGGGGUUGGUUUGGAUGCAGAGAAAUUUGAGAAUUAUUACAGAAAUAUUGCUUUUGCUGGACUGAUUGCAGAAAUAGCGGAUUUGAUAUAUUUAUAAGGAACCGAAGAAUUUUCUAGAACAGACUUGAGGAUGAGGCUGGAAAAGUAUGUGUGAGUUUCUCGAACUUUCUAUGAUGCUUGAGAAUAAUUGGAACUUUCUCAGGACGCUUAAGAAUAAUCCGACGUUUGUGUGAGUUACUCACACAACACGGUUGACUUCAUGAUGAUGAAUGGUGGACCCAAAAACCUAAGUGUGGGGGUUGUAUGGGCCGUUCGAUUUAAUCGGACGGUUAAAACUGAAGAUACUGUGCAAGUUAUAAGCGGGGCGUUUGAAUCUUUGAUAUGUAUUAUUUGGACUUAUUGAUAAAUAAUAAUAGUUCCAUUAAAUUAACAAUAUCAACUAAAUAUCAAUAACAUUUAACAUCUCAUGAAGUAGCUUAUCUAAAGGUAAAGGGAGUUAUAGCCCAAACAAGCAAAUUACGUACCAACAGUUAAGUAAUAUGAUGGUUACUUAGUACUAUAUUUUAAUGAUUUUUUUUAUUUGUGAGUAAGAAAUCUUAAAUUCGAUUUUAAAUUUUAAAGCUUUGAUUGGAUCAGUUUGAAUGAAAAGUGUUAACCAAGCUUCUAAAACUGGAGAAAGGAUUUCUAGGCAGCAAAAGGCAAGACCCAUGGCGUACAAUUGAGAUUUAAAAAAAAAUGGCUUUGAGAUUUUGUUGGUUAGGAUGUCCUUCCCUCAAUUGUGAGCAGCUCUUAAUUUGCUUUCUUCGCAGGCAGGCGAAUUGGAGACAAUAGUAUGCUUUUGAAGGAGUUUCUUAAAAAUUACCACAGAAACAAUGGUCUUCCUAGAUGUGCCUUGCAGGUGGACAUUCUGAUAGCUUGUGAUACCAGGUUGGAAAAUGGGUUACUAGGAUUAGGCUGGUUCAUAGUUCGAUUCCAUUUAAUUGUAACUGGUAGAAGAAAAAAAAACACUUUCAAACGAAUUUGUAUAGAAUUUAUAUGCUACGACUAAUAGUAGCCCUACUAUUGUUCGAAAUAGAUUAUCAAUUCUAAUUGUGAUGUUUGUACCGUAAAAUAAUGUGAUGCCACGAACGAAUAAGGAUGGCUCAAGCCAUGUAUUGUGCCUUGAGAAUGUGGGGUUGGGAAGCAAUGCAUCCAAUUUUUCUUUCACUUUAUCCUUUUUUUUUUUUUUUGUUAAAGAAAAUACCAUAUGGUUCGUAAGCAAAGUAUCCAAAUCUUUUUCACCUUUUUUUUUGAUAAAGAGAAAUACAAAGUGGGUUCGAAAGCAAUGCAUCCCAUUCUCUUUCCCUUUGUCUUUUUCUUGUUAAAAAAGAAUAACCUUUGUCUUUUUCUUGUUAAAAAAGAAUAAAAAUACCUUACUUCAGAAUCACCUCCUCUUGAGGUAAUGCUCGUUAAAUAUAUAUUUUUUGCUUCUCUAUUUAUAUUGUUAGAGAACUCUUAUUAACCUUUCCCCAUUGAAGUUAUCUGCUCAUUGCAUUGCUGAGGUAACAUAAUCUGUCCUCCUUGUGCAUGAUACCAUUCAACAUUCAUAUUUUCUAGCAAAUUCGUGAAGUAACAAUGUCAAGACCAGACACAUGAGUUGUUGCUGAAUAAGUCAUAGAUUUCAGAAUUUCACUUUUACUCUAGCAAACUGUUGCAUUGGGUUGAUUUACAAUACAAGUACGUACGUACAUCUUGGAAACUUUAUUUCUUUUCAAUAUUUGUUGUUUUAGGUGUUUAUUUUUACCCAUGUGUGACUAAGAAACAAAAGUGUUGGUUUUACAUUAUAUUUUCUAGCAAAUUCGUGAAGUACCAGAUCCAACACCAGACAUAUUGUUGUUGAACAAGGCAUAGAUUUCACAAUUUCAUUUUUUUCCCCUACCGGUUAGUUGCAUUUGGUUGAUUACAAUACAGGUACGUAUGUUCUUAGAAACUUCAUUUCUUUUCAAUAUUUGUUGUUUUAGGUGUUUGUACUAUAUGUUUAUGCAUUUUGAUGUUCAUCCACGUCAACUGAAAUUGAGCUAAUCCCCCCCCCCCCAUAAUCGAAUUUUUACUUUUCUCACUCAAUACAAAAAGUUUGAAAACACAUCUACUAUAUGGUGGUGAAAUGUAAACUAUUAGAAAUUUAUAUGCUGUAAAAUAAUAAAGAGUAAAUAAAUAUACACAUGCACUGAAACCAUCAAUUGAAAAUAUGAAUUUACCCCUUGAAAUUCAAUUUUCUUUAACUAAAACUCAUCAUAGUAUAUUUUCCUAACAAAAACUCAUUGACUUUACCUCUUGAGAAAAAAAACAGGGCCUUCGGGUUUUUUACAUAUAUUUUUUUUUAACACUUCUCCUAUUUAUAUUGUUAGAAAGCUCUUAUUAACUCUUCCCCAUUGAAGUUAUCUGUUCUUAUAUUUGCAUUGAUGUGCAUCAUCUUUCCUCCUUGUGCAUGCUAACAUUCAACAUUCAAAUUUUCUUGCAAAUUCGUGAAGCACCACUACCAGUACCAGACAUAUGAUUUGUUGCUGAACAAGGCAUAGAUUUCAAAAUUUUCAAUUUUACUCUGUUGGACAAUUGCAUUGCGUUGAUUUACGAUACAGGUAUGUAGUACUUCUCUUAAACUCUAGUUAUGUCCAAUAUUUGUUGUUUUAGGCGUUUGUUUUUAUCCUGCUUGACUAAGAAACUAAAAUGUUAGUUUUACAAUCUAGUGCCCACCAGAUAUUCUAUUUCAGGAUCCAGAUCAACAAUUUUAUUGAUUAGGUUUUGACUUCACAUAAUUUUGUAUUUUUAGAUGUUUAAAAUAUCCCUAGUAACAUAUGUUAGAUUAAAAACAAAUUUUAAUAUCUUGAUUUCAUUGCAUAUUAAUAAUAAAAGUAUAUGAUUCUAGGGUUUUCAUUGUUUUAUUUUAUUUUUUUCCUUUUUAAAUUCCUUGGUUGCUUUUCAAAUUUGCAUAAGAUUAAAUAAGAUGUUCUUGACCUCCAAAACAAGGGCUUUGAAAAUGUGGCCCAUCCUGCACCUCCACCAGAGAUAUGGUCAACAUUCGAAAAAGGUUUUAAGGAUUUUAAGUCCAGAAAGGCAAACAUGAAUGAGGUGAUAGAGGGUUUGAAGAGGGUAGAAGUACGAAUGAUUGGGAUUUGUGGAAUGGGGGGCGUGGGUAAAACCACAAUGGUAAAAGAAAUCAUCACAAGAUUGGCAAAACUGAACCUGUUUGAUAAGAUUGUAAUGGCAACUGUGUCUCAAAGUCCAAGUAUUAGGACGAUCCAGUCGGAAAUUGCAGACGAAAUAGGCUUGGAAUUUAAGGUGGAAUCCGAGCCCGGAAGAGCACGAAAGCUACAUGAGAGACUCAUGGAAAUAAAGAGGAUCCUCAUUGUAUUAGAUGAUGUAUGGACAGAGCCUAAUUUUGAGGCUAUAGGGCUUCCUUAUGGAGAUACUCAUAAAGGGUGCAAAAUUUUGUUGACAUCAAGAGAUUCGGAAGUCUGCAACAGGAUGGGAAGUCAACAAAUUAUUGCAGUCCCGACUUUAACAACAGAAGAAUCACAGGAGCUCUUUCGAGAAAUGGUAGGUGAAUCCUUCAAUGAUCCUGAUUUACGUUCCACUGCAGAAGAUGUCGUGAAGGAAUGUGGAGGUUUACCUAUUGCUAUUGUAACUGUUGGAAAAGCCCUAGAAAAGAAAAACAAGCGUGAAUGGGAUGAUGCCCUUAAUCAGCUGCGUAAUUCCAGGCCAGAGAAUAUCCCUGGAGUGAACGACAAAGUUUAUUCUUGCAUAAAAUGGAGUUAUGAUAGAUUAGAGAGUGAUGAAGCCAGGUCAUGUCUUUUACUUUGUUGUUUAUUUCCAGAAGAUUAUGAUAUUUCAAUUGAGUAUUUGGUUCGAUAUGGGUGGGGUCGAGGAUAUUUUAGCAGCAUCGUUACUUUGGAAGAUGCAAGAAAUAGAGUGCAUUCUUUGGUUUACCAACUAAAAAGAAGGUUUUUGUUGCUAGAUAGUUAUGUGAGUGAGGCUACGAAAAUGCACGACGUAGUUCGUGAUGUUGCCAUAUCAAUUGCUUCAAGAGAUCCACAUGGAUUUCUGAUAAGUAAUGCUGAAAAUAAAAGGUGGCCAAAUUUAGCUACAUAUGACCAUUACACUACAAUCUCACUUGUUGGCAAAUUGGAGAUUCCAGUUGGUUUGAAAUGCCCAAAACUUGAGCUUCUACAAAAGAUGAAAGGACGUUUUUCAGAAGGUAGCAUGGACAUCAUUAGUGAUACGAUGAGAGAACUGAAGGUUUUAGCUUUGGUGGAAAUGAAAGACCUAGGCUCAUCAAGACCACUAGGAGUACUGAAGAACCUGCGAACCUUGUGCCUAGAUAGGUCUAAAAUUGAUGGCAUGUCUACUGAUGUUAUUGGGAGUUUAGAGAAUUUAGAAAUCCUCAGCUUUCGUGGUUGUGUUUCCUUGCAUGAGUUGCCGAGGGAAAUUGGACGACUUAAACAGUUAAGGUUGUUAGAUACGACAGAUUGCAGGAAUCUUGAGGUGAUUCCACAUGGUAUCUUCUCCAGCUUAUGUAGACUUGAAGAGUUGUAUAUGCUUAAUAGCUUUACGAAAUGGGAAAUUGGAAGAGGAAGAGAAGAUAAGGGGAUGGCAAGCAUUUCUGAGGUGAUGUCUCUGUCUGAUCAUUUGAAGGUUCUAGCCAUAAAUAUACCCAGUGUCAUCCACUUGUUGCCAAAAGAUAGAGUCUUGAAAAGCCCAACAAUAAGAUUCGGUAUAUGCUUUGGAACUGGGCAAUGCGUUUUUGGAAGAUGACAAUUUAUGCAUUCGAAAAUUGUUUGGUGAUUGAUGAAAGUGAUGCAAAGGAGUUGGAGAGUCAAGCAGUUAGACUUUUGUUGAAAAAAUCUAAAAAAUUGAUUUUGAGCAAUGUUAAGAAUUUCCGUGUCCUCACAUAUUUAGACCAAGAGGGAUUUCAAGAUUUGAAAAUUUUGCUUGUUUUGAAUUGUCCAACUACCGAGUAUCUUGCAAAUGGAACAAGUGUGACCCAGCAAAAACUCUUUCCUCUCAUACAGUCAGUUAGUCAGCUUGCAGAUAGCUUUUUGAGCAACCUAAGAUUCCUAAAAUUGGCAGAUUGUGGUAUCUUAAAAUAUGCAUUUUCACUAUCACUAGCGAGAAACCUGGUACAACUCAAAGAUUUAUAUAUUUAUGAAUGUGAUCAGAUGGAAGAAAUUGUGUCAAAGCAGGGGAAGGAACAUGAGGAGGAAGCCGAUAUGAUAUCUUUCCAUAAAUUAACCAAUUUGAGUCUCUGGGGUCUACCGAGUUUGGUUGGUUUCUUCCAAGCCAACAAGCUAUACUCCAACCAAGAGGUAUGUCCCACUCUCCAAUUUCUAUGAUAUGAGGAGGCAACCAAAUUGUGGAAAUUUGAAAUUGUUACGAAAUGCUUAAGUUGGUGUAUAAUUUUUCUUUAACUGAUAAUGAUUUUUCUUUUUCAGGAAACAACGCCAAGGGUUGAGCAUCAAUCUGCAUGAAUAUUUGAAAAAGCAAUAUUUCCAUCAAAGUGCAUUUCAUGGUUACCAAGUUUAGAAAAGGUAGGAUUUGUUUGGAUUAAAACUUGACUUUGGGCUCAAGAUAGAAGCUGGCCCAAAAGGAGGCCUGAAGGAAUAGAAGAUCAAGGCCCGGCCGAAACCUAGGAAAGCAGAGAAGGGCUUUUUCUGACUUGAUACAAUUCAUAAGGACCACUUCCUUACCUACCCAAGGACCAAGUGGUAUAGACUGACCAGACUGCACAGCCCAUAAAGUACUUUAUGGUGGCAUUACAUGUAAAAAAGCUGAUGAGUCAUUACCCUCAAACUGCAUUCGGGCAAGGCUGCUGCUACAGGAGGCCAAACCAAGUUGUCUAUAAAAGGAGGAAGAGAAGACAAGAAUAAGGACACUCAAUCAAACAAACAAAUACAAGCCCAAACUCUGCUCAAAAACCAUAUUUGCCUUCAAAACGAAGCUGUAGUCAGCCCAAGCCUUCAUCCCAUUCGGGACAAGCCUUUAUCCCCCGCGGGAUAACCUUCUCUUCAAACCUUUGUAAUAGCUCUGCUACCUUGUUCGAACUUGUUGUAGUAUCGAUUCACUUUUUGUAUCUCCCUCUCCCCCCUCUCUCCCUCUAAGCUUUCAGACCUUUGACAAAACUACAAAGAUAAGGACCUGUAAGACGAUCAGCCUUAACUGAUAAGGUUUAACCUUGCCCGACCUUCUUUGCUUUGUCUUUGUCUUUUCAUUCUUUAAAGCCUAGCAAUAUGUUGUAUACUUCCAGUUAUAUGCAAGUUGUUUCUAGCAAAAUAAUGAUGAAAAGGCUUUCUCAGUAUUUGGAUCCGAUUUGAAUAUAUCUUCAGUGCUCAAAUCAGAUCCAAGUCCUAAGCCCUCGGGCAUGUAAAUCUGAUCAGUUUAAAAGUCCUUAGCCUCAAGGCAUAAAAAAGAACUUUAUGUGGACUUAACCCAUCCACGACAGUCCUUGAUAAACGAGAAGUCCGAAGUUACUUGGGGCGCAAGUAAUCGACCUACCUCUUGGUUUUGUUUCUAUUAUAUUAUGAUUAUCAUAGAACGCUUAAAUAUGGAAUAGAUUCUGAUAGGAAGCCUCAAGGCCUACACCUAAGGCCCCACAAAGGCACCUAUUUGGAUUCAUUCUAUUCUGCGGUCUAGACUGUUCGAAGAACGAACUCUAAUGGGAAGCCUCAAGGCCUACACCUAAGGCCCCACAAAAGCACCCAUUUGGGUUCGCUCUACCUCUCGGACUCGGGUAAUCAGAAGUAUAAUGGUGAGAAGACUUCUGCAAUCAUAAAGAUCAAAUAUGAUGUGUUCGAGCACUGGUUUAGUUUGAGAGAAAGCCUCAAGGCUUACACCUAAGGCCCCACAAAGGCACAUGUCAUGUCUAAACACGGUUUCUUGGGCAUAUACAUAUUCACAACUAAAACUCGACAUCCAUUCGACAUCUACCAUACUGAAGAUGGCAGUGGCACGCCUGAGCACCUCAAAAGUUAAUCUUGAUUGUGAGCCUCAAGGCCUAUACCUAAGGCCCCACAAAGGCACCUUUCAAAUUAACUCUGUCAUUCUCUUUCAGCACUGCCCGACGAGCCUUGCCCGAAGAGUCUUGCCCGAUCAAGACUUGCCCGACAAAGCCCGAUAGGAAAGCAGAAGCCCGACAGCAGCCCUCAACCGGCGCCAACCUCCCGGGGAGCUGUGUGCUUGUUGGCCAGGAAGACAUCCCCGACGGAAAUUCCUGCGACGAACAGGAUUGACAUAUAUUAUGAUGUUUGACGGCGUGAUAUUUGAUCUUAAAAUCCACAUAGUUACGGAUGGGCAGACAACUCCAAUAUUUCCUCAGUUACGUGAGUUGGCAAUAAGGAGUUGUUCAUUUACACACUUGUGGAAAAACAUUCCAUUUGGAUUUCAGGGUUUCCAAAAUUUGAGAUAUUUGAAAUUAAGAUAUUGUUAUGGUCCAGAAUAUGUGUUCUCGCAUUUAAUUGCCCGGGAACUUUUGAAUCUUGAAGAGGUAAAGAUAUCAAAAUGUUCGGACAUGGAAACUAUAGUCAGAAUCACAGAGGAAAUUGAAGAAGAGGCGACAAAAUACAUGAUUUUGUUUCCGAGACUGAACAGAUUUGAACUAGUAGACCUGCCUCGUCUCACAAGUUUUUGUCCAGAGGGAUUUACAUUUCAAUGGUCAUCCACAAAAGAUAUGCACGUGGAAAAAUGUGAAAAAUUGAAGACAUUGGGUGCUGUAAUUCCACAAAGAAAGAAGUUGGAGAAUUAUAAGUCUGAGAAGGAUUCAACAAGUCAUGAUUUCAGUACUUCUCCAACACGUUCAUCCAAUUGGUGCCCUGCUGGAUGUGUAUGCAUACCAUAUUUAAGAGCAAACGCCCACUGCUCCAUUGAAAUAUUGCCACAUCCAAUUAAUUUGGAGGUAAGCUUUUAAAUUAGGUUCAAUUAACCUCUAUAAGUACAACUUUUAAUUAGUAUUGUAUCUUGUUGUUGAUCAUGUUUAAUUUUCUAGGUUACACCAACUAAUCUUGGGGACUCAAAUGAUAAUGAUAAUCUCGAAAAUCUUAUUGUACAUGACUGUGCGUCAUUGGAAGUGAUUUUCCAACUCAAGGGACCGAAGCAUGAAGAAAGUAGUCACUCUGUUGAAGCAUUCAAUAAAUUGAGGUCCUUGCGGUUACAUAAGCUCUAAGUUUAACGUGUGUUUGGGAGACAGGUAGUUCACAGCCGAUGUUCACAGGAAGCAGUUUUGGAAACUUGAAAUCGCUGCAGGUCGAUUUUUGCAACCAGUUGAAAUACUUGUUUUCGUCGUUCAUAGUCAAACUCCUUGUGAGUAUAGAGGAAGUAGAAGUUAAGAAGUGUGAGCAGAUGAAAGAAAUCGUUGCCGCAGAAGAAGAAACUGAUGAAAUAAUUACAUUACCUAAAGUGAAGUCCAUCAAGCUUCAAAGUCUGCCAAAACUCAAUUAUUUUUGUGGUGAUGCUUAUACUUUGAAGUUGUCGUCUUUGGAGUUACUGGAGGUUAAGAAGGUCCAAAACUUAAGGCGAUUUGCUCCUAAGCUUGUUGACACACAUCCCCGAUUGCAAGUACGCACAGCGUUGGGAGUGGCUGAAUGGAAGGAGGACCUCAAUGCCACUCUAAGGAAUAUUUACGACACAAGGUAUGCUUUAAUGUAAGGUUUUUAAUUUUCAGUCAUUUAUGUGCGUAUUUAAUGUAAGAAUGCGAGCUGGAUGGAUGAAGUGUAAGAAUGCAUCCGGCGUAUUGUGUGACCGUCGUAGGCCACUGAAGCUCAAGGGAAAAUUUUAUAGGACGGCAAUAAGGCCGCGAUGUUGUAUGACACAGAAUGUUGGGCGGUGAAGCAUCAACACGUACACAAAAUGGGUGUAGCGGAGAUGAGGAUGCUUCGUGGGAUGUGUGGGCACACGAGAAAGGAUAAGAUUGGGAAUGAGGAUAUCCGAGGUAAAGUAGGAGUAGCCGAAAUUGUAGGAAAGAUGAGAGAAAAUCGGCUCCGGUGAUUUGGACAUGUGCAAAGAAGGCCGAAUGACGCUCCGGUUCGAAGAUGUGACUACGGGACAGAGGUUCAGGGCCGAAGGGGCAGAGGAAGACCUAGGAAAACUUUGGAAGAGACUCUAAGAAAAGACUAAGAGUACUUGGAUCUAACGGAGGACAUGACACAAAACCGAGCGCAAUGGCGUUCUAGGAUUCAUAUAGCCGACCCCACUUAGUGGGAAAAGGCUUUGUUGUUGUUGUUGUUGUUGUAUGUGCGUAUUUAAAGAUGUUUUUUUUUUUAAAACAUCUAUCUUUUAAUUCUUGAUGUAUACGUGGGAUUUCUAAAGUUUUUACAAAAGACUGAAUAAUAGCGUACAUAUAUUAAUGUAUAUGUGUGUGUAUAUGCGAGUAUGUGCACACUAAGGUGUGUGUGUGCCUAUAUAUAUAUAUUUUUUUUUAACUCAAUUGUAUCUCAAGAAAACAUCGUCUUUUAUUUCUAAUACAGUAAGGAUGAAGAUGACGAACUCGACAGUGAGGAUGAAGAUGACGAACUCGACAGUGAGGAUGAAGAUGACGAAAUCAACGGCGAGGAUGAAGAUGACGAAAUCGACAAUGAGGAUGAAGAUGAGGAAAUCGACGGCGAGGAUGACGAUGACAAAAUCGACGGCAAUGAUGAAGAUGACGAAAUGAACAGGGACGACGAACACAAUUGAUUGAUCAAGCACAAAGAUUAGCAUGUUUCCAUCUCCAACUUCUUCUAGGUUUAGUAAAAACUGAUGAAAAUUGUCUAUAUAGUACUCAAAAAAAUAUUCUACCAUGUUUUAUAUAAUAUAUACAUACAUUUAUAGCACUUAAAAAAAUUUAACAGUUUGGAUCUAAAACCAGAAUCUGCUACCUGUUUCAUUUUUUCGAGGUACCUAAUAGCAAUUAAGGACCUUUGUCAGACACGUAUACAAUAAACAUAACCCUAGUGCUAAGUGGCUUAAAAAUUAAUUUAGUCCUUAAACCGCUAUUUUUGGAAACACAUACAACAAGCACAAGCGUUUCAACUUAUUCCAAUUUCAGUGAUUUCUAAUAUUCUCCAAUGCAUGCAGGAAAAGAGUUUAAAGAACGUUGUGGCUACAGCAAUUCGUUUACUAUAUCAUAUGUACAAACCAAUAAAAGGACAUUUGUUGCACCCUAAUUUCAUUCCAAAAAUACUAUUUAUGUUGCUUAUUUUAUGUACCAUAAAUUCCAAUUGCGAUUAUUACUGUUUGUUUCUAAAUUCGCAUCAUUAGUGUUUGCUUAUUUGUGCUCGAUGUUGAUUAUAUUCUUGCAUUUCCAUUCAUAAUGAUAAUUUGGAAGUCUUGUCUCUAGCUAACUAAUAUUUGCAUUUCAAUUGAUAAUGAAAAUUCUAUGAUACCAUACAAGUGUUAGCUGAAUGACAUGUCUGUAGGAUGGAAAGCUGAAUAUACUGUAAUAUUGAUCACACACAUAUAAACUGAACAAUAUUAUGAUACACUAGCUAGCCGUAACUAAUGAAAGCUGAAUAAUAUGAUCACACACUAUAAAGUCCGCUAUUAUAGAAACUAACUUGGGGAUUGGAUAAGGGACGGCAAUAUUGGCCCAAUUCCGGCGAUAUUGGCCCGAAAACCCUGGGUCACCGUGUCUUAGAUUUGAAGUUGAGGAAAAUCGCCUACGAAUUUAUAGAAACUAACUUGGGGAUUGGAUAAGGGACGGCAAGAGCAUUCUGGAUGUGUAGUUUGAGAGCCUUUGGUGACCAGUGGACGACAGAGCUGUUGCGUCGGCACUCGGCAGUCGUCGGCUUGCUGUUAAAUGGGGCUCCUGUUGCAGCGCAAAAGAGAAGAAGGAAAGAGGAUACGGGAGGAGAGAAAAUGGGUUUCACCCACUUUGUACAUUAAUUCUUUUCCACAUUUUUUAUGGAAUAAACGACAUUAUCUAUCAUCAAAAGUGCGUUUGGUACGUGAGAUGAGACGGAACAUGUUUUGAUGAUAAUAAUGGUUAGAAGUAAUAUAGUUCAAAUUCAUCUUUGAUGAUAAUCGAAUAUAAAAUCCCUUACUUACAAGUUACAAAUAAAGAUGAAUGCCAUUAAUUUUUUUUCCACUUUUAAUACAUACCUAAAUAAAAAGAAACAAAAUGAAAAUGAAAAGAAAUAAUAAUUUGAAAGAGAAAUGAAAAAUAAAGGUAAAUUGACAGCAUAAGGUAACCCCACUACCCCGCUGCUGCCCGCAAGUUCUUUCCUCGCCCCUGUUUCUACGUCCAAUUAAUCUGUAGAAACUAACUUGGGAGUUGGAAAGAGAACGGAAAGAGGAGUCUGGAUAUGUAAUUUGACGGCCGUUGGUGACCCGUGGACGAAAAUAAACUUCAUGCGAAAACAAGACCAGAUUGAGGUAAGAAAGAAAAAUACAUAGGCAGAAAUAACAUGUCAGUCGGGCAAGACAAGUAAUUGCAACCAUAACACAACACAAUGAAGAAACAUACCACGAGGAUUUUGAACAAACAUAAUGAAGUGUAACCAAGAGCAUACAAAUAUCAAAAAUAUAGAAAAGAAUGCUAUACAAUCACUAUAAGUGAUUGCAAAGGCCAUCUUUCCUCGCCCCUGUUUCUACGUCCAAUUAAUUAAUCUGGAGGUAAGCUUUUAAAUCAGGUUGAAUUAACCUCUAUAAGUACAUCUUUUAAUUAGUAUUGUAUCAUCUUGUUGAUCGUGUUUAAAUUUCUAGGUUACACAACCUAAUCUUGAGGACUCAAAUGAUGAUGAUAAUCUCGAAAAUCUUACUCUAAUUAACUGUAAUUCAAUGGAAGUCACAUAAAAUUAUCAGAUUCCACAAUAGUAUUGGAAAUAACCUUUAGUCCUUAAACAGCUAUUUUCAGAAACACACAUUUCAGUGAUUUCUAAUAUUUUCCAAUGCAUGCAGGAGUUUCCCGAAAGAAAAAAAGAAGGUUGUGGCUUCGGCUAUUCGCUUACUUUCAUAUGUACAAACCAAUAAAAGGUCAUUUGUUGUACCAGAAUUUCAUUCCAAAGAUACAGUUUCCGUUGCUUACUAUAUGUAUAAUUAAUUUCGAUUGCGAUUAUUACUGUUUGAAUUCAUCUCUCGACUGCCUAUGGGGACGUCAAGGUGGACACCAAAAUGGAGGCGUGAUGACCUGCAUCCGGAAAGUGACGUAGCCAUAACGUGCAUGCAAAUAUAAUUUAAUAAAAUAACUUCAAAUGAUCUACGGAAAAAUCGGCAUAGUUUCCUUUGGAAUUAGGUUUUGGCCCCCAAAUUUAAAACCUGCUGAAAAAGUUAUAAUUAUUUCAAAACCACAUCCCCGACACCUAAUGGGUUAUCAACCCUCUACUACAUGCACGUAUACUCCAAUAUACUUACUGGUGGUAUAGCAUACAAUUUCAUACACCAGUGAUAACUAGUGUAAGCUGAAAAUUUAACCAUACACGCUAGUGUAAACUGAAGAUAAAACCAUACAUUAGCUGUAGCUAGUGUAAACUGAAAAAUAUAAUCAUACACUAGCCGUAGCUAGUGUAAGCUGAAUGGGCAUGCUCAUAGUAGGGACAAGAUGACUAUACUGUAGUAUAAAUCAUAAACGUGUAAGCUAAAUAAAAUUAUCAUACACUAUAAGGUCUGGUAUUAAUUCAUAAAAUCUAUUCUUCCCCUAAACGUAACGGAAAUCAUAUGUAUCUAGGCAUGCUUAAUAUUUGAUAAAGAAAAACAUUUCUGAAUAAAUGUCCACUGACACCUCCGGCUAGCUCUCCCUUGAGGAGCCUUGUCUACCAAAAAGGUAAUUUCAAGCAACUUCAAGAGAUAAUUUGACCACGUUGCGAAAGUAUGACACCAAACGGUUGAGACCCAGAAGACAUCCAAGAGUUUUUGGAGAAACAGAACGCUCACUGAAGAUAUGUGUUCUAUUUCUAUAGCACGUUUACCCCAAACAAAACACAGGUUAUGGAAAGGAAAAUAACAUUAAGAAAUGCAAAAGAUUGGGGAGAUGAGAAAGAAGUAGUCUCUGGUCCUGGAAAUAAUGCAUACAAUAUUGCUCUACCAAUUAAACCAAAUCUUAUGACUCUAGUGACAAGCUAGAGAGCCACAAAAACCCCAAGUCCUUGCAGGGAACCCAAAACCAAAGCAAACUACCGAAAUGAACCCGAUUCGAGCCAAGAAAUGACAAAUGCUUAUGUAAAAAUAAAUUAAUCAAAUCAAACAAGAAAUGACAAACCCCGAUUCUAGUUGAAUACAACUAGAAUAAACAAGGAAUCAGGCUAUGCAAUUUCCUACCACAUUUUCACAUCAACGUCAUUGUUAGGGGUUUCAACAACUUCACAGAAUGACCACAAAUCUCAUCUCCGGCAUUCAGACAGAAAAAUCGAAUAAAAGUUCGAAAUUAAGAAUCGAUCCCAAAUCUCAUUUUUACCUCUUGGUUCGAGGUCCAAUUCCUGCGAUAUUUGGCCGGAAGUUUGCCGGAAAACCCGUGGUCACCGUUUCUUUUGAUCUGAAAUUGAGGAAAUGCCGCUUCGAAUUUGUAGAAACUGACUUGGGGGUUGGAAAGAGGACGGGAAGAGAGAAUUCUGGAUGUGUAAUUUGACGGCCGUUGGUGACCGAUGUUAGCAGACGUCGCUGUUGCAAUUACAUCAAACCUUCAACUCCACCACUUCAUCUUCUUCGUCAAGACCUAGAUGGACGACAACGUCGUACACAGAGUCUUCCAAGAAGGAGGCCAUGGCUAUUUCCAACAAUGACCCUCCACUUUCUCUUCCUCCGACGUCGUUUCAUUGAUUUUGAGAUCUGGGUUUUGUUUGCGGUGUGAGGUAUUUUAAAAUCUGGCAUCGUGGAGCUUGCUGGAGAAGAAGAUGUGGGCUGAUAUUGUUCGAAUUCAGGGACCCCCAACUCGAAUUGUAAAGCUUGGUUAUGGUUUUGGGAAGGGGUGUGGGCUGGCGAGCGCUGUAAUGAGAACCGAGUCGUCCGAAUCCAAGCAUUUCUUCUUCAAUCCCGAUUCUUCCCAAAGAACCACAACUAAGGUCGACACAAUCCCACCGUUGGAUAGGAGCUGCACCCAAUUCCUUUGCCCACCCUCUUUGAAAUCGGUAUCGCCGCGUCGCUUCUUGCCUUCCCGGACCUUGGUCAGCUUCGACAAUGUAAAGAACACCCGCAACAGAGCUCCACCAUGGCCAGGUGGGUGGGAAGAACAAGCGAGAGAAGAAACGACAUUUUUCGUUUUUCAUUUUUUUUCUUAAUUUUUUUAAUAUUUAAUUAUUUUUAUUUGCCACGUCAUACAAAGAUGUGGACUCUAUAUUUACUAUGUCAACAUUUAAAGGUCAAAUUAACGGUUUGAUUGACGGAUAUAUGAAAUUGAAAUAAAUUAUUAGUAAUUAUAUGAGUUUGAAAUAUUUAUAAAUGUUGUAUGAGGUUCUAAUUGCAUUUUUGAUAUGAGUAAUUAUAUGAGUAAUUAUAUGAGCAGAUGUGAUAAAAUGUAAUUUAACCUAAAAAUAAAAUGAAAAAUAAAAAAUAAAGGUAAACUGAAAGCAUAGUUAAUCACCCAUAAUAAUAGGUAACAUUAUCAUAUUGCCCUUUGUUGAUGCACAAAACCGGAGGUUUUGGAACAACGUAAAUCCGACCGUGAAUCUACAUAAAAUGUAAAUAACACAAGAGUUAUCGUGGUUCACCCCAAUGUUUGGGCUACGUCCACACUGAUUGUAUUAUAUUUCUCUGAGAAGUGAGGGGGAGAGAGAGCUCUAGAAGUGAGAGCGUUGAAAGGGGUGAGAAGGCUCCAGAAAUGGCCUCUAAGAGUGAGAGUGAGGCCUCCCUUAAUUGUUAGGGUGAGGAGUCCUUUUAUAGAAUAAGGGCUCCUCACUUAUUACAUAUUUGCCCCUUCCUUUAUCACAUAAUUAUAUUUAAGUCCCCCGAGUAUUUCUACGAUAUCUAAAUACGAGGCCCUAAAUAUGGUAUAAACAGUAGUCCCCUAAGUCUUCAGUCAAGAGAGUCUUUUGGCUGGAGACUUGAAAUUCAGUCCAUGUGUGGGCCGAAGUAACUAGAUGUCGUCUUGAACUGGUACUUGAUAUGAGGCGGUGCUCAAAGUGAAAUGAUGCUCAACUAUAAGUAGCACAUGUAGCGAGGCUGCUCGGCUUGUGGCUUAUGUUGCCUUAGUUAGCUCGGCUUGUGGCGCUUGAAGGUGAGGGGGUCCCUUUUAUAGAAUAAGGGCUCGCUCCUCAAUACAUAAAUGAUGGGCUAGAGUUGAUGCUCGCGGCGAGGCAGUUGCUCAGUAGGCGGCGAUGCUCUCUAAUGGUGGUGAGUGGAUCCUUUUUAUAGAAUAAGAGCUCGUUCCUCAAUACAUAAGUGAUGGGUUAGGAGUAAUGCUCGCGGCGAGGCGGUUGCUCAGCUAGCGGCGUUGCUCUCUAAUGAAGGUGAGGGAGUCCCUUUUAUAGAAUAAGGGCUCGCUCCUCAAUACAUAAGUGAUGGGCUAGGAGUGAUGUUUGCGGCAAGGCGGUUGCUCAGCUGGCGGCGUUGCUCUCUAAUGAAGGUGAGGGAGUCCCUUUUAUAAAAUAAGGGCUCGUUCCUCAGUACAUGAAUAAUGGGUGCUCUCUAAUGAAAGUGAGGGAGUCCCUUUUAUAGAAUAAGGGCUCGCUCCUUAAUACAUAAAUAAUGGGCUAAGUCCCCCAAAUAUUUUUCAUGAGGCCCAAUAUAUGGUACAUAAUGUAGUCCCCCAAGUCUUCGGUCAAUAGAGUCUGUUGGCUGGAGACUUCAAAUUGAAUCCAUGUAUGGGCCGAAGUGGUGGUUGUUCGGAGGCGGUAUUUGUAUACCCUGCACUGAAGCUUUGUAGGUGAAGCUUUGCAAGUGAAGCUUUGAAGCUAGAGCUCUGUAAAUGAAGCUUUCGAAGCUGGAGCUUUUAUAAAUGAAGCUUUUGAAGCUAGAGCUCUGUAAAUGAAGCUUUUGAAGUUGAUUGACAUGAGUGAUGCUCAUGAAUGUUUAUGUUGAUUGACAUGAGUGAUGCUCAUGAAUGUUGUCAUGAGUGAUGCUCAUGAAUGUUAACAUGAGUGAUGCUCAUGAAUGUUGACAUGAAUGAUGGUCAUGAAUGUUUAUGUAUGAUUGUCAUGAGUGAUGCUCAUGAAUGUUUAUGUAUGAAUGACAUGAGUAAUGCUCAUGUAUAAUUUGGAAUACUGGGCGUACUUUUGAUCACCUAGUUGGUGGCAUGAAGAAGAGUAGGGGUUGUACAUUUCAUCACCUGGUUGGUGGCAUGAAUGGCUAGUUGCCAAAUGAUAUUAGAGUACGGGUUGUACAUUUCAUCACCUGGUUGGUGGUAAAAGCGGCAGGUUGCCGAAUAAUUUUGGAGUACUGGGCGUACUUUUGAUCACCUGGUUGGUGGUAAUAGCGGCAGGUUGUCGAAUAAUUGUGGAGUACUGGACGUACUUUUGAUCGCCUGGUUGGAGCUAUUUUGGGCUUAUGGGCCUUCGCCCUUUACACAACAUUCCAGCCCAUUUAUUUUGGGCUUUGUCGUUUUUUUUUUUUUUUUUUAUACCCUCUGAUGGGGUUUAUACAGAUGUCUUCGAAAGAUAAGAAAAAUAAAUUACAUCAUACAAGAAAAGGAAAUCACUAGCAGGGUGUUUUAUUCCUUGAUUUUGCUUUCUCUUUUGCUUUCGCUUUCUUGGAUGACCGCUCUUUUUAGGAAUAAUGGUGCUCGGUGUCUUGUCAAUCCAACGUCCCAAGGUACUGACAUAAGGAGAUGCUGGGACCUUGUAAUGGGAUGGUAACAGCUUGACAUCAUUAGACAUCUGAAUUCCUUUAUCAUCGUGGUCGCGGGACCACUUUGCAGCUGUGUGUUUAAAGAAACCUGCUUUACCUUUACUGCUUUUGUUUCUGUUUCUUUUGACAAGCUGAUGGACGGACAGGAUGGCAUGGGUCGGAUUUAGCACAUGCGAAAAGUUAUUCCUUUUGUCCAAGUGGGUUGUUGAAGAUAACCCAUUACUGCAUUAUUCUCAGGGCUGUGAUGAUGAUGCAGUUGAAGAUUGUGCAGAGAUACGGAAGACCAAGAAGAAGACUUGGCUCUCAGCUUUGUACGAAAUGGGAUUAUCACUGCAAUACGCAAGCUUUGCAGUAGAAACAUAUAAAACUCCCAUGACUGGACUGAUGUGGACAAGUAACAUGCAAAUGAAUUUUGAAGUUGCUCCUCGGGAGUUGUCUUAAAGGUUGAUCGAAAAAUCUUCUCGUAACCACCUUCUGCUAGAACCUUUGUUCCUAGUGCAAUUCUUCCCAUGGCAGCAUCAGCAAAACUGGGGCUUGUUUUUAAGAGCUGCCACGUGUUUCCGGCGAGGUCCUCCGCCUUCUUCGUAGGUUCCCCCACCGACUUCCUCCACCUCCCAAACACGUUCCGCACAGUCUCCACCGAAUCUUUGAAUGAGAGAGAUUGUGAGAGCGUCGGGGAGGGAGCCACGUAAGUAUUGGAUCCCUGAUGGGAAGACUGAUCCGACGUGGCAGCGUGCGACUUAGACAUCAAUUCUGGGUUGGUGCUUCUUCACGCUGUUUACGAACCUAUUGGAGCCAUCCCUCUUCUUCGCCACCACUCGCUGGACGGAGCACGGUCAAGGACUUGCCGAUAUUCUCCUUCCCGCUUCCAUUGUCUCAUCUCAGAUUCAUUCUUCUUUGCUGCCAAAGCAGCUUGUAUGCCUUGCUCAUGCUUCAUACUUGUGUACAUCUGAAGAUGGUUUUUAACGUGUGAUAUGUUAAGGCCCUUCACAUUCAUGGUCUGUAAAACCAUCUUUGGAGUGGCUCUUUGAUCUCCGCCAAGCCUUUCAACCGAGUAGAUGACGACGGGGAUGAUUUCGACAAGCUGCCGAUCAUCUGACGAUGACUGGCGCGGGCCGGAAAAUGAUGGUGGUAGCCGUGGACGACUAGAUGCUUCCCUUGAGCUGUGCUUCUAUUAGGAGUAACACCAUCAUCGUCGUCAAAUGAUGACGAGUGGGGUUUCUGACCACCUGCUCCGAGUAGCUCUCUCCGUGUGUAGAUUCCCGCUCAUGUGAUGACUGGGGACCAUCGAAGCCGGCGGCGGCGGGUACCUCAGAUUAUCCGUGGAUUUUUUAGAGAGGUUGAAAAGACAGGGAUUUGAGGAGAGAGAGAGAGAGUCCUCAUUUCGCUAUCUUGAGCUCUAAAAUCCAUGGAUUUUUUUAUAUUAGUUUGUAAGAAAAAUGAGAGAUAGAAACAGCAUCUUCAGCAUGACUGCUUGAACAUCUCUAUGGUUUUAGAGAGAGAGAGAGAGUGGUGUUCUUGGUUUUUUGUGAUUUUUGCAGAUUCACAGUGGAGGUGAAAAAAAUGAAAGAGAACCGACACAACUUUUCGUAUCGAUUCCCACAGACGGCGCCAAAUGUUGAUGCACAAAACCGGAGGUUUUGGAACAACGUAAAUCCGACCGUGAAUCUACAUAAAAUGUAAAUAACACAAGAGUUAUCGUGGUUCACCCCAAUGUUUGGGCUACGUCCACACUGAUUGUAUUAUAUUUCUCUGAGAAGUGAGGGGGAGAGAGAGCUCUAGAAGUGAGAGCGUUGAAAGGGGUGAGAAGGCUCCAGAAAUGGCCUCUGAGAGUGAGAGUGAGGCCUCCCCUAAUUGUUAGGGUGAGGAGUCCUUUUAUAGAAUAAGGGCUCCUCACUUAUUACAUAUUUGCCCCUUCCUUUAUCACAUAAUUAUAUUUAAGUCCCCCGAGUAUUUGUACGAUAUCUAAAUACGAGGCCCUAAAUAUGGUAUAAACACCCUUAUACAUUUUUGAUAUGAUAUUGCCCUUAUACUCUAUAGUUAUGUAUAAGCUCUAUUUUAACUUUGAAUUUUGUUUUGCUUGCGCUUACUCUUAAGUAUUAACAAAUACUACAAAAAAAUGUUGUGAUAAUACGGCAUAUGUGUCACUAGCUCAAAGGUUAACCGAAGUCAACACUUUCUCUUCUAAAGACAUUUUCGUAUAUAAGUGAUUAGUGACUACAAGAUUGUUCUUUAACUAGAUUUCUCGUAUUUCAUAUGAGUAUACGCAUUCUACUAUAUACUGAUGAAAUUGAGGUUCCAUCAUGAAACCAAUUGGCAAUAUGAGGGGUAGCCCGAUACCUUUGAGUUCAGAUGGAUUGUAAAAGUAAUGACUACUAGAUUGUUCUUUUACUAGAUUUCUCGUAUUUCAUAUGAGUUUACGCAUUCUACUAUAUACUGAUGAAAUUGAGGUCCACUAUAAAAUCAAUUGGCAAUAUGAGGAGUAGCCUAAGAUCAUAUAAGCACAUAGCAAACAUUAUCCCUCACCGAUGUGGGACAACUCUCAACACACCCCCGCAUGUGUGGCUGAUAACUCUCAACACACCAUCGCACGUGUGACGGAUUUUCAAGCCUACACGUGGACAACAACUGGGUGACGUGGAGCGAGUGUGGCCGUUGGGCUUCACACAUGGACAACCUUGCUGUGAUACCAUGAUGAAAUUGAGAUUCCACCAUAAAACCAAUUAGCAAUAUGGGGAGUAACCCAAGAUCAUACAAGUACAUAACAAACAUUGUCCCUCACUGAUGUGGGACAACUCUCAACAUGCCCCGCACAUGUGACGGAUAAGUCUCAACAUAUACGUGAUCUGCCUAAUUCGGCAUUCCAGUAAGAAGCAAAAUGAUAAGAACAAUCGUGACAAUUACAUGAAAAGAAAGAAGCUAAUUAGCAAGUAAUCAUUCGAAUAAGCUGAACUCUCGGAAACAGGAACCUAAACACCACCAAGAUGGUAUCUGUUGUAACAUGCCCAUAGUAAGAUCAUAGUUUGAAGUAAACCACAUCAAAAGUGAGAGAGCGACUCCAGAAAACAAUUAUAGUCAUGUGCUUGCACUUCAAUGCAGAAACAGAAUAAAAUAAAAUCCUAGAGUUUUCAGACCAUCAUUAAACACCCAAGCAGAAGAAACAUUCACAAUCUAGCAAAUGGGUGUUCAUAAUUUCAAGCAGAAACACCAAAAAUCAAAGAAAAUAAUGAAUAUUAAAUUCAGAAUUUUUUUGUACUCAUGUAUCUCCCUUGAUCUUGAACCAAGUCUCAGCGCAUUGCUUAUGCGCAACACCCAAAUCCCCCUUGCAAAAACACCCCAAGUCAAUUGGGACCCCAGAGGCAGAGUCGGUCCUACCACCUCCCUCCAAACCCAAGUUGCAAAUCCUGCAGUUGUUUUCAACUUUACUCAAAUGCACCACCUUCUUCACCUCCAAAAGCCCACUCUCCAAAUCCACCUCAUUCACUGAACAAUCCGACCCACAGGACUUUCUCCAGACAUUGCUGGAGUCAGACAUUGAGUGCCAAGACUGGUUAUCAUCGGAGUCAUCCGAGACCGACGCACCGCUGUCUCCUGUGAUCGAACGAUGGUGGUCGGUUUUCUCGGGAGCUGACAUUCGUGAAACCCGGACAGAGAAAUGGCGUGAAAUGGUGAAGUGUUAAAGUUGCGGCACUCGGACAUCAAACAUGGUGGGGUUAUGGAGUAGGUGGAGAUGUUUUUAAUAUAUCCUCAAUCAAAAUAUCAAAGUCUCCAUCCUCCCUCGAUCACUAUCUUUAUUUAUGUGUCAGUUUCGAACAAUGACUAAGGGUGCAUUUGUUGUACUGGACUGUCUCGGAUUGGACUAACUUCAAGGGCUAAGCUGGACUGAUUUAGUGAAGUAUUUGGUGCAGUGUCGGACUAAAAAGCAUGACUCAUGUAUUAUAUUAUUAAAUUUAUAUUUACAAUAUUUUAUCAUUAAUUUAAUCUAUAUAUACUAAUAUUUUAUUAUUAAAUUAUCAUUUUCCCUUCUAGAAUCUCUUAAUUUUGUGUCCGCCCACUACAUCCUCUCAUCUUUCCCUGCCAUUUCAUAUUCCUCUCAUUUUUUUGUCCACCCACUGCAUCCUUUCCCUCUCUUAUUUCUCUGCCAUUUCAUCUCCCUCUCUCAUUUUUUUUGUCCGCCCACUGCAUCCAUCCCCUCUCCUUUUUCUCUGCCAUUUUAUCUGUGCCACUGUCUCUUUCCUCUUUCCCUUUUCUGGGUUCAAUUUUUCUGGGUUUUCUGGUUAUGGGAAGCAGGGAAAAAGGAGAUGUGAGGGGCAAAGCGGAGUAGAGGUAGCAAUGGAAGAGGUCAAGGAGGAUGGAGCCUGAAGUCAUUGCUGUUGAAAAUUGAAGUCUAGGAGGAAAGAGUCCAAUCGGAGGGCACGACUGAUGAGCUUGGUAUGAGCAGGGUGCGACCGAUGAAGCUCUUGAGUUCUCCGAUUGAAGUUCGAAUCAAGGUCUUUGUUCAUGAUUUAGGGUUGGUAAUGAAAAGAGAGGGAGAGAACGCGAGCAAAGAGAAGAGUAAGGGACGCAAGCAGAGGGCGACGAAGGGAUUAGCUAGUCCUAUGGUUCUCGACGUCUCUCUCUAAGACCGUCUAGCACGGUCCUUAGUCGAGGCAAGUCUGGCUUACUCCCACUAAAGCUAGUCUUGUGAAGUAACAAACAUGAGACUGGACUAACUAUUACUCUAGUCUAGUCCAAAGAGGGCUAGUGAAGGGAAACAAACAUGGCAUUAGCGAACAAGAGAAUGAGGAGUUCCGAAGCAAAUGCGAAUUAUGAGGAUGGUGGGUGGGGGCAGACUGCUCCGAUCAGAGAUAUUUGUAGGAUUACAAUAAAAGACUUGCAAUCUUUUAAGGCUGCCAGUUGUGUUACACUCACAGUCAGACACAUAUACACAGAGACAAAACACGAGUUAGACUUCCAAAAGACUUUGAGUUAGAGUUAGUAAAUUUAUGUAGGAUGGUUCGAGAUUUCAAAUUGAAAAUGAGAUUUCUACUUUUUAAUUUUAAUCUUAAUGUUCAUCUUAAAUUGCCACUUAGUACUACAAUUUAGUGAUAUUUCUCUUCAUUUGUAAGUAAGAGGUCUUAAGUUCAAUUAUAAUCAAAAGCGAAUUUAAACCAAAUUAUUGCUAGCACAUUGUAAGGGUGAGUUCAUCCCUUUUUUUUUAGUGAAACCCAGACAGAGAAAUGGCUUGAAAUGGUGAAGUUUUAAAGUUGCGGCACUCAUACAUUAAACAUGAUGGGGUUAUGGAGUAGGUGGAGAUGUUUUUAAUAUAUCCUCAAUCAAAAUAUCAAAGUCUCCCUCCUCCCUCGAUCACUGUCUUUAUUUAUGUGUCAGUUUCGAACAGUGGCUUUAGUGAACGAGAGAGGAAGGAGUUCCGAGCAAAUGCGAAUUAUGAGGAUGGUGGUGGGGGCAAACUGCUCCGAUCAGAGAUAUAUUUGUAGGACCACAAUAAAAGACUUGCAAUCUUUUAAGGCUGCCAGUUGUGUUACACUCACAGACAGAGACAAAACACGAGCUAGACUUCCAAAAGACUUUGAGUUAGAGUUAGUAAAUUUACGUAGGAUGGUUCUGUAUGAGAUUUCAAAUUGAAAAUGAGAUUUCUACUUUUUAAUUUAGACGAUCUGCACCAAAAAUUCUGAUCUCAAUGUUUAUCUUAAAUUGCUACUUAAUACUACAAUUUAGUGAUAUUUCUCUUCAUUUGUAAGUAAGAGGUCUUAAGUUCAAUUCUCGUCAAAAACGAAUUUAAACCAAAUUAUUGCUAGCACAUUGUAAGGGUGAGCUCAUCCCCUUUUUUUUAGUGUAAAUAAUAUCACUUGUUAAAAAAAUAAAAAUAAAAUAAAACCUUUUUGAAGUAUUCUUUUAAAAGAAUAAUACUUGCAUUUCUCCUUUGAAAAUGAGCUCAUUCUCCCCUACUUGCAAAUAGCAUAUCUUCAUUGUAGCAAUUUCAUAAUUAUAACCGUUCGAUUUCUUAAUUUUCCUUUAAAGAUCAUCACUUUCAUUGGAAAUGGAAAUCAUAUAGUCAUUCAUAUGCCACUCCGAUCAUUUUUUUUUUUUGAAGGUACGCAUUUUGAUGGAAUAAAUUCAUCCCACAAAGAAAAUGCAAAGUAUUAUUAUUUUUAAAACCUGAAAUUGACAAAAAUGACUUAUGAUUGUAAACAAUGAUGAAAACUGAGACCAAAUUGGUUAAAUCGAAAACGUUAACAUUGAAAUUUUACGUCACAGAAUGUAAAAUAAAGAUUACAAAAUCUGAUUAGUUCAUUUUUCUUUCAGCAGAAUUAUGCCAAUUUCGUUUUUGCAAUUGCCGUGAACCUCAUACAUUCAAUAACGAUAAAAGCCACAAAUAAUGCAUCCAUCUACAGCUCCUUCGUAUCAUUACCCUGUGGAAAGAAAAGUUGCUCGAAGUCUUGAGAAGCAACAUAACGAACAAUCAUACCGCGGCAUUUGGGUGCUCCAUUAGAAAUCGGUGGGACUACGACCAGAAUCGUAGGUAUAUGUAUUUGAAAAAAUGUCUUGCUACAGUUAAAGGGACAAGUACUCAAAAUCGAAUACAUAUUCGUGAUAUAACUUUGGCACUCUUAUUUCUGAUACAUAUUUGUGAGUGAGCAGAUAACAUAGAUAAAAUCUUUAAAAAAAAUCAGAAUUUCAACCAGAGAUUUCAAUGGCUCUUAUUUGUGAUACAUUUAUUAAGUAGAUGAUUUGUCCUAAAACAAACACAACCUCAAACAACUAAAGUUUAGAGAACAAACUCUGAGUAUCAAGAGUACUUGACUCAUCUCACUCUUUGCAUAAAACAUUUAAAAAACCAAAUGCCAAUUAUGAAAGUGGAAAACUGAAGUACUUGGCAAGGUUUUUCUUUUUAUCCAGACAUUCAAGAUGGUAAACAAUAUUUUUGAAAUACCAUUAAAAAAACAGAGUAUACUUUUAGGCAAAUAUUGUUCAAAAACCCAAAUAUAAUUCAUGAUACCUCAACAACAACAACAACAACAAAGCCUUUUCCCACUAAGUGGGGUCGGCUAUAUGAAUCCUAGAACGCCAUUGCGCUCGGUUUUGUAUCAUGUCCUCCGUUAGAUCCAAGUACUCUAAGUCUUUUCUAAGAGUCUCUUCCAAAGUUUUCCUAGAUCUUCCUCUACCCCUUCGGCCCUGAACCUCUGUCCCGUAGUCACAUCUUCGAACCGGAGCGUCAUUCGGCCUUCUUUGCACAUGUCCAAAUCACCGGAGCCGAUUUUCUCUCAUCUUUCCUACAAUUUCGGCUACUCCUACUUUACCUCGGAUAUCCUCAUUCCCAAUCUUAUCCUUUCUCGUGUGCCCACACAUCCCACGAAGCAUCCUCAUCUCCGCUACACCCAUUUUGUGUACGUGUUGAUGCUUCACCGCCCAACAUUAUGUGCCAUACAACAUCGCUGGCCUUAUUGCCGUCCUAUAAAAAUUUUCCCUUGAGCUUCAGUGGCCUACGACGGUCACACAACAACACGCCGGAUGCAUUCUUACACUUCAUCCAUCCAGCUCGUAUUCUAUGGUUGAGAUCUCCAUCUAAUUCUCCGUUCUCUUGCAAGAUAGAUCCUAGGUAGCGAAAACGGUCGCUUUUUGUGAUCUUCGCUAGAUUGCUCCGGUCAUUAGUGUGGAUAAGUAUAUAAAUAGAGAUAGAGAUAGGAAAGCAAAACACAAGAUGUACGUGGUUCACCCAGAUUGGCUACGUCCACGGAAUAGAAGAGUUCUCAUUAAUUGUGAAGGGUUUACACAAGUACAUAGGUUCAAGCUCUCCUUUAGUGAGUACAAGUGAAUGAUUUAGUACAAAUGACAUUAGGAAAUAUUGUGGGAGAAUGAUCUCGUAAUCACGAAACUUCUAAGUAUCGGAGUGUGGUGUCGUCUUGACUUGCCUUAUCUGUCUCAUAGGUAGAUGUGGCAUCUUCUCUGGAAGUACUCUUCCUCCAUCCAGGGGUGGUAUCUUUAACUGGUGGAGAUGCACAAGGUAAUGUAUCAAUUUCACUUGAAGCUUACUUGUAGUUUCAGGCUUGGUCAAGCGCGAUACAAACCAUGUAGUAGGAGUCCCCCAAGUCGCCGAGCUAGGGGGUCUGCUGAAAGAGGUGACAGACAAGGUAAGCAAUCAGAGCUCCGACUGAUUGUUCACCUUCUCCCCAUCUUGCAGCAGCAUGAAGGAUAAAGAGAAGAAAAAUGAGAAGAGAUGAUAUGAGAUACUUUUGCUUUUGAAGAAGUAACUUUCCACAGGCUUAUUCUUGAACUGAGCUGGAGGGUUUUCUGGUUUCCUCCAGAGUAUAAGGCCGACUGAAGAAUUUGAGGGUCAAAACAAGUCCAUCAAAUCUAGAGUACGUUCCACCCUGCUGAUAUGGGAUACUUUUGCUUUUGACAGAGUAAUGGAUGUAUCGGCACGUGUGCUGUUACGCUUGUCUCCACAUGCUUCCUUGUAUCCUUCGCACUUGCCCUAUCUGUUCCUCAAGCAGAUGCGGAAUCUUCCCUGGAAACAUAAGAUGUUGAAGAUGAGUACUCGAGAGCAAUGCCAGGUAAGUAAUCAGGUAAGGGGUUCCAGGCAGUCAGUUCCUGGCUGGAAGCUUGAUUCCAAGUGCUGACUGAUUGCUCUCUUUCUCCUUGUCUUGCAGGUAAAAACAAGGCCAAAGGAAAAGACAGGGAAAAAGCAUGAUAUGGGAUACUCUUGCUUUUAACCCUGAUGAUAUGAGAUAUUCUUGCUCUAGUAUAGCUUGUUUGCAGAGGUAUUAUCGGGGGGAAAGAAAGCUGAAUAUUUCGAAAGGCUUCGUUGGGAGUGCCUUCUCAGAUAUGAUGAAGGGUUGAGCAUUUUUGCAGGUCUGCCUGUCCGUUGGGGAUGGAGGUCGACAUAUAUAGGAGUCUCCCUAACAACAAGUAGUAAUGAUAUUCCUUUACCCUGCUUGGUCAUAGCACGGUAGUGGGAGCUGCCAGUUUCACAUGUUUUAACUCUGUCAGAGCACUUUGAAAAAGUGGUCUGUGGUAUCUGGCUCUCGAGAUUCGGAGAACGAUGCCUCUUCGAUUUUUGAGAAAGCAAUCAUGCUGGGGGUAUGGCUCUCAAGAUUCGGAGAGCAGUGUCUCUUCGAUUUUUAAGGAAGUAAUCAUGUUGGGAGUCUGGCUCUCGAGAUUCGGAGGGCGGUGCCUCUUCGAUUUUGGAGCAAGCAAUCUUGUUGGGAGUGUUGUCUCGAAUGUGAGUAAAGGUUGGGCAUGUUUGCUAGUCUACCUUGCCACGAAGCACAAAGGUUGACACACAGGGACUUUCCAAUUAUCCAGCAAUGGUACUGUUCCUUUACCCUCUCUUCGAUUUUGAGAAAGUAAUCAUGUUGGGAGUCUGGCUCUCGAGAUUCGGAGGACGGUGCCUCUUCGAUUUUGGAGCAAGCAAUCUUGUUGGGAGUGUUUUCUCGAAUGUGAGUAAAGGUUGGGCAUGUUUGCUAGUCUACCUUGCCACGAAGCACAGAGGUUGACACACAGGGACUUUCCAAUUAUCCAGCAGUGGUACUGUUCCUUUACCCUUGUGUGGUAAUAAUAUGGUAGCUAGACCUUCAAAAUUUAUGUGUCUAAACUUUGUUAGUGCUGUUUCUUUGCUAUUCUUUUACCUUUCUUGGUCAGAGCGAUGUAGUGGGAGCUGCAAGCUUCACGUGCUCAACUUUGGCAGAGAACUUUGGCAAAGUUAUCUGUGGUACCCAUGAGCUAUUGUUGCGUGUGGGAAGUGGGUGAUUGAACAGUAAGAUUCAUGUGCUUUCUACUUCACCAGAAGUCUUCGACAGAAUGCCCAUAAUUUCUGCAAAGCUGAGUGUGCGUGUGACAGGUGCUGACAAGGCUAGAAAAGUAGGUGCCUCUUCGAUUUCUGAGAUUGGCCCUCGUGGUCUCUGAGCAGCCCAGCUUUUGAGAAAGCGAGCGCCUCUUCGAUUGAUUCGGAGAACGAUGCCUCAUCGAUUUUUGAGAAAGCAAUCAUGCUGGGGGUCUGGCUCUCGAGAUUCGGGGAGCAGUGUCUCUUCGAUUUUUGAGAAAGUAAUCAUGUUGGGAGUCUGGCUCUCGAGAUUCGGAGGGCGGUGCCUCUUCGAUUUUGGAGCAAGCAAUCUUGUUGGGAGUGUUUUCUCGAAUGUGAGUAAAGGUUGGGCAUGUUUGCUAGUCUACCUUGCCACGAAGCACAGAGGUUGACACACAGGGACUUUCCAAUUAUCCAGCAAUGGUACUGUUCCUUUACCCUCUCUUCGAUUUUUAAGAAAGUAGUCAUGUUGGGAGUCUGGCUCUCGAGAUUCGGAGGACGGUGCCUCUUCGAUUUUAGGAGCAAGCAAUCUUAUUGGGAGUGUUUUCUCGAAUGUGAGUAAAGGUUGGGCAUGUUUGCUAGUCUACCUUGCCACGAAGCACAGAGGUUGACACACAGGGACUUUCCAAUUAUCCAGCAGUGGUACUUGUUCCUUUACCCUUGUGGGUAAUAAUAUGGUAGCUAGACCUUCAAAAUUUAUGGGUCUAAACUUUGUUAGUGCUGUUUUCUUUGCUAUUCUUUUACCCUUCUUGGUCAGAGCGAUGUAGUGGGAGCUGCAAGCUUCACGUGCUCAACUUUGGCAGAGAACUUUGGCAAAGUUAUCUGUGGUACCCAUGAGCUAUUGUUGCGUGUGGGAAGUGGGUGAUUGAACAGUAAGAUUCAUGUGUUUUCUACUUCCCCAGAAGUCUUCGACAGAAUGCCCAUAAUUUCCGCAAAGCUGAGUGUGCGUGUGACAGGUGCUGACAAGGCUGGAAAAGUAGGUGCCUCUUCGAUUUCUGAGAUCGGCCCUCGUGGUCUCUGGGGAGCCCAGCUUUUGAGAAAGCGAGCGCCUCUUCGAUUUCUGAGAUCGGCCUUCGUGGUCUUUGAGCAGCCCAACUUUUGAGAAAGCAAACGCCUCUUCGAUUUCUGAGAUCAACCCUCGUGAUCUCUAAGCAGCCCAGCUUUUUGAGAAAGCAAACGCCUCUUCGAUUUCUGAGCAGGCGCCUCUUCGAUUUCUGAAGCUCCGUCGAGUGCAGAUUUUUAUAGGGGCUGGCAUUAAGUUCCAAAGCACACUUGAAUCUCCACCAGUAGAAGCUUCAUUCUUGCACUUCUAAGAUCUUGAUUUGUCCGACCUCUUCUCUCUUCAACACCUUUGAAAAUGUCUGGCCCCUCCGACCGUCGUUUUGACUUGAACCUUGUUGAAGAGGCAGCCCCGCCUUCUCCAGACAACAUAUGGCGCCCAUCCUUCGUCUCCCCUACUGGUCCUCUUACCGUUGGGGAUUCCGUGAUGAAGAAUGAUAUGACCGCUGCGGUGGUGGCCAGGAACCUUCUCACUCCCAAAGAUAACAGACUACUUUCCAAACGGUCUGAUGAGUUAGCUGUUAAGGAUUCGCUGGCUCUCAGUGUUCAGUGUGCAGGUUCUGUGUCUAAUAUGGCCCAACGCCUAUUUGCUCGAACCCGCCAAGUUGAAUCAUUGGCGGCUGAAGUGAUGAGUCUCAAACAGGAGAUUAGAGGGCUCAAGCAUGAGAAUAAACAGUUGCACCGGCUCGCACAUGACUAUGCUACAAACAUGAAGAGGAAGCUUGACCAGAUGAAGGAAACUGAUGGUCAGGUUUUACUUGAUCAUCAGAGAUUUGUGGGUUUGUUCCAAAGGCAUUUAUUGCCUUCGUCUUCUGGGGCUGUACCGCGUAAUGAAGCUCCAAAUGAUCAACCUCUGAUGCCUCCUCCUUCUAGGGUUCUGUCCAGUACUGAGGCUCCAAAUGAUCCCCCUCCGGUGCCUUCUCUUUUCUGGGGCUCUACCGACUGCUGAGACUUCUCCUAAGCAACCUUUGUGAAGGCUCCCUCUUGUGUGUUUAUUUUGACUCAUGUAUAUGUACAUAUUUGUAGCUUAUCGGGGAUAUCAAUAAAUAAGCUUUCCUUCAUUUCAACGUAUUGUGUUAAAUACACCAAAGCCUUCUUCGCUAAGUUCUUUGAAUUUUCUUUUGUUGAAGCUUGUAUGUUGAAGCUUUCUGAGUGGAGCAUGUAGGUUGGGGUAGUGUUCCCUUAAUUUCCCGAGUGAGGAAAACUUCUCGGUUGGAGACUUGGAAAAUCCAAGUCACUGAGUGGGAUCGGCUAUAUGAAUCUUAGAACGCCAUUGUGCUCGAUCCUGUGUCAUGUCCUUCGUUAGAUCCAAGUACUCUAAGUCUUUUCUUAGAGUCUCUUCCAAAGUUUUCCUAGGUCUUCCUCUACCCCUUCGGCCCUGAACCUCUGUCCCAUAGUCGCAUCUUCUAAUCGGAGCGUCAGUAGGCCUUCUUUGCACAUGUCCAAACCACCGUAACCGAUUUUCUCUCAUCUUUCCUUCAAUUUCGGCUACUCCUACUUUACCCCGGAUAUCCUCAUUCCUAAUCUUAUCCUUUCUCGUGUGCCCACACAUCAUCCAACGAAGCAUCCUCAUCUCCGCUACACCCAUUUUGUGUACGUGUUGAUGUUUCACCGCCCAACAUUCUGUGCCAUACAGCAUCGCCGGCCUUAUUGCCGUCCUAUAAAAUUUUCCCUUGAGCUUCAGUGGCAUACGGCGGUCACACAACACGCCGGAUGCACUCUUCCACUUCAUCCAUCCAGCUUGUAUUCUAUGGUUGAGAUCUCCAUCUAAUUCUCCGUUCUUUUGCAAGAUAGAUCCUAGGUAACGAAAACGGUCGCUCUUUGGUAUUUCUUGAUCUCCGAUCCUCACCCCUAACUCGUUUUGGCCUCCAUUUGCACUGAACUUGCACUCCAUAUAUUCUGUCUUUGAUCGGCUUAGGCGAAGACCUUUAGAUUCCAACACUUCUCUCCAAAGGUUAAGCUUUGCAUUUACCCCUUCCUGAGUUUCAUCUAUCAACACUAUAUCGUCUGCGAAAAGCAUACACCAAGGAAUAUCAUCUUGAAUAUGUCCUGUUAACUCAUCCAUUACCAACGCAAAAAGGUAAGGACUUAAGGAUGAGCCUUGAUGUAAUCCUACAGUUAUGGGAAAGCUUUCGGUUUGUCCUUCAUGAGUUCUUACGGCAGUCUUUGCUCCUUCAUACAUAUCCUUUAUAGCUUGGAUAUAUGCUACUCGUACUCCUUUCUUCUCUAAAAUCCUCCAAAGAAUGUCUCUUGGGACCCUAUCAUACGCUUUUUCCAAAUCUAUAAAGACCAUGUGUAAAUCCUUUUUCCCAUCUCUAUAUCUUUCCAUCAAUCUUCGUAAGAGAUAGAUUGCCUCCAUGGUUGAGCGCCCUGGCAUGAACCCGAAUUGGUUAUCCGAAACCCGUGUCUCUUGCCUCAAUCUAUGCUCAAUGACUCUCUCCCAGAGCUUCAUUGUAUGACUCAUUAGCUUAAUACCCCUAUAGUUCAUGCAAUUUUGUACGUCGCCCUUAUUCUUGUAGAUAGGCACCAAAGUGCUCGUUCGCCACUCAUUUGGCAUCUUCUUCGUUUUCAAAAUCCUAUUGAAAAGGUCAGUGAGCCAUGUUAUACCUUUGGAUUCAUUUUCAUAAGGAUUCAACGUGAUCAUGGAGUGCUGGCUGUCGACUACCUGACGCCCUCCCCCUCCUCCUUUAUCCGGGCUUGGGACCGGCCAUGUAAGACAUAAGCGGAGUUAUAUUGGUGGAUGUGAUCAAAUGGAAGAAAUUGUGUCGAAGCAGGGGAGGGAACAUGAGGAGGAAGCCGAUAUGAUAUCUUUCCAUAAAUUAACCAAUUUGAGUUUCUGGGGUCUACAGAGUUUGGUUGGUUUCUUCCAAGCCAACAAGCUAUACUCCAACCAAGAAGAGGUAUGUCCCACUCUCCAAUCUCUAUGAUAUGAGGAGGCGGCCGAUAUGUGGAAAUUUGAAAUUGUGUUAACUGAUAAUGAUUUUUCUUUUUCAGGAAACAACGGCAAGGGUUGAGCAUCAAUCUGCAGGCAUAUUUGAAAAAGCAAUAUUUCCAUCAAAGUGCAUUUCAUGGUUUCCAAGUUUAGAAGACGUAUAUUUGGUUGAUAUGAAUUUUGAAGGCGUACUAUUUGAUCUGAAAAUCCCUAUAGUUAUGGAUGGGCAGACAACUCCAAUAUUUCCCCAGUUACAUAAGUUGGAGAUAUUCAUUUGUUCAUUUACACACUUGUGGAAAAACAUUCCAUCUGGAUUUCAGGGCUUCCAAAAUUUGAGAUAUUUGGAAGUAAGUGGAUGUUGUGGUCUAAAAUAUGUGUUCUCGCAUUUAAUUGCCCAAGAACUGUUGAAUCUUGAAGAGGUAAAGAUAACAGCAUGUCCGAACAUGGAAACUAUAGUCAGAAUCACAGAGGAAAAUGAAGAAGAGGCGACAAAAUACAUGAUUUUGUUUCCGAAACUGAACACAUUUGAACUAGAUGCCCUGCCUCGUCUCACAAGUCUUUGUCCAGAGGGAUUUACAUUUCUAUGGUCAUCCACAAAAAAUAUGCGCGUGAAAAGCUGUGAAAAUUUGAAGACAUUGGGUGCUGUAAUUCCACAAAGAAAGAAGUUGGAGAAUAACUUGAAGAAGGAUUCAACAAGUCAUGAUUUCAGCACUUCUCCAAGGAUUCAACAAGCUGGAUGUGGAUGCGCACCUUAUUCGUGACCAAACGCCCACCGCCCCAUUGAAAUAUUGCCACGUCCAAUUAACCUGGAGGUAAGCUUUUAAAUCAGGUUCAAUUAACCUCUAUAAGUACAACUUUUAAUUAGUAUUGUAUCAUCUUGUUGAUCGUGUUUAAUUUUCUAGGUUACACCAACUAAUCUUGAGGACUCAAAUGAUGAUGAUAAUCUUGAAAAUCUUACUGUAAGUGACUGUAAUUCGAUGGAAGUGAUUUUCCAACUCAAGGGACUGAAGCAUGAAGAAAGUAGUCACUCCGUUGAAGCAUUCAAUAAAUUGAGUUCCUUGCGGUUAUAUACAUUGCCAAGUUUAACGCGUGUUUGGGAGACGGGUAGUUCACAACCGAUGUUGACAGGAAGCAGCUUCGGAAACUUGAAAUCGCUGCGGGUCUAUUAUUGCAACCAGUUGAAAUACUUGUUUUCAUCGUCCAUAGUCAAACUUCUUGCGAGUAUAGAGGACAUAGAAGUUAGGAAGUGUGAGCAGAUGGAAGAAAUCGUUGCCGCAGAAGAAGAAACUGAUGAAACAAUUACAUUACCUAAAGUGAAGUCCAUCAAGCUUGCAAGUCUGCCAAAACUCAAGUAUUUUUGUGGUGAAGCUUAUACUUUGAAGUUGCCGUCUUUGGAGUCACUGAAGGUUGAUGACGUGCAAAACUUAAGCCUAUUAGCUCCAAAGCUUAUUGCCACACAUCCCCGAUUGCAAGCAUACACCGCGUUGGGAGUGGCUGAAUGGAUGGGGGACCUCAAUGCCACUCUAAGGAAUAUUUACGACACAAGGUAUGCUUUAAUUUAAGGUUUCUGAUUUUCAAUCACUUAUGUGUGCAUAUUUAAAAAUGUUUUUUUUUUUUAACGUCUCUCUUUUAAAUCUUGAUGUAUACGUGGAAUUUCUGAAGUUUUUACAAAAGAAUAUAUAAUAGCAUACAUAUAUUAAUGUAUAUGUGUGUGUGUAUGCGAGUAUGUGCACACUAAAGUGUAUUUAAAUAUUUUUUUUUUUUGAAAACUCAAUUAUAUCUCAAGAAAACAUCGUCUUUUAUUUCUAAUACAGUAAGGAUGAAGAUAACGAAAUCGACAUUGAGGAUGAAGAUGACGAAAUCGACAAUGAGGAUGAAGAUGAAGAUGACGAAAUUGACGGCAAGGAUGAUGAUGACAAAAUCGACGGCAAGGAUGAAGAUGACGAAACCAACAGGGAGGACGAACACCGUUGAUUGAUCAAGCACAAAGGUUAGCAUGUUUCCAUCUCCAACUUCUUCUAGGUUUAGUAAAAACUGAUGAAAAUUAUAUAUAUAGUACUCAAAAAAGUAUUCUACCAUGUUUUAUAUAAUAUACACAUACAUGUAUAGCACUUGAAAAAUUGAACAGUUAAUAUAUACAUACAUGUAUAGCACUUAAAAAAUUGAACAGUUUGGAUCUAAAACCACAAUCUGCUACCUGAUUCAUUAGUGUUUGCUUAUUUGUGCUCGAGGUUGAUUAUACACGUGUAAGCUGAAUCACAUGUUUGUAGAAUGGACAAGCUGAAUAAAAUCUGUUUGCCCCCUAAAUGUAAUGGAAAUCAUAUGUAUCUAGGCAUGCUUAAUAUUUGAUAAAGAAAAACAUUUCUCAAAUAAAUGUCCACUCACACCUCCGGCAGCUCUCCCUGAGGAGCCUUGNNNNNNNNNNNNNNNNNNNNNNNNNNNNNNNNNNNNNNNNNNNNNNNNNNNNNNNNNNNNNNNNNNNNNNNNNNNNNNNNNNNNNNNNNNNNNNNNNNNNNNNNNNNNNNNNNNNNNNNNNNNNNNNNNNNNNNNNNNNNNNNNNNNNNNNNNNNNNNNNNNNNNNNNNNNNNNNNNNNNNNNNNNNNNNNNNNNNNNNNNNNNNNNNNNNNNNNNNNNNNNNNNNNNNNNNNNNNNNNNNNNNNNNNNNNNNNNNNNNNNNNNNNNNNNNNNNNNNNNNNNNNNNNNNNNNNNNNNNNNNNNNNNNNNNNNNNNNNNNNNNNNNNNNNNNNNNNNNNNNNNNNNNNNNNNNNNNNNNNNNNNNNNNNNNNNNNNNNNNNNNNNNNNNNNNNNNNNAGUUCAUUCAUCGCCUAUUCACAACAAUACAAGGUUCUACAGAGUUCAAUCCCACACCAUGUUAUAGACAUGCUUCAACUAUCAACCGGAACGUAAUCGUUAGGGUUCAACAACUUCCAGAUACAAAAUUACUAUAAGUCUCAUCUCCGACAUUCAUACAGAAAAUCGAAUAAAAUUCGAAAUCAAGAAUCAAUCCAAAAUGAAAGUUGAAAAUUUGGAAAAAGAACUUACAUUGGAGAACAGCCCACGAGAAGAGUAUCAUUUCUACCUCUUGGGUCGAGGUCCAAUUCCGGCGAUAUUGGCCGGAAACCCCUGGGUCACCGUUUCUUAGACUUGAAGUUGAGGAAAAUCGCCUACGAAUUUAUAGAAACUAACUUGGGGGAUAGGAUAAGGGUCGGCAAGAGCAUUCUGGAUGUGUAGUUUGAGAGCCUUUGGUGACCAGUGGACGACAGAGCUGUUGCGUCGGCACUCGGCAGUCUUCGGCUUGCUGUUGAAUGGGGCUCCUGUUGCAGCGCAGCGCAAAAGAGAAGGAGGAGAGAGGAUACGGGAGGAGGAGAGAAAAUGGGUUUCUCCCACCUUUUACAUUAAUUCUUUUCCACAUUUUUUUAUGGAAUAAACGAUAAUAUUUAUCAUCAAAGUGUGUUUGGUACGUGAGAUGAGAAGGAACAUGUAGGAAAACUAAUGAAAAUGACUUGAAAAUUUUGAGUUUUAAUGAUAAGGACAAAAUAAAGAGUAAAGUGAAUACUACCGGAUUGACUUUUUAGUGUAAAAAUGUGGUUUUUCGUUAAAGUGAACAGUACUGGGUGCUUUUCGUUAAAGUUCCCAACAUGUUUUGAUGAUAAUAAUGGUUAGAAGUAAUAUAGUUCAAAUUUAUUUUUGGUGAUAAUUGAAUAUAAGAUUUCUCUUACAAGUUACAAAUAAAAAUGAAUAUCAUAAAUUUUUUUUUCACUUUUAAUACACACGUAAAUAAAAAACAAAAUGAAAAUGGAAAGAAAUAAAAAUUUGAAUAGAAAUGAAAAAAUUAAGUAAAUUGACAGCAUAAGGUAAUCAGCCAUGAAUAAAAUAUUAUACCAUCCUUAAACAUUGUAGUGCCAUGGAAUCUCAUUUUAGUCUGAAUUUCCUUCUGCUUACACUCACGCGUUCAUAUUGAUGAGCACUACGAGAAAAUAUUAAGAUGAUAGGUCAUACUCAUACGUUCGUUUUUGUUGAGAAUUUUUUUGAAGGAUUUUGCAAUAUGGCAGCCAUGAUUUGCAAAGCCCACCAUCGUAGAGCUCGAUAUCGGCCUAACUUGUGGAGCCACCAUCGCAAAGAAGAACCUGGAAAGCUCAAUCCUUGUCGUCUUUUUCUUAUAUAAGUGUCAUUUUGGUGAACCAAAUGUUCCGAUUCCAACAUCCAAAAUACCACAAUGUGAUUUUUUUCAUACUACAAUUGGAUUGCAUCUUAAAAUUAUAAAGUCUUGGAGCAUUGGUCAUGCCAUCAUGCUGAUUUGUGUUGGAUUUCGUUAGAGAUCGUAAUUAAUCAAUCACCCUUUUUGUGUCUCCCUUCAAAAGCUCAAAUUGAAAUCUGAACUCCCUAGCAAAUAAGAGCCCAAUUUGACAACCAAAAUCUUCAUCGUUCGAGCAUCAAUGUUCUCUUAAAUUCACUACGAGCAAACCGCCAUGAAAUCUCCUUCAUGGACAUCUCAUAAAAUUAGAACGAUACAAAGAAGAUUAGUGUGACUCCUAAGCUAGGAUUACACGUAUGAAUCGUAAAAUAGUUCCUCCUCCACUCUUUGAUUCUCUCUUUCACUGGCUAACAAUAUUUUACUCUACCUUUUCACCCUAAGUAAGAAAGUAAGAAAUGAGCAUUUUGUUAGCAUCUUUUUGAAAAUUUCAAAUUUGAUCCUAAUAUCUCUUUUGCACUAUUUGACUGAACGACAAAUUUUGAUUGUCUAAAUAUUUAUAUCAAACUACAAAUAAUAUUGAUAUUAUAUAUUUAUAAUGUGACUAGAAUUGUAGUACCCAACAUAUCUAUCUUGAAAUAAAUUUUGUUGUCUAUGAAGUGGCCAACUCGACCCUCUCCUAUACUCUUUGAGUUUGUAUAAAUAUAUCAUUGUUUUAAAAAUUGACAUUCAGUACUGCGAUUUAGUGAUAUUCAUUAUCAGGUUCGAAUCUUAGGAGUGACGAGUUUGUGUAAAUAUAUCAUUGUAUUAAAUAUAAAUAAAAAUAAAAAAAAUAAACAAAAUAUUUUUUUGGUCGGACAAAAACACGAAAAUGCCCUUAAAGCCCAAAGUGACCCCUCUACCCUGCCGCUGCCUGCAAGUUCUUUCCUCGCCCCUGUUUCUACGUCCAAUUAAUCUGGAGGUAAGCUUUUAAAUCAGGUUCAAUUAACCUCUAUAAGUACAUCUUUUAAUUAGUAUUGUGUCAUCUUGUUGAUCGUGUUUAAUUUUCUAGGUUACACAACCUAAUCUUGAGGACUCAAAUGAUGAUGAUAAUCUCGAAAAUCUUCCUCUAAUUAACUGUAAUUCGAUGGAAGUGAUUUUUCAACUAAAGGAACCGGUGCAUGAAGAAAGUAGUCACUCCAUUGAAGCAUUCAAUAAAUUGAGGUCCAUGCGGUUAGAUAUAUUGCCAAGUUUAACGCGUGUUUGGGAGACGGGUAGUUCACAACCGAUGUUCACAGGAAGCAGCUUCGGAAACUUGAAAUCGCUGCGGGUCGUUGCACCGAUGAAAUAAUUACAUUACCUAAAGUGAAGUCCAUCAAUCUUAAACGUCGGCCAAAACUCAAGUAUUUUUAAGGUGAAGCUUAUACUUUGAAGUUGCCGUCUUUGGAGUUAUUGGAGGUUGAUGACGUGCAAAACUUAAGCCUAUUAGCUCCAAAGCUUAUUGCCACACAUCCCCGAAUGCAAGUAUACACCGCGUUGAGAGUGGCUAAAUGGAUGGGGGACCUCAAUGCCACUCUAAGGAAUAUUUACGUAAUCACUUAUGUGUGCAUAUGCGCACACUAAAGUAUCUCGCAAUGUGCACACUAAAAUAUGUUUUUUUGUUUUUUUUUUUUGGAAACUCGAAUUAUAUCUCAAGAAAACAUCUCUCUUUUAUUUCUAAUACCGAGAAGAAUGAAGCUGACGGAAUUCUACAAGACACCAUAUAACGAGGAUGUUAACAAUCACAAAAGGUUGUGGCUUCGGCUAUUCGCUUACUUUCAUAUAACGAGGAUACUGUUUCCGUUGCUUACUAUAUGUAUAAUUAAUUUCGAUUGCGAUUAUUACUGUUUGAAUUCAUCUCUUGACUGCCUAUGGGGACGUCAAGGUGGACACCAAAAUGGAGGCGUGAUGACCUGCAUCCGGAAAGUGACGUAGCCAUAACGUGCAUGCAAAUAUAAUUUAAUAAAAUAACUUCAAAUGAUCUACUGAAAAAAUCGGCAUAGUUUCCUUUGGAAUUAGGUUUUGGCCCCCAAAUUUAAAACCUGCUGAAAAAGUUAUAAUUAUUUCAAAACCACAUCCCCGACACCUAAUGGGUUAUCAACCCUCUACUACAUGCACGCAUACUCCAAUAUACUUACUGGUGGUAUAGCAUACAAUUUCAUACACUAGUGAUAACUAGUGUAAGCUGAAAAUUUAACCAUACACGCUAGUGUAAACUGAAGAUAAAACCAUACAUUAGCUGUAGCUAGUGUAAGCUGAAAAAUAUAAUCAUACACUAGCCGUAGCUAGUGUAAGCUGAAUGGGCAUCCUCACAGUAGGGACAAGAUGACUAUACUGUAGUAUAAAUCAUACACGUGUAAGCUGAAUAACAUGUCCGUAGCAUGGACAAGUUGAAUAUUCUUUAAUAUUAACCAUACACAUAUGCGGAAUGACAUGUUUGUAGUAUGGACAAGCUGAAUAUACUGUAAUAUUGACUAUACACGUGUAAGCUAAAUAAUAUUAUCAAACACUGGUUAUGGCUAGCUAGUGUAAGCUGAAUAUGUUCAUACACUGUAAGGUCUGGUAUUAAUUCAUAAAAUCUAUUCUUCCCCUAAACGUAACGGAAAUCAUAUGUAUCUAGGCAUGCUUAAUAUUUGAUAAAGAAAAACAUUUCUGAAAGAAAUGCCCACUGACACCUCCGGCUAGCUCUCCCUUGAGGAGCCUUGUCUACCAAAAAGGUAAUUUCAAGCAACUUCAAGAGAGAAUUUGACCACAUCGCGAAAGUAUGACACCAAACGGUUGAGACCUAGAAGACAUCCAAGAGUUUUUGGAGAAACAGAACGCUCACUGAAGAUAUGUAUUCUAUUUCUAUAGCACGUUUACCCCAAACAAAACACAGGUUAUGGAAAGGAAAAUAACAUUAAGAAAUGCAAAAGAUUGGGGAGAUGCGAAAUAACUCAUCUCUGGUCCUGGAAAUAUUGCAUACAAUAUUGCUCUACCAAUUAAACCAAAUCUUAUGACUCUAGUGACAAGCUAGAAAGCCACAAAAGAAUAAACAAGGAAUCAGGCUAUGCAAUUUCCUACCACAUUUUCACAUCAACGUGAUUGUUAGGGGUUUCAACAACUUCAGAGAAUUACCACAAAUCUCAUCUCCGGCAUUCAGGCAGAAAAAUCAAAUAAAAGUUUGAAAUCAAGAAUCAAUCCCGAAACUGAAAGUUGAAAUUUUGGAAAAAGAACUUACAUCAGAGUACUUUCCAUGAGGAGAAGAUCAUUUUUACCUCUUGGGUCGAGGACAUUCCACGGUGAGCCUGCAUAAAUGAACCAAUUAAACAAAGAAAUGAAAACCGAAUAACUCGGAAGCUAAAGUAUCACAGAUAGAAAAUUGCAUAUACCUAACUAAAAAUGCACAAUCUAACGAGAUGUGGUAGUCUAAGUGUAUAACACAAGGGUGAGAAGUACUCUAGUGCUCACAAACUGAAGCCACAAGACUACCAGAUAAUGUAGCUUCAGAAAUAUCAUUCGUUCUUUUGCGCAUAAUCAUACAUGCUCAUCAGAACAAAGUAUGAUCUCCAACGGAAAUAGAAGUGACACAGGUGAAAGUCAAAAUAAACAAACAAAUAAUAGUGAACGAGAGGCCCUAAAGAAUUGUUCUAACUAGGAGACAAGCUUAAAUUAUUCAGAUAAUAAGUCUUGCACAAACCCAACUUUCAAAAAUACUAGAUUAGUAUGCCGUGAUAUUUAACAAUGCCGUCAAAAACUUACUUGUUGAACAACUCAACCUGUAUUCCAUCUCCUUCUCUGCCAUACCAAAAAUUUGCACAAUUGUUUAAAACCAAAUUAAGGUCUUUCGAAAACCCACCUGAGAUUAUUUGAAAAACACGAAUUUAGAACAAUAAUUCAAAACCAAAGAACAGAAAAUCCAUCACACCAGAGUAAAAAUUAACCAUCUUGUUGCUUCCUAACUCUCAAGAAAUAUCCACGUCUCACUUUUACUAAUGUCAAAACACCGCCAUCAUUGAUCAAUUAGACAAAUAAGACCCAAUUCGAUUACGCCCAAACUCACAGAACACCCAGAUUCCCAACACCAAUUGAACAAUCUAACCAUGAAUUUCCAAAACUUUCCCCAAAAUCCAGCCUUGGGCAUGCAUUAAAUCCAAUCUAAAACUUGAAUUCAUUUUUAGAGAACAAAAUGUAAAAACUUUGGAACAAUGAAGCAAAAGGGUACUCACCUGUUCCUUGUCCAAAACCGUCGGCGCAUUGUUGGGGGCAGCCAUUAGAACCUGAACAAUUCGCAAAUUAAUUUACACAAACUUCUUCGAAACCGAAUGAAUUAGCAGAGAGGGUUUAAGUAAUCUUACUCGGCGGGAUGGAAUCGAACGCGCUGAAAGUGGUUGCUGUAAAUGCAGAGGGGUUUAAGCGUCCGAUUUGAAGCUAAAGCAGAAGAAAAUAAAAAUCCCACUGAGCUAAUAAUGUACGAAUUAGGGUUUUAGGAGUUAAUAUAGCGUGUAUAUGCGAUGGACGGUUUUGUUUUUAGGGGGGGACUUUCAACCGGAAAAGUUAGUGGAUUACUGCCCUUUCUUUUUUCCUUCCACCACAAGUAGUGCGAUAAUUUCACAAAGGCCCUGUAUGGUGGGCCGCCGUAUAUAAUUGUCCUUUUCUUUCUUAUUUUUUUGGAUUUAUUUAUUUAUUUUCUAACUCAUAGUUCAUCAGGGCUCAGGUUCAGUUGAUUAAAGUAGUAUGUUUCUUUUGUUAUGCUAUAGUUUGAAUAUUCAUUCAAAUGAUUUAGAUUUCUUCGUGCAAACGAUCAUUCAAUUAAAAGAAAAACUCGUAUUAUGUUUGCUUACAAGAAAUGAAUAUCAUUCUCAUUGUAUGUUUACUAACAACCAAGGAUUUGAGAGGAAAAAACGUGAAUCCACAUUGAUUUUGCAUAUCUAAUACCUUCUCAUACCAAAAAAAAAUCAAGGUAUAAGAUUAUUAAGGGGGUUGUUUAAACUCAUGGAAAUGUGUUUUGAUGUUCGCCGAAUAACAAUUGUUUGUUCUCGAUUCAUUUCAAAUUUUAACAGAUGACUCGUAACUUAAGCAGUUAAGAGUUUUUUCUCGUGCUCUCAAAACUUGGCGUUACCUAGUGAAUCAUAUAAUAUUCAAUAAUGCCAUACCAUUUGAAUGGAUCGAAGAUUUCAAAUUGACAACAUUUGUGCCGGUAACCUGUGUAUUACAAGGAUCAUUGAGAAAAUACAUACUUUCACAUUGUGCCGGUAGCUUUCAUUAGCAAUGCUUCACAAUUUACAGGUACGAGGGCUUGACCAGCAUCUCCUCCGGAUCUUUCCACACUGGGAGUCCUUAACUGUACAAAUAAGAUUCACAUACGCAAAAUAUGUGCUAGACUACGCACUGCAAAUGGAAACAAGUUGUCACCCCUAUUUAUCCAAAAAUAAUAUACUUGUUAUAGAUAUCCGUGUAGAAUAUUAUAUUACGAGGGGCGGAGAGCGUGUGUACGGCAAAGUAGGAACGGGUACAGCAGCAACGUAGCAGCACAAGCAAGAGGAUGAUUGGAACUGCAACUUACCCCCACACAUUCACAGAAGCCUUUUUCUUUCCCCUGCUGGUGUUCAUGAAAGCACUUUGAAGUGAAAAAGCCAUGAAAUUACGAAGGCAAGAAUCAUGCAGGCAAGAAGGAAAUUCAUAAUGCAGCGGCCAUGCCACAUGGUUCAGGUUUCAACCUGGAUCAUGGGUGCUGAUGCGGCUGUGGCAGUACUGCUAUUUGCCUCGUUUAUCUGGCCACUGGAAAUGUUGAAUGCAGUUACUCCACAGAUCUCGCAGGUUCUGCAAAUCAAAUAAAUAAAAUUAUGCAUAGGCAGAAAAUAACAUAUCAGUCAGACAUGACAAGCAAUUACAACCAUAACACAACAUAAUGAAGAAACGUACCAUGAGGAUUUUGAACAAACAUAAUGAAGUGUAACCAAUAGCAUACAAAUAUAGAAGAAAAUGCUAUACAAUCACUGUAAGUGAUUUCAAAGGCCAUCAAUCUUCUAUUUCUGUUUCUGGAAAAAAGUCAUGUCGUCGAGAAGUCGUUCCAUUUGCUUACCAUGAUGAGUAAAAUGAAAUUUGAACUAGCUUGCUGUUCUUGCAUAUCUUCUCCUCAUCCUGGUUACCAAGCAAGUCAGUCUUGACCAAUCCAUCUAUA
This 224826-nucleotide long non-coding RNA is filed under the name Malus domestica (apple). Lineage: Eukaryota; Viridiplantae; Streptophyta; Magnoliopsida; Rosales; Rosaceae. The record is from RNAcentral.